This 307895-nucleotide long non-coding RNA is filed under the name Citrus x clementina. RNAcentral's name for it is "Citrus clementina (C. clementina) long non-coding RNA (CCLE_LNC002947)". The record is from RNAcentral. Lineage: Eukaryota; Viridiplantae; Streptophyta; Magnoliopsida; Sapindales; Rutaceae.
AGAUUAUUAACUAUUAUGAAAAUAAUAUACGAAUAAAUAUUUUACAUAAAUUUCGACGGGGAGAAACUAUCAAUACCCUUAAACGAUUGAACCUUCAGUAUCUUAGUAGUUGACUGUGAAUGCCAUUUUAUUCCACCCCAUUGCAAUUGUUGCUUGUUUUCCACGGAUAUCUUGAUUACGUUUGCAAGCUUAUGUUAUAAGGGCUUCGUCAUUGCCAUUAUUACGAAAUUAAAUAGACUACGAUUGUUGACCUAAUUUCAAAAUUCCUCCAUUGUUUAUUAUUUUUCCCUUUUUAAUUUAUCAAUAUCAGCCAUAUCAAGUCAUUCUUUUAAUCAAAAACCUUGGGGAAGACGAAAUAUUAACUUACUGUCUUUUUCAACAACUUUUUAGGUGAGAUUAGUUUAAUAAAUUACAUGAUAAAUAAUACUCUUGCUUGAGUCUAUAUAUAUAUAAUUAUAUAUGAUAUAAAAUUAAGAUUCUUUUUUUUGUCGUAAUACAUAGAAUUAUUCAACCUAUUAUUAUAACAAAAUAAUUAAAUUUAUGAGUUGAAGUUGUCAGAAAAAUAAACUUAUUUCCAAUGAAUGGCAUUUGGAGGAACAAAAUAUAAUGAGAAAUUGAAUUCUUCAAUACCUUGCUGUUUCUUCAUAUUUCUUUACAAAUUUACCGAUUCUUUACUCUAAAUUCUAGUAUUUGUCUUCAUGUCCAAAUAUGGUGAGAAAUUGAAUUCUUCAAAACCUUUCUGUUUCUUCAUAUUUCAUUAUAAAUUUAAAUUCUAAUCAGUUGAUAAAUACAAAGAUGAGAAAUGGUGAUGCCACAUCACCUCCUCAAGUCUCAGCUUUAUAUAUAUGAGUAAUGAUAUAGCCACAAACUCUUGUACAAACUUAUUUUGUACAAACUGAUGUGGCAUGAUAAGAUUGGUUGAAUUAAAUAUCACUUGGCCCACAUGAUUUGUUUUUAUUAUUUUAUAUUUUCAUUUAACUAAUGAAUUAAUGCCACGUCAGUUUGUACAAAAUAAAUUUGUACAAGAGUUUGUGGCUGUAUCAUUACUCUUAUAUAUAUAUAUAUAUAUAUAUAUAUAUAUAUAUAUAUACAGAUUAGGUGGACCUAAAUGUUCCAAAUACAUUAAAACAAUCGAUCAUCUACAUUAUUCUAUAUUUUGAGGAGAGAAAAAAAAAAGACAAAAUCUUUUAGACCAUCUACAUUAUUCUACAUUAAUCUUUUUUUUUCCUUAUGAAAAAGCAAUUAAAUUAAUAAGUAUAAAUUUCUUUACAUUUUCGCCGGAGAAUCAGAGUCAAAUUCAAAUACAACGACUCAAGCGCAAAAGCUUAUAAAUAGAGGAGAGCAAAAAUAAAGCCCCCCGCUCCAGUUCUCUCUUCUGUCAGAGGCUACGGAUUUGAGAGAUUAAAGAACAUCAAUCGAACAGUAAGACUCCGUACUCUGUGACUCAAAGUUGCAAAAACUUUUAGGUAAAUUUUUUUGGAUUAAUUUUUUAAUUUUCGAGAAUAAACAGAGAGAGAGAGAAAAGAGAUGGGAUUAUGUCUGUCUGGGAGUGAUGUGAGGGGAGGGAAACAAGCCAUAGGUGGGGCCCAUCUCCGGCCCACCAGCACGGCUGAUCAGAACAAUGUCUCUGGUCAAAACGACGCCGUUGAUUUCUUCUUCAAAUCUCGCGGCCUUCAUGCCCUUUUCACCCAAAUCGAGGUAUAUGUGUGUACCUGAAUUAUAUGAGUCUUUCACUGCCACUAUUUAUAAACUAUUUUCAGUUAAUUAAUUAAUUAAAAAUUUAUGAUUAGUUUAUAUUUUUUAUUUAUUUUAAUUUUUUAAAUCUGACUUCGUUAUUGUGAUGGAUUCUCAAAUGGUCACUCGUUUGAAAAUUUAUUCCCAAAUUAUGUUUAUUAUUAUUACUUAUUUGAUGACUUGUCAGUGUAACAUCGAACAACUUAAAUCGUCUAUAUUUAAUAAAAGUUAUUUGAUAAUUCGAAUACAAAUAGAGAGUAUAGAUUCCUAUUCAAGAAUCAACCGCAAUCCCAAACAUGCCUUUUUUUAAAUAAUGUAAGAGGAGUAUUUGGAAUUUUGGAGGGCGAAUAUUUUACUUCGUGCUCCUUCAAAGGACAAAGGAGUUAAGCAUCUCCUCAAAAGAAUAUGCCUAUCGGGUGCUUCUUUGAGAAGCAUUUUUUUUUUCUUUCUUUUUUUUGAAUUUGUUCUGGUGGCUGAUCUUUUGCUGGUGUUGGUUCGACGGUUUCAUAUGGAGAACAGUAAGUUUAACUGCUUAUACCCAAUGACAACAUUCUGUGGAGUGAAUUUUAGAUUAAGAUUGGAUAAGGUAAAUAAAAAAAGAAUGGUGUUGAAUGCACAAAGGCCUUGUGAACGUUGAGAAAGUUGAUGUUUGAUCCUGUUGAAUGCACAGUGGUUUUCCUGUGUAUCCUCAAAGUUGACUGUUCUGUUAUGCCUCAUUUAUCAAAUUUGAUUCAUACCCCAGUGAUCAAAUUUGACUUAUACCCCUUGUGAAGAUUCCCCAUGAUAAUGCUCCCCUGAUUGGAACAUGAUUUUGUGAAUGCUGGUUUGCAUAAGACAAACCAUUAACUUUAUACAAAAUUGUGGAACUUUAUAAAAAAUCGUGGAUUAAGGAUUAUGUUGUUACGAGGAUAAGAAUGUCUUUCCAUAACAUGGACCACCAAGUGAUUGUAAUAUUCCUGUAUUGAUGUGGACCUUAUCUGAGGAUCUUCUUGGAAACUUUCCUGGAGAAAAGGCAACAAGUCAUAUGAUAACAAAUUAAAUGUGGUUCAAUGCUUGUAAUUGACGUGUCACAUCCUGUUGUUAUAUAAAACUUAAUUACAUAUAUUAUUGCUUGCUGCUUAUAAGAUUUAAUAUUAGAAGUGGCUCUGUCAGAAUCUGAAAUGAUGGUUUUCUGCAUGUUCUGUUUAUGACAGAUAUAUAUUGCCUGUCAGUUGACCCACAUCGUACUGACAAUUUUCAUUUCGUGCAGCAUAUGCAUGGAUUACUCCUUUUCCGCUUUUUCAUGUAUCUGUAUUCGUUCUUAUGUUUUUGAAUAUAUAUUGCAGUUAUCUUUAUCUGCUUCAAAGUUACGUGAUCUUGACAUCGCAUCAAAGGUACGCCUUCAUAUUAUUGUUGUCUUAUGUCUAAUAAUGCCAUGUUCGUGCUGUUGAUAGUCUUGUUGAUUGAUUCUCAUGUUAUCUUGUAUCCUCCUUAUAUGAUCUGCUUAUUUGUUCAUAAUGGCCCUGUCAAUAUCCUUUCUCUGUUCAUGAAGGGUCUAGGGAUAUAUGAUCUGAAUAACACUUAGUGCUGGCACCAAAAUUCUAAACUUGGACAAAGAAGAAUAGUUUGUUAUAUACACUGUCUAUCUCCAAUGUAAUCCAGUAAGGAGCAGUAACUUGAGAGUUCCAGAUAAUGUAUAACAAGUCAUGGUUGGUGGUUUUAUUGUUUUUGCAAUUUUGUGCACUAGUCAAAUAUGUUAUAUGUGCAAGAUAAAAUUUUUUGAUAAUGAACAUUUAUCAGCGGUAUAUCUUUUUACUAGCUGAUACUAGCAUACAUCAAAUGCUGCUGUAUUUUAAUGAUGGAUUACUAACUAUAGUUAUUUAACUAAUAUAUGUCUAUAUUUAUACUCACAAGCAAAUGUAUUUACAUGUCUUUUUGUGUCAUAGAGUGAUCCCAUGGCAGUUGUGUAUGCAAAGAAAAGAGAUGGGAGGCUGGAGGAGAUUGGACGUACAGAGGUGAUUAUGAACAAUCUGAAUCCUGCUUGGAUUGGAAAGAUUUCAAUUGCUUUUCAGUUUGAGAUCGUCCAGCCCUUGCUGUAAGUUUUUACUGUGUUCUUUUUAAAGUUUGUUUUUUCUUUCCCCUUGAUAGGUCAUUUGCUUAUCAUUUCUCAUAAGCCUUGCUUGAUUUGAUAAUAUUUAAUGUUUUCGAAUUCCUUAAUGCUUUUCUUCUUUUUCCAGCUUUCGUGUGUAUGAUGUGGAUACCAAGUACCACAAUAUUCCAGUGAAGGUAUAUAAAAAUUUCUUAAUUAUUUUUUUUUUUCGCUCAAUUCAGAUGGAAAUGAUAUGCACUACUUCAGUUCCAAAGUUUAGAGUUAGCCAAGGCAUUUGACUGAUCCAUUUGUUGUCUAAUCACAUGUCUCAACUAAAUUGCAUCAGCAAUAGUUUCUAUCAAUUUCGGGAAAUUUGUGAAUACUUGAUUGAUUAUAAACUAACACUUAGCAUGGCAAGAAACUUAAAAAGUUGGCUGUCAUAUAUCAUAAACAAAUCUUAAGGCCAGGAUAGUUAUUAUGGAACUUUCUAUUAUUGCAUCUUGCAAGGUUUGACAUAUUUGUCCUGCUACCAUGACUGGGAAAGAACAAUUUUUCUGAUGGUCCUUACGGCUAAAUUUUCUUUUUUCCAAAAUGGAAUUUUGAUCUAUGUUGUUAAAAACAAUACAGUUAAAUAGUUGUUGCCAUGACCUAAAGAAGUUUCUGUAAAAAAUGACCAUAUUGUAAGUAUUGGAAUGGAUAAGUAAAUCUUUAGAGCCUAUGAUGUAUUCGUCUGUGGAAUUUGAGUCAAAGUGAAAAAAUUUUGAUGGUUAUAAUCCUAGAAACUGUAAUCAUUUGGAAGCAUUUGCUGAAAACAGUUAGAUAAUCUAAAAAUGUGAUGAUUAUUUAUGUCAAUUGUAAUUGGUAUUAACAUUAAUGGGAAAAAUGAUAAAUAUGUAAAUUUAUGCUAGUGGAAAGAGAAAAUGAACAAAUCCAGACGGAUUCUAAGACAUUAAGUGGGGAAUCUAGUGUUCUUUUGAUUCUUUGCUGCAGUGAUCCCUAAUUACUUUCAAGAUAUUAUUAUCUCAUGACAAAAUAGUUGUUGAAGCGUGAAGUUUAAAGUUCAAACUUCUUAUUUACAUUGCCCUGCAGAUGCUAAAGUUGGAGGAUCAAGACUUCCUGGGAGAAGCUAGCUGUGUUCUCUCUGAGGUAAGCUUCUGGGUUAUAUUUUGUUUGAUGAAUUUAUGUAUUUUCUCUUUAUUCAAUGGGCAAAAUAUGCCCAUCUAAUUUUCUGUAAAACUCUGUUUCCUAUAAAAAAAGGGCAAAAUAUUCUCAGAUGCUUUUUACUAGCAUUCGUCUUCUUCUUUAGCAUUCUUCUUUUGCACUAACAAGUGUCAUAUUUUCCUUUUAAAUGGCAGAUAGUGACCAAACAAAAUCGAACUUUAACCUUAAAACUCCAUAACAAUUAUGGGCUUCGAGUUUCAAGAAACUUUGGGACACUCUCUGUCCAUGCUGAGGAAACAGUUGCUUCCAAGAGUGCUGUUGAAAUAGCAUUCCGUUGCUCGCAUUUGCAAAAUGUAGACCUGUUUUCCAAAAGUGUAAGUUCUGACAAAGUAGCUAAGUUUGGAGGUUCACUAAUUAAUCUAUUAAUUUAGAUGCUAUUUCUUCUUCUUCUUAUAUUCUAUAGGAUCCAUUCUUAAGAAUAUCUAGAAUUGUUGAGAGUGGAAAUUCUGUUCCUAUCUACAAGACGGAGGUGAUAAACAAUAACUUGAAUCCCAUUUGGAGACCAAUAACUUUGAGCAUGCAGCAAUUUGUGAGCAAGGUAACCUUGUCAUCUUCUUGUGCUUGUUACUUAAAUGUAUAUUAGGUAGUGAAGUUUGGUCAUGGGGAAAUGUUUUUUAGUUUAUGAUUCUCUUUGGUACAGGAAAACCCAUUAAUCAUUGAAUGUUUUGAUUUCAAUACCAGUGGAAAUCACGUACUGAUGGGGUAACUGUUAAAUUUCUUAAUGUCAUCAGCUUCCCUCUUUUAUCCUUUUGCCUUUCUGAUGUCAAAGUUUUCUAUUUCUGUUAUUAGUAAAAUUCAGAAAUCAGUUGGAGACCUGGAGAAACUUCAUCAAGAAAGAACUGGUGCAACUUUUAUGUUACCAUCAACUCAACGUGGCCAUGACAAGGUGUUUAUUCUUUUUUGUUUUAACUCCACCAAAGGUGUUUGUUCAUGCUUACAGUUUUUGAUAAUUUAAUAUCACUUUAUUUUUUAUCUGACUUUUUCCUAGGUUCUGAAAAGUCAGUUGUUUGUUGAAAAGUUUGUUGAGAAAGAGCAAUAUAGUUUUCUGGAUUACAUAUCUAGUGGCUUUGAGUUGAAUUUUAUGGUUGCAGUCGACUUUACAGGUAAUUAGAAAGAGAUUACUUGUUGAAGAUAAAUUUGCCAUAUAAUCUUUUUGUUUUGUUUAUUUCCUCUUAUUUGGUCCAAUUUCAUCUUGUCUCUCAUUAAACGCAAAAUCAUCCAGCUUCAAAUGGAAAUCCUCGAAAUCCAAAUUCUUUGCACUAUAUUGAUCCUUCAGGCAGAUUGAAUUCUUACCAGCAGGUAAGGUUUUGUUAUGACUCGCACUUUGACAAGUGAUCUAUGAACUCUGAAGGUCAUAAAAUGGUCAUUUUGUCCAGUGUUUUCGACUUAUAAAAUGCCUGUGACUUUCAAGUCUUUCUAUGGCCGUCAUAGUGAAAUACAUAUUUCAAUAGUUUGUUGAAGUUGACAGAGAAUAUCACUGAUUAGUUAUUGGCCUCUUAAACCAUUUACAGGCAAUAACGGAAAUUGGGGAGGUCAUACAAUUUUAUGAUUCUGAUAGACGCUUUCCUGCAUGGGGAUUUGGAGGGAAGACAUUUGAUGGCACUGUAUCACAUUGUUUUAACUUGAAUGGAAGAGCAGGUGGCUUUGAGGUAGGGGUAGCUGGAGUUCGCAACUUUGCUAUAAUCCUUAUUUGGUUGGCUUGUCUCCCAUAACUUUUCAUUUUUAAUAACAAACAAUAUAAUACGUUUCUACAUUUUUUUUUUAAAUUUCCUUGGAAUUUUAUCCUAAAAGAUGGGUAUUUUAUCCUCUUCCACUUUUUCAUUAACUGCUGGUUUCUUUAUUUAAUAGGUAGAUGGAGUUGAAGGCAUUAUGGCUGCUUAUGCAAGCGCUCUAAACAAUGUUGCUUUGGCAGGACCGACUCUGUUUGGUCAAGUGAUCAACACAGCUGCACGAAUUGCUGGCCAGUCCCUCUCAUACGACAGAAGCAAGUAUUUCGUCUUACUCAUUAUAACGGUGAUUACAAUGAUUCUAUAUAUUCACAGUUUUCUCUUUCUAUCAUUCUUUUUGGGUGAUUUGUAAAUUUGCUUUGUCUAUCUAGGAUGGAGUUCUGACGGAUCUCCAAGAAACGAAAGAUGCUUUGGUAAGGGCUUCUGAUCUUCCCCUGUCAAUUCUAAUUGUGGGUGUGGGAGGUGCAGAUUUUACACAAAUGGAGGUACACAAUGUUUUCUAACUGGAAUAUCUUCUUACUAGCAUCGAACUUCUUUUUUCUAUAGUUUGAUAGAUUCAAUUUAGAGUAUAUAUGCAGUGUGGUAUUAUCCCACUUUUGUUGCAGAUUCUUGAUGCUGAUAACUUUGUUGGCAGAUUCUUGAUGCUGAUAAUGGCCGUAGAUUAGAGAGCUCUACUGAUCGGGUAGCUACCAGAGAUAUAGUACAAUUUGUUCCAAUGCGAGAAGUUCAUAGUGAGUGCAUAUGAUUCUUUGACAAAAUUAGUUCAAAAUAUUGAAUUUGGGAGUUAAUUCACAAAAGUUUCUGAAUUUUUUCAUGCCUUAACAAACGAACACAUUGUUUUCUGAACAGGUGGGCAAAUUUCUGUUGUACAAGCACUUUUGGAGGAGCUACCUGGUCAGUUUCUGACCUACAUGCGCUGCAGAGAUAUCAAACCACUCAAUGUUCAGAUGGCCCAAACAUGCGCUUGAGUAAAUAUUCAUAUGUUUGGAAAGGAUACAAAACCAAGCCAAACAUAUUAGACAAAACCAAGCCAAACAUAUUAGGCUAUACAGACAUAACAUAGCAAAAAUUGAUAAUGGUACAUUACAUAUGUUAGGAUAUAGUGGUUUUAGAUGAUGGUAAAUUACAUAUGUUAAGAUAUAGUGGUUUAUAACUAACUUUUGAUGGCUUAAUGAAUUGAUUGAAUUUGUAUUUAGGUUCUAUCAAUGAUCUCAUAUUCUUCCCAUCCAUGUCUUUCGAUUUUUAUUAUUCCCUCUACCCACUUGUUUCACAAUUGUUUGUCUGAUGGCCUAAAACUCCAAUUUCUGUUGCUGUUUUAUCAUCUUUGUUGAAUAUUUACUACAAUGAACAUGUGCUGAAUGUCUACUUUUACUACUACACCAGCAAUCUAACACAUGGCUCACGUGCACACAAGACAAGUCUGAUUCACACAUCUUUAAUUUAGAUUCUUAUAUAGUCUUUCAAGAUGUCUGAAACAGCAUAGAUGAAGGACCCUUCCACCAUUCAACCUGGAAUGAUGUGAGUGAAAGAAAUUUCCGAAAGUGUUGUAUUAUAACUCUUUGAAACUGGGUUUGAGUAAUCAAGAGAAGCCAAAAUGUAGAACAAUAACAACAAAAAAUGAAGGCCCUCUUACCGUCUUAACUUUGAUAGAAAAUACACGAGCUGCAUACCAUGUCUCACAAAUUUCAAUGAAAAUUGGCCUCAUUCCUGAUGCUGCACAGAAGGUUGGCCUGAAUCAUCUUUAUGAUUUUGGACUUCCUGUAAACAACGAACAAAACAAAUUGAAGGUGAAAGCAGGAACAACAGUUUUCAAAUAAAAUGGGAGUGCUUAAUCUAAUUGAACAGUAACUUUUGGGUCUCUGAGUAAUGAAUACGUACCUUUGUUUCAAGAUAUAUCUGUUGUAUGGUAGAAUUAAGGUCGCCCUUCCAAGUCCAAUACUCACCAGACAGCCAGCGUUUCUCUACUUCAUGUAAACUGGGAGUGCUUAAUUCUGUUCCAGAGAAAAUCUUCAUAUUGGGGCAUUUAUCCACACUUAAAUAUGUCAAAGCUGGGAACUUGAAGGCACAGUUGCCAGAGCAGAAGCUUGUAAGUCUUCUUAAACCACAAAGCUCCAAGUCCAUCAACUCGCUGAAAACAAUUUCAUCUUUUGCAGCAUUUCCCUCAUCAUCUGCCACUACUUCUGUUAUCAUGCUGCAGUCAACGAUACUCAUCUCUGUCAGUCGUACCAAACUCUUUGCUGUCGAGGAUGUUAGCACAUUUAUCAAUCCUUUGCAUCUCCACACCUUCAAAGUUGUCAGAUUCUGAAACGAUGUUGAAGGUGGCACUAGAUUAAUCAAAUGGUCACAAUACUCAACUGUUAGAUGAACCAAAUUGUCCAUUUUGGAUUCCUGGAUCAAAAUAUGCUUCAGAUCACAACAAUUGUGUAGAUUCCUUAUGAUUGCCUUCGUCCAAUUUUCUACUCCAUAUGAUGGCUUAACGCCCCCAACAUAUCCUCCUCCCCUUAUUGUGAGUUCUCUUAUGCUGUGAAAUCUCCGAAGGAAAUCAAGUGAUGAAAUAGUAGUUGACUCUUCAAAUAUAACAUCAAGAAAGUUGAGUUUGCAAAACAUGUCCUCUGGAAACUCAGCUGCCAUUGGUAUCUUCUUUCCUUCAAUGGUCAAAUAUUUCAAAUUGGGGAAUACCUAGUUGGAUGCAUGAUAAAUCAGGACCAAAAAGAAAACGUAAUGCCAAUUAUUAAGAGUAAAUUUUAAAUCUUGUACGUACCUCUUUUGUCAAGUCAUGAGCAGUUAAAAGGAAUUCAGGACACCUUAUUACUUCUAAAUUUUCUAAUGUUGGAAAUUCAAUGUGCACAUCUCCUGUGCAGAAGCUUGUGAGCUUUUCGAGAUCUACCAUCUUUAGAAAUUGUAACUGAGGGAACACAACAUUCUUCCUUUCUUGCUGGUCUAUGACUAUUAUCUCUUCCAAAAUAGGGCACUCAUCUAUCUCAAGGUGUUGGAGUCGAAUAAAGCUGUUAACUAUAGAAGAUGAAAACAGACAUCUUAAUUCCCCACAGCCAUAUACAAUCAACCGGGUUAAAGUUUGAAUGCCACAAGACAUGGCCGGAAGUUGGCUUUUCCAAAUCCUCUCCACAUUUACAUUAUACAGCUCCAAGGUCUCCAAGUUUGGUAACCCACCCUGUUCACAAAACUUUCCAACCGUUAAAUGAGGGGAUCAAAGUUAGUAUAUAAGUGCAUUCAGAGUACUUUUUCUUUCAUCCGAGAAUGUAUUUGUUACACCUACGUUACUCGGGAUGAAAAUUUUAAUAUAAUUAUGAAAUAUGUUCGUUAAUCCCUGAUUCACUCUAGCCUAUAUUUCCUAGGAAAGGAGAAUAUAUAAUAAAGCAGCAACAAAAACAGGAAAAAAUCAUAAGAAUAUGACCAUUGGAUCAUUAAUAUCCGACCUUGAGGAAAAAUGUAUUAGGAACGUUGACAUGGUCCUCCAAAAUGAUUUCAUUCGAUCGCAUUUCACUUGUCGAUUCCUUGCAUCUCUGUUUAGAACAUAGUCAUACUCAUUAGAAAUGAAGAAUCUGUUUUUGCACUGGCUGCUUUGAUAUGUUCGAAAUUUAGGAAGAUCAUAUCAUACCUUUGACUCUUUCGGACUGGGGGCUUGACAACCUUCGACCCAGAGAUGCUUCAGUUGGGAAGAAUAAGAGCCCAAUUUGUUAUUAACUAAUUCAAUGAUAUCUUGGUCUGGCAAUCCAGAUAAACAAAGGUCUUCAAUUCGCUGAAGUUGCACGAUAUGCCCACUCUUGAAGCUGAUACAAUUGUCGGUGCCAAGGAGGAGUCUGAAUGUUCUAGAACACGUAGGUGAGGUAUCCUCCCAACACCAACGUCCAAUGCAUAUUCUGUACCUUUCCAGCUUCUCGAAGAACAGCCCCUUCGGCAGAGUGUUGACAUCUGGGAUGCAUAAUUCUAAGGUGGUCAAGUUAGGCAAACGCUUCAACUCUUCAAGGCUUGCAUUCUUGACCCCUGCAGCUUCCACCUCCACCUCCCACUUAUUAAAGCUACGAAUGUAUAAUUCCUCCAAAUGGGAUAAAUUUGAUAAAACAUUUGGGGGAAUAACCUGUAGUCUGUCACAGUCUCUCAAAUCAAGCGACCUUAACCGAGUCAAUUGGCCUAUUUCCACAGGCAACUGCUCAAUAUAAGAACCCCUUAAGCAAAGGAUUUCUAGGUUCUUUAAUUCUCCUAUAACAGCUAUAUCUUGCAAUUCGCUGCAAUACAAACACAAUGUUCGAAGGUUUGUUAGGAGACCAAGUGAUGAAGGCAGUAAUGAUAGAUGCAUAUAAGUCAAGUCUAAAACUCUGACUUGCGUCAACUUCCUGAAAAAAUUGUCUGGAAGUGUGAUUAAUGAAGAUUUCUCAGUCCACAAAUAGAGAAGUUGCAGUUGAGGACUAUCCAAAACUUCAGGAAGAACAUUCAUCUUGCUGUCGUGUAAGACAAUCGAAGUGUAAAACUUAAGCGCACCUUCAUCUAGCCAUUCCCGUGAAUUAACCAGUUCAUAUCUCAUCGUAAGCACAUUUUGUUCUCUGGUUGCAAUUGCUAUGGCAACAUCACGAACAACAUCAUGCAUAGAAAACCAAUGUUCAUUUUUGCUUCCAUGCUCAAGCAACAUACAAGAAGCCUUGAGUUUGUACACCAAUGUAUACACUCGAGCUCGUGCUUCUUCCAUCCUAUUGAUGCCUUGAAACAAACCCAAACCCAUGCCAUACAUUAACACGUCAUUAAUGGACGAUAUGUAGGUGUAGCCUAUUAGCAAAAAGAUCUUCUUGAGCUCCUCUCCUUCUAAUUUGUUGUAACUCAACUCUAUAGCUGAAUAAGCAGCCGGCUGUAUAUCUUUAAAGUUCGUUGAGGAAGGCCUUCUUAACUGUCCCAAAGCGUCCUUCCAUUCAAAUAAUCUCUUAUUUCUCAACGCCCUCGCUACUGUUACAAUGGAAACAGGCAAACCUGCGCAUUCAUUUGCCACAUCCGUUGCCACCCAUUUGAAUUCACUACUAUCGAUAUACUCCCCCGCCAUCUUCUUGAAUAGACUCCAAGCUUCGUCUUCUCUUAGAACGCCAACUGAGAAAUUAUGUCGGCAAUCCAUCUUGCCAGACAAUAUAUCUUCACUUCUUGCCGUCAUCAAUAUUUUACACCCCUUGUGAUUAUCUCCGUGAGGAAUUCCUACAUCCUGCAAAUCAACACUUUCCCAAACAUUAUCUAAAAUUACAAGGAUCUUUUUCUCAUCCUUCAAUCGAUUAUAAAGACUCCUUGCCCUUCCAGAUUCGGUCUCUUCGAAAAAUAUGAGACCUAAUUUAUCAGCGAUUUCUCCUUGAAUCUUUCUUAUGUCGGACAUCAGCUUCCAGUACCCGCCCGGGGGGAGGUUGGUUCCUCCCUUCAUCUACUUGUUCUCCAGGAACCCGACCAAUGCUUCUGUGGGGAUGCACCCCAUUAGGUUGGUCCGCCGGCGGAGGGAUUUCCUCGACUCUACGCCUCCGGAGGCUGGGUUCCGCUCCAACAUCAUCUCUCCCCACGGGGGUUUCACAAUUCCUUCGCCGCUGAUCUCUCAGCUCAUACAGUAUGGUCGCGAGAGUUUCCAUUUGUUUCUCCAUCCGUUCCAAUCGAUCUUGCAUCACCCUCUCCCGGGCUUCAUUUGCAAUUUCUCAAAGAGUGAUUGUCUCCCCAGAUUCGUUAUCCUCCCUCAAAGAGUCCUUCCUUGGCAUAUCCAUAUCUAAUCGUUCGUUGUUUCUUCGGUAACUACUAAUUCGGUGGUAGCUUUUUAUCCAGCUUCCCCACAGACGGCGCCAAAAUGUUGAUGCUGAAAUCUGCUCGCCUUUUGACCGACCAGAUUCUUUCACCAACGUUUAUGUUAUCAACUGUUGCUUGAACCACUGGGGUUGGAAUCGCCCUCCUUUCUCUUUCUAGACCUGCGUUCACCAAAAACGGAUCAGAGAUGCCGGUGGUUUUGUCGGCGUAAACCCUCCGAUGCCUCAGUUAGUACAAGGUAUUUACGGGAAAACAGUGCAAUUUGGACUCAAGAAUGGUCGCUAAUUUAUCCGAAGUUUUGUAAGAAAAUGGUCUGAUUGCAAUUUGGCAGCGUUUUCCCUCUCUCAAUUUUUUCUCCCCUUUCUUCAUCGAUUUCUUUCUCUUUUAUAGCCGCCGUUUGUCCCACGUUUUUCGUUUACCCUUUAUCCCUCUUUUUUCGGGUGGUGGCAGCCCCUCAUGGGGCUCUAACUGUUAUAUUGUGGGCAAACGUGAGAUCUCGCGUGUCCUUCAACGGUUCUGGGAAAAGCGCAACUACCGCGAUUCUGUGGGAUCGUGUUCCCGCUUUCCUGGGGGAUGAGUAUCGGCUCGGUAUACGCUUCUGGUCGGUAUUCGUCUCUGGUUGGUUCAUGCUUGCCCCCGUGUUCUGCUCGUACUACUUGGCUGAGGUGAUCCAUGCCGAUGUGGAAAUAGUAGCAUGGCCGACCUGGUGCUUUUAUUUACUUAACACAAUGAUCUUUUUCUCAUCCUUUCAAUCGAUUAUAAAGACUCCUUGCCCUUCCAGAUUCGGUCUCUUCGAAAAAUAUGAGACCUAAUUUAUCAGCGAUUUCUCCUUGAAUCUUUCUUAUGUCUGGAAUAUGGGGCACCUCCACGAAAAUCACUUGAUCAAAGAACUGGUCUCUCCCGAACUGAAUAGCAACCUCUUUUGCUAAUGUCGUCUUUCCGAUGCCGCCCAUUCCAUAAAUCCCAACCAUGUUCACAUCAGGAUCUUGUAAUGCACGAAGUACGUUAUUCAAAGUGGAGCUUCUUGAUUCAAAUGCCUCGUAGUCUUUGUUAGAUAUAAGCCUUAUGUCCUCCAGAGCUUUACGGUAGGAAAGUCUAUCAAAUCUCCCAGCUUCCCCAAGUUCGACAAUGGCUUUCUGUUGCCUUACCGCUUCCUUGCUAAGCCGAUGGCGGGUCUUCAAAUUUGGACACAGCCCCAUGAAACAACGCUUGUUUGCUUUAUCUGCAUCGCCUGUAAAUUUCUCAGCCUCAGUAAUGAUGUUGUUGACACUUGCAAGCCAUUUCUCAACGUUCUUUUCGAUCUCUUCUCCUUUUCUUCUACCCUCAUCAACCCCGUGCUGCAUACUGGCACCGUCAUCCUUGAGCUUCUCAAGUUCAGUCUUGAGAUUCUCAAAGUUGCUCCUGUAGUUGCGCACAAAACUCAAUUGUCUUUCAGUGGGACGACCCAAGCACUUUGCAACUUCUAACACAACAGUUACUAUGCUUUCCACCAUCUUCAAUUCUUUCCCUUUUCUCUCUCUUUUUUUUUUUUUUGGGUCAAAUUUUAGAAUUUUGUAAAGUAUGUAGAUGUGAAGUGAAGCAAACCAAAAGGAAACUGAACAGAGAAAACAACUAAAAAGAUGUAGAGAUGAAGAAGAAGAGAAGGGAUUUAUUGACAGAGUAAAAAUACAUCAGAAGAGUAGAUACAGAACAAAACAGAGACAAGUGGACAGGGAACAGAGUAAAACUAAAUAAAGAAAACAGGUACACGUACGAUUCGUAGUAAUGUUGAGAUCCGAAGAUUGUAAUAACUAAAGGUGUUGCUUGAUCCAGUGAAAGGUCCAAAGAGUUGAUGGCAGAAAGGAGGAAAGCUGAAGAAUAAAAACACUCAAGAUGAUUGAGAUGAAGAACGACUUGCAUAGUUGGGAGAUGUGCGUCGGACAAAUGGUAGCCAAUUAUUUGAUUUCUACAGCGGGAUUCACUGACUGUAUAUUUUUAAAAAAUUAAGUCAGCAGAAUUAAUUCUUGUCAUUGAAAUGAACGCAAAGGCCAAAGAGUGGACAAAGAAUGUGAAAAAGUUAUGCGAAACGUGAGGUGAUGAGAUAGUUAAGUUCACUGAUGCUCAAUAAUCAAUUUUAUAAAAAUAAAAAAAAGUGAGAAUCCCAAAGUCGAAAGCCAAUAGAUUUCAUAAUGGUUAUCCCACCAGCCAGGCAGCCACCACCUCAGCUUCCACGCAAGUUUCUCUCACAUUUGAACAGUUGGCCCACGGCAGGUCUUUGUCGUUUCAGUCAACAUAAUAUCACAGAAAGGGUGUUGUUAAAUUCUAUUAUAAUGUAAUUUAUAUUAAUUUAAAAGUUGUAAUUAAUAAUUUAAAAAGUAGUUUAGUUAAUUUUAGUUUUAAAUCACUAAUGAUAAUUUAAUGGUUAAUAUAAAUUACAUCAUAAUAUAACUUAAAAGGUCCGAACAAGUAAUUAAUUAAGGCCAAAAGUUAAAACAAAGAUCCCAUCUGCACAUGUGCUUCUAAUUAUAAAAUCUUCGCAUAAUUUGCAAGACUGAUGUUUUGAAAUAAAAUUUGAUUAAAAAUUGACAAAAAAACAUAAGCAAUGGUGUCAUUUUAGGUGAUUUUUUUUUAAAUAAAACAAAAACGAUGUCAUUUUUUAGCUAAUUUUAGUCCUCCAAUCAUUUUAAAAAAUUUCAAGCAAGUUACAGGUAAUUCUUAUUCAAUGAUUGAAUAAACUUAUAAUAAAUCUCAGCCACAACGACGAUGAUCAAAUAAUUGAUUCAGCUUCGCACCUAAGCACAUAGUCGCAUAAAUCUCAGUAUAAACAUUAUAUACUUAAAAUUAUAUCAUUUUAGGUUUUUUUUUUUAAUUUUAAAUAAAACCAAAACCACAUCAUUUUAUAUAUGUUUUUAUCAAUUCUUAUGUCUCCAAUCAUUUUCUAAUUUUCAAACAAGCGAUUCUUAUUCAUUUUUUACAUUUUCUGUUCUCAAAAGUGAAACAGAAAAUGAAAUGAAAAAAAAGAAAAAAGAAAAAAUAAAUGAUGAAACUCGGCUCGGGUGGCUCACAACUUGCACGAAGAUUCCUGAUAGUGGCUAAUGCUGCCGACAUCUUCCAACUUGCAAGUUGCAACAAGGUUAAAAAAAGGGGCAUUUAUCCACACUAAAAUAUGUCAAAGCUGGGAACUUGAAGGCGCAGUUGCCAGAGCAGAAGCUUGAAAGUCUUCUUAAAUCACAAAGCUCCAAGUCCAUCAACUCGCUGAAAACAAUUUCAUCUUUCGCAGCAUUUCCCUCAUCAUCUGCCACUACUUCUGUUAUCAUGCUGCAGUCAACGAUACUCAUCAGUGUCAGUCGCACCAAACUCUUUGCUGUUGAGGAUGUUAGCACAUUUUCCCUACUUAAAUGACAACUAUUGAAUAAUCAAUCAUGAAUGAUUUUAGGUUACGAGUGUAGUAUAUAUAGUAAAGUUUAAUAAUUAUGAUCAAUUACUGAAAUAUUACCACGGGCAUUAGAUGACAGGAAAAGAGCUCAUUUAUUCCAUUGUUACAUUAUUUGAGUGAUACAGUAUCACUUUAAUCAAACUUGUGUCCCAAGUUGGGAACAGCUAAAUGGGCAUUCAUCGAACGGUUGAUAUACUAGGCAUCUGCACUUAAUGUUGCUGGUUGUUACAAGUGCUGCCGGUAUUUUCAAAGUUGAAAGACCAUUCAUAGCUUUUCAAUAAUUUGCUUUGAUUAUUGUGUAAUAUAUGAUAAUUUUGUGACGAUGGUGGUUUAUAUAUGUGAUUAAAAGCUAAACUAGUGGAUUUGUAAGUACGCACUCGGCAAAGCAUUUGAGCAGGUAUUUUCAUCUUUUCGUUAUCACAGUCCUCUAAUCAAAUAGCGUUAAUCAACAAAAAUUAUUGAUAACGAAAAUGGAGGAACUUGGGUUCAAAUCUCUAAAUUAAACUCGUGAUCAUUAAAAUAAGCAAACUGCAACAAGUCUAUCUUGAUCAACGUUUCCAACUCAACAAAUAUAGACUAGUGUUUAGUUGUUAAUAAAAUUAACCAAAAAAAAAAAAAUGUUGACAGCACAAGAAUAAUAAUGUUUACUUAUUUAUUAAAUUUAAACUCUGUUCAAGAGAGGACCCAACUUUUAUAUAUUUUAUUUUAAUGGCUUAAAGAAAUUACAAAGUUGAUGCCACAAUUUAUAGUUUUUUUUUGUUUACCUUUAAAAAUCUUUGGAUUAACCGACAAUCAUCAUCAAUCCUCACCUAGGGUCGGGGGAGGAUCAAGAUGGUGCCUACCAUGAGCAAACAUGAUGGCAGAUGGUGUCCAAUUGACCCCCUAAACUUUUCUUUUUUCAUUGAUAUUGUCAUGAAGUUACAUAACUUCUUACAUAAUUGUCUCCAAUAAAUACCAAUAGGUAUACGAACGCAAACAUGAUGCACGCAUCUCUUUAAUUAAUUUAAGGCUUAAAGAGACUUUCAGAGAUGCCUACAAAUUCAAUAUGGCAGCUCUCAUGAGAAAUAAAACUAGCUUCAAAUUGGAUUUCUGAGUACUCAAAUAAAGCUAAAAGCAUACUAAUGAAAUGAAAACUCAAACAAAAAAUCCUCUCACCAACGCCAUCUGACUCUUAAUACAUAGAAAGAACUCGAUGCCUUAUUCAAGAUGCCGCACAGAAGGUUGGCCUGAAUCGUCUUCAUAAGUUUGGACUCCCUGUAAACAAAGAGCAAAAACACAUUGUUGGCAGAUUCUUGAUGCUGAUAAUGGCUGUAGAUUAGAGAGCUCUACCGAUCGGGUAGCUACCAGAGAUAUAGUACAAUUUGUUCCUAUGCGAGAAGUUCAUAGUGAGUGCAUAUGAUUCUUUGACAAAAUUAGUUCAAACUAUUGAAUUUGGGAGUUAAUUCACAUAAGUUUCUGAAUUUUUUCAUGCCUGAACAAACGAGCCCAUUGUUUUCUGAACAGGUGGGCAAGUUUCUGUUGUACAAGCACUUUUGGAGGAGUUGCCUGGUCAGUUUUUGACCUACAUGCGCUGUAGAGAUAUCAAACCACUCAAUGUUCAGAUGGCCCAAACAUGCGCUUGAGUAAAUAUUCAUAUGUUUGGAAAGGAUACAAAAACAAACCAAAUAUAUUAGACAAGACCAAGCCAAACAUAUUAGGCUAUACAAACAUAACAUAGCAGACAUUGAUAAUGGUACAUUACAUAUGUUAGGAUAUAGCGGUUUUAGACGAUGGUAAAUUACAUAUGUUAAGAUAGAGUGGUUUGUAACUAACUUUUGAUGGCUUAAUGAAUUGAUUGAAUUUGUAUUUAGGUUCUAUCAAUGAUCUCAUAUUCUUCCCAUCCAUGUCUUUCGAUUUUUAUUAUUCCCUCUACCCACUUUUUUCACAAUUGUUUGUGUCUGAUGGCUUAAAACUCCAAUUUCUGUUGCUCAUAAACUACUACACCAGCAAUCUAACACAUGGCUCACGUGCACACUAGACAAGUCUGAUUCACACAUCUUUAAAGUGUUGUAUUAUAACUCUCUGAAACUGGGUUUGAGUAAUCAAGAAUAGCCAAAAUGUAGAACAGUGACAAUAAAAAAUGAAGACCCUCUUACAGUCUUAACUUGAUAGAAGAAAACACGAGCUACAUACCAUGUCUCACAAAUUUCAAAGAAAAUUGGCCUCAUUCCUGAUGCUGCACAGAAGGCUGGCCUGAAUCAUCUUUAAGAAAGCUCAUUUAUUACAUUAAUACAUUAUAUCAGUGAGAUGAUGCUACUUUAAUGAAACUCAUGUCUCAAGUUAGGAACAGCUACAUGGGCAUUUCAUCGAACAGUUGAUAUGCUCGGCAGAUAAUCGAAGUUUCCUGGAAGUCGGAAGUGCUGCUGGCAUUUUCAAAGUUGGAAGACCAUUCAAAGGUUUUCAAUAGUUAGUUUGAUAUUACACGUGUGAUAAUCUUGUGAUGAUGAUGAUUUUAUGUAUCUGAUUGUAAGCUAAGCUCAGUGGAUUUGUAAGUAAGCACACGGAAAAGUAUUUAAUCUUCUUAUUGUCGCAUUCUUCUAAUCUUAGCUUUCACCAACAAAAAUAAUUAAUAAUAAUGUAAAUGGAGGAACUUGGGAUCAUUAAUAUCAGUAAACUACAACUUCACCUAGGCUCCAGGGAGGAUCCGCAUGUUGUCAACAGUGAGCAAUCGACCCGUAAACUUUUAUUUUUUCAUAAUUUUCUAUAUAAAAUCUUCAUAUUUUCAUGAAAUUACAUAAUUUCUUACAUAUUUGUCUCAAAAAAAUACCAAUAGGUGCACGAACACAAAUAUGAUGCACACAUCUCUUUAAUUAAUUUAGGGCUUAAAGAGAUUUUAAGAUGCCUACAAAUUGAAUAUGGCAGAUCUUGGACACCAUCCAUAAGAAAUAAAACUAAAUUCAAAUUGGAUUUCUGAGUACUCAAACAAAGCUAAAAGUAUUAUGAAUGAAAACUGAAACAAAAAAUCAUCUCACCAACACCAUCUGACUCUUAAUAUAUACAAAGAACUCGAGCUCGAGCCUUAUCCAAAAUGCUGCACAAGUAGCAUGAAUCGUCUUCAUAAGUUUGGAGACUCUGUAGACAAAGAGUAAAAACACAUUGAAGGUGCAGUUUUGACAUAAUUAAAUUGCACAAAUUAACCUCUAUUAAGGACACAGAAAUCCUUCAAUUCUCAACUCUGUAAGCAAUUAAUUUCAUUUUUUAUUCUUUUAUCUUUUGCUAUGUCUGUCUAACAACUAAUCCUCAACAUACAACAGAGCAGAGUAGUUAUGUUUUAAAAAGAUGUACCGAUAUGAUUUAACAAAAAUUUCAACAUAAACAAAACAUUUUUAGUCAGCAAAAUAGAAUCAAAUCAAAACCUCCCAAUUGUAUAGAUUUUAUCUUACCACUGUCUUUCGCAUCUUUCUCCUUUUCAUUCGCCUCGGCGGACUUCUCAUUCUCUUUUUCCUUCUCUUCCUAAUCAAAUUUAAAAUGACUUUAUAAAAAAUUUAAUAUAUACUUUUUUCUUUUUACUUUUUUAUAUAUAUCUGUUAUUAAAUCAGUAAGUUUUAGAAAAAAAAAAAUCAACAUCUCAUAGUGAAUGAAUACUUAACCUUUUUUCUUUUAAGAUAUACGUAUUGAAUGGUUGUAUUAAGGUCCCGAUCCCAAGCCCAAAGUUUAUUAUCAAACACGCUCAGCUGCACUUUCUGUAACUUGGGUGUGCUUAAUUCCCCUUCUGAGAAAAUCUUCAUAUUGGGGCAAUUAUCCACCACUAAUCUUUCUAGAGAUGGGAAUUUGAAGUCGCAAUUAUUCCCAGAGCAGCUGAAACUAGUCAGACUUUCUAAGUCCCAAAGCUUCAAUUCCUUUAAUUCGCUGAAAACAAUUUCAUCUUUUGCUGCAUAAUUAUCUCCCUGAUCAUCCUCAUCUGCCACUAUUUCUGUUAUCAUCACGCAUGAGUAUAUCAUCAUUUGUCUCAGUCGCACCAGACUCCUUGCUGUUGAGGAUGUUAGUACGCGUAUCAUUCCACGGCAACGCCAUACCUUCAACGCUGUUAGGUUCUGAAAGGACGUUGAGGAUGGCACUAGAUUAGUCAAAUUGUGACACUCGAAUAUCUCCAGCUGUUCCAAAUUGUUGGUAUUGGUUGACUCUUGUUUGAAAAUCUGCUUCAUUUCACGACGCUGGUUUAUCCCUCUCAUCCUUGCAUUCAUCCCAUUUUCAAGGUUUUCAAGUGAUCUUUCCAAAGCAUAAUCGUCUCCUGCGAUAAGGAGAAUUUUGAUGGUGUGAGAUCUCUGGAGGAAAUCGUCAAGUGAUAAAAUAGUACUUGACUCAUCAAGCCGGACGUCAAGACAUUUAAGUUUGCAAAGCCAGUCUUCUGGAAAUAGGCCUAUGUGCUUUUCAUCAACACUCAAUUUCUCCAAAUUGGGGAACACCUGGGUGAUCAUUAAUCACGAUUUCACAAAUUAAAGUAAAUACAAAGCAUUCCAAUGAUGCGUAUUGAUGGCCGGACAAAUUUAUAGAUAUGCGGAGAGAGUAUGAUUUUCAGCUGUAAAUACAAAGUAAAUACAAAGCAUUCCAUUUAAGUAAUGUGUAUUUUCUUCCGUUCUCUCUUCUUAACUCUUGUCCAGUAGAUAGAUUUUCAAAAUUUAUUAGAUUUGUGCAUAAUCUCUAUGAAAAAAGACUUCAAUUAUUCUCAAAUUGCAUUUAAACUUUGAGAUUCUUUUAAUUGAUCCGUUUAUUUGGUUUGAAUUGAAAAUCUUACAAAUUUCUUUUUAAAAAAAAUAUUGGAGUUUUUAACUUUUUCUUAAAGCAAAAAUGAAUAAAUAAUAUGAAUUUUAAAAGUUUAAUAAUAUAGUAAGAAGCUGGUAUUUCAUUAAUAUUCAUCCAACUCAAUAGAAUUGGAUAUAUUUACUAUUGUGCAAGAAUGGAUUUUAUUGUACAUAAAAUUUAAUAGAAUAAGAUUUCUUAAUUUGAGUUUUGUCCAUCUCUCUAUAUAUAUUUUAAAAUAUUAUUUAUGUUUCCACGAUAUGACCAAUUUCUACUUCAACAUCAAAAUUGAUAAUCAUUUUGUAUGUAAGAAUACUGUAUUAAGGAGUACUAAUUUGGAAAUAGCUCUUGAAUGAUUUUCAGGAAAUUAACUAUGGCUUGAAAAACUCUAAAUCUUAUGAGUAUUUUCUUUGUUUGGCUAAUCAAAUGCACUGUCUCUUCCAUGUAUUUAACUAAACAUAUAGACAUCAAAUAAAAAGUAGAGGAAGAAGAAAAACUCUGAUAAUUAAGAGAAAAAAAAUUGAACUAACAUUAUUGAAGAGUGAUAAUUAUGUUUAUUGAAGAUUUAUUGAAUUCAAUAUUCGAUAAUGAGAAGAUUUAUUGAAGAGUGAUAAUUAUGUUUAUACGGAUAUUAUAAAGUAUAAAUAAAGUGAUUUAUAGAACUAACAUUUUCUUACUAAAAGACAAAGUGAUGAGGGCAAUGACGAAAAGAAAAUUCUAAACUCUCAAAGUAGAAAUGCUUUUAAGUACGUAAGAAUUGAACAAUAAUUACAAAAAUCUUGCACGUGUACCUUUUCAAAAUGCAGAUCUCCUGUGCAGAAGCUUGUAAGCUGCGGAAGAGAACAAAGUCUGAGUGUCCUUAAUUGAGUGAGUUCAAUCGCUUGAGUGUUAUUAUUGCUGGCUUCAUCUCCUCUCUCGGCAGCGAAAAUCACUUCCAUAUUUUGGCAACUACUCACUUCGAAGGACUGAAGUUGUUCUUUAAUUUGCCUAUGGUCACCGGAAAUACAUUUUUCAAUUUAUCACACCCUUCCACCCUUAUGUUCUUUAAUUUGCAAAAAGACUCUGCUGAGAGUGGACCACGACAUAUUUUCUCAAGGUUACCCAAAUCUUCCAGAAAUAAUGACUCCAACAGGGGGAAUGCAGUUGUCCGAGCUGCCGUACAAUCCAUUGUGUCAACAAGACGAACAAUGUUGCCAUUACGUCGGAUUUGGAGACGCUUCAGCUGUGGAAAACCUUCUCCGUCUGAUCCAUAAAUAACACUCUUCAUGUCCGGCAAUCCAUCUAAAGUUAGGUCUUCAAUACCCUUCAAUUGCAUGAUAUGCCCCUCGUUCAAGCAAAUGUUGUCACCAUUUGUGAGCUUCAGUUUGAAUUUUCUAGAAAUCCCAUCCCGUGCGCCAUACUCCCAGCUAUCUCCUAUCAAUUUCCUGUACCUUUGCAGCAUUUUGAAGAACGACAAGUCUCUUGGUAGAGCCUUUUCAUCUUGGAUGAGUAUUUCUAAAGAGGUCAAUUUAGAUAAAUUAUUCAACUCAUCAAGGCUGGCAUUUCUUCUUUCACCGUCGACUCCUCCAACCUUCCCCCACAUAAUGGGACUCUCACCGAUAUACAAUUCUUCUAAUCGUGAUAAGCUUGAUAUCACAUUUGCUGGAAUAACUCUCAGUCGGUAACAUCGGCGCAGAUCCAACAACCUCAACUGAGUCAGCCGGCCUAUUUCUUCAACCAGUUUCUGCAUAUUAGAACCUCAAAGUGUAAGGAUUUCUAAUUUCAUUAGAUCUCCAAUAAUAGCGAUGUCUCCUAGUUGGCAAUCAUCGAGAGACAAUGUUUGAAGGCUUUGUAAGAGACCAAGCGAUGAAGGCAAUGCCAGCAAAUGCAUCUGAGUGAAAUCUAAAACUCUAAGCCCUAUCAUCCCACUAAAAAAUUUAUCUGGGAUUCUCAAAGAAGCAUGACAGCCAAUACAAAGGAAUUUAAGUUGCGGGCAUUCGAACCCUUGAGGAGGCUCACUAAUAUUACUAUUCUUUAAGGAGAUUGCGGUGCAAACCUUCAGUGUAUCCUUAUCUGGCCAGCUGGUCAGCGGAACAACCUCAUUUUCCACCGCAAACACAUGUUGGUCUCUUGAUGCAAUUGAUCUGGCUACAUCACGAACAACAUCAUGCAUUGAGAACCAUUCACUUGUCUCGCCAUCAAGCAACAAACAAGAGUUCUUGAGUUUAUCAACCAAUGUAUGUGCUCUAUCCCGUGCCUCUUCCAACGUGUUGAUGUUUUGAAACAGACCCAAACCCAUGCCAUAAUAGAGUAGGUCUUCAACACAAGAGAAGAACGUGUACCCUAUUAGCAAAAAUGUUUUCUUCAGUUCCUCUCCGUUUAAAUGAUUGUAACUUAGCUCUAUACUUUUGUAUGCCACCUGCGUUGUUCCAGUGAAGUUUCUCAAGGAAGGCCUUCUAAAUUCCAGCAAAGCAUCCUUCCAUUCAGACAAUCUCUUAUUUCUCAAUGCCCUUGCUACGGGUACAAUGGCAAUGGGCAAACCAGCACAUUCCUUGACUAUCUCUGUUGCUACAGAUUUCAGUUCACCAUUUUCUAUGCAAUCACCUGUCAUCUUUUUGAAAAGACUCCAAGCUUCUUUUUCGUUCAGAACAUCAACAAAAAAAUUUUGUUGACAAUCCAUCUUACAAGAUAACACAUCCUGACUUCUUGCUGUCAGCAGAACUUUACAUCCGCCGUUGUCAUCUGCCAAUGGAAUUCCAAUCGCCUCCAAAUCAAGACUCCCCCAAAUAUCAUCCAAGAUUAUAAGGAUCUUCGUCUCUCUCUUCAAUCGUUCCAGCAGCCUCCCUGCUCUUACAGUUUCAUGACUCUGUUCAGCCAAUUCUAAGCCUAUCUUCUCUGCGAUUUCUCCUUGUAUAUUCUUUAUUUGCGGUGUUUGGGAAACAUGUGAAGAAAUGACCUUCUCAAAGAGAUUAUUUUCCUUGGCCUGUCUGCCAACUUCUUUCACCAGCGUUGUCUUUCCAAUGCCACCCAUGCCGUACACCCCAAUCAUGUUGAAGUUACGGUUGCUGAGUGCGUUUAGUAUCUCCUUCAAGGUGGACUUUCUCGAUUCAAAGUGCAUGAAACCCUGGGUGGACUUAAGCCAUGUCUCCUCUGGAACGGUACGGAAAGAAACACCGUCGAAUCUCCCUUUUUCAUGGAGUCCAACAACAGCAUUCACCUCUCUUUCUGCUUUCUUGCUAAGCUGGUACCGAGUCUUCAAAUUUGGACACAACCCCUUCAAACACCGGCUGUUUGAUUUCUCUUUGUCUUCAAUAAGUGUUUCGACUUCAUUGAUGACAUUGUCCACACUAAUCAGCCACUCCUCGACGUGCUGCUGAAUUCCGUACCCUUUAUUUCUGGAAUCUUCAACCUUGUACUCCACACUGGCUCUAGCAAUCUUUAGCUUCUCCAAUUCAUUCUUCAGCUUCUCCAAGUUGGUCUUGUAAGUGCAGCAGUAAGUAAAUGGAUGAAUUAUGGGAGCAACCAAGUACUCUGCAACUUUUGCAGCAACGGAGAUAACAAUUUCCAUUAUCCCUUUCUUUUUUAUUUUUUGCUUUCAGAAAACAGGGGAAAGCAAAACUAAUCAAACUAAGCAGAACUAAUCAACCAGCUGGGAAGAGGGAAAUAAGAAGUUUGGAUAAAUUGCUAAAAUAAGAAGUUGAAUAGAUUUAAGGGAGGAGGAGAGGAAAAGAGUGAAAAAUCUAGAGAUGAAACAAAGGGGGAUCCUUUUUCUGCUAAGACAAAUUGAAAAGCGAGUACAAUAAAUGAAAGAUUUGCAAAGAAGGUGUAGGAUCGAGGACAAGAACGAUUCAGAAAAGGGAGACAGAAAAUGAAGAAGAGAUUUCAGAGAACUCUAGAGAUUAGAGAAGAGGGAUGAUUAGGAAAAUGCAGAGGCAGACAGUUGUCAUCUCAAGUCUCAAGGGUAAUCUGAAUACUGCAAAAAAGCCAAACUAAAUUCAUACAUGGAGAAGACUCAUGCUUCCAAGUCAACUAUAGAUUCUUAAUAACUGAGAUAGAUGGUUAUAGUUGCAUGUAAAUAGUGUCAAAGUUAUAGGUUAAUUGGACAGCGCAAGGUGGCAUUUUGGCAUUUCAUUGAAUUUUCUUGUUACCAGUAAGUGCUAUGCUGCCGUUCCGGAUUUUUUGAUUUUUUUUUUUGAAUUUUCUUGCGCUUUUCUAAUAACUCUGCUAUAAAGCCCAAGUUUGCGGACUUUAUGAUUUUAUUUUUCAGAAAUAGAUAUACAAAUAAAAUUAAAUAAAAAAAACUGUUGCGUGGUCGUGUGGGUCCUCGAAAUCAUUUCGGCAUUUAAAUUUAAUGGAACAGUUGGAUGUACUCAGCUCUACACUUCCACGAAGGUUCCUGGAAGUUGCAAGUGCUGCCGGCAUUUUCAAACUCGGAAGGUUUCAAUAAUUUUUCCUUUUUACUUUGAAAGAAAGGUUUCAAUAAUUAGCUUUGAUUAUUGUAUAAUAUGUGAUAAUCUAGUGAUGAUGAAGAUUUAUGUGUGUGAUUAAAAGCUAAGCUAGUGGAUUUGUAAGCGAGCCCACGGCGAAGAAUUUGAGCAAGUAUUUUUAUCUUCUUAUUGUCACAUUCUUCUAAUUAAUUUGCUUUCACCAACAAAUAUAAUUAAUAAUUUGUAAAUAGUUGGAUCUUAAGCUCAAAUUUUGACAAUACAUGAAUUGUAAUGUAUACAUAUUUUUCAAGUGUAAACUCUAUUUAAGAGAGGAUCUCAAUUUUUAAUUAGAGAAGAUCAUAGUUAAAGCACACAAUGCGAGAAUAAUACUGGUUGCGCUGACUAACAUCAAAUACAAACAAGGAAGAAAGAUUAUUCAAGCUUUCCUUACAGCAUUAAUCAUGAUUAUUUGAUAAACUAGAGGUGAUCACUGAUUUAUAUUUUUAGUGCAAAACAGAAUACACUGCAAGAGCUGAUGGCUUUCUUUGCUGUCCUCCUAUUGUCACAUAUUUUGAUGUCAAUAACCUAAAUGGGUUAAGGUCUUGAGACUGAAAUCUUUUAAUUGUAAUUGACAUCACUCAUUCAUGAUCCAAGAUUCUAUCGUGUGUGAUGGGGUAAGACAGUUUUUUUACUUGAAAAAUUUUACAUAAAUUUUUAUGGUUUGAUGGCGUCAAAUCCCAUGGAAACGAUAUAAAUGACUUGAAAAGAUCAAUUGAUCAGUGAUUUGUCAAAAGUUUACUGAUAUUAUUACCCUCCGACACGAUUUUAAGCUUUAUAUCCAGACUAGGGUGACAAAUAACGUAGCACUACAAUCAUCAAUCUUACUUAGAUAUAAUUAUUUUUAUCUUCUUAUUGUCAUAUUCUUCUAAUCAAUUGUUUUCUUGUUUAUCAACAGAUAUAAUUAAAAAUGUGAAUGUUAGGAUCUCGAACAAAGUUUUCACCGAAACAAAUAAAGAAUAGUGAUUAGAUGUUAAUAAACAUAAAAAAAAAAUGAUAAUACACGAAUAAUAAGGUAGGCUAAGCGAUUAGGCUAAAAAAAAAUGCAGAGGCACAGGUUUGAUGUCAAGACUCGAUGGGUAAUCUGAAUAAUGCAAAAAUGUCAAACUAAAUUCAUAUGAGGAGAAGACUCGUGCUUCCAAGUCAACUAGAUUCUCAAUGAUUGAGAUAGAUAGUUAUAAGGGUUAUUAUGGUUUCAUUUUAAAAAAUAAAAAAUUACAAGAUAUAAAAUAACUAUAAGAAGUAUUGGUGUUAUCAUUGUAUCUUUAAAAAAAAUGUUUUAUUUUAUAAUAUUUUUGUUAAUAUUGUGAGUCCAACACUAACGUCAUACUAAUAUUAAAGCGCUAAAAGUGUCUUUAGAUUCAAAACCAUGAUAAAAUUGUAUGCAAAUUAACAUUACAAGGGCGGCAUAUUUAUUAUUGGUUAAGAAAGAGGGAAAAAAAAUUGGAAUCUCAAAUAUCUAGCGUCAUCGUUAUCUUUUUUUCUUCAUUUUUUUUCUUUUUCCAGACAGUGGUCCACUAUCUUUGAAAAAUUAUUGGCACUUUCGAAUGGGCAUUAAGCCAUGCAUUGGCAUUGAGGGUCUCAUCUGAAAGAGGAAUUUUGGUAGCAGCAGUGGCUGUGUAAUUUUUUUUAAAAUGAUUUAUCUCUAGGAAUGCGUGAUCAAUUUAAAAGUGGAUUUUAUAUCAAAUUUCUUUGAGAUUGCUUUUCGAUUGAUCUGUUUGAUUUGGCUAUGGAAUGAUGGUUUUAUUACUAUGAGUUUGAAGGAUUUAUGAAAUAGAAAUUAAGAUUGAUAGAAAACAUAUUGAUCUCCGAGCUUUAAUGGCAGUUUCAACUUGUUAUCUUCAAGCCUCACCGGUGUUUUCAAUUUGAUACUUUGAUGAGAGCAAAAUUAGCAAUUUAGCACUAGAGGAAGAUAUUUAAUCACAAGUAUAAGAAGUUUUGACAGCGAAAAGAGGUAUUCUUCAACUGGGGUUAAUUUUUUUUUUGUUUUCUUAUUUUUUAUUAAAAAUUUAAUUAAUUUUUAAAAUAAGGCCAUACUUGAUAUUUUAUUAGUUAACUAACAAUAAUAAACAAAAAUAUAAUAAAAUGAAAGAUUUUACAAAGAUACAGUAACAAAAUGCUAAACAUUAAAUUUUUUUUAUGGUAGCUUUUGAUAAUUUUAAGUGUUUAUUAAAUAUUUUACUACUAUAAUUUAAAAAUUACAAUUGAUAAGCAAUAAUAGCAGGGAGAGGAUGAUAGAAAAUCUUGUUUUCUAUGACAAGUAGGUUUUGUCUUGUUUUCUAUGACAAGUAGGGUUUUUUCUUUUUUCAAGAGUUUGCUUUCCUUCUGCAUCUUUUGUAGCAUCAAUGACGUCCACAAACACAAGACUGCAACCGGCCAUGGAGGAGAUUUAUGCUUCUUUAUCUAUUGCCGAAGAAGAUGAGGGGGGUCUCAUAAUAGCGGGAGAAGAUGCUGAUGCUGGGAGGGUUGGAAAGGCUGAUUUCCGAUUUUGUUUGGUAGGAAGAUUCCUGACGGAAAAGGUCAUCAAUUUCCCGGCUAUGAAAAAUACAAUGGCAGCCCUCUGGCGUCCAGGGAAAGGGAUUUGUAUCAAAGAUUUGUCUCCAACGUUAUUUAUAUUUCAAUUUUUCCAUGAAAUUGAUAUUCGGAGAGUGCUUGAAUCAGGGCCUUGGACCUUUGAUCAAUACAUCCUCAUUGUUAAGAGAUUGGGUAAAGCAGAACAACCCCAAAUGGUGCCACUAUAUCACACAUCCUUUUGGAUCCAAGUCUAUAACUUACCAAUUGGUUUCCUUUAUGAUAAAGUACUGCAGAACAUUGGCAACUACAUUGGGGAAUUCCAGGCGUCCGAUGAAAAUAAUUUAAUGGGGGUUUAGAGGAAUUAUAUGAGAAUAAGGGUAUCUCUUGAUGUUCGGAAGCCACUUAAACGUCGUAUGAAGCUGAAGAAAUCUGGGAGUGACUGGAUAUGGAUAGAUUUCAAGUAUGAGCGUCUGCAUGUAUUUUGUUUUAUAUGUGGAUUGUUUGGACAUACUGAGAAACAAUGUCCAUCUCUUUAUGAUUGUCAUGAAAGUACCAUCACAAAGCCGUAUGGACAAUGGAUGAAGGCUUCCACAAGACGGAAUAACAUGAAUUCCGGUGAGAAAUGGUUGCGCUCGAUACCACCGGAAGCGGGAGAAGGAAAAUAUGGAAAUUGCAUGGAAUCCGCGGAUGAUAUGGCAAUUGAUUCCAUGCAUCCCGUUAAAUUAGGCCUUGCCAAGUUACGUGAUAGUGAGGGAGGCGAGAAUGAGGGGUCCAUGUUGCUAAACAAGGCAUCCCAUAUGUUGGUGCCAGCCAAGAGUCAACUUAACAAUAAAGGGAAAGAAGUAAUUGGUACUGGGCCUACAAAGGAGGGAGAGGAGGAUUUUGAGAUGGGCCUUGUGGUUGUAGAGAAUAAGAGGAGAAGACCUAUUCUAGAGCUGGAAGAGAAUUCUGAAUCUCAAAGUGGUGCCUCUCAUAGGUUGGAGUUAGGUGUAUUUCAAAAAAAUGGAUUAACGGUGGGCUCUGUCAAUCGGGCCCACCGAACCCAAUGAGUAUUCUUAGCUAUAACUGCCGUGGGCUGGGCCAACCACGGACAGUUCAGGUAUUAACAGAUUUGGUCAAGCACAAAAAACCUUCUUUUGUUUUUUUAAUGGGAACUCUCUGCUAUAGAAAUCAGUUGGAGGGUCUUAAAAAUAAAUUGGGCUUUGAAAAUCUGUUUGUGGUGGAUCGGGUGGGCCGCAGUGGUGGGCUGGCUUUGCUCUGGGAUGGAAAUUAUGAAGCUCACUUAAUAAAAUAUGCAGCGAAUUUUGUGGACAUAGAAAUGAGAUGAGCAGGUAUGGGUCAAUGGCGUAUGACAGGCUACUAUGGGUAUCCAGAAUCAGCGAGAAGACGAGAGUCUUGGGAUCUUAUUCGCUACCUUGCUACCAUUUCUUCUCUGCCAUGGAUUUGCUUAGGGGAUUUCAACGACCUCCUCUUUAAUUAUGAGAAAAGGGGAAGUCGAGCUCACCCCAAUUGGAAGUUGCGUGGAUUUAGAGAGGCUGUGGAUGAUGCUGGUUUGGUGGAUUUGAGGAUGGAGGGGUAUCCAUUCACUUAGGAGAGGUCGCGUGGAACAGAGGAAUGGGUUGAGGAAAGGUUAGAUAGAGCUUUUGCGAAUACGGCCUGGUGUGGUUUGUUCCCAAAGGCAAAGGUCUGGAGUGUGGAGGCAACAUGUUCUGAUCAUUUACCCAUUUUUGUGGACCCGAAUCCUUCGGGCUUCACUCCUCGACACCCACGGUUUAGAUUUGAAAAUGUAUGGCUUCGAGAAUCGGAGUGUGAGGAUGUUAUUCAAAGGAGUUGGAGUUCUUCUGCUGGUUUUCCAAUUCAACAUAAGCUAGCUAUAUGUGGGGGGGAUUUAUCGAUAUGGGGGGGAAAGUUGUGUCGGGAUUUCCGCAAACGCAUAGUGGAAUGCAAACAUCAGAUGGCGUUAUUACGUGGCAGGCGAGACCAAGAAGGGUUGGAGGCAUUUACAGAAGCCAGGAAGCAAUAUAAUGAACUACUUCACAGCCAUGAAGUCUAUUGGAAACAGAGAGCCAAAUCUCUUUGGCUUAAAGAAGGGGAUAUGAACUCUCGGUUUUUUCAUGCUACAACUUCUAAGAAAAUGAAGAAAAACACGAUUGAGAAGCUGCAGAAUAACCAGGGUAUGUGGUGUUCAAACCCUUCUGAGAUUGAUGCACUGAUUAUUGAAUAUUUUCAAAAUUUAUUUUCUUCUGGGGGAUGCAUUUGUGAACUGGUAUUAGCUUGUGUUGAGGCUAGGAUCACUCCAUUACAUAACCAAUUAUUGUUAGAACCUUUUACGGCUCUAGAUGUUAAAGAGGCUUUGUUUAGUACGCACCUAGAUAAGUCCCCGGGGCCGGAUGGCAUGAAUCCAGCAUUUUAUUAGAAAUUUUGGCAUGUGGUGGGGAAGAUGUUACUGAGGCUUGUCUUAGUUAUAUUACGAAUCGAGCUUUCCCAGAAAAGUUUAAUGAUACUUUGAUUGUAUUGAUUCCUAAGCAUAUGCAGCCUGAACACUUGACAGAUAUGCGCCCCAUUGCAUUAUGUAAUGUUCUAUACAAAAUUAUUGCUAAAAUGCUUGCAAAUAGAAUGAAGCUUGUUCUUGGUGAAGUUAUUUCAGAUUCCUAGAGUGCAUUUGUUCCGGGCAGAGCAAUCACCGACAAUAUUCUAAUAUCGACUGAAAUAAUCCAUUACUUAAAGAUGAAGAAACAAGGAAAGACUGGAACAGCUGCGCUUAAGAUCGAUAUGUCUAAAGCGUAUGAUCGAGUUGAAUGGAAGUUUUUAAAGCUCAUGAUGCUGAGAAUGGGGUUUGCUGAGGACUGGGUUGAGAUUAUUAUGUUGUGUGUUUCUACUGUGAGCUAUAGGGUGAUUAGAAAUGGGAUAGAAGUGGGACCAAUUGUUCCAAGUAGGGGUCUCCGCCAAGGGGAUUCGUUAUCGCCCUAUUUAUUCAUUAUAUGUGCUGAGGGGCUAAGUUCCUUAAUUCGUAAUCGUGAAAGGGCGGGUUUCAUUCAUGGGGUUAAAGUAGCCAGGAGUGCCCCUGCAGUAUCCCACUUAUUUUUUGCUGAUGAUUGUUUUCUCUUCUUUAAGGCCCAUCACAAUGAAGCUAGAAUUAUGAAAAGUCUACUGGCUGUUUAUGGAGCUGCAUCGGGGCAGAAGGUGAAUUUGAAUAAAUCGUCAAUCUCUUUCAGUGCAAACAUGGAUGAGGAUUCUAUUAGCCAGGUGUGUGGCAUUCUAGAAGUUCCUUUCACUGGCAAUCAAGGAACUUAUUUGGGGCUGCCUUCACAGUUCGGUAGAAAAAAGAGUGUUGUAUUUAAUUUUAUUAAAGAGAGAGUUUGGCAGCGGCUUCAAGGUUGGGGUCAGAAAUUUCUGAGUAGGGUGGGGAAGGAAAUCAUGCUGAAAAUAGUUGCCCAGGCUCUUCCAAAUUAUGCCAUGAACAUAUACCUACUGCCUCUGGACUUAUGUAAGGAACUGGAGAUUAUGAUGAACUCCUAUUGGUGGGGAAAUAAGAGGAAUGGUGGUAAAAGUAUUCAUUGGCUUCGAUGGGAUUCAAUGUGUAAGCCGAAGUCUGUUGGGGGCAUUGGUUUCAAAAAAAUACAUGACUUUAAUAUAGCCAUGCUCGGGAAGCAAUGUUGGAAACUUAUGACUGAUCCGCACUCUCUUGUAGCAAGGAUCCUCAAGGCCAGAUAUUAUCCUAGAUCUUCUUUUACUGAUGCAUCUGUUGGGUUUAAUCCGAGCUAUACAUGGAGGUCACUCAUGGCUGCCAAGAAUUUUGUUGUGAAUGGAAGUCGCAUACAAAUUGGGGAUGGGCAGCAGGUUCAGCUUUCCAAGGAUCCUUGGCUUCCUGAUGUUCACAAUGGUUUUAUUACAUCAGAGUUGGAUGAAAGUCUUGCAACAGCUACGGUGGACUGUCUUAUGGUUCCAGGACAACGGAGUUGGGAUUAUGAUUUAAUUACGGAUGUCUUCAAUUCAAGGGAUGCUGGUCUUAUUUUGCAGGUGCCUCUCAGCGCUAGACAGAAUGCAGAUCGAUGGUAUUGGCUGGUAGAUCCUAAGGGGCAAUUUACAGUUAGAAGCUGCUAUGAACUGCUGAAUUCUGAAACUAAUGUGUCAAGCAGUAAGGUGUGGAAACACUUAUGGGGGUUGGAGAUUCCAGGUAAGGUUAAACAUUUCUUUUAGCGUGCAUUGAUGAAUGUACUUCCUACUACGGAUAACUUGCAGACUCGAAAGGUUGAGGUUUCCUCUAUUUGCCCCAUCUGUAAUGCUGCAAAUGAGUCUGUGUUACAUUGUUUAGUGGAGUGCUCUUUUGCUCACUCAUGCUGGUUAUUGUCUUCUAUUGGCACUUUUGGGAGAUGUUUUUCUUUGAUUGAUUAGUUUGAGCAAAUAUUUACUCGCUGCUGUAAGGAAGAUUGUAACUUAGCUGUGAUGUUGUGUUGGAAGCUUUGGUUUAAUCGAAAUGAUAAGGUGUGGAAUGAUCAUUGUCGCCGAGCUCAAAGGCUGGUAAAUGCUGCUGGUCAUUGUCUGUUCCAAUGGCAAGAAGCCAAAAGGAGAACUUUCACUGUUGUAGAAGAUGUUCAGUUAGGUCACGGCUCGGUAUGUUGGGGCCAGCCUCCUAUGGGUUGGUUGAAAUGUAAUGUAGAUGCAGGGGUAUUUAGAUCUCAGGGAAGAGUUAGUUUUGGAGGGGUGAUCAGAAACUCUGAAGGUGGUUUUAUUGCAGUGAAGUGUCAGAGUUUCCCUGGUUUUUUCCACCCUCGUGAGGCUGAAGCGUUGGCUGUCCGUGAGGCACUUAGCUGGAUAAAGCAUCUACAGUUAUCUAAAAUUAUUAUCGAGAUAGAUUGUUUAAAUGUGUAUUCUGCUUUAAUUUCUCAAUCUGCUAGUUCUAAUGGUUUUGGUUUAAUUAUUGCGGAUUGUAGAGAUUUAGCUCAGUUAAUUGGAGAAGUGAGAUUCUCUUUUGUGCGUCGAUCUGCGAACGCCGCUGCCCACAGUGUAGCUAGGGUGGGGGGUUCUAUGUCAGGUCCUGGAGAGUGGAGGGAUGUCCCACCUCUAUAGUUAUGUCCUCUGUUGACUAUUUCUCUUAUUUAAUGAAAUUUCCUUCAUAAAAAAAAAAAAUAGCAGGGAGAGAAUUAAAUAGAUUGAGAAUGAUUUUUGAUUCAGGGCAAGUUUUGGAGUGCUUUACGAACAAUCAAAAUGCUAAUCCUAUUAGUCAAUAAACACAAGCGCUUUGUCAAGAACAUUACGGGAAAAACCCUCUAUAUAAAUAACAAUCGUGUAAUUACGGAGGGCGUGUCUUAAUUACAUGGCAGUUACAUUCAAUAACAACAAUAUUACUUAAAAAUUUUCUAUUAGCAAUGAGUGUGUUGGAGGUAGGAUAAAAAAAAUCUGAAGAAUUUGCAAACUUUUUGUGAAAAUGCAUCACUGUUGUCUUGUUCUUUCACUGUUGAUAAUUACAAUGAACUGAUAAAGGCCAAGAGACCCAAAGUGAAGUGACCCAUGUGCUUUUCUAAUUACCCUGCUACAAACUAUAAAGCCGAAGUUUGCGGACUUUAUUAUCAUUUGUUUUUUUUUAAAAAAAACAUAUACAAAUAAAAGGACAAAAGAUGAGACUUAUAGUACCAAUGGCGGGCCCCCUGGGUCCUCAACUUCUUCAAAUGAGCAUUUUAUCCAACAGUUGAUGUACUCGGAAUCCACACUUACACGAGCGUUCCGGGGAGUUGCAAGUGCUGCCAGCAUUUUUCAAAUAAUCAAGUGAUUAUUGAGUAAUAAUUAGCUCUGAUUGAGUAAUAUAAGAGUAAUAUAUGAUAAUCAAGUGAUUUUAAUAUGUAAACGGUAGGAUUUUGGGCUCAAAUCUUUAAAUUAAAAUCGUGAUCAUUUUAUCAUUAAACUCCAACUCUAUCUUGAUUAAUAAACAAAUGUUAGAAAUUAGUUGUUAAUAAAAUAUAUCCUGGAUGUAAUGGCUAUUCCCAAAGCUCAAUUGAACCAAGAACAAAAUCUUGAAGGACCCAAGAAAAGAUCCCAAACAAGAAGUGACACAAAGCUUAACAAGAAUCCAUGAUCAAACAAUGAACAAAACAAAGAAUCAGUAAAGAAGAAAACUUAGAGCAAGAGUGUUCAAUGAUUUGAUUACAUUUGUGUUUAUUUUUGUGGAUGAUUUCAUUCCUAUUCUUGCCAUUCAUUUUUAUGAUUUUUUUUUUUGGGUUGACUCCCGGAACAAUCAACCUGGGGAUGGGUGGGUUUUAUUUAUUUGUCAUGAUUUGAUUAAGCGGAGCAACUAAUACUUCAAAUCGUAUCACUGUUGUAUUAGAGGCUUCACGUACACUGAAUAAUUAGUGGCGAUCUAGUUUAUAAACCAAAAUUUAACAUAUCUACAUAUAACUAAAUGAAAAGCUUAUGUAUUAUAUUCACUCCAUCAAGUAUGAAGCAUAUAAUCAAUUGAUCUACAAGCACUAGACAUACAAAAAUCAAAUGGUAGAAUAGAAUAUACAAGCAUCAGCAUUAGAUGACAGGAAAAGAGCUCAUUAAUAAAUUAUAUGAGUGAUAAUACUACUUGAAUCAAACUCACGUCCCCAGUUGAGAAGAGUUAAAUUAAAUAAUAUUUUGGUGAUUUCAUGUGCAUAAAAUUAUAAAUUUAUAACCAUCAAUAUAUCACCAGACUUUGUAAAGUUAAUGUGAAAAUGCAUCACAGUUGUACUUUUUUUUUUUUUAAUGAAAAUAAUCAUUUCAUAAGUCAAACAACACUGUUUAAUACAUUCAAUAUCUCGGUUGGAAUGUGAUCCAGCCAGACAGCUGAAGUAUUUGCUCCUACAGCAAGCUUUGUCAAGGAAUGGGCACAAGUGUUACAGGUUCUUGGAAUAUGUCUGAACUUGACCUCUUUAAAGUCACGUCGUUGCUCCUGGAUGUCUGAGAUAACCCAGCUUAUACCUAUUCUACUGCCCUUGGUGUUGUUAAGUAAGUCCACCACUUCUUUGCAAUCUGUCUCCAUGAUCAAAGCGGAUAGAGAGAGUUCUUUUGCUACCUGCAAGCCCCACUCCAUCGCUUCAGCUUCUGCAAAGCUCACUCCCUCCCUUAGUGGAACUUGCUUUGUGUCUGCCGCCACUAUCUUGCCACUUGGGUCUUUUAUAACAGCUCCCAACCCUGCUACUUGGUCCCUGUUAUUUAUUCCUGCAUCCACAUUAACCUUGAGGAAAUUUCCAGGUGGGGGCUCCCACUUUUUCUGCACAAUCCUUUUGACAUUAUGAAUGUGAGAUGCAUCUGGUUUUCGAGCUCUAUGGUAGGCUUCUAGAAGUGAUUCAGCCUUUGCAGCUGAGGCUCUUGGGUCUGACUUUUUUCCUUCGAAAAUCCUUUUGUUUCUUGCAAACCAUACUGCCCAACAGAAAGCUAUUGCUUGCUCAGCCUCUGUUUUUCCCCAAGUGCUCCACACCUCAUAGAUGAAUUCUAGAAUAUCCUGAUUCUGGGCAUUUGGUAUUUGGACUGAAGAAGUGGCAUGAUACCAGAUUUUCCUAGCUGCUUUGCAAUCCAAGAGUGCAUGUCUGACUGUCUCCACCUCCCUGUUGCACCCCUGGCAUAUUGGAUCUUUCAAGCAUUUCCUUUUCCAAAGAUUUUCAGCUGUUGGCAAUAAAUUCCUAGCUGCCCUCCACAUAAAAAUUUUCAUUUUUUCUGGUAACUCCAUAGACCAUACAACUUUCCAUCUUUUAGAGUUUGAUCCAGAGCUGCUAGGCUCAUCAGGGGCUUUGAGUUUAAGGGCUAUCUGAUAUUCGCUUCUUACUGAGUAUUCUCCAUGCUUGUCAUAAUGCCACAGCAUCUCAUCCACCUUUUGGCUUCUUGGAAGAGGAAUUUUGAGAAUAGCCUCUGUAUCUUCUUGCAUAAAGUGUUGGUUCAGCUUUGCCACAUCCCAGUUGUUUUCAUCAUCCAUCACCUCACCUACAGUUGUAUCAAUUGGCAAGGUUAGGGGGGAGAUCGGUUUAAAUGUGUCCGGUCUUGGUAUCCAAUUUUCUUUAUAAACCAAAAUGUUACUGCCAUUUCCAAUACGCCACCUCGCUCCUUUUUGAAUCACUUGCCGACCCCAUAAGAUGCUCCUCCAAAUAAAGGAUGGGUUGGAGCCAGGCUUUGCGUCUAAGAAUGAGCAGCUUCUGAAGUAUCUUGCCCGAAGAACUUUGGAAACCAGGGAGUUUGGGAAUUGAAUCAGCCGCCACCCUUGCUUUGCCACCAUAGCUUGGUUAAAGCUUAUGAAGUCUCGAAAUCCCAAUCAGCCCCUACUUUUUGCACAACUCAGUUUGUCCCAUCGAGCCCAAUGGAUGCCCCGCUUGUCUUUUUUUGAACCCCACCAGAAUUUUGCGAUUUCACUCUGAAUUUCCUCGCAUAAGCCUUUAGGGAGCUUGAAGACACUCAUGGCGUAUGAGGGAGCUUGAAGACACUCAUGGCGUAUGCAGGGAUGGCUUGAGCAACAGCUUUUAUAAGGAUUUCUUUGCCUCCACUUGAAAACAUUUUGUGCUGCCAAUUAUUAAUCUUGCUUAAGACCUUUAGCUUGACUUCUCUAAAAAAGCUUGUCUUCUUCCUUCCUAUCAUUGAUGGGAGCCCUAAAUAUUUUUCAUAUUUGGAAACCACCUUGAGGUUUAAGAUGUUUCUUAUUGCUGCUUUCUGCUCCUCAGGAAUCUUGCCUCCAAAAAACAUUGAUGAUUUAUCAAAAUUAAAGAUUUGUCCCGACGCCUUUGCAUAUCUAUCAAAAAUUCCCUUCAGGUGCUUGCAUUCAAUCACUGAUGCAGUUGAGAAGACCAAGCUGUCAUCCACGAAAAGUAAAUGGGAUAUUGUGACAUCCUCCGCAAAUCUUAGGCCGCUGAUGCGUUUUUUCCUUUCUGCCUGUAACAACAAACUUGAGAAGACUUCUGUACAGAUGAUGAACAAAUAUGGGGAGAGGAGACAGCCUUGCCUUAAGCCCCUCUCUGGAUGAAAGAAACCUUUUGGGGUUCCAUUGAUGAUUACUGAAAAAGAAACUGAAGUAAUGCAGCCCAUAAUCAGUUCCAGCCACUUCCUUGAGAAACCAAGCUUCUUCAUUGUUUGUUUCAGAAAAGACCAUUCAACCCUAUCAUACGCUUUGUUGAUGUCCAACUUUAAUGCCACCAGCCCCUUCUUUUUUCCAGCCACAGUUGUACUUAUUAUCUUUUUCUUUUUUCUUUUCCAAUUAGUCUAAUACCAGUGGCGCGGCCUCGUGGGUCCUCAAAUUAUUUAUAUGGGCAUUUCAUCGAACAGUGGAUAUACUCGGCAUGUGCACUUGGAAGACGCGUUCAAAAGCUCUAAAUCAUGUUAAAGUCGACCAAAAAGACAAAACAUAGAAAGCGACAAUCCAACAACUAGGUAAAAAUAUUCGCUGUCACAAAUGGUUGCGUUGACGUGUAUAUUUAGGAACAUCAAAUAUAAACAAAGACCAUGUGAAAAAGAAAUAUUCGCUGUUUAGUUCUCAAAUAUUCGCUGUCACAAAUGGUUGUGUUAACAUGUCCAACAACGAUUAUUAUAGGGAUGGCAAAAAUCCCCACGGGGACGGGUACUUUCGGGGAUUUUCCCUAUUCGGGGAGGGUACGAGGAUGAUUUCAUACCUAAUAUUUUAUUCGGGAAGGGGACGAGGAAAUUUUUUUACCCAAUUUCUUAUUCGGGGAGGGGACGGGGAUGAGGUGGAAUCCCCAUCCCCUACCCAUUUCCCCAUUUUAAUUUUUAAUUUUAUUUUAAUUUUUUAAAAUUACUAGUAAAUAAAUAAUAAAAUUUAAAUUAUAAAAUUAUAAAUAUUGGUAAAAAUAAAAAAUAUCAAAAUAUUUAUAUUAUUAAACUUUUAGGCCUAAUUAACUAAUUAAAGUCCUAAAUCUUUAUUUAGGACAUUAAAAAGACCGAGUAGAUUCUAUUAGCCAAACAUUUUUUUUUAAUUUUAAUAUUCUUUAAAUAUUUUAAACUUAAAUUUAUUUUUUAUUUAUUUUUAGAUGUUAUAAUUGCCCACAGCGAAUCACAAUUUUAAUAUCUAAUCUAAUCUAAUAUUUACUUUUAAUUUGCUCCGAUUUAACUAUUGUGUUGUAAAGGGAAUAGUCAACAUUUAUAAAGUAUCCACGCCACCAUUGAAAAAGUUAAUUUUGAAUCUAAAUUCGAUUUUAUUUGUAACAAUUUUGUAUUAGACUAUUAAUUUGUUCAUGAUAGUUUGUAAAAGAAGUUUGUAUUCCUUGUAUGUUGCGUUACUUACUAAUUUAAUGUAUGUGACUUUUGUAAUAGAUAUUAAUAUAAGAUAUAUUUCGAACUUUACUUUUAUUUGAAUUUUUUAUUUUAAUAUGAUUAACUCAAAAUCGAAAAAAAAAUGUAUUAGUUAUUCGGGGAUCGGGGACCCUCGGGGAUCCCCUGUUAUUAUUCGGGGAGGGGAUGAAGAUUCCCUCAAGUAAUUCUGACGGGGACGGGGACAUACACAAAAUUUCGGGGAUGGGUAUGGGGAGAUCGGUCCCCUCCCCUCCCCUCCCCAUUGCCAUCCCUAGAUUAUUAUGAAAAUUUCGGAGAAUUUGCGAGAAGUGGGAUGAUUAAGAAAAUGCAGGAACAGGACAUUUAUGACCUCUAUUAGUAAUUUGAUUUCGUGAAUCAUUUUCAAAAGGAAAAUAAUGCACACAAUUGGAGACUAGGCGAUGAUAAUGAAUGGUCACAUAACCUACUUAAUAAUUUAUGGGUGUGUUUGGUGCAUGUAAUUAUGGUGUAUUAUAAUACUGUUCACAUUAAAAUAAUACCAAACUCAUGUUUGGAACAAAAUUGCAAAGGAUUGGGGUGGAGGGCUAAUGCGUCAACUGACGCAUUAGCUUUGCUUGUUUUUUUUUUUUUUUUUUUUUGCUUUUGCUUUUAACUUUUGCUUUUUGCUUUAUUAUUAUUAUAAUACUAAAAUAAUAAAUAAAUAUAGUUUUUAAUUUAAUAUAAUAUUUUUAUUUUGUUUGUUUUUACAUUAUAAUUAUUAAUAUAAAUUAAUAAAUAAAUAAUUUAUCAUUCAAUAAUAGUAUAUUUUUUUAUUUUUACAUUAUAAUUUAUUAAUAAAUUUAUAACUUAUUAUAAUUAAUAAAAAUAUUUAAAUAUGAAUAAAUUUGAAUAAUAUUAAUUUAAAAUUAAUAAUAAUAUAAAUAAUAACAUAAAAUAUUAAUGCAAUUUAAAUAUAUUAAUAUAAUAUAAAACAUUAAUAUAAUAUAAUAUUUAAUUUAAAUUAAUUAAAAAAAUAAUACAGUACAGUAUAGCACCAAGCAUUGUAUAACAUUAUUAUAAUACAGUGCUAAUAUAAUACAGCAUAAUAUAAUACAUCAGUAUUAAAAUAAUAUAAUAUAACAUAAUACAAUACAGUGUGCUAAACGCAAUCUAUAUGCAUUAAUGCAGAAUCGACAAUUCUAAAUCAUGUUAAAGACAACCAAAAAGACAAAUCAUGGAAAGCGGCAAUUGCUCUAUUGCGUUGCGUGUAUUUUGGGAUCAUCAAAUACAAACAACGACCACGUUAAAAGAAAAGCAAAAGCUGACGAGAUUGGUAAAGAUACAUCAAAAGAAAGACUAAUAGAGCUUUCCCAGCAGCAUUAAUCAUGAUUAUUUGAUAAAAUAGAGGUAAUAAAUGAUUACAUAGAGGGAUGAGUCGGGCCAAGUCUUUAAAUCAGCUCUGUCGUGGAAUAUAACAGGAAUCAGCAAUCAGCAUGUAAUCGAUUAUUAGGAGACUGAUACACUAGCAAUCAGCAUUAAUCAAUUAUUUGAUAAACCAGUAAAUAUUGGGUAUCUCGGUGCUAAACAGUGUUGAGAGAUAAAAAUUAACCUGGUGUCUUCCAAGUCAACUAGAUUCUUAAUAAUAGAGAUAGAUGGUUAUAAUUGCAUGUAAAUAAUGUUAAAGUUAUAGGUUAAUUGACCAAUGGGUCUUUGGUCCAAUGGGAGAAGCCUUGCACUUACAAUGUUGAGUGCAAGGGUUCGAGCCUCCAUAAGAGCAUUAUGGAGGUUAGUUUCAGUUCUUCCUCAAUUAUCAAUUAAUUGAGUGGAGACAGUCUCUCCCUUACGAAAUGUGAGUGGAGCAGGCACCCCUCGAAUAUUAGAGAGGGUUUAAAAUAUCUAGGCAUAUACUUCAGUGUGUCAAUGUAUAGUGGUAGUCCCAGUUAUAUAAUAUGAUUGUAAAUAUUAAUUGUAAUAUUUGAUGUAAUAUCAGUAAUAUCUCUGUAUAACAGACUUAAAAAAAAAAAAAGUUAUAGGUUAAUUGGACGGCACAAGGUAUAAUUUUGGCAUUUCAUUGAAUUUUCUUGUUACCAGUAAGUGCUAUGAUGCCGUUGCUGACAUUUUUCAGCAUGUAAUCGUAAGACUUUUCAAGCAUUUUUAAUGGCAGCUUUAAUUAUUUGUAAUUGUUUAUUGGAAAAAGGACAUUCAACCCCUCAACGUUUAGAAAAAAAGACAAAAAAUCACUCAACGUUUUAAAAAGGACUUAUAAACCCCUUUCCGUUAACAAACACCAUUUGUUUUAACAGUAAAUUUAUUUUUAAUUUUUAAUUACUAUUAUACCCUUAUAAUAAAAAAAUUAAUAUAUUAAUUUGAGAUAUAUCACAAUUAAUAAUUUUUUAAAAGCUUAAAAUUGAGAUACAAUUAUUUUUUUGCCAAAAUUAUUUACUAUAAAUUAUACCUCUCUAACAAUAAUAAUAUGGUUUUAAUUCCUCAAAGAAAAAGGGUUUAAUCAAAUUUCGUUUUAUUAGUAAUAAAUUAUACCCAUGUGCUUUUCUAAUUACUCUGCUAUAAAGCCAAAGUUUGCGGACCUUAUGAUUCUUUUUUUUUUUUUCCAGAAAUAGAUAUACAAAUAAAAUGAACUAAAAAAAAAACGUUGCGUGGUCGUGUGGGUCCUCGAAAUCAUUUGGGCAUUUAAUCGAACAGAUGGAUGCACUCAGCAUCGGCACUUCCACGAAGGUUCUUGGAAGUUGCAAGCGCUGCCGGCAUUUUCAAACUCGGAAGGUUUCAAUAAUUUUUUUUUUCUUUGAAAGAAAGGUUUCAAUAAUUAGCAUUGAUUAUUGUGUAAUAUAUGAUAAUAUGACGACUUAUAUAUGUGAUUAAAAGCUAAGCUAGUGGAUUUGUAAGAAAGCACACACGGCAAAGUAUUGAGCAAGCAUUUUUAUCUUAUUACCAGUACCACAGUCUUCUAAUCGAUUUGCUUUCACCAACAAAAAUAAACAAUAAUUUGUAAAUAGUUGGAACUUAAGCUCAAAUUUUGACAGUAGAUGAAUGAUAAUGUAUACUUAGUUUUCAAGGGUAAACUCUAUUCAAGAGAGGAUCUCAAUUUUUUAUUAGACAAGAUCUAUUCAAGAGAAGAUCAUAGUUAAAGGCUUUGCGUUGACUGGGGAACGUUAAAUACAAAGAAAGACUAUGCUAAAAGAAAAGCAAAAGCGGGCGAGAUUCAUAAAGAAAGACUAAUAAAGCUUUCCUUAUAGCAUUAAUCAUGAUUACUUUGAUAAACUAGAGGUGAUCACUGAUUUAUAUUUUUAGUGCAAAACAGAAUACACUCCAAGAGCUGAUGGCUUAAUUUCUUUGCUGUCCUCGUAUUGUCACAUAUUUUGUAGCUUUCUCAUUUUGAUAAGUCGUUCGCUCAAUAACCUAAACGGAUUAGGGUCUUCAGACUGAAAUCUUUUUAAUUGAAAUUGACAUCACUUCAUUCAUGAUCCAAGAUUCUAUCGUGUAUAAUGGGUAAGACAAUUUUUUUACUUCAAAAAUUUUACAUAAAUUUUUGUAGUUUGAUGGCGUCAAAUCCGAUGGAAACGAUACAAGUGACUUGAAAAGAUCAAUUGAUCAGUGAUUUGUCAAAUGUUUAUUGAUAUUAUUAGGAAAAUUUACGAAAAUAACUAUUAAUAUUUUAUUAUUUUCACAAUUAACCGUCUCAACUUUUUUCUAUCAACAUUAGCCAAACACAAGCCUUUCUUCCCAAUUACCCUUCUUUCCAGAACAAAACCAACAUUGUUUCUCCCAUAUCGCCAAACCAAAAGCAGCUUUUCAUUCUUGAAUCAUCAGCCAACGGCGACCGCAAAAGACAACGGUAAAAGUGAUAUCCGAUCAUAAUCUAUCCGGAUCCAACACAAAUCGACAUCACUCAGUGGUAUGAAUUAUUUUCUGAACUUACUGAACUCAGUCGGGUGAAUCUGAAUCUGGCGACAGGCUGCCUGUCGCAGCAAAACUUGGUGCGACAGGUGGUUUGUAUUCGUUAGCCAUUGGGAUCAUGGAUUCAGAAAAUAAUGAUGCUUGGGAAUGAUUUAUGAUGAAGUUACACGGAGUGAUUGGUGAUAGACCUGAGUUGGUAAUUAUCUCUGAUCGAUGCACUGCCAUAAGGAGAGCCGUUCUUAAAGUAUUUCACAAUGCAACUCAUGGCGUUUGUUUUUACCACGUCAAAGAUAACAUUAAGUCACAAUUUAGAAUGUCCAAAGCUCUUUGGGAUGAAUUUGAGCCUGCCUUUAUUAAUGCAGCAAAAGCAUAUGGCCACGAGGAAUUUAAUGAUCCACUCGGGUGCGGCUGAUUACCUAGAAAAUAAUGUCGGUACGUGUAAUUGGGCAAGGUCUCAGUUUCAAGGUAGGAGGUACAACAUUCUUACCACCAACAUCGCGGAGAGUGUUAAUGCUUUCAUGAGGGAACCUCAAAAAUUUCCUGUUACUCAUCUUGUUGAUCACUUCAGGAAAACAUUGCAGCAAUGGUUUUAUGAUAGAAAAAUUGUGGCUGAAUCAAUGACUACUCGACUAGCAACAUGGGCGGAUGAAAUAGCCACUGAGAGGAGAACUAUAGCUGAAAGAAUGAUAGUUCGGCCGGUGUCUCCGCAUCGCUUUCAAGUUAUAGGCGGUGGGCUUAAGGAAGGGUUGGUUGACUUGCAAAAGAGAACUUGCUCCUGCAGAGUGUUUCAGCUUGAUCAGCUUGUGUGUGCUCAUGCAAUUGCGGCGUGUCUAACACACCGGGUGGAUUUUAUUAACCUUUGCUCGGACUUUUACACUACAGAAUCGUUGGCGAUGGCUUAUGCACAACCAGUGGAGCCAGUUGGUGAUGUGGCUGAUUGGGAAGUUCCAGAUGAAAUUCAGGAGAUGCAGGUAUACCCACCAGUUGAGGCACCACCACUUAGCCGUCGUAAAGAGCUCAGAAUACCCUCGACUGGCGAGGACGUUGACCAGCGGACUGUAAGAUGCGGCCGGUGUCAUGAACUAGGCCAUAAUCGUAAGCGAUGUAAGAAUCCUAUUGCGUCGACUCGAAGUUAGUUGUAUUUUGUGUGUUAUUCGUUGGUUAAAACUAUUAUUGUUUUUGUGUUACGUUGGUUAAAACUGUUAUUGUUUUUUGUAUUUCGUUGGUUAAAACUGUUAUUGUUUUUUGUGUAUUGUACACUUAUAUUCAUAAAACUUUAUUUUAUUUUAAAGUUCAAAAUGUGAGGCAUUAAAAUUAUAUAAACUUAAGUGCGGAAAUAAAAAAAAAUGCAAAUUUCAACAUUGAAAUUACUACAUAGGUCUACAAUAUAAUAUCGUCAUUAAAUAUAUCAACCGCAAUCUUCUUUCUAAAGUACUCGACAUGACUAGCGUUAAACUCCAAUCUAAGCCCGAACAUUAAAUACAUCGUAACCAUCAAUACAAAAAUACCGCAAUCGCUAGUUCCGAGCUCUUGUUCCGGGCUCUUCCAUUGCAGAAUGCGGGGAAUCUUACUCUUCGUUUUGACGACCCAUGUUGAUGGCAACCCUCCGAUUGCUUCGUAAAUCCAAGCCUACAACAACCAAAGUAAAAAAUCAAAUAAAACAACUAUCAAGUAUUUAAUACUAUAAAACUUAUUAAUAAACAAAAAAAAAGCACCUGCACCCCAGACGUAAAGCCGUAAAGAUUGUAUUUUUCAAUAUUAUGAUCUGGAUUUUUCAACCGAGUCUUCUUAAAUUUCUCGUCUUUCUCAAACAGUGCAUUGUCAAGACUCUCGUAAAUCAUUUCCCACGACAAUAGACCCCAUGGACGCUUUCGGAAGUACUGUAUAUCAUCAACUUGGUCAAGCCAAUCGAAAUUAAUUUGACAGUGAUUUUUUCUUGCAUUUAGUACUCUGUCCACAAAAUAAAACAGCGCAAUCUUUAAUGCGUCCAUAUCGUCCAUUUCCUUGAAAUUCAACUCCUUAAAUACUGCAUCAAAUUGCUUCACAUUAAUCUUACGAUGCACACCACCAAAAUACGUAUUCCGUAGCCUCUGCUCCAUUUCAUCAUUUUUUUCAUUGGUAUCAACACUAAAUGAAAGUCCAGUAACCAAGCAUUAUUCGACAAUUGACAAGUGAAUCAAAUGCUUACAAAUUUGAAACCAUAACUGAUCCUCACGGCUAUCUUCUUCAUGGGCCACUUGCAGCAGUAAAAGAUUGUGCAAAAUUACCCCACUAAAUGGAAAACUUCGACACUCCAAGAAAUGCCCAAAUAUAUCCUUUUUGAACAUACUCAACUGCCGCUUUGUUAAUUUUUCCUCGAUGGCUUUUACGACCGAAGAUAACAUACACAUGCUCGAAAUUCGACCAGGAAAGUGAUCAGCAUAACGAAAAUACUGUUGAGUGUUAGAAAAUGCAUAUUUAUAAAGGAGAAAACCGUCAUUUUACAUUUCAAGUCUUACUAACAACCCUUACUUUUAUGUAUUUAACCUUCUUGUGAUGUAAUUACGUGUGUGUUAUUUUAAUUAAGUAUUUUAUGUAUUUUAGGGGCAUUAUAGUCAUUUCACAAUAAAGGAGAGAUCAGACGGCAAAACGGACAUCACUUUUGAACUCAGGACGGUCGAAAACCUUAGGAGGAGCAUAAAAGGAAAAAUGGCACUAUUCACAUGUACGGUACUAUUCACGUAUACGUUACUGUUCACGACACUGUUCACAUAGACGGAUCGAUGACGUGGCAUUGACCGAUGAUGUGGCAUUGACUGAUGAGGUGUCACGAUCCUGUUGGGCUAAAAUUCUUAUGUACUGUUAAUGGUGACGUGGCAGCAUAUCAGUGGACGAAAAAUCUCGUGUACGGUGCAUGCAUCACACAGGAUUAUUUUCAACCAAACCGCGUUACUGUUCAUCCGGGUCAAACCGCGUUACUGUUCAAAGUCGGGUCAAACCGUGUUACUGUUCAUCCGCGUGGUCAAACCGUGGACUGUUGACUGAUGACGUGGCGCAAUCCUGAGCGUCCAAACUGUUUUUAAUCCGAUGGCCAUGAUUUACUCCAUGUAUCUAUAAAAAGGGGGCCUCCCCCCCCCUAAUUUGAUAGCUCUGAAUCCAUUUUUGGGAUUCAUUUUCUGUAAUUCCCUCUCCAUCUUGUAUUUUCUUCGUAUUUUAAUAAAUUCCCAGUUUGCCCCUAGUUCAAUUAUGAGUAGCUAAUUUCCUUUCAAGCUUGGGUUGAAGGUGAAGUCUCAACAUGUGUCAUGGGCUUUAUUUGGUAAAUUUAUUUUCUUUUCCCCUCUAGUUUUUGUGGAUGAUUUGACUUAUCGUCGACAAAUAAUACUGAUCUUGUCUAGAUACCGCCUUGGUUACACCGGCUCUCUAGUAUAAGGUUAUUAUUAUUUGGCACGAUAAGCCCUUAGCACCAUAUUGAUUAGAGCGUGGUUCAUGAGGUGUGGAUUCCCCCCUCAUGAUUUAAUUGGCAUUAAUACGGAUUAUUUAGCCCAUGAUGCAUGUUGAUACGGAUCCAGAUACCCAAGUACGUUAUUUCAAUAGAUUUCUCUUCAAUUUACUCUCGCCAUUGCAAUUCCAGUCUUAGAAUUUAUUAUCGCCAUUUCAAUUCCAAUUUUAGGAUAAUUUAAAUCACUUCCACCACAAUUCCAACCACCCAUUUACAAAAUUAAUUCUACAUAUAAUUAAAAUCCACCUCCUCGUGGGAUCGACACUCGUCACCAUUAGUCUAUACUACAAUAGAUUCGUGCGCUUGCGAGUACAUUAAAAUUUGCACAACAAGUUUUUGGCGCCGUUGCCGGGGAGGUAAGUAGUUUUAAUUCAUAGAUUUAAUUUUUGUGAAUAAUUUCAUUUAAUUAUUUUCUUGUAUUUUUUUUUGUUCUUUAAAAAAAAAAAAAAAAAAGAAAUAAAAAAGUUAAUCUACAUUUAAAGGUUAGUAUUUCUUUUCUUUUUCUCUUCUUUAAAAUUCUGUAAUUUAAUUUUUAAUUUAUUUUUCUUUGUAAUUUUUGUUUAUCUUAUUAAUUUAAUUUGUAGUUAAUUUAUUUCACGUAUUUAUUUUUGUGUAUUUUUAUAGUAAGGUUGUAAUAGCGCAAUAAGGUAAGUAUCGUAAUUUCUCCCUCUUAUUUAUUUUUAUUUGUUUUGUUCCCAUCUUUAUUUUUAUUUUUAUUUUAUUUUGCAUGCAUGGUCGUAGGUCAUUAUUACCUAAUCUUGAACCUAUAGACCUUGAAUUAGAAAAAACACUUCGCACACACAAACACGUUAAAAAUAAAAUGGAUUUGCAACCACAGGAGAGGCCAUUUAAGGACUAUUUUAGUCCCUUAGCUAAUUUGAGCACAUCAUGUAUUAGAUACCCAAAUGUAGCUGCUAGGAGCUUUGAACUAAAACCUAGUGUGCUAAAUUGUCUCCCCACAUUCUAUGGCCUAGAAAAUGAGGACCCAUAUAAUCAUCUGAAUGAUUUUCAUGCCAUUUGUCAAACUUUUAAAUAUGAAAAUUUUUCAGACGAUGAUGUUAAACUUAGAUUAUUCCCAUUUUCUUUAAAGGAUAGAGCUCGUUCAUGGUUAAAUACUUUGCCUGCUAAUAGCAUUGCAUCAUGGGAACAAAUGGUAACAAAAUUUUUGAAUAAAUAUUUCCCAGUGCAUAAAACCAAUUCUAUUCGCAGGGAAAUUUCAGAGUUUACACAAAGAGAGGACGAGCAGUUUUUCGAAACAUGGGAGCGAUUCAAUGGGCUACUCUUGAAGUGUCCACAUCAUGGGUACGAAAAAUGGCACCAAUGUCAAUACUUUUUGGAGGGAUUACUACCAAAUGUGCAAGAAUGGCUAAUGGCAACAAGUGGAGGAGAGCUAAUGUCAAAAAGUGCAUCAGAAAUUUGGGAAUUCUUCCAGCGACAAGCGGACAAUUCCCAACAACGGAGUCGAUCACUCAGGAAUACUAGAAGAAUUAAGGGAGUAAAUGAGGUUCAAAUUGGCGAGUCAACUUCGGGAAUCAAAGAAGUCAAGGAGAUGGUUGAAGGUCUUGCUCGACAAAUAGCAUCGUUAUCGACUGCUAAAUCAACAGAAUCACAUGACCCUGACUCAUAUCCAGAUCAAGCCAAUGCCAUAGGUGUAAUGAGAAAGCCAUCUAAUUACAACCCAUACUCCAACACAUAUAAUCCUGGAUGGAGAGACCACCCCAAUUUUUCAUGGUCUCAAGGAUUCCAACAGAAUGGACCAGCAGCUCCAGCUCCACCAAUGCAACAAAUUCCUCAAGUUCCUCAAGCCUCUCAGCCCCCAUUUAGACCAUACAAUCAGAACCAGAACUACUCUCAACCCAGACCAUGGGAGGAUUCAUUCCAGAAUCUCAAGAAUGUUACUCACUCCACGAUUGAGCAACAGAACCGCACCAUUGAUGGACUACGAAAUGAAUUGAGAGCGGGCUUCAAUUCACAAGCCCAAUCAGUUUCAAGCCUCGAGAAGAUGGUGGGACAACUUGCUUCUUCAGUUCAGACCUUGGCAAUGACUGUUGAGAAAGGCAAGUUUCCGAGUCAACCAGUGCCUAAUCCUAAAGGAGUGCAUGAAGCAAGUACCAGUUCACCACAGCAGCAUGGAGAGGUCAAAGCAGUCAUGACCUUGCGAAAAGGAAAGGAAGUCGACAAUAAAGUGGAGAUGCCGGUGACAAAAGAAAAUCAAAUUGUACCUGUAAAUGCUGAGGACUCACCACCGAAGGAAAAAGAAGAAACCAACCCACGAGAAUAUGUUCCUAAAGCUCCAUUUCCUCAGAGGUUAGUGAAAGGAAAGAAGGGAAAAUCCACAGGUGAGAUUCUCGAAAUCUUCAAACAGGUAAGUGUUAACAUCCCUUUACUUGAUGCUAUAAAGCAAGUUCCAUCUUAUGCCAAGUUUCUUAAAGACCUUUGUACUAAAAAGAGAAAUAUGCAUGUUCAAAAGAAGGCAUUUUUAACAGAAAACGUUAGUUCUAUACUCCAACAUAAAAUUCCUUUAAAAUGCAAAGACCCAGGCUCCCCCACUAUCUCAUGUAGUAUAGGGAACCACACAAUUGAGAAUGCUUUGUUGGAUUUAGGAGCUAGUGUAAAUUUGUUGCCUUACUCUGUAUUCGUGAAACUUGGACUGGGAGAAUUACACCCAACUCCAGUGGUGUUACAACUUGCAGAUCGGUCCACAAAAAUACCUCGUGGUAUUGUGGAGGACGUGCUUAUCCAGGUAGACAAGUUUUAUUUUCCUGUUGAUUUCAUUGUAAUUGACACUCAACCAAUACAAGACUCAAGGAAGCACAUCCCCAUUAUUCUAGGCCGACCUUUCUUGGCAACUGCAGAUGCUCAUAUUCAAUGUAGGACCGGAAAUAUGCAAUUGUCCUUCGGCAACAUGACUAUGGAGCUAAACAUCUUCAACAUUGCCAAACAACCUCACAGUGCAGAUGAUGGAAUUGUUGAUGUGGAUUUAAUAGAAACAAUAGUUGAUAAUACUUUUCUUUCAAACCUUAGUGAUGAUCCUUUACAAACAUGUUUAACUCACUUUGGUUUGGAUUUUGAUAUUGACAGAUCGGUCGAAGAGGUCAACGCCCUACUUGACUCAGCACCAUCCAUGGACACUAAUAAAUGGAAGUCAAGAGUUGAACAACUAGCACCAUCAGAGAAGAAACUCAUUCCAUCAUCAGAAUCACCACCGAAACUCGAGCUCAAACCAUUACCCAACACUCUGGAAUAUGCAUUUUUGGGAGAAGAAAGUACUCUGCCGGUAAUCAUCUCAUCAUCCCUAAAUGACGAACAAAAAGGUAAGUUGUUGGAUGUGUUAAAAGAGCACAAAGGGGCAUUAGGAUGGACCAUAGCAGACAUAAAAGGUAUAAACCCAGUAGACUGCAUGCAUUACAUUCACCUUGAUGAAAAUGCUAAAACUACUAGGGAGAUGCAACGUCGGUUAAAUCCUAACAUGAAAGAAGUUGUUAGAACUGAAGUCCUUAAGCUAUUAGAUGCAGGUAUCAUUUACCCAAUUUCUGAUAGUUCAUGGGUCAGUCCUGUACAAGUCGUCCCCAAAAAGUCAGGAGUCACAGUAGUUACCAAUGCUGAUAAUGAAUUGAUACCAACUAGAGUAACUACAGGAUGGCGUGUAUGCAUUGAUUAUAGAAAGUUGAAUUCUGUCACACGUAAAGACCAUUUUCCUUUACCAUUUAUUGAUCAAAUGCUUGAUAGAUUAGCAGGCCAUGAAUUUUAUUGCUUUCUAGAUGGCUACUCAGGAUAUAAUCAGAUUCCCAUAGCACCAAAAGAUCAAGAGAAAACUACUUUCACUUGCCCUUUUGGCACAUUUGCAUAUAGGAGAAUGCCAUUUGGAUUAUGUAAUGCACCUGCUACAUUUCAACGAUGCAUGUUGAGCAUUUUUUCUGAUAUGGUUGAACGAUUCCUUGAAGUCUUUAUGGAUGAUUUUUCUGUCUUUGGUGACUCGUUUGAUCAAUGUUUACAUCAUCUAACGCUAGUUCUGCAGAGAUGUACCGAGAAGAACUUAGUCUUAAAUUGGGAGAAGUGUCAUUUUAUGGUAAAACAAGGUAUUGUUCUCGGUCACAUCAUUUCAAGCAAAGGUAUUGAGGUUGACAAAGCCAAGGUGGAUCUCAUUUCUAAUCUUCCUCCACCUAAAACAGUCAGAGAAGUAAGAUCUUUCCUUGGGCAUGCUGGUUUCUAUAGACGUUUCAUUAAAGAUUUUAGCAAAGUUUCUAGACCCUUAUGCAAUCUACUUGCUAAGGAUGUAUCUUUUAUCUUUAAUGAUUCAUGUCUAAUGGCGUUUGAAAAAUUAAAGCAGUUGUUGACAUCAUCACCCAUCAUUCAGGCCCCAAACUGGAGCUUACCAUUUGAGCUCAUGUGUGAUGCAUCUGAUUAUGCAGUAGGAGCAGUAUUAGGACAAAGAGUUGAUCGAAUUCCCCACGUUAUUUACUAUGCUAGUAUGACAUUGAAUGAUGCACAGUUGAACUAUUCAACUACUGAAAAAGAAAUGCUAGCAGUAGUGUUUGCAUUAGAGAAAUUUCGAUCUUAUCUCAUUGGUUGUAAAAUAAUUAUAUUCACAGAUCAUGCUGCUCUUAAAUAUCUUCUCACAAAGAAAGAUGCAAAAGCUAGACUAAUUCGUUGGGUGUUACUUUUGCAGGAAUUCGACUUGGAAUUCAAGGAUAAGAAAGGCACAGAAAAUGUUGUGGCGGACCACCUCUCUCGUCUCCAUUUUGACACAAUUACAGAGCCAUUAAUAUUAAAUGAGUCAUUUCCAGAUGAACAAUUAAUGAGUGUGGAAGUAUUACCUUGGUAUGCUGAUAUAGUUAAUUAUCUUGUUACAGGUAAAUUUCCAGAGCAUUGGACCAAGCAAGACAAGGCUAAAUUCUUUGCGGAAAUAAAGAAUUUCUUUUGGGAUGACCCAUAUUUGUUCAAGUAUUGUGCAGACCAAAUUGUUAGACGAUGUGUCCCUGAAAGUGAAAUUCAGAAUAUCCUUUCAUUCUGCCAUGAACAAGCUUGUGGAGGCCAUUUUAGUGCUAAGAAAACAGCUACAAAAGUUUUACAAUGUGGUUUCUAUUGGCCAACUAUAUUUCGAGAUGCUUACACUUUCUGUUCUUCAUGUGAUAGGUGUCAACGAAUGGGGAGCAUUACACGAAGGAACAUGAUGCCACUAAAUCCAAUUUUAGUGGUUGAGAUUUUUGACGUAUGGGGUAUCGACUUCAUGGGACCCUUUCCUCCGUCUUUUGGUCAUCAAUACAUAUUGGUUGCUGUUGACUACGUAUCAAAAUGGGUGGAAGCAAUUCCAUGCAGAACCAAUGAUCACAAAGUGGUGAUAGGAUUUUUGAAAAGCAACAUUGUUUCACGCUUUGGAUUCCCUCGAGCGAUAAUCAGUGAUGGUGGUGCCCACUUUUGUAACAAAGCAUUCAAGGCUCUUUUGACAAAGUAUUCAAUCACACACAAAGUGGCAACUCCGUAUCAUCCGCAAACCAGUGGCCAAGUUGAGAUCUCCAAUCGAGAAAUAAAGCACAUAUUAGAAAAGACGGUGAGGCCAGACAGGAAAGAUUGGUCAUUACGACUUGAUGAUGCAUUAUGGGCAUAUAGAACGGCUUUCAAGACCCCGAUUGGGAUGUCACCCUAUAGGCUAGUGUAUGGAAAAGCUUGCCACCUACCUGUGGAACUCGAGCAUCGUGCAUAUUGGGCCAUCAAGAAAUUCAACUUUGACAUGCAGCAAGCCAGCUCAGAAAGAAGAUUACAACUGGCAGAACUUGAAGAAAUUCGCAAUGAUGCAUACGAAAAUGCCCAAAUUUACAAGCAACGAAUGAAAGUCUUUCAUGACAAGCACAUUAUGAGAAAAUCUUUCACUCCAGGUCAGAAAGUGCUUUUAUUCAAUUCUCGCUUGCACCUAUUCCCAGGUAAGUUACGCUCUCGUUGGUCUGGCCCAUUUAUUGUACAUACUGUUUUUCCACAUGGGGCAAUUGAAAUUAAGGACCCAAAGAACGGUGUCACGUUUAAAGUUAAUGGUCAAAGAUUAAAGCCAUAUCUAGAGUACCAACCACAUGGAGAAAACAUCGAAAUAAAUUUGAGUGACCCACCAAAUUUGAAUUGAUUUUUUUUUCUUUUCGUUGAUUUGAUUUUUCUUUAUUUCUUUUUAUUAUUAUUCUUUUGCUAAUUGAAAUUGUUUUUGCAUAAGUGUGUUUAUUUUACCAUUAAGUUUUCUCUUAUCAUUUUUAAUCAUGAGUCUCAUACUUAGACCGUUCCUCCUGAACAUUCUUAAACCACUUCAACGUGUCAAAACUCAUCUCAAAAGGCAGAUUCUAUUUUGUAAAACACAACGCAUUUGGGCUCUACAACCACCAGAGUUAGUAGCCUAUGUUGAGGGUUUAGAACGCCAACUCCGAGAUAUUGAGAGAAGUGUUUACGACAUCCAGUUGGAGCUUGAGGUAAAUUCAAUAAGAGGACGAUUUUAAUUUUCUUUGUGUGUUUUGAUUUGUUUUUCUGUUUGUGUGCUUUAGUUUGUUACCCCGGUGAAGUGGCGGAUAACGGUACUCCGUGACAAUCAAGUCGGUUAACUUCAGUUUCCCAUAAUAACUGAUAUUCUGAGGCGAAGGUAUGGAUAGAAACGAGAUUCUAGCGAAGCUUCACAAGCGAUUCCCUUCACUUCCUCAGAAUGCCCUCCUUACGAUCUAUAAAGCCCGGUCUGAACGCAUGCGAUUGCUCAUGAGGAAUAACAUACCUGCAGACAUCCGUUGGUUAAUCGAGGCUAAAGUACGAUCGGCAGGUGAGUUACCUCCAAAUUUUAUUGCAUACAUGCCUGGUUGUGGUAAAGGAAAUUAUGCAAGAAAACGACGAGCUCGAAGAAUUUCUGUUGCUUGUCAUAAGUGUGCCAGAAUGAGUUGCGAUAGAAACCCAUGUUCUUUAGGAAUGGUGUCUGAUAACAGGGAAGAUAAAAUUCAAUUCAUUAGGGAUGGCUUGAAUAAGGAGUCAUUGGAUGAUAUCCUUUUGUCUCUUGAAACGCAUCCCAGUGGAUAUGUGCAAGGAGCGAUUCUCCAGUUAUGGCCAUUAUUCCAGAAAGAGCAUGCACGAUAUAGUCUCGGGAAUCUGACUAUAAACGACCCUGUUUGCCAGUUUAUAAGAAAACUGGAUGGGAAGCCCAUCCUCGACCCAUAGAGGGCGUUCAAGCCGUUUCUGGACGUAAAACCAGAGGAAGAUGUGAGCCACAGUCGCAACUACCUGUAAAUAUCCUUUUACUUUAUUGUUAUUUUAUUUCACUAUUGUCUUAUUUUUGCAUUAUUGUCUUUAAUAAUUUUAUUACUGUUUUCUUUUUCCUUUUUACUGUUUCCUUUUUGACUCGCGAGCCACGUGCUUUACGCGUUAUUUGACACUGACAUGUUACCUCAUUCACAGCUGUGAUCCACUGUCACCAAGAUUCUUUAAUGUGAUUUAUCUUUUGUCAAGCACUCACAAAUUAUUUUUGAGAAGUAUCACAAUGGCAGCUACUCCCAAUAGACAAUUCAAGAACAUUUGUGUGCUUUCUGGAUUUACCUAUGGCAAACAUAAAGAAUUCGUGGAGGCAGCCAUAGAUCUUGGUCGAAGCAUAGCAGCGAGAAAAUUACACUUGGUGUAUGGAGGAGGUAACCGAGGGUUAUCAAAAAUGGUCUCAGAAGCAGCUUUUAUCAGAGGAAGUCAAGUGUUAGGCAUCAUCCCAAGAGUCCUCAAACCAUUGGGCAGUUCGUCUGACUCAUCAACUGGAGAAGAGUUAGUCGUCUCAGGUAUGCAAGAAAGAAUAACUGAAAUGCUUAAUCAUGCUGAUGCUUUUAUUUUCCUUCCAGGAGAUCUUGCAACACUAGAGGCACUUAUGACACUAGCAUCUUGGGCCCAUCUGCACAUCCACCAGAAACCCAUCGGUUUGUUAAAUGUCAAUAACUUUUAUGAUGGCUUUAUCGCAUUUCUUAACCAUGCAAUAAAAAACUAUUUCAUUCCUUCUAAUGUGAAAAAACUCUUUAUUUGUGCUCACACUGCUAAUGAGCUACUUGAUAUGUUACAAGCUUAUAAACCGGAGCCAGACCCCUGGACCUUUGUGUUGGAGCGACCAAAUAAUGAUGGUAACAGUAGCCGCAGUAAGAAGUACAAAUUAGAUUUAACUCUCCGCCUGUAAAUAUUUUCUUCUGUGUUGCACCACCCAGGUGAUGUCUUCUAAACUCUACUUCUUUCCUUUAAAACAUUGAGGACAAUGUUUCGUUCUGGUUGGGGGGAGGGAAUAGUCGACAAUUGUGGAAUCUUGGUUAAGUUUUUACUAAUUUUUUGUUGUAGAAACUAACUGUUGCUAACUUUUUGUGUUGAAGAUGGCUGAAUAUGGAGUGUAGUUACUCUAGAAACGCAUCUUCAUUGUUCGAAAAAAAAAAAAAAAAAAAAAUUCUUUUUCUUUAUUUAAGUUUUGAUGUUCAUUUUUCUUCUUCUUUUUAUUUUCUCCUCUAUAAAUAUACAUUUUCCAACUUUUGAGUCGAAGAUGGCUGAAUAUGGAGUGUAGUGCCUCUAGAAACGCAUCUUCUUAGUUAAAAAAAAAAAAAAAAAAAAAAAAAAAAAAAAAAUCUUUUUCUAAUUAAUUUUUCUACAUCAUUUUCACAUUUCUGCAUGCAUAUUUUCCUUUCAUGUUUAGAAUAGGUUGGGGGGUAGAAUGUUGUUUAAAAAAAAAAAAAAAAUUUUGUGUUAUUUGUUUUAACAUUGGAUGACAUGAUUAAUUUCAAAUUUUAGUAUUUGUAUUAUCUUUGGUCUUAAGUGAUGUUAAGCUAUGUUUGCUACUUUACAUGUUGAUGUCGGAGACAAAUAUGAGUUGCUUGAAGGAAUGAAUAUGUCAUAAAUAAGUGCCAAGUGAGUUGUUGAGCCUAUCAUUUUCUUGGAGAGUAACCCUUUUGCCCAUUCUCUAUACAGCUUAGCAGUUUAUUAUUUUAUACACGAUCUCUAUAUUUCUUUUGAGUUAACCCUUUAAAAAAAAAAAUGGUAAAAUUAAAAAAAAAAAAAAAAGAAAAAAGAAAAAAAUGUGUGUUGCUACAUUGGGAGGCCCAUCUAACUAGUAGAUAUGGAUAAUUAUUUAGAGCCCUAAAAGACGAUGGAAAGGCCAUCUUUGAUCCGUUUGAGCCUUUCUAGCCAUCCCUGUUAUUAAAUAUCCAUAGUUACCCCUUUUGAGCCUUUAAAAAAAAAAAAAACACACACAAAAAAAAAAAAAACCCUUUUCUUUGCAAACUUAUAAUCUUGCCCCCCUCCGAUUGGGAGUAUUACCCAAUGUCUUAUAAGUUCCCUCACCUAUUUAUGUUUGAGAAAAUGUAAAUAAUUAUGUUGUUCAGUGAAGUUAUGCCAAAUAAAAGCAAAAAAAAAAAAAACAAAAAAAAAAAAACAAAAGUUGUUGUUUCAAAAGAAUAAAAUAACAAUAAUAGGUGAAAUCCACCUUGCAACUUCAAAAAAAAAAAAAAAUAAUAUAUAUAUAUUUCUGCAUUUUUCUCAAACAUACACUUUGUUUUCCUUAUUUCCUUUCUUUGUUAGCCAUAUCCCUAGCCUACGUUACGUCCUAAUAAAAGUCCUUCUUGAUUUUAGGGAACUAUAAUUUGAAGUAGAAGCUAGUUAUAUGGGCUAAAAAGAUGUAGUGGUGCAUAUAAAAAUAAAAAAUAAAAAAAUAAAUUGGGUUGACUAACAUUUUUUUUAUUUUAUUUGACUUGAGAUCGUAUUAUUUCUAAGCUGAGGGCAUAUUUAUUUCAUCUUGGUGAGAGCAUGUGAUAUCACUUCUUUAUUAUUUUCUCUCUCAAUUACCAUUCAUUGGAGUGACUAUUUUUAUUGGGUUUAAUUUAUUUGUGAGAGUGUCAUUACUUCCAGUGAGAUUUUGGGGUUUGACAUGUCAUUCUUGAAAGUAGCUAUAACAAAGUCUACUGGGCCGAUUCAUGUGGAUGGUUGAUGUGGGUGUGAUAUUGCUUUAGACUGGAGAUAAUGCUUAUACUUUUAUUUGAUUGCUAUCAUUAAUCUGAUUGAAUAAACACGAGUGUUUCUAAAAAAAAAAAAAAAAAAAAAAAAAAAAAAAAAAUUUAAUAUAUUUUGAAUUUGAAUUUUGUUUUCGCUUUAUUUGCUAGGGACUAGCAAUAAGCUGGUUGGGGGGUGUGUUGAGUGUUAGAAAAUGCAUAUUUAUAAAGGAGAAAACCGUCAUUUUACAUUUCAAGUCUUACUAACAACCCUUACUUUUAUGUAUUUAACCUUCUUGUGAUGUAAUUACGUGUGUGUUAUUUUAAUUAAGUAUUUUAUGUAUUUUAGGGGCAUUAUAGUCAUUUCACAAUAAAGGAGAGAUCAGACGGCAAAACGGACAUCACUUUUGAACUCAGGACGGUCGAAAACCUUAGGAGGAGCAUAAAAGGAAAAAUGGCACUAUUCACAUGUACGGUACUAUUCACGUAUACGUUACUGUUCACGACACUGUUCACAUAGACGGAUCGAUGACGUGGCAUUGACCGAUGAUGUGGCAUUGACUGAUGAGGUGUCACGAUCCUGUUGGGCUAAAAUUCUUAUGUACUGUUAAUGGUGACGUGGCAGCAUAUCAGUGGACGAAAAAUCUCGUGUACGGUGCAUGCAUCACACAGGAUUAUUUUCAACCAAACCGCGUUACUGUUCAUCCGGGUCAAACCGCGUUACUGUUCAAAGUCGGGUCAAACCGUGUUACUGUUCAUCCGCGUGGUCAAACCGUGGACUGUUGACUGAUGACGUGGCGCAAUCCUGAGCGUCCAAACUGUUUUUAAUCCGAUGGCCAUGAUUUACUCCAUGUAUCUAUAAAAAGGGGGCCUCCCCCCCCCUAAUUUGAUAGCUCUGAAUCCAUUUUUGGGAUUCAUUUUCUGUAAUUCCCUCUCCAUCUUGUAUUUUCUUCGUAUUUUAAUAAAUUCCCAGUUUGCCCCUAGUUCAAUUAUGAGUAGCUAAUUUCCUUUCAAGCUUGGGUUGAAGGUGAAGUCUCAACAUGUGUCAUGGGCUUUAUUUGGUAAAUUUAUUUUCUUUUCCCCUCUAGUUUUUGUGGAUGAUUUGACUUAUCGUCGACAAAUAAUACUGAUCUUGUCUAGAUACCGCCUUGGUUACACCGGCUCUCUAGUAUAAGGUUAUUAUUAUUUGGCACGAUAAGCCCUUAGCACCAUAUUGAUUAGAGCGUGGUUCAUGAGGUGUGGAUUCCCCCCUCAUGAUUUAAUUGGCAUUAAUACGGAUUAUUUAGCCCAUGAUGCAUGUUGAUACGGAUCCAGAUACCCAAGUACGUUAUUUCAAUAGAUUUCUCUUCAAUUUACUCUCGCCAUUGCAAUUCCAGUCUUAGAAUUUAUUAUCGCCAUUUCAAUUCCAAUUUUAGGAUAAUUUAAAUCACUUCCACCACAAUUCCAACCACCCAUUUACAAAAUUAAUUCUACAUAUAAUUAAAAUCCACCUCCUCGUGGGAUCGACACUCGUCACCAUUAGUCUAUACUACAAUAGAUUCGUGCGCUUGCGAGUACAUUAAAAUUUGCACAACAAAUACAUCUUGCCUACUUCAAUAUCCGGUGAUUCUGAUUUCGCCAUGUAUCUGUAAUAUUUAUAAAAUUAUUACAUUACAUUUACAGAAAUAAAAAAUUGACUCGUUAAAAAAAAAAAACUCUAAUUUUUUGGUGCGACAGGCGCCUGCCGCUCCAAAAAACUGGUGCGACAGCGGGCCGCGCAUGGGCGCGCGCUGCUGCCCAGCGAUGGGCGCCGGCGCGCGCCCUGCCCCCCUCCCUCCCCACCCCCAAAAUUAAGCGCAAUCACUCCAAAAUCGAAAACAAUACUCCCAAACACCACCAACCACCACAAACAUCAUCACCACCAUUAUUAAUCUCAAGCUAUAACUAUUAUUAUUCUAAAAUCUCAUUUUAAAUUAAUGAAAAUAAGAAAAAUGACUAACCUAGGUUUUGUUGAAGGUUGUAGAUCGUAGAUCGGAUGCCGGUGAGAGAUGGAGCCGCCGCCGACGAGGGUUGAUGUCGCCGCCGAUGAUGGGAGUUGGAUCGGUUUGGGAGAGAUGAGUGAAAAAGGGAGUGUUGGGGAAGAGAUGAGGGAGGGGUAUUUUGGUCUCAAAUGUUGUUUUAUGGCUAAUGUUGAUAGAAAUAUUUUUGGGGGGUUAAGAUGAAAAAAAGCAAAAUUUUUUGGGUUAUUACUGUAAAUUUCCCAUAUUAUUACCCUGUGACAAGAUUUUAAACUUUAUAUCUAGACUAAAGUGACAAAUAGCGUAGCACUGCAAUCGUCAAUCUUACUCAGCAAAGUUGCUGCCAAGAUCCAGGUGGCAGAAGUCCAGAGGAUGGGACCAAAGGUUAAAGUGAAGAGACCCCAUGGCAUGUGCUUCCAAUAAUAACAGUCUGAAUUCAAGUUCCAAACAUGUGGUCGUUAUGCAAUCUCUCCGUUUCUCAACUUCAUAGAGGCAUUUCAUCGAACAGUCCAUAUACUCGGCAUCUAUCUAAAUUUACGAGAAGGUUCCAGGAAGUUCCUAGUGCUGCCCUCAUCUUCAAACUUGGAAGACCAUUCAAAGCUUUCAAUAACUAGCUUUGAUUAUUGAGUAAAAUAUGAUAAUCUAGCGAUGAUGAUGAUUUAUAUAUGUGAUUAAAAAGCUAAGAUAGUGGAUUUGUAUGUAAGCACACGGCAGAGUAUUUGAGCAAGUAUUUUUAUCUUCUUAUUGUCGUAUUCUUCUAAUCAAUUUUUUUUUCCAUCAACAAAUAUAAUAAAAAAUGUAAAUGUUAGGAUCUUGGACUCAAAUCUUUAAAUUAAAAAUCGUGAUAAUUUUAUCAGUAAACUACAACUCUAUCUUGAUCAAAGUUUUCACCGAAGCAAACAAAGAUUAGUGAUUAGAUGUUAAUAAACAUAAAAAAAAAAAACGAUAAUACACGAAUAAUAAGGUAUGCUAAGCGAUUAGACUAAAAGAAAAUGCAGAGGCACAAGUUUGAUCUCAAGACUCAAUGGGUAAUCCAAAUAAUGCAAAAAUGCCGAACUAAAUUCAUAUGAGGUGAAGACUCGUGCUUCCAAGUCAACUAGAUUCCCAAUGAUUGAGAUACAUAGUUAUAAGGGUUAUCACGGUUUCAUUAUUUUUGAUAUAUAUAUAUAUAUAUAUAUAUAUAAGAUAUAAAAUAACUAUAAAAAGUAUUGGUGUUAUCAUUUUAUUAGUGUAUCUUUAAAAAAACCUUUUAUUUUAUAAUAUUUUUGUUAAUAUUGUGAGUCCAACACUAAUGUCAUAUUGAUAUUAAAGCGCUAAAAGUGUCUUUAGAUUCAAAACUAUGAUAAAAUUAUAUGCAAUUUAACAUUACAAGGGCGGUAGAGUUAUUAUUGCGGUUAAGAAAGAGGAAAAAAAUUGUAAAUCUCAAAUAUCUACGCGUCAUCAUUAUCUUUUUCUUCUUCAUUUUUUUCUUUUUUCAGACAGUGGUCCACCAUCUUUGAAAAAUUAUAGGCGCUUUCGAAUGGGUACUACAAAGCCAUGCAUUGGCAUUGAUGGUCCCAUCUUAAAGAGGAAUUAGAGGAAUUUUGGUGGCAGCAGUGGGUGUGUAACUUUUUUUUUUAAAUGAUUUAUCUCUAGGAAUACAUGAUCAAUUUGAAAGUGGAUUUUACAUAAAAUUUCUUUGCGAUUGCUUUUCAAUUGAUCAGUUUGAUUUGGUAAUGGAAUAAUGGUUUUGUUAUUAUGAGUUUGAAGGAUUAGAUGGUUUUGUUAUCAUUUACAUGUAAAAUAUUGAAAAUUAUUAGACUUCAUUUAAGAAAUUUGAUUAUAAGUCACAAAAUUAAUUAUCUAAAGGAUUAGAUACAAGAAAACAUAUUUUUUUGGGGCAAGUGGGUCAUUUUUUGUCAUAAAGCAAAAUAAUUAAAUACAACUUAUAUUAAAGCUACUUUAAUAGUUAAAAAAGAACUAAGUAAGAAAAAAAUAUAAGAAUGAUUUAAUUGAUUAAUUAUAUAAUUUUUUCUGUUGAUUUAUAUUUAUUAAAAAAAAAGUGUAUUUAUUACAAAUAUUUUUAGAAGUAGGAUGGAUUUACACAAUAGUAGGGUGGAAAUACCCUCACCCACAGGUUAAUUGGAUUUGGAUAGCGCUAGGUGGCAUUUUGGUGUCUCAUUGAAUUUUCUUGUUACCAGUUACUGCUGUGUUGCCGAUAUUUUUCAACUUGUAGUUGUAAGGCUUCUCAAGCAAAUUUUAUGGUAGCUUUCGAUAAUUUUAAGUGUUUAUUAAAUUUUUAACUACUGUAAUUUAAAAGGUACAGUUCAUAAGCAAUAAUACCAGAGAGAGGGAAUUAAAUAGAUUGAGAAUGAUUUUUGAUUCAGGGCGAGUUUUCGAGUGCUUUACGAACAAUCAAAAUGCUAAUCCUAUUAGCCAAUAAACACAAGCGCUUUGUAAAGAACAUUACGGGAAAAACCCUCUAUAUAAAUAACAAUCGUGUAAUUACGGAGGGCGUAUCUUAAUUACAUGGCAGUUACAUUCAAUAACAACAAUAUUACUUAAAAAAUUUCUAUUAGCAAUGAGUAUGUUGGAGGCAGGAUAGAAAAAAUCUGAAGACUUUGCAAACUUUUUGUGAAAAUGCAUCACAGUUGUCUUGUUCUUUCACUGUUGAUAAUCGCAAUACAAUGAAGGCCAAGAGACCCAAAGUGAAGUGGCCCAUGUGCUUUUCUAAUUACACCCUCCUACAAACUUUUUGCGGACUUUAUUAUCAAUUUUUUUAAAAAAAAAAUAAAUAUACAAAUAAAAAGACAAAAGAUGAGACUUAUAGUACCAGUGGCGGGUCCCCGGGUCCUCAACUUCUUCAAAUGGGCAUUUUAUCGAACAGUUGAUGUACUCGGAAUCUACACUUACACGAGGGUUCUAGGGAGUUGCAAGUGCUGCCGGCAUUUUUCAAAUAAUCAAGUGAUUAUUCAGUAAUAAUUAGCUUUGAUUUUUGAGUAAUAUAUGAGUAUGAUAAUCAAGUGAUUAUUGAGUAUAUAUGAUAGCCAAGUGAUUUUGGGCUCAAAUCUUUAAAUUAAAAUUGUGAUCAUUUUAUCAUUAAACUCCAAUUCUAUCUUGAUUAAUAAACAAAUAUUAGAAAGUAGUUGUUAAUAAAAUAUAAAAAAAAGUUUAAAAAAAUCAGGUUGGAUUUUUCAGGAAUAAAUCUUCAAGAAACUAAAUAUGCUUGGUCUAAUUGAAGUUAUUAUUAUUAAUUUUUUUUUUGAGAAUCUAAUUGAAGUUAUUAAAAUGUCAAAAUUAAACCUUUUUAAAUAUAUUAGGGAUUGUAAAGAGUUUCGGAUAUAAUUGAGGAUGAUGAGGUGAUAAAUUUAUGGAGGAAACCGCCAAAAUCUCUCUAUUUAUUUGCCAUGAUGUGAAUAACCAGAGCAACUAAUACUUCAAUUCUCAUCACUGUUGCAAUAGAGGUUUCAUGAAUUAUGAAUAAUUAGUGACGAUUGCGUAUUUAAGCCUAAUUAUCUUAAGAAUCUAUCGAUGAUUUAGGUUAGAAGUCCAUUAGUUAGUCUAGUACAUAAACUAAAGUUUAAUAUAUCUACAUAUAACUGAAUGAAUAUCUUAUGCAUUAUAUUCACUCCAUCAAGUAUGAAGUAUAUAUAUAAUUAAAAUGAUCUACAAGUACUAGGCGUACAAAAAUCGAAUGGUAAGAGUAGAAUAUAUAAGCAUCGGCAUUAUAUGACGGGAAAAGAGCUCAUUAAUAAAUUACACGAGUGAUAAUACUGCUUGAAUCAGGCUCACGUCCAAGGUUGAGAAGAGUUAAAUUAAGUAACUCUUCGAUGAUUUCUUGUGCGUAAAAUUAUAAAUUUAUAAUCAUCAAUAUAUCUCGAGACUUUGUAAAGUUACUGCGAAAAUGCAUCACAGUUGUACUUAUUAUCAUUUUUUUUCUGAUACCAGUGGCGUGGCCUCGUGGGUCCUCAAAUUAUUCAUAUGGGCAUUUCAUCGAACAGUUGAUAUACUCGGCAUCUGCACUUGGAGGACGCGUUCAAAAACUCUAAAUCAUGUUAAAGUCAACCAAAAAGACAAAUGGUUGUGUUAACGUGUACAUUUGGGUGGGAACAUCAAAUAUAAACAAAGACCAUGUGAAAAAGAAAACCAAAAAGCUAGAAAUAAAAAAAGGGAGCACAGUGAAAGAUCUGCAAAGAAGGGUUUCGGACAAGGACGAUUAUGAAUAGGGGACCAGAAGAUGUAUAAGGGAUUUCAGAGAAUUUGAGAGAAGUGGGAUGAUUAAGAAAAUGCAGGAGCAGGACAUUUAUGACCUCUAUUAGUAAUUUGAUUUCGUGAUGCAUUUUCAAAAAGAAAAUCAUGCAAACAAUUGGAGACUAGGUGAUGAUAAUGAAAUAUCACAUAACGUACUUAAUAAUUUAUAUGCAAUAAUGUGGAAUCGACAAUUCUGAAUCAUGUUAAAGUCAAGAAAAAGAUAAAACAUCAAACAUGGAAAGUGGCAAUUGCUGUAUUGCGUUGCGUGUAUUUUGGGAUCAUCAAAUACAAACAACUACCACGUUAAUGAUGCGUUUACUUCGUGGAAAGGAAAUAGAGUGGAAUGAGAAUGUGUUGAGAAUAAGAAUAAACUGGAAUGAGAAAGAGGAAUGCAAAUGGGAUUUUAAUAUUUAAUUGACAAAAAUAAAUGAGAAUGAGAAUAUGUUGGAAUGUUAUUGAUAUGCUUACUUGGCAAAAUAAAUGAGAAUGAUAAUCAAUUUUUCAAAAUACCUAUAGUAUUAAAUAAUAUAAUUUUCAUUAACUAGAUACAUGUAUAAAUUUUAUUAUAAAAAUGAUAUUAAUUAAAAACUAAAAUUAAUAAUAAUAAUAAAUGUUAAUAAUGAUAAUAUUAAUAAAAAUAAUAAUAACAAUAAUUAACAAUAACUAAAAUAAUAAAGUUAAUAAAAUUUAAUAAUAAUAAUAAUGAUAUUUAAAAUAAUAAAAUUACUAAAUUUUGAUAAUAAUAAUAAAUAAUAUUAAUAAUGAUAAUAUUAAUAAAAAUAAUAAGAAUUAUUAUUAUUAUAAUAACUAAAAUAAUAAAGUUAAUAAAAUUUAAUAAUAAUAAUAAUAAUUUGAACAAGGAUAAUUAGGAAAAUAUGAAAAAAUUAGAAAGAUACAAAAGUGAGUUCAGGGAAUUAGAAUCCUCAUUCCCAACCCCCAUGGGAUUAUUCCUAAAUUAUGUGGAAUCCACACAUUUAAUUCUCAUUCCCAAAUUAUAUUUUGUCAAGUAAACAUAAAUUUCAUUCUCAUUCUUUUAUUUCCAUUCUCUAAUCUCUCAAGUAAACACAUCAUAAAAAGGAAAAAACACAUCAUAAAAGAAGCAAAAGCUAAUGAGAUUGGUAAAGAUAUAUCAAAAGAAAGACUAAUAGAACUUUCCCAGCAGCAUUAAUCAUGAUUAUUUGAUAAGAUAGAGGUAAUAAAUGAUUAUAUUUUUGGUGGAAAACAGAACAGAGCACGUUACAAGAGCUGAUUGCUUUCUUUAUUUUUUGUUAAUAUUUAAACAAAAAUACAAGUCAAUGAAAAAAAUUGAAAAUAACGCACCAUCAAAUCAACCUUGGUGCAGAAAAAUAUUAACAUUUAAUGAACUUAGAGGGAUGAGUUGGGCUAAGUCUUUAAAUCAGCUCUGUCGUGGAAUAUAACAGGAAGAUUAAAAGAAAAAUCAAUCAACUACAACUAGUAUAUAAUAUAAUGUUUUCACAUUUAAUUAAUUAGGAGACGGAUACACUAGCAAUCAGCAUUAAUCAAAAUUAUUUAAUAAACUAGUAUUUAUUGGAUACCUUGGUGCAAAACAGAGUGUUGAGAGAUAAAAAUUAGAGUACGUUUGGGAUUGGGCUACAGCUGUUGUGAAAAAAAAAAUUAUAAUUAUGAAAUAAAAGUUAGUAAUAUAUAGUAAAUAUAAAUUUUAAAUAAUAAUUUUGAUAAAAUUAUUAAAGAUAUAAUAUAUUUUUUAUUAUACAAGUGAAAAAUUAUAUUAACAUAGCUUCAAAGCUACAUCAGUUAGUGUUUAUCAAACACUUUAGUGCUGUAACUUUUAAACUAUAACUGCCCAACCUCAAUCUCAAAUGCACCCUUAAACUGGUGUCUUUCAGUCUUUGGCAGGUGCUUGGUGCUUAAUAAUUUUUCAUGACAAAAAAAUCGAUAAUUAGAAUGAUUAUAAGUUAAUUUAAUGCUGAAUUUCAUCAUUAACUGCUGAAAUACUCCGGAAAUCCAAAUACAUUUAACUAAACACAAAUUUAAUCAAAUCAUUGAACACGCAAUCUGAAAGCGGAUUCAAAAUAACUUUAAUAGAAAAGCCAAAAGCAGAACAAUCAACAAAGAAGCAGAAGAACCUCUCACCAAUGCCAUUUGACCCUUCAUAGAAAGAAAGAAAUCAAGCUCCAUGUAAUAUAACGCCUCACAAAUUACACAGAAAAAUGGCCGCAUUCCAUAUGAUGCAUAGAAUGUGGCCCGAAUCCUCUUCGUAAGUUUGGAAUUUCUGGAGAAAAAUACACAAUGAAGGUGAAAUCAGGAAAAUAAGGAUAGUGAUAUUUCGUGCAAUUUUCAUGUAAAUUGCAGGAAUUAGCCUCUAUUUGGUAAGUAGUACUGGAUGCCUAACUAUUAUUACUAUUACUAUUAUUUACAUGGAUGGGGUUGGGUAAGACAGGUUCAUCAUAAUUAACCAAACCCAACCCAACCCAAUUAUUAAUUGGAUUCAAAAAAAUUUACCUAAUAACCUCAUAAUAAUUCACUCAACCCAUCAAAAUUUGAUUAGAUUAGAUUGAGUUGGAUUGUGUUCAUCGGGUUGGAUUGAGUUUGGCUACCCCUAACUCUUGGCCCAUAUUAUUUAUUUUUAUUAUUUGGUAAUUUUAUUCAACCAAUAAAUUUAAAUUUCAUCAAUAUAUAUAAAAUAAGUUUAUACAAGAGCUUUUAACUCUAUCUGUUGUUUGUGAAAGCAAUUCCAGAAAACCAAAACGGCAGAAGACUUUGUGUUUAGAAGCUGGAAACACUUAAACUCAAACGGCACAAGAUCCUGCGUUUUGAUGAGUAAAAGAAAUGCACUUUUGAACGACGUAUGGGUUUGUCGUUUAGAUUUAAGUGAUUCACGCGUAUAUCACGUGCUUGAGUUCAGCUUUGCAAAGUUCGUUAUAUGUCGUUAGAAGCACGAAGAACUCACGUGAGGUGCUGGGGAUUUUCUGGGUUUGUUAGCUAAAGCUGUUAUGGAACAGCUGAUGUGGAAGCAACGGAUUAGAGAGCAGAGAGAGCUAAAGAGAGAGAAGGGAACUGGUUAUAUAAGCUAGUUGUGAUCUGUCUUUGAGAAGCUAAGCAUUUACUCUGUAAUUCAUCUGAAGGAAAUCAAUAAAGCUGUGUUCUUUCCCUCCCGUGGAUGUAAGCUAGAGAAAUCUAGCUGAACCACGUUAAGAUUCUUUGUUCUUUCUUUACAUUACUUUCUUUUGUUUCUUUAGACCAUUUUGUUGACCAUUUAAGUUCCAUAGAUUUCAUCUUAGUCGUAGCUUUUCGGUAAACCAUCUUGUUGCAUCUUGUUCUGUUGGCUGGAGAUCUUGGGGCAGAGUCUUGGGUUGCUCUAUCAGUCAUUAGCACCUGAGAUUCUACAAUUGAUAUCAGAGCUGGAUCUACAACCAAUGACAAGUAUGGUUUCAACCAAGAUCGAUCUUGAGAAGUUUACUGGUAAGAAUGAUUUCAACAUGUGGAAGGUGAAGAUGGAGGCCUUGCUGAUAACACAGGGGCUAGGAGAUGCACUCGAACCUGUCACCAAGAGGGAAAGGAAAGAAGAAUCAUCCUCCAAGACACCUGAAAUGACUGCCGAGAUAGACAAGAAAGCCAGAAGCACUAUCAUAUUGAGCCUUGGUGACUCAGUGAUAAGGGAGGUUGCCAAGGAGAAGACUGUUGCAGACCUAUGGGCAAAAUUAGAAAAGAUUUACAUGACUAAAUCUUUGGCUAAUAGGUUGUAUAUCAAAAGAAGGAUGUUCACACUGAAGAUGGCAGAAGGGUCCUCUCUGGAUGAUCAUAUCGAUGAAUUUAAUCAAGUUUGUGACACACUUGAAACCAUUGAUGAGGGGCUGGAUGAUGAAGGAAAGGCAUUGCUUCUGGUGAGCUCUCUACCUCAGUCUUAUUCAAAUUUUGUUGAUGCCCUUAUGUAUGGAAGAUCAACCUUAUCAUUAGAUGAGGUUAAGGCUGCCUUAAAUACUAGAGGGCUACAAGAAAAAUCUGGAAAUAUGAUGCAUGCUGAAGGGUUAUCAGUAAAGGGUAAAUCUAACAAGAAUGAUGGGAAGAAAAAGAAACAAAAGCAAGAAAAGUCUAAAUCACAAAACAAAAAGUGCUUCCAUUGUCACAAAGAAGGCCACUUUAAGAGAGACUGUCAAGAACUGAAGAACAAAAGCAAGGAAAGAAAUGGUGAUGCAGCUACAGUAGAGGAAGAAGGUUAUGAAUCUUCUGGUGUAUGUGUGGCUACAGAGGAUCUCCAGAGAGGUAAAUGGAUACUAGAUUCUGGUUGCACCUUUCAUAUGUGCCCAUUUAAAACUUACUUCUCUGAUUAUCAUGAUUUAGAUGGGGGAAAAGUAAUGAUGGGUAACAAUGCUGUAUGUAUAGUCAUAGGCAUGGGAAAUGUGAGUCUUAGGCUUCAUGAUGGGACAAUAUAGGAACUUAGAGAGGUCAGAUAUGUUCCUGAUUUAAAAAGGAACUUAAUCUCACUAGGUUUGAUUGAUCAGAAUGGGUUUAGUAUUAAGCUUGAAUCUGGUAGGUUGCUAAUCAUGAAGGGCUCUAAGAUAGUAAUGAAAGGGUUUAAAAUGAAUGGAGUAUAUGUCCUAGAUGGUGAGGCAAUUACAGGGAUAACAUAUGUGAUUGUUGGCACUGGUAGGGAAAGCACCAGGUUGUGGCACCUAAGAUUGGGGCAUAUGAGUAUUAAGGGGUUAAAAGAGCUUGAGAAACAAGGAGUUCUGGGGAAGGAUAAGAUAGAAGAGCUAGAUUUUUGUGAGGAUUGUGUAUAUGGAAAGUCCACAAGGCACAGUUUCAAAAACUCAACCAGCAAAUCUAUUGGCAUCCUAGACUACAUACACUCUGAUCUCUGGGGACCUGCACAGACAAGCUCAUUAGGUGGAAAUAGUUAUUUUUUGUCAAUAAUAGAUGAUUAUUCAAGAAGGGUUUGGGUCUAUGUACUGAAGCACAAAGAUCAGGUCUUUAACAAAUUCAAAGAAUGGAAAACCUUAGUUGAAAAUCAGACUGGAAAGAAGGUUAAGAAGUUAAGAACAGACAAUGGACUUGAGUUCUGCAAUCAGCAAUUUAACAGCUACUGUGCAAAUGAAGGGAUAGCAAGGCAUAAAACAGUGAGGUUAAGACCUCAGCAAAAUGGAUUGGCAGAAAGAAUGAACAGGACCUUGAUGGAUAAGGUGAGGUGCAUGCUGGUGCAAGCAAAGUUUCCAAAAAGUCUCUGGGCAGAAACAUUGUUAACAGCAAGUUAUCUGGUGAAUUUGAGUCCCUCUGCUGCUCUAGACUUUAAGACUCCAUUUGAAAUGUGGCAUAGGAAACCAGCAAGCUAUGUCAAUCUUAAAGUGUUUGGAUGCCCUGCUUAUGCACAUAUCAAUCAAGGAAAGUUAGCACCCAGGGCUCUUAAAGGUCAGUUCCUAGGCUAUCCUGAUGGAGUUAAAGGAUACAAACUAUGGUGCACUGAUCUAGAACCUCCAAGGUGCAUAAUAAGCAGAGAUGUGGCAUUCAAUGAGAAGGCUGUUUUGGAAAUCAGAAAGGAUGCUGAACUGAAAACUAAGAAACCUCAAGUGCAAGAAGACAUCCAAUUUGAGGUGGAGCAUCCUGAUUCAAAGAAAUCUGAGAGGGGGAGCAACUCAGAUCAAGACGGUGGAGAUGAAAAUGAAUGCAGUGACCCUCAACCACAAUCUCAAAAGCAGACUCAAGUACAAGGUUAUCAGUUGACAAAAAAUAGAGAAAAGAGACAAAUCAAACCACCACAGAGAUAUGGGUACGCUGAUCUGAUAGCAUAUGCACUAGCUGCUUCACACGAUAUUGAUGUAGAUGAGCCCAAGAAUUAUGCAGAGGCUAUUCAAAGCUCAAACAAAUCAGAUUGGCAUGAGGCUAUGAAUGAUGAGAUAGCUUCUCUUAAGAAGAAUCACACCUGGAUACUGAUUGAGAAACCUGGUAACAGAAGGACAGUGGGUUGCAAGUGGGUUUUCAGAGUCAAGGAAGGCCUCACAGCUAGUGAACCUAAAAGGUACAAAGCUAGGCUAGUAGCAAAGGGGUAUACUCAAAGGGAAUGAGUUGACUUUAAAGAGGUAUUCUCCCCUGUGGUCAGGCAUGCAUCCAUCAGGGUGUUGUUUGCAAUGAAUGCAGUUCAUGACUUAUAGCUUGAUCAACUUGAUGUCAAGACUGCUUUCUUACAUGGAAGACUACAGGAAGAAAUCCUUAUGACUCAACCUGAGGGUUAUGUGGAUUCUGAGAAACCAAAUCAUGUCUGCUUGCUGAAAAGAUCACUGUAUGGGCUCAAGCAAUCUCCAAGGCAAUGGUAUCUCAGGUUUGAUGAGUUCAUGCUGUCACAUGGAUACCUAAGAUGCAGUUUUGAUUGCUGUGUAUAUUACAAGCUAAUAAGCACAAAUCUCUACAUAUACCUGUUACUAUAUGUAGAUGAUAUGUUGGUAGCCUGUAAAUCAAGAGAAGAAAUUGAAGCUUUGAAGAAUUUGCUGAGCUCUGAAUUUGAGAUGAAAGAUUUGGGGUCAGCAAAGAAGAUACUGGGCAUGGAAAUCAAGAGGGAUAGAAGCAAAGGCAUUAUGUUUCUUUCUCAAGAGAAAUAUCUGAGGAGGGUACUGGAAACCUUUGGGAUGACCUCAUGUAAACCUGUGAUGACUCCAAUAGCAACACAUUUUAAGCUCUUCAGCCUGCAAUGUCCUAAAACAGAAGAAGAAAAGUUAGAGAUGGCUAAGAUUCCCUAUGCUAAUGCAGUUGGCUGCAUGAUGUAUGCUAUGGUUCUAACUAGACCUGAUAUCUCAUAUGCUCUAAGUGUAGUUAGCAGGUACAUGGUAUCUCCUGGUAAAGAACAUUAGAGAGCUGUAAAAUGGGUGCUGAGAUACCUAAGUGGAACCCUGAGCCAUGGGCUGAUUUAUGGCAAGUCAAGGAUCAAAUCUGAGGGGAUCAGUGGUUUUGUUGAUUCUGAUUUUGCAGGGGACUUAGACAGGAGAAGAUCUCUCACAGGGUAUUUGUACAUGCUGGAUGGUUGUUUGAUUAACUGGAAGGCAAGUCUUCAGCAUGUUGUUGCAUUAUCAACAACAGAAGCUGAGUAUACAGCAGCUGCAGAAGCAGUAAAGGAAGCCUUAUGGUUAAAAGGCUUGAUUUCUGAGCUAGGAAUGAGUCAGAAAAUAGUUGAUGUGUUCUGUGAUAGUUCAAGUGCCAUUUACUUGAGUAAAAACCCAGCUCACCAUGAGAAGACAAAGCACAUAGAUAUAAAGCUGCACUUCAUCAGAAAUGUAGUCUCCAUGGGUGUGGUCAGAAUGGUAAAGAUACAUACAGACAGAAAUCCUGCUGACAUGUUAACAAAAGUAGUCACUACAGCUAAGUUCAAGGCUUGCUUGGACAUAGCUGGUCUUGGUUGUUGGUAAUCCAUUCUGGAGAUGGAGGGGGAUACCAGGGAAGAUUUGUUUCAAGGUGGAGAAUUGUUGUUUGUGAAAGCAAAUCCAGAAAACUAAAACGGCAAAAGACUUUGCGUUUAAAAGCUGGAAACACUUAAACUCAAACGGCACAGGAUCCUGCGUUUUGAUGAGUAAAAGAAAUGCACUUCUGAACGACGUAUGGGUUUGUCGUUUAGAUUUAAGUGAUUCACGCGUAUAUCACGUGCUUGAGUUCAGCUUUGCAAAGUUCGUUAUAUGUCGUUAGAAGCACGAAGAACUCACACGUGAGGUGUUGGGGAUUUUCUGGGUUUGUUAGCUAAAGCUGUUAUGGAACAGCUGAUGUGGAAGCAACGGAUUGGAGAGCAGAGAGAGCUAAAGAGAGAGAAGGGAAUUGGUUAUAUAAGCUAGUUGUGAUCUGUCUUUGAGAAGUUAAGCAUUUACUCUGUAAUUCAUCUGAAGGAAAUCAAUAAAGCUGUGUUCUUUCCCUCCCGUGGAUGUAAGCUAGAGAAAUCUAGCUGAACCACGUUAAGAUUCUUUGUUCUUUCUUUACAUUACUUUCUUUUGUUUCUUUAGACCAUUUUGUUGACCAUUUAAGUUCCAUAGAUUUCAUCUUAGUCGUAGCUUUUCGGUAAACCAUCUUGCUGCAUCUUGUUCUGUUGGCUGGAGAUCUUGGGGCAGAGUCUUGGGUUGCUCUAUCAGUCAUUAGCACCUGAGAUUCUACACUAUCAUGACUCAUCAAACAAUGUUCGAUGAAAAUAAUAAAUAAAAUAUACAAAGGUAUCAUUAAAUCCAAAAGCAUCCAAUGUGUCAAAAAUUAUCCUAUCAUUUGAGAUAAAAAUAUUAAAAUAUUAUUUUCAAAAUCAAUAAUGAUGUAACCACAAACAUUUUUAUAUGAACUUGUGUAAACAAACUAAUGUGGCAUAAAGACAUUAGUUAAAAAGCGAUAACUAUUAUUUUUGUAAAUUAUGUGGGUCUAUAAUAGUUUUAUACAACCAAUCUUCUCAUGCAACAUCUAUAUGAAUUUUUUUUUACAAGGUGAUUGUGGCUCUAUAUAUCCAAGCCGUUGUUCAACUUCAAGAGGUUCAAAUUUUGUGAAAGAAGCCAAGAAGAGAUUUUACGCCAUUCAACAUGCCUAUUCUGCUGUUAACCUUACUAAAUUCCAAAAUUUUUAAUUCUUAUUUAUUUAUUUAUUAUGCAUGUAAUUUGUAGUAUACAAUAAGAAAUAAAAUUGUAAUCCUUUUUAUAAUGAUGGAUAAUUAUCGGAUUCACGAGAUGUUGUUUUCCUUCUUCUCUCUUCAAGUUCUAUUUGUUGCCAACAAGAGGUUCUUGUACUAUGUAGGAGUCUAUGAUAGUGAUGAUGAAUAAAAUAAUAUGAGCUCCAAUUUUGUGUGUGUGUGUGUCUCUCUCUCUCUCUCUAUUUAUAUAUAUUGAUUUCAUUUCAUCUUUAACUUUUUAAUGCGCUUUUGUUGCUUUGAAGAUACAGCAAAAUUAACUCCUACAAGAAGGGGGGAGGGGGGAACGGGGGAGGAUUUUAUUACAUGAGACUUUUUAGUUUUGUUUUGAGGGAAUGGGAGAUUUCUUGAAUGAAAUGGCUGUGAUGAUGAGCCAAACACAAACUAAUGUAAGCAUUCUUCAAUGCAUAUUUAUGUUUUCUACAGAAUAAUUUGAGAAUUGUGUUUGGAAAUUCCUAGGCAUUAUUUAGCUUUUUCCAAGAUUUAGUUAUGGCUUUUACUUUGCUGGUUGGCAAAAGAAUGACGGUAUUUUGAUUUCUCCUAAUCAGAUUGCAAAUGGGUCACUUAGUCACAAGGGCAACAUAUUUUAAUCUGUUUUUAUUUUUAUCCUCAGUGUGUUCAUGCUCUGAAAAGUAGUGAUUCAUGAUGCCUAGUUUUGGUCUUGUUCAAUGGGCAAUUACAUAUAAGUUCUAUUGUUGGAAAAUUGAUUGGUGAAGCAGACAUGCAACUAAAGUGAAAUUGAAAAAUAAUGAGACAACAGAAUCACACAGGGACAUCAAGAUUUAUGUGGUUCAGCUUUUAAUCUAGAUUCAUGGGCGAAAACAUAAGAAAAAUAUUUUUCUAGUGAUAUGAGAAUUACAAAUAUUAUAAUAUUUUGGCUCACUACCAAAAUUUCAAUACACCCAAUCUCUCUUAUUGCCCAUUGUAUAUUAUCAGACUCCCUUUUGUUGCAAUCUUGUGAUUGAGCAGGUCUCAAGAUUCUGACCUUUUUCACCCCGCUUUCUGACAGAAGAAUUUGCCUAUCAUUGUCAAGUAAUUGGCAAUUAGCCACCAUCUGCUCUAUUCAUUAUGAAGGCAUUGUAUAUUUAUUAUUUUCUUGCAAAUUUUGAUGCAUUUUCACUUCUUCUGCUUCUUUCAUUCAUUUGCUGGGCUUUUGAGUUUUGUAUUUCAUAUUUUAAAUAGUGAACAACAGAAUAAUCCCUAAAUUAUGGUCUGCUGGGAGCCUGGUUAUUUGGGUAGACUAUGGCACAAGAAAAUGAAGAGAAGAAGGAAGAUGGGAAUGCUGGGGAAGCCUCAACCGAAGCAAAAUCAUCUGAAAAUAAAAUCCAUAAAUCAUUGAAGGCCAGAUCUAAAAUUGCAAAGAAGUCACCAGUUAAUGACUUUGAAAGAACUUUAAGUAUUUAUGUUUGGCAAGCGAGAAAGCUAAAAGAGAAUGAAAGAAAAUACAUAAAUGAACAACUUGAUAAUAUUCUUAUUAUUAGAUCUGAACGGAUUACACAAUUAUUUAUAUGUAAAGAGAGCAGCUUGUUACAUUUGUUAGUAAUCUGUUACACACAUAUGAAGAAUGCUUAAUCAGAGUAACUAACUAAGCCACGUCACCAAGCCACAUCAGCUGAGGGAGUGAAUCUGCUGCAGUCAAGUACAGCUGAAUAAACUACACUCGAUUCCUCUGUUCUUCAUAUUAAGCAGCUUCACUAACAUCCUCUCUUAAACUGAAGCUUCUUUUCUGUUCUCUACAAAUCAUCAGCUUCACUAACAUCCCCUCUUGAGCUGAGCCUUCUAGGAUGAACAUUUAACUUGCUACGCAAAUAAUGAAACUGAGUGAAAGUGAGAGCUUUAGUUAAGACAUCAGCUGUUUGAUCUGCACUAGGCACAAAACAAACAGUUAACUCUUUAGAUGCCACUUUAUCUCUGAUGAAAUGAAUGUCCAGCUCAACAUGCUUUGUUUUAGCAUGAUAAACUGGAUUGUAAGCCAAUGCUAUUGCACCCUGAUUAUCACACCAUAUAAUUGGUGUAGCACUUAACUCAAUUUUCAGCUCAGCAAGCAAAGACUGUAUCCAAAUGACCUCUGCUGCAGCAUGAGCCAAAGCUCUAUACUCAGCUUCUGUACUGGAUCUUGAGACAACUGCUUGUUUCUUAGAAGACCAUGAAACUAGAUUAGCACCUAGAUAAACUCCAAAACCAGCAACUGACUUCCUAUCAUCUCGAUCACAAGCCCAGUCUGAAUCAGUAAAACAAUUUAUCUGCAUAGCUCCACAGUUGUAGAACUGCAGACCAAAAUGUAUUGUGCCUUUUAGAUAUCUUAACAACCUCUUACAACCUUCCCAAUGUGCAGUUCUUGGAUUGGAAAGAAACUGGCUGAGGUUAUUGACAGUGAAGGCUAUUUCUGGUCUAGUAAGAGUAACAUACUGCAGGGCUCCAAUAAUGCUUCUAUAUUGAGAGAUGUUGGAAAUCUCAGAACCUGAAGCUUUGGUUAGCUGCUGGCCUGUGGACAUAGGUGUGGGCACUGGACUGCAGGUGACUAAAUCAUGCUUUUGCCAAAACAUCAGCAAUGUAUUUAGCCUGAGACAAGUGAAUUCCAUUUUGAAUUUUAGAAACUUCAAUGCCUAAGAAGUAACUGAGUUCUCCUAGAUCUUUCAAGGCAAAAGUCUGUUGCAUAUCUUGAAUGACUUGCUGAAUUUUUGCUGAGCAGGAACCAGUGACAAUAAUGUCAUCCACAUACACCAAAACCAGAAUUAAGUGACCAUUUUCUUUCUUAUAAAAGAGUGAAUUAUCUUACUUGGAGUUCUGAAAAUGCCACUGAGAAAGCAUAGUUGUUUUAAGUCUAGCAAACCAAGCUCUUGGAGCUUGUUUCAAACCAAGCUCUUAGAGCUUGUUUCAAACCAAGCUCUUGGAGCUUGUUUCAAACCAUAGAGAGCUUUCCUUAGUUUACAAAUGUGCUGAGAUUUAUGAGGAUCAAUAAAGCCUUCAGGUUGUGACAUAGACACUUCCUCAUCAAGAAUGCCAUUUAGGAAGGCAUUGUUUACAUCUAUUUGUCUAAGAGUCCAAUUGUUCAUUACUGCAAUGCUUAGAACUACCCUGACAGUAGAGGCUUUUACUACUGGACUAAAGGUUUCAGUAUAAUCAACACCAUGUGUCUGAUGGAAACCUUUAGCAACCAGCCUUGCUUUGUACUUCAGAACAGUUCCAUCAGGAUUGUAUUUGAUUCUGAAAACCCAUUUGUUACCAACUACCUUAACAGGAGUAGUAGGCAGAACCAAAUCCCAUGUAUGGUUAACCUUUAAGGCUUUAAACGCUUCUUGCAUAGCUUUGAACCAUAAUGGAUCAGAUAAAGCUUGAGAAACAGAGGUAGGCUCAGAGGUUUGUGCUAAAAGGAUAGACAAAUAAGACUUUGGCUUGAAAAUACCAUUCUUUGAUCUGGUUGUCAUAGAAUGACCAAUAGAAUGAGGUGCAGGAAGAAUAUGAGGGGGAGAAUUAUGGGAACGAGAAGUAAAUGGUGAGGUAUCAGGUAUGACAGUAGUUGAGUGUGAUAAUGAGGUAUCAUGUGCAUGAAAACUUUGAGACAAUACCUGAUGAGAGUUGGAAACUGGAGAGACAGGAUCAGCUGCUGAAGUUACUGUUAAAAGAGCCUGGAAUUUGGUAACAGAAGAAGACUCAGGAACUGACUCAACUGAAGAAUUGAUUGGAACAACUUCUGUGACUGAUGAAAAAUCUAUACCAGGAACAUAAGGAAAAGAUUUUUCAUCAAAGACCACAUGAUUAGAAAUAUAGACCCUCUCAGAUGAAUGAAGACAUUUAUACCCCUUAUGAUGAGAGCUGUACCCAAUAAAAAGACACCUCUCAGUUCUGAACUCAAGUUUGUGUCUAUUAUAAGGUCUAAGAUAAGGAAAACAUGCACAGCCAAAAAUUCGAAGAGUAGAAUAAUUUGGUGUUUGAUGAAAAAGUUUCUGAUAUGGAGAGAUAUUAUUUAGAGUUGGUGUAGGAAGUCUGUUGAUCAAGAAGACUGCUGUAUGAAAAGCAUCCCACCAAAAAUGUAAGGGUAGAUGAGCUUGGGCAAGUAAGGUGAGACCAAUAUCAACAAUAUGCCUGUGUUUUCUCUCAAUUCUCCCAUUUUGAUGAUGGAUGUGAGGACAUGGAUGCCUAAAGUGUAUCCCUGAGUUAUUUAGAAGAGAUGAAAAAGACCUGAAUUCCCCACCCCAAUCUGUUUGAACAACCUUGAUGUUUCUUUGUAGAUGUUUUUCAAUAAAAAUUUUAAAAUUAACAAAGACAGGUAGGGCAUCAGAUUUUGCACUUAAUGGGAAAAUCCAAGUAAACCUGCUAAAAUCAUCAAGUAUGGACAUGUAAUAGGUGUAACAUUGGCUGGAAGCAACAUGAGAAGGUCCCCAAAGAUCUGCAUAAAGAAGUUGUAAUGGUGCUGUAGAGAUGGUUUUAACAGAAUUAAAAUGAAGCAUAUGGUUCUUCCCAAACUGACAGGCAUUACAGAAUUCUAACUCUUGAAUUUUAUUGAUAUCAGCAAACUUGUUACAUGAAUUCAGAACUGUUUUUAAUGUGUGAAUGGCAGGGUGCCCCAAUCUCUUAUGAAGAAGAUUUACAUCAAGAGAUUUUUCAGUCACAGCAGACAAACAAACUUUGACACUGCCCUGACAGGAAUUUGAACUAAGUUUCUCACAAGUUGACUGAGGAAGAUAAGCAAAAAGAGACUGAAACUUAUUUUGACUAAGAAUGACUUUAUUGACAGCAGCUGACUGAGUGACAGACUGAGGAUGGGAGGAUGAGCUAGGACUUUUGAUUUUAUAGAGGCCUCCUUUAGCAACUCCUUCAAGCAAGAUGAUCCCGGUGCUCCUGGCCUUAAUGAAACAAGAUGUGCCAACAAAUUCAAGUUUAACAUUGUUGUCAGCAAGCAGUUUAGAAACACUAAGCAAAUUUUUGGUAAUUUUUGGUACAUGUAAAACAUGAUUAAGAAGCAGUGAUUCAAAGGUGUAUGUAACAAGCUGAACUGAUCCAAUAUGUUCAAUAAGCAAUGCAUUUCCAUCACCAACCAAUAAUUGUUCAUUACCAAAAUAAGCUUUAAAAUUGACAAGCUUACCUAAAUCAUUUGUGAUAUGAUUUGUGGCUCCACUGUCAAUAUACCAUGAGGGAUCUUCAACAAUCUCAGGAUUUGCAGCACAGUGUGGCUGAGUUGGUGGAGCUGAAGUACUAGGCAUCCCAUUAGUGAAACCAGGAGCAUAUGGUGAGAAUCCAUUAGUGUAACCAGGAGUAAAGUUAUUAAACCCAGUGGGGUAGUUAAGAGGAGGAUAACCAGAGAUGAUAGCAGGAUCUGAGUAUGCCAUAUAAGCUUGAAAGGCAGCACCUCUUGGCACAUAAGAGUUUCCAAAAUUUGAUCCAAAAUGAGGACCAGGAAACAUUGAGCCCCUUCCAAAACCAUUAAAGGACCUGCCUCUACCAUAUUGACCUUUGAAAUUUCCUCUACCAAAAUUCUUCUUAGGCACAAAAGAAGGAUUAAACCUGUUCUUGCACCUAUUUGCUCCAUGUCCAGGAAUGAAGCAAAUUUGACAGACAACAUCUGAGAAAUUUCUUCCACCAGCAAAUUGAGAUCCAUUAUUAUUAAAACCACCAUUUGGAUUAUUAUCACCACCAAAAUUACCUCCAAAGUUUUUCUGAAAACCAUUGUUAUUUUUACCAGAAUAUGGACCUUUCUGAGCUACAUUUGCUGACAUGUGAUGCAUAACAUCACUAGCAAGUUUACCUUUCUUUUGUUUAAUUCUACUUUCAUGAUUUAGAAGCAACGAAUACAGAUCAUCUAAGGUAAUGGUUCCUUCUCUAGCUAGAACAACAGUUGUCAAAGACUCAUAAUCAGAAGAGUCAAGACCAGUCAACACAUGCAUAACAAAAUCAUUAAGCUCUACUGAUUUUCCUGCUAAGGCUAACGUAUCAGCUAUUCGUUUGAUUUUAGUAAGAUACUCAACCAUACUCAUAGAUCCUUUCUUAAUAGUUUGGAUUUGCAUUCUAAGAGUUUGAAUUCGAGCUUGAGACUGAGAAAUGAACAUACUGUUAAGUGAAUCCCAAAGCUGUUUUGAAGUAGUGCAGUCGAUCACAGUUGACAGCAAGCUUUGCUGAAUAGAUGAUAGCAUCCAGCUCAAGAGGAGUUGAUCCGAUUUCUCCCAGGCAAUGAAGUCAGGAUUUGCAGAUCGUAGCUCACUUACAUUUGAUGAUGAAGCUUCACCAGUGCUAGUAAAAGGAAGAAAUGGCUCUGGACAUUUCAAACCACCAUUGAUGAAACCUUCUAAUCCAUUUCCUUUGACUGAUGCUAAGACUUGUGUCCUCCACAGAAUAAAAUUGUUCUGAUCCAAUUUUACAGGUGUAACAAAGUUGUAAGAAGUAUUAGAUUGAAUCAUACUUGCCAUUGAUGGCUCUGAUACCAUGAAAGAACUUUAAGUAUUUAUGUUUGGCAAGCGAGAAAGCUAAAAGAGAAUGAAAGAAAAUACAGAAAUGAACAACUUGAUAAUAUUCUUAUUAUUAGAUCUGAACGGAUUACACAAUUAUUUAUAUGUAAAGAGAGCAGCUUGUUACAUUUGUUAGUAAUCUGUUACACACAUAUGAAGAAUGCUUAAUCAGAGUAACUAACUAAGCCACAUCACCAAGCCACAUCAGCUGAGGGAGUGAAUCUGCUGCAGUCAAGUACAGCUGAAUAAACUACACUCGAUUCCUCUGUUCUUCAUAUUAAGAAGCUUCACUAACAGACUUGAAGACCGAAAACGCCAAAGUUGCUACACAAGCUUGGCGUAGAUUCAGAAGGAAGAAGAACAAAAAUUUAUUAGAUGAGAAGAAUGAUAAUAACAGCAUUGAAGGAGAGAGUUCUAAGAAGCUAAAUUCAAGAGAAGGAAACCUAAAUGAGAUAAUAACAGCAUUGAAGGAGAGAGUUCUAAGAAGCUAAAUGCAAGGGAAGAAAACCUAAAUGAGAACCUUUCUAAAGAAAAGGACCCAAGACAAGCCAGCAGAAUCAAAAGGAAGCAAGAGGAGAUUGGUCGGUCCGAUAAGAAUCACCGGAAACAAAGAUGUGAAGAGGAGAUUGGUGGGGCAGAUAAAAAUCACUGGAACUAAAGAUGUGUAGAGAAGAUUCCUGUGUCAGACAAGAGUUCGAAGCAUCACAAGGACAAAGAGAAACAAGGAGACGCAGGAAAGAGCCAAGAGAAGGAAAUGAGAAAAGAUAAGCUUGAUGGUUUGAUGUUUAUGUGCAGCGAGAAGACCAAGCCAGAUCCCCUUCUUGAGGAGAGAAGACAUCACCUCAGGUUCCUACUCCGCUGCUAGACAGAGAGAACAUUAUUUGGUCGGAACUGAUCCCUUAAGAAGGGGAGAAACUGAUGAAGUUGAUAGGUUAUACUCAUUGUAUGCCACAAGUGCUUUAUCAAACUACAACAGGCAACACCCAUACGAAGGGCGCAAGCCAGAUUUGGUAGCUGCACCAGUAUCAUCAAGGUACUCCUUUUCCGGUCCAUCUAUGUGUUACCGAUGACAUUUUUACUAUUCAUCCUCUGUACUGUUUGUUUCUUCGUUAGCAAAUUUCUUUCUGUAUAUGAGUCUUAAUAAAAGUUUAAUUGUAGACAGCUUUUUUGCGUUGAAAGUAUAUUUUAAACCUGUCAAACCAAUUAGCUCUCUUGGGAAACUUUAUGACUUCAUAGAAAAUAUUUGUUGCAUUUUGUCACUGAUGGUCAGGCCAUAAAAUUAGUUGAAUGAUGGUGUCAAGCAGUUAGCAAUACAACUUUCUACCAAUGAUAUAACUCUUUUCAUUCUGUAUUUUGUUCGACACUUAAUUUGGUUCCAUUAUGUCAUAAUGUGUGCUUGCUUGAGUUGCAUGUUCAUGCACAAGAAUUUCCCAUCGCAGCGAGGGUUCCUAGGCUACUUUUAGAAGACCUGGAUUUGUCUUUAACUAGCAUAUGACUUUUUUUGAGUUGAAAAGCCUACUGUGAAAGUUACCUGCUCAAAGCAAAAAAAUUUGUUUCUGUGGGAGGAAAAUUAAAUUUUGGCGAAGUUUGCUUUGGGAAUUUUGAAGGUAACUUGAAAAUUUGUUACACAUAUUGAGUGAUUCAAGGUUUUUAAUACAUUUCUUGCAAGGAAUCGUUUUUGUUUGGCUUCUCAAACUGUGUUUCUAAUCCAAUAUCUUAACUAACUUCGGCUGCCAUUUUUUUUUUUAAUCUGGACAGAAAGCUAUUCACUGUUAUAAUGGAUUGUUAUUGGAAAUAAUCAAAUAAAGCCUAUGAAGAAUUAGAAUAAAAUCUAUAUUUUGUCUUUGUGAAGGGAAUAUUGGACAACCAAUCCACCGAUAUUUCUUUUUAUUAAAACCUAUACUUAUUAUAGCCUCAAUCAUUUCGAGACAUACCGGAGAAUUCUAAUUUAAAAAGUUGGUAAAUUUUAAUUCAUUCUCCCGAUAGAACAGCAAUCUUGAUUUUAUCACCUAAAAGAGUGAAAAUAUCAAUUUAGCCUUCAUUUUCAUUCAAUAAGGUGAGAGUAAAUUGAGGAUGCGGUGAUGGAUUUCUUUUUUUUUUUUUUUGGGGGGGGGGGUGGGGAAAUAAAAAAGAGAUGCAUGUUCUUUGUAUGGUCGAUAAUAGAGCCAAAGACUUAUCUCGAGCAUUGCCUUCUUAGGAUCAAAGUUGUGAGUUUAAGCCUUAGUUUCUUGGAAAUAAAUUGAAGACUAUCAUUAAUUGAGGGGUAAAUUGAAGUUUAUUCUAAAAUAUUAUAUGAAACAAUUUAAGCCUUUUACAAUUAUUAAUUGUCUGCUACAAUUUUUUUUUAUUCUAAAGUCUUUAAUACUCUUCUCAUAUUAAUAAUUAGCAGACAUUGUAAAUUUUCAUUAAACAUUUUAUUCUAACAUUUUUCCUCGAAAACGACAAUGGCAAGAUAAUUUGACCUAUCUUGACUGACUGAAUUUGGAUAACUUGUGUUCCACUCUCUCUUCUGCGUCAUUGUGCUAACGUUGCAAGGGAUUCGUCACGCCCACAGUUCUCAAAUUAAAGUUACAUUACAUUUACAUACGUUAAAGACUUUAUAUGAAUAUUCUCCAUCGUCUUUAUUGACCUUUUUUUUAUCUUUUUAUUUUUCCUUGCGUCGAAAGAAUCCUUCACUGAUUGGAAUAUCCAUGAGGACUGGUUGCAAUUGGAAGAGUUCCUGAAAUUCAUCUUUCAUUCGAUCUUAAAUACUUUCUCCGAACAAUUAGAAUACAUUAAGAUUUUAUGAACUUGCUUAGUAGAUCAUUCAACUACUUAAUUGGUGCUAUUAAUUAAUUGAUUAUCUUCCCAGAAACACAUUAAAGACUCUCACCGGGAUUCAUUAAAUCUUUUUGCUGGGUCAAUUCUACCAGCUUUAGACGUAAAAGCUUCGUGAUAAGAGCACAAGCAUAUCGUCUUCAAAAGCUCCUUAAAAAAGCUAGCCAUUUUCUUUAUUGUCAUUUCCAUCCAUUUUAACCCCCUCUUUUUCAUUUUGUACAACUUUGACUUGACUCUGAAAUAGAGAAAUUUAAUAGAAUGUUUAGAAAUAAAAUAAAAUUAGCGUGGAUUUAUCUUGCACUAGUUUUACUCUAUUGAUGUCAAUGAUGUUUUAGGGGGGCAAAAAACUUCAUUAAUUUUACCUUUGUUUGAUGAUGAGGUAAAAUAUGAUUUUUUUUUUUAACUUUUAAAAGAUUUUUUCAAAUGAUUUUCAAGUUGAUUUAUUUGGUUGGACUGUAAAAUAGGUUUGGGCUUAGCCCACCCCUAAUUCCUUUUCUUUUUCUUUUUUUUUCAGUUUACCAUAAAAAGAAUAGGUGUGUUGCAAGUGAGAUAUGGAUAAAGAAUAUAACUAUUUCUUCGUUGGAAAUUUGAAUAAAGAGAUAGAAAAAUUGGUAAACGAGUAAGAACUAAUUUACGGGAAGGAUAAGUGGAUAAGAUUAGUGCUGGAGCCGUCAUGGAUUCAUUGCUAUGCAGAAUUAAAAAUUCAAGCUUAAACGGUUUUGGUGAAGUUUCUAUAUUGAAAUUCAUGUUAAUUAAUCAUUCAUACUUUAAUGAAAGUAUUAAUAGCAGCCGUGUAACUCACAUACACGUGCUUGCAUGCAUGCGUGUGCGCGUGUGCCAAGAGACGAACAAAUAUAUGAUGAAUAGAGAUUUCGGGACCUAUAGACUUCAAAUUAAUGGUGAAACAUCUUUGCAAAUUAAACUGAGAAAAAUUGAAAAGUAUGUUUAUCAUUUUAUGCACGGAAUUCCAUGUCCAUGCAUGCAUCUACCCAACAAAUGCACUUGUAAUUAAGUAUGCAUAUGGUACAUCACUAAAUGUUGUCUUGGAAAAGUCUCCAUUGAUAUAACUCAUGACAUGUCAUUGUACGUACACGCACAACGAAUAGUCAAUAAUGUCCCUGUAGUUUACGUACCCAUGGAGGAGUCAAUAUAUUUUUAGAAAUUUACUCAAAAAAAUCUACAUUAUAUAUAUUUUUUUUCUAUUUUUUAAUUAUUUUCUAUCUUUCACCUGCUAUAUGUUAAAUAAGUUUGAAUUUUAAACUUUAUCAUAUAGAAUUUAGCUUUGAAAAUUUAUGUCCAACAACUAAUUAAGAAAGUAAGUAAAGAGAUGCUUAAUUUAGAUAAUCUUUUAAAAUAUAAUAUUGACCAAACUUGAUAAUUGACUCAAACUAUGGGGAUUAAAACCAUAUUUACCUAUUUAACAAAUUUUAAAAUUAUUUUUGUUUGAGGAAAUACCUCGACGAGACCAGGCGUGAUGAGCAGAUGCUUGAUGGCAGAGUUCUGCGAACAGGUGAGUCCUGUAAGAGCCAGGUAGCAGGGGAACAAGAGCAGAAAUACUCUGCUCGUCCACGAAUAUGACAUUUAUGGGGUGAAACUCCUGGUAGAGGCAUGAGGCCAUUCCUGCUAGAGGUUGAAAGGCGAGGAGACCCGGUCAGCGACAGUUGGCAAGACGUGUAUUCCAAUCCGAGAAUCAAGGCACGAAGUCCAUUCUCAUUCGCCCACAACGGCGAUAAUGGGGCGUCCACACCCGAGAGUGCAGAGAAUAAUGGACGUGGACUACGGAAGACGGCGGUUGAGAGGAAACCUAUAAAAAGGUAGCCAACGAAGGUAAAAGGGUUAGCAAUUUUGAUAUUAUAAGAGAGAUAAAGAGAAUUCCUAAGAAUAGAAACUAGAGAAAAGCCAUAAGAUUUGUGGCAAACGUUCCCAGAACCUUCACAUCUGACUUGGGCGUCGGAGGGUUUUCGCCGGGAAAACAACCGGCGUGCUCUGACUUGUUUCUGUGGACGCAGGCAUACUUGGAGAAGAAAGCAUACGAGGAGAGAUUUUGAUCGAGGUGAGGUUGAUCGAGCAGAUAUCCUGGUCGUGAGGAGAGCGUAACCAGAAUCUUGCAUCAAUAAUUUUUAAAAAAGAUGUAGAUUUAUUUCUUUCUUUAUUGAUAAAAUUAUGAAAUAAUGAAGUAAUAUUCAUAUUGUGCUGAGAACAACUUCUUGGUUUAGCGAUGGUCUUACAUGUUGAGGGUUUGAAUCUUUUAUGCAUAUACGGUGUUAAUAGUAAUUAAAAGGGAGUGUGUAUACCACACGCCGGAGACCAAAAAGUGAUUUGUCAAAUCCUCGAACUGAAUGACGAGCCAAAAGUGGAUUUGAAUGACUUUUUCUAUUUUCUACAUACUCCGCAUCAGUCGUUGUGACGACGUAAUUACGAAAACAACUCGAAGCUGGCCAAAGACGACGGGCAAGCUGAGAACAUAUUCGUAGGCAUUUUCCCUUCAUUUACACCAAAUAAUCUAAAAUGUUAUUUUGAUUAUUACUUUUUUCCAGCAUUUUUAUCAACUUGAAUUACAUUUUUUCCAGCAUUUUUUGGUCGAACGAACCAUUUUACUUGGAAUCAUAAUGAGUCGUUGCAAGGAAAAUGUUAUUUUGAUUAUUACUUUGUUUAUUAUUCUUGUUUGCGGUAUUUUCAUUUGAGAGAGAUACAAGUCUCAAAGGAAUGUCGGAUUCUGUGCUCACAUGAUGAGCUAUAUAAUAUAUGUUGGUUUUACUUAAGGUUGUUGUAAUUAGUAGUUUUUUUUUUAAAAUAAAAUAAUACUAGCACAACUCUAAUAAACAAUGGAUAAUAAAGAUAGGCUUAAUUAUAAAAAAAGUCUAUACUUUUUUGUAAUAAAUAAAUAAUAUUAUUAUGCGGGGACAAAUUCUUUUUAGACAAGACUUAAAAAAAUUAUAACUUAUUAUAAUUUAGAGUAUAUCCUUAUUUAUAACUAACUUAAAUUGAGAUUAAAUCUUUUUUAUAAUUAAAUAAAAAUUAUUUCUAUAUAAAGUAUGACUACAUAGGAGAAAUAUUUUAUUUCUAUAUAAAGUAUAUAUGACUAUAUAGGAGAAAUAUUUUAUUGUAUAUAGCUAUUUCUUUCUCUGUUAUUUCUAUCCACUUCAUGAGCACUGUCUUAGUCAUUUCCCUCUUCUGUAACAAUCUUGGUUUAACUAUGAACUAAAUGUUUUUCUUUUCAAUCAUUAAUUAAUAUUAGGUAGGUGCAUCUACCAACACGGUUGCAACUAAUUACCCACUAUAAAAUUUUAUUCUCAAUCCUGGUGGAAAAGUGUGCAUGCCUAUAUAUAAUCGAACUUCAUUAUCAGUGUUAUGGAUAAAGGAAUUAUUAAUUUUAAAUUAAUAAUUAUUUUAAUCAAUUUGGCAAUAUAUAUCUUAUCCUUGAUUAAUUUAUAUGAAUGAAUAUCAAGUGUAACGUAAAAUAUUAUUUGUGUUGCACAUGACAUGCGGACAAAAGAAUACAACGAUUCCUUAAACAAGAUUCAAAGUAUGAUAUAGAAAAGAAUUUAAAAUUAAAAAAAAAAGUAAAAUAGAAAGUUGAAUUUAACAAGAUUCAUGUACAGGAAGAAAAGGAAAUAAUAAAGUGAUGAAAAAUUGGUAAUCGUGGCAAGUAAUCUUAUUCAUGUACGCGGCGGCACGACCCAAGACCUGGAAAUUAAAUAGUGAAACUUCUUUGCGAAUCAAAUAAACUACAAAUUUAUGGAGAGUCUUGACGAGUGUUUUAUCAUUUUAUGCAUGGAAUUCCACGUGCAUGCAUGCAUGUUCUCCACGCUUGGAAAUUUUGGAAAUGGCUUCUCCCUUUAAUCUUUGAAAAUGUCCUCUAACAAGUGUCUCAAUUAUUGGAUAACAUGUGCAGUCCACCCCAUUGGGCAUCUUGAUUACGUUUGUAUGCUUAUGUUAUAAGGGCUUCGUCAAGAAGCUCAUUGCCAUUAUUACGAAAUUAAAUAGACUAAGAUUGUUGACCUAAUUUGAAAAUUCCUCCAUUGUUUAUUAUUUUUCCCUUUUUAAUUUAUCAACAUCAGCCAUAGUAAGUCAUUCUUUAAAUCAAAACCCUUGUGGAAGACGAAAUAUAUAUUAACUUACUGUCUUUUCUCAACAACUUUUAGGUGAGAUUAGUUUAAUAAAUUACAUGAUAAAUAAGGGUCCAGCUACGUUGCCUCUGGGGUUUGGUACCCCAUUUUUUGUCUUUUUCAAAUUCACGGUUGGAUACAACGCAAGACUUGCAUAAUGGCUUAGAUGUGAUUUUAGGCUAUUAACAUUAAAGACCCCUCUUGUUCAUGCAAAAUAAGAAAAAUCAAAAGUUUUAUAAUUAUGACAUAAAAGUCCAUAAUAUAUAUAUAUAUAUAUAUUACACUAUUAAACUAGAUUUCUAAUUAAAUGACUUAUUCUUACCUGUAUUAAUAUCUAUUUAAAUUAAUAAAUUUACUUAUUAAUUAACAAAUUAACUAGUUUAUUAUAUAGUUAAACUAUGUAUAUUAUUUAUGAACCAUAAUUAAUGAUAAAUAUAAUUUUUUUUAAUUUAACAUAACGGCAACCAAUUUCCUCUCACCCAUGUGACCAAGGUUCAAACCCCAUAAUCUUUUUUAUUCCAACACGAGAUUUUACUAUCUCAAGUAAAUAUAAUGUACAAAAUAUAAAAAUAAAUUUAAUUUGACAUUCUAUAUAGUUAAUUUUUUUUUUGGAAACAUAAGAUUUAUUUAACAUAUUAUCAAUUAUUUAAUUAUGCAGUAAAAAUAUGUUAAUUUACUAAUAAUAAUAAAGUGUUAGUUUAUAAAUUUGCAAAAUAAUUUUUGUUUGUUUGAACAAUGAGUUUGUAUUUUUGGUUGAGUUUUUGUCCUUAAAUAAAAGAAUAAAGUUAAUUACACACUUAAAUAAAUUAAUAUUUGUUACUCCACCCCAACAGUUUAAAUAGUUAUUAGCACAUGUCCAUAUGGUUGAGAUCUUUCAUUAACUUAACUAAGAGAAGGGUAAAAAAAUUCUAAACAAUUACUCUAUUUGAAAAAAUUUAAAUAUUUCCUUAGUUUUCUUUUAUUUAAAACAAUUUUAAUAAUUCAAAAAAAAAUUCUUUUAAUUUACUAGUGUUUGUAUGUAUAAAGAGAAUAAGUGCUUGAAUUCUAAACAAAUCAUGGCUUUUAGAAGCAUUAAUGCAAUUAAAAAUAUAUUUAGGUGUAGGAUUAAUGUGUGAAAAUUUAAAAUUUUUUGUGUUUUUGUUUUUAUAACCAAUAACAGGACUUCAUUGUAAUUAACCUUAAAAAAGACAAAAGAAAGGGGUAUCAAACCCAUGUUGCAACGUAGUUUUGCCCGAUAAAUAAUACUCUUAUUGAGUCUAUAUAUAUAUAAUUAUAUAUGAUAUAAAAUUAAGAUUCUUUUUUUUUGUCGUAAUACAUAGAAUUGUUCGUACUAUUAUUAUAACAAAAUAAUUAAAAUUUAUGAGUUGAAGUUGUCAGAAAAAUAAACUUAUUUCCAAUGAAUGGCGUUUGGAGGAACAAAAUAAAUCCGGAACUUUUUUACGCGGAAAAAAAAUCAAUUAACAUUAAUGACGUCCAAAUGUCCAAAUAUAAUGAGAAAUUGAAUUCUUCAAUACCUUGCUGUUUCUUCAUAUUUCUUUAUAAAUUUACCGAUUCUUUACUCUAAAUUCUAGUAUUUGUCUUCGUAGAAUGUAAACUUAUUCCCUAAGAUAUGGUUAAAAAAAAAAAUAAUAAAAUCUAAUCAUUUGGUAGUGCGCAAACUAAUAUCAUAGCUAAAAUGAAGUUGGUAAAUUAUCUAUUAUUAAUAAUUAGGUGGGCCUAAACGUUCCAACUUCCAAAUACAGUAAAACAAUCCAUCAUCUACAUUAUUCUAUAUUUUGGAGAGAAAAAGGAAAAGGCAAAAUCUUUUAGAUAAGAAAAAAAAAAUUUUUUCCUCAUGAAAAAGCAAUUGAAUUAAAAAGUAGAAAUUUCUUUACAUUCUCGCCGGAGAAACAGAGUCAAAUUCAAAUACGACGACUCAAGCGCAAAAAGCCUAUAAAUAAAGCCCGGCUCCUGUUCCCUGUCAGAGGCUACGGAUUUGAGAGAUUAAAGAACAUCAACCGAACAGUGAGACUCCGUACUCUUCACACAAACUUGCAAAAACUUUUAGGUAAUUUUUUUCGAUUAAUUUUUUAAUUUUCGAGAAUAAAGAGAGAAAAAAAACAGAUGGGAUUAUGUUUGUCUGGGAGUGAUGUGAGGGGAGGGAAACAAGCCGUAGGUGGGGCCCACCUCCGGCCCACCAGCGCGGCUGAUCACAACAAUGUCUCUGGUCAAAAUGACGCCGUUGAUUUCUUCUUCAAAUCUCGCGGCCUUCAUGCCCUUUUCACCCAAAUCGAGGUAUAUGUGUGUACCUGAAUUAUAUGAGUCUUUCACUGCCACUAUUAAUAAACUAUUUUCAGUUAAUUAAUUAAUUAAUUAAAAAUCUAUGAUUAGUUUAUGUUUUUUAAUUUAUUUUUAAUUUUUUAAAUCUGAUUUCGUUCAUGUUGGUAAUUGUGAUGGAUUCUAAAACGGUCACUCGUUUGAAAAUCUAUUCUCAAAUUAUGUUUGUUAUUAUUACUUAUUUGAUGACUUUUCAGUGUAACAUCGAACAACUUAAAUCAUCUAUAUUUGAUAAAAGUUAUUUGAUAAUUCGAACAUAAUUAGAGAGUAGAUUCCUAUUCAAGAAUCAACCGCAAUCCCAAACAUGCCUUUUUUUUGAAUUUGUUCUGGUGGCUGAUCUUUUGCUAGUGUUGGUUCGACGGUUUCACACCAAGCAACUGCUUUUGUUUUGCAUAUGGAGAACAGUAAGUUUAACUGCUUAUACCCAAUGACAACAUUCUGUGAAGUGAAUUUUAGAUUAAGAUUGGUUAAGGUAAAUAAAAAAAGAAUGGUGUUGAAUGCACAGUGGCCUUGUGAACAUUGAAAAAGUCGAUGUUUGAUCCUGUUGAAUGCACAGUGGUUUUCCUGUGUAUCCUCAAAGUUGACUAUUCUGUUAUGCCUCAUUUAUCAAAUUUGACUCAUACCCCUCGUGAUCAAAUUUGACUUAUACCCCUCGUGAAGAUUCCCCAUGAUAAUGCUCCCCUGAUUGGAACAUGAUUUUGUGAAUGCUGGUUUGCAUAAGACAAACCAUUAACUUUAUAAAAGAUUGUGGAUUAAGGAUUUUGUUGUUACGAGGAUAAGAAUGUCUUUCCAUAACGUAGACCACCAAGUGAUUGUAAUAUUCCUGUAUUGAUGUGGACCUUACCUGAGGAUCUCCUUGGAAACUUUCCUGGAGAAAAGGCAACAAGUCAUAUGAUAACAAAUUAAAUGUGGUUCAAUGCUUGUAAUUGACGUGUCACAUCCUGUUGUUAUAUAAAACUUAAUUACAUAUAUUAUUGCUUGCUGCUUAUAAGAUUUAAUAUUAGAAGUGAUUCUGUCAGAAUCCGAAAUGAUGGUUUUCUGCAUGUUCUGUUUAUGAAAGAUAUAUAUUGCCUGUCAGUUGACCCACAUCGUACUGACAAUUUUCAUUUCGUGCAGCAUAUGCAUGGAUUACUCCUUUUCCGCUUUUUCAUGUAUCUGUAUUCGUUCUUAUGUUUUUGAAUAUAUAUUGCAGUUAUCUUUAUCUGCUUCAAAGUUACGUGAUCUUGACAUCGCAUCAAAGGUAAGCCUUCAUAUUAUUGUUGUCUUAUGUCUAAUAAUGCCAUGUUCAUGCUGUUGAUAGUCUUGGUGAUUGAUUCUCAUGUUAUCUUGUAUCCUCCUUAUAUGAUCUGCUUAUUUGUUCAUAAUGGCCCUGUCAAUAUCCUUUCUCUGUUCAUGAAGGGUCUAGGGAUAUAUGAUCUGAAUAACGCUUAGCGCUGACACCAAAAUUCUAAACUUAGACAAAGAAGAAUAGUUUGUUAUAUACACUGUCUAUCUCCAAUGUAAUCCAGUAAGGAGCAGUAACUUGAGAGUUCCAGAUAAUGUAUAACAACUCACGGUUGGUGGUUUUAUUGUUUUUGCAAUUUUGUGCACUAGUCAAAUAUGUUAUAUGUGCAAGAUAAAAUUCUUUGAUAAUGAACAUUUAUCAGCGGUAUAUCUUUUUACUAGCUGAUACUAGCAUACAUCAAAUGCUGCUGUAUUUUAAUGAUGGAUUACUAACUAUAGUUAUUUAACUAAUAUAUGUCUAUAUUUAUACUCACAAGCAAAUGCAUUGACAUGUCUUUUUGUGUCAUAGAGUGAUCCCAUGGCAGUUGCGCAUGCAAAGAAAAGAGAUGGGAGGCUGAAGGAGAUUGGACGUACAGAGGUGAUUAUGAACAAUCUGAUUCCUGCUUGGAUUGGAAAGAUUGCAAUUGCUUUUCAGUUUGAGAUCGUCCAGCCCUUGCUGUAAGUUUUUACUGUGUUCUUUUUAAAGUCUGUUUUUUUUCCCCCUUGAUAGGUCAUUUGCUUAUCAUUUCUCAUAAGCCUUGCUUGAUUUGAUAAUAUUUAAUGUUUUCGAAUUCCUUAAUGCUUUUCUUCUUUUUCCAGCUUUCGUGUGUAUGAUGUGGAUACCAAGUACCACAAUAUUCCAGUGAAGGUAUAUAAAAAUUUCUUGAUUUUUUUUUUUUUCGCUCAAUUCAGAUGUAAAUGAUAUGCACUACUUCAGUUCCAAAGUUUAGAGUUAGCCAAGGCAUUUGACUGAUCCAUUUGUUGUCUAAGCAUACGUCUCAACUAAAUUGCAUCAGCAAUAGUUUCUAUCAAUUUCGGGAAAUUUGUGAAUACUUGAUUGAUUAUAAACUAACACUUAGCAUGGCAAGAAACUUAAAAAGUUGGCUGUCAUAUAUCAUGAACAAAUCUUAAGGCCAGGAUAGUUAUUAUGGAACUUUCUAUUAUUGCAUCUUGCAAGGUUUGACAUAUUUGUCCUGCUACCAUAACUGGGAAAGAACAAUUUUUCUGAUGGUCCUUACGGCUAAAUUUUCUUUUUUCCAAAAUGGAAUUUUGAUCUAUGUUGUUAAAAACAAUACAGUUAAAUAGUUGUUGCCAUGACCUAAAGAAGUUUCUGUAAAAAAUGACCAUAUUGUAAGUAUUGGAAUGGAUAAGUAAAUCUUUAGAGCCUAUGAUGUAUUCGUCUGUGGAAUUUGUGUCAAAGUGAAAAAAUUUUGAUGGUUAUAAUCCUAGAAACUGUAAUCAUUUGGAAGCAUUUGCUGAAAAAGUUAGAUAAUCUAAAAAUGUGAUGAUUAUUUAUGUCAAUUGUAAAUGGUAUUAACGUUAAUGGGAAAAAUGAUAAAUAUGUAAAUUUAUGCUAGUGGAAAGAGAAAAUGAACAAAUCCAGAUGGAUUCUAAGACAUUAAGUAGGGAAUCUAGUGUUCUUUUGAUUCUUUGCUGCAGUGAUCCCUAAUUACUUUCAAGACAUUAUUAUCUCAUGACAAAAUAGUUGUUGAAGCGUGAAGUUUAAAGUUCAAACUUCUUAUUUACAUUGCCCUGCAGAUGCUAAAGUUGGAGGAUCAAGACUUCCUGGGAGAAGCUAGCUGUGUUCUCUCUGAGGUAAGUUUCUGGGUUAUAUUUUGUUUGAUGAAUUUAUGUAUUUUCUCUUUAUUCAAUGGGCAAAAUAUGCCCAUCUAAUUUUUUGUAAAAAUCUGUUUCCUAUAAAAAAAAGGGCAAAAUAUUCUCAGAUGCUUUUUACUAGCAUUCGUCUUCUUCUUUAGCAUUCUUGUUUUUCACUAACAAUUGUCAUAUUUUCCUUUGAAAUGGCAGAUAGUGACCAAACAAAAUCGAACUUUAACCUUAAAACUCCAUAACAAUUACGGGCCUCAAGUUUCAAGAAACUUUGGGACACUCUCUGUCCAUGCUGAGGAAACAGUUGCUUCCAAGAGUGCUGUUGAAAUAGCAUUCCGUUGCUCGCAUUUGCAAAAUGUAGACCUGUUUUCCAAAAGUGUAAGUUCUGACAAAGUAGCUAAGUUUGGAGGUUCACUAAUUAAUCUAUUAAUGUAGAUGCUCAUUCUUCUUCUUCUUAUAUUCUAUAGGAUCCAUUCUUAAGAAUAUCUAGAAUUGUUGAGAGUGGAAAUUCUAUUCCUAUCUACAAGACGGAGGUGAUAAACAAUAACUUGAAUCCCAUUUGGAGACCAAUAACUUUGAGCAUGCAGCAAUUUGUGAGCAAGGUAACCUUAUCAUCUUCUUGUGCUUGUUACUUAAAUGUAUAUUAGGUAGUGAAGUUUGGUCAUGGGGAAAUGUUUUUUAGUAUAUGAUUUUCUUUGGUACAGGAAAACCCAUUAAUCAUUGAAUGUUUUGAUUUCAAUACCAGUGGAAAUCACAUAUUGAUGGGGUAACUGUUAAAUUUCUUAAUGUCAUUAGCUUCCCUCUUUUAUCCUUUUGCCUUUCUGAUGUCAAGGUUUUCUAUUUCUGUUAUUAGUAAAAUUCAGAAAUCAGUUGGAGACCUGGAGAAACUUCAUCAAGAAAGAACUGGUGCAACUUUUAUGUUACCAUCAACUCAAUGUGGCCAUGACAAGGUGUUUAUUCUUUUUUGUUUUAACUCCACCAAAGGUGUUGGUUCAUGCUUACGGUUUUUGAUAAUUUAAUAUCACUUUAUUUUUUAUCUGACUUUUUCCUAGGUUCGAAAAGUCAGUUGUUUGUUGAAAAGUUUGUUGAGAAAGAGCAAUAUAGUUUUCUGGAUUACAUAUCUAGUGGCUUUGAGUUGAAUUUUAUGGUUGCAGUCGACUUUACAGGUAAUUAGAAAGAGAUUGCUUGUUGAAGAUAAAUAUGCAAUAUAAUCGUUUUGUUUUGUUUAUUUCCUCUUAUUUGGUCCAACUUCAUCUUGCCUCUCGUUAAAUGCAAAUCAUCCAGCUUCAAAUGGAAAUCCUCGAAAUCCAAAUUCUUUGCACUAUAUUGAUCCUUCAGGCAGAUUGAAUUCUUACCAGCAGGUAAGGUUUUGUUAUUACUCAUAUUUUGACAAGUGAUCUCUGAACUUUGAAGGUCAUAAAAUGGUCACUUUGUCCAGUGUUUUCGACUUAGAAAAUGCAUGUGACUUUCAAGUCUUUCUAUGGCCGUCAUAGGGAAAUAGAUAUUUCAAUAGUUCGUAGAAGUUGAGAGAGAAUAUCACUGAUUAGUUAUUGGCCUCUUAAACCAUUUACAGGCAAUAACGGAAAUUGGGGAGGUCAUACAAUUUUAUGAUUCCGAUAGACGCUUUCCUGCAUGGGGAUUUGGAGGGAAGACAUUUGAUGGCACUGUAUCACAUUGUUUUAACUUGAAUGGAAGAGCAGGUGGCUUUGAGGUAGGGGUAACCGGUAACUGGAGUUCGCAACUUUGUUGUAAUCCUUAUUUGGUUGGCUUGUCUCCCAUAACUUUUCAUUUUUAAUAACAAACAUUAUAAUAUGUUUCUACAUUUUCUGAAAAUUUCCUUGGAAUUUUAUCCUAAAAGAUGUAUAUUUUAUCCUCUUCCAUUUUUUUUAUUAACUGCCGGUUUCUUUAUUUAAUAGGUAGAUGGAGUUGAAGGCAUUAUGGCUGCUUAUGCAAGCGCUCUAAACAAUGUUUCUUUGGCAGGACCGACUCUGUUUGGUCAAGUGAUCAACACAGCUGCACGAAUUGCUGGACAGUCCCUCUCAUACGACAGAAGCAAGUAUUUCGUCUUACUCAUUAUAACGGUGAUUACAAUGAUUCUAUAUAUUCACAGUUUUCUCUUUCUAUCAUUCUUUUUGGGUGAUUUGUAAAUUUGCAUUGUCUAUCUAGGAUGGAGUUCUGACAGAUCUCCAAGAAACGAAAGAUGCUUUGGUAAGGGCUUCUGAUCUUCCCUUGUCAAUUCUAAUUGUGGGUGUGGGAGGUGCAGAUUUUACACAAAUGGAGGUACACAAUGUUUUCCAACUGGAAUAUCUUCUUACUAGCAUUGAACUUCUUUUUUCUAUAGUUUGAUAGAUUCAAUUUAGAGUAUAUAUGCAGUGUGGUAUUAUCCCACUUUUGUUGCAGAUUCUUGAUACUGAUAACUUUGUUGGCAGAUUCUUGAUGCUGAUAAUGGCUGUAGAUUAGAGAGCUCUACCGAUCGGGUAGCUACCAGAGAUAUAGUACAAUUUGUUCCAAUGCGAGAAGUUCAUAGUGAGUGCAUAUGAUUCUUUGACAAAAUUAGUUCAAACUAUUGAAUUUAGGAGUUAAUUCACAAAAGUUUCUGAAUUUUUUCAUGCCUGAACAAACGAACCCAUUGUUUUCUGAACAGGUGGGCAAAUUUCUGUUGUACAAGCACUUUUGGAGGAGCUGCCUGGUCAGUUUUUGACCUACAUGCGCUGCAGAGAUAUCAAACCACUCAAUGUUCAGAUGGCCCAAACAUGCGCUUGAGUAAAUAUUCAUAUGUUUGGAAAGGGUACAAAACCAAGCCAAAUAUAUUAGACAAGACCAAGCCAAACAUAUUAGGCUAUACAAACAUAACAUAGCAGAAAUUGAUAAGGUACAUUACAUAUUUUAGGAUAUAGCGGUUUUAGACGAUGGUAAAUUACAUAUGUUAAGAUAGAGUGGUUUGCAACUAACUUUUGAUGGCUUAAUGAAUUGAUUGAAUUUGUAUUUAGAUUCUAUCAAUGAUCUCAUAUUUUUCCUAUCCAUGUCUUUCGAUUUUUAUUAUUCCCUCUACCCACUUGUUUCACAAUUUGUUUGUCUGAUGGCUUAAAACUCCAAUUUCUGUUGCUGUAUUAUCAUCUUUGUUGAAUAUCUACUACAAUGAACAUGUGCUGAAUGUCAACUUUUACUACUACACCAGCAAUCUAACACAUGGCUCACGUGCACACAAGACAAGUCUGAUUCACACAUCUUUAAAGUGUUGUAUUAUAACUCUCUGAAACUAGGUUUGAGUAAUCAAGAAAAGCCAAAAUGUAGAACAAUGACAAAAAAAAAAUGAAGACCCUCUUACAGUCUUAACUUGAUAGAAAAAACGAGCUACAUACCAUGUCUCACAAAUUUCAAAGAAAAUUGGCCUCAUUCCUGAUGCUGCACAGAAGGUUGGCCUGAAUCAUCUUUAAGAAAGCUCAUUUAUUACAUUAAUACAUUAUAUCAGUGAGAUGAUGCUACUUUAAUGAAACUCAUGUCUCAAGUUAGGAACAGCUACAUGGGCAUUUCAUCGAACAGUUGAUAUGCUUGGCAGAUAAUCGAAGUUUCCUGGAAGUUGCAAGUGCUGCCGGCAUUUUCAAAAUUGGAAGACCAUUCAAAGGUUUUCAAUAAUUACACGUGUGAUAAUCUUGUGAUGAUAAUGAUUUUAUGUAUCUGAUUAUAAGCUAAGCUAAGGUAGUGGAUUUGUAAGUAAGCACACGGCAAAGUAUUUAAUCUUCUUAUUGUCGCAUUCUUCUAAUCAACUUGGGAUCAUUAAUACCAGUAAACUACAACUUCACCUAGGCUUCAGGGAGGAUCCACAUGUUGUCUACAUUGAGCAUUUGACCAGUAAACUUUUAUUUUUCCAAAAUUUUCUACAUAAAAUCUUGAUAUUUUCAUGAAAUUACAUAAUUUCUUAUAUAAUUGUCUCCAAAAAAAUACCAAUAGGUGCACGAACACAAAUAUGAUGCACACUUCUCUUUAAUUAAUUUAGGGCUUAAAGAGAUUUUAAGAUGCCUACAAAUUGAAUAUGGCAGAUCUUGGACACCAUCCAUAAGAAAUAAAACUAGCCUCAAAUUGGAUUUCUGAGUACUCAAACAAAGCUAAAAGCAUAAUAAUGAAUGAAAACUGAAACAAAAAAAUCCUCUCACCAACACCAUCCGACUCUUAAUAUAUACAAAGAACUCGAGCUCGAGCCUUAUCUAAAAUGCUGCACAAGUAGCAUGAAUCGUCUUCAUAAGUUUGGAGACUCUGCAGACAAAGAGUAAAAAGACAUUGAAGGUGUAGUUUUCACAUAAUUAAAUUGCACAAAUUAGCCUCUAUUAAGGACACAUAAAUCCUUCAAUUCUCUCUGUAAGCAAUUAAUUUCAUUUUUUAUUCUUUUAUUUUUCGCUAUGUCUGUCUAACAACUAAUCCUAAACAUACAACAGAGUAGAGUAGUUGUAUUUUAAAAAGAUGUACCAAUAUGAUUUAACAAAAAAUUCAACAUAAAUAAAACAUUUUUAGUCAGUAAAAUAGAAUCAAAUCAAAACCUCCCAUUUAUCUUACCACUGUUUUUCGCAUCUUUUUCCUUUUCAUUUGCCUCGGCGGACUUCUCAUUCUCUUUUUCCUCCCCUUCCUAAUCAGAUUUAAAAUGAAUUUAUAAAAAAUUAAUAUGUAUUUUUUUCUUUUUGUUAUUAAAUCAGUAAUUUUUAGAAAAAAUAAAUAAAUCAUCAUCUCAUAGUGAAUGAAUACUUACCUUUUUUUAUUUUAAGAUAUACGUAUUGAAUGGUUGUAUUAAGGUCCCGAUCCCAAGCCCAAAGUUUAUUAUGAAACACGCUCAGCUGCACUAUCUGUAACUUGGGUGUGCUUAAUUUCCCUUCUGAGAAAAUCUUCAUAUUGGGGCAAUUUUCCACCACUAAUGUUUCCAGAGAUGGGAAUUUGAAGGCGCAAUUAUUCCCAGAGCAGCUGAAACUUGUCAGACUUUCUAAGUCCCAAAGCUGCAAUUCCUUUAAUUUGCUGAAAACAAUUUCAUCUUUUGCUGCAUAAUUAUCUCCCUCAUCAUCCUCAUCUGCCACUAUUUCUGUUAUCAUCUUGCAGAAACCUAUCUUCAUUCGUCUCAGUCGCAUCAGACUCCUUGCGGUUGAGGAUGUUAGUACGUGUAUCAUUCUAGAGCAAUCACAUACCGUCAAAGUUGUUAGGUUCUGAAAGGAUGUCAAGGAUGGCACUAGAUUAGUCAAAUUGUCACACUCGAAUAUCUCCAGCUGUUCCAAAUUGUUGGUAUUGGUUGACUCUUGUUUGAAAAUCUGCUUCAGUUCACGACAAUGGUUUAUCCCUCUCAUCCUUGCUUCCUUCCCAUUUUCAACGUUUUCAAAUGAUGUGAACAAAGCCUCAUUGUUCCCUCCUAUAGAGAGAAUUUUGAUGGUGUGAAAUCUCUGGAGGAAAUCGUCAAGUGAUAAAAUAGUACUUGACUCAUCAAGCCGGACAUCAAGACAUUUAAGUUUGCAAAGCCAGUCUUCUGGAAACAGGCCUAUGUGCUUUUCAUCAACGAUCAAUUCUUCCAAAUUGGGGAACACCUGGGUGAUCAUCAAUCACAAAAGUGGCAAGAUGGAGUUAGCACUUCUUUCUAACGAUUUCACAAAUUCAAGUAAAUACAAAGCAUUCCAAUGAUGCGUAUUGAUGGCCGGACAAAUUUAUAGAUAUGCGGAGCGAGUUUGAUUUUCAGCUGUAAAUACAAAGUAAAAACAAAGCAUUCCAUUUAAGUAAUGUGUAUUUUCUUCCAUUCUCUCUUCUUAACUCUUGUCCAGUAGAUAGAUUUUUAAAUUUUAUUAGAUUUGUGCAUAAUCUCUAUGAAAAAUACUUCAAUUAUUCUCAAAUUGCAUUUAAACUUUGAGAUUCUUUUAAUUGAUCCGUUUAUUUGGUUUGAAUUGAAAAUCUUACAAAUUUAUUUUAAAAAAAAAAUUGGAGUUUUUAACUUUUUCUUAAAGCAAAAAUGAAUAAAUAAUAUGAAUUUUAAAAGUUUAAUAAUAUAGUAAGAAGUUGGUAUUUCAUUAAUAUUCAUCCAACUCAAUGGAAUUGGAUAUAUUUACUAUUGUGCAAGAAUGGAUUUUAUUGUACAUAAAGUUUAAUAGAAUAAGAUUUCUUAAUUUGAGUUUUGUCCAUCUCUCUAUAUAUAUUUUAGAAUAUUAUUUAUGUUACCACGAGAUGACCAAUUUCUACUUCAACAUCAAAAUUGAUAAUCAUUUUGUAUGUAACAAUACUGUACUAAAGAGUACUAAUUUAGAAAUAGCUCUUGAACGAUUUUCAGGGAAUUAACUAUGGCUUGAAAAACUCUAGAUCUUACGAGUAUUUUCUUUGUUUGGCUAAUCAAAUGCACUGUCUCUUCCGUGUAUUUAACUAAACAUAUAGACAUAAAAUAAAAAGUAGAGGAAGAAGAAAAACUCUGAUAAUUAAGAGAAAAAACAAUUGAACAAGAAGGAAAAAAAAUAAUUGUUUACUAAAUAUCUUUUUUUUUUUUUCAUUCGGUCUAACUGACAUCCAAAAAAAAAAAAUUAUGUUUGUAAGGAUAUUAUAAAGUAUAAAUAAACUGAUUUAUAUAACUAACAUUUUGUCACUAAAAGACGAAGUGAUGAGGGCGAUGACGAUAAUAAAAUUCUGAACUCUCAAAGUAGAAAUACUUUUCAGUACGUAAGAAUUGAAAAAUAAUUACAAAAAUCUUGCGUGCGUACCUUUUCAAUAUGCAGAUCACCUGUGCAGAAGCUUGUAAGCUGCGGAAGAGAACGAAGCUCAAGUUUCCUUAAUUGAGUGAGUUCAAUCACUUCAGUACCGUUAUUAUUGCUGGAUUCAUCUCCUCUCUUGGCAGCAAAAAUCACUUCCAUAUUUUGGCAACUACUCACUUCAAUGGACUGAAGUUGUUGAAGGCCUCUGCCAAUGACCAAUGGAAAUACAUUCUUCAAUUUAUCGCACCUUUCCACCCUUAUGUUCUUUAAUUUGGAAAAAGACUCAGUACCGUUAUUAUUGCUGGAUUCAUCUCCUCUCUUGGCAGCAAAAAUCACUUCCAUAUGUUGGCAACUACUCACUUCAAUGGACUGAAGUUGUUGAAGGCCUCCGCCAAUGACCCAUGGAAAUACAUUUUUCAACUUAUCACACCCUUCCACCCUUAUGGUCUUUAAUUUGCAAAAAGACUCUGCUGUGAGUGGACCACGACAUAUUUCCUCAAGGUUCCUUAAAUCCCUCAGAAAUAAUGACUCCAACAGGGGGAAUGCGGUCGUCGGAGCUGGCGUACAAUUCAUUGUGUCAACAAGACGAACAAUGUUGCCAUUACGUCGGAUUUCGAGACGAUUCAGCUGUGGAAAACCUUCUCUGCCUGGUUCACAAAGAACAUUCUUCAUGUCCGGCAAUCCAUCUAAAGCUAGGUCUUCAAUACCCUUCAAUUGCAUGAUAUGCCCCUCGUUCAAGCAAAUGUUGGCACCAUUUGUGAGCUUCAGGUUGAAUUUUCUAGAAAUCCCAUCCGAUGGGGGAACCAGCCACCAGACAUGUCCUAUAAAUAUCCUGUACCUUUGCAGCAUUUUGAAGAACGACAAGUCUCUUGGUAGAGCCUUUUCAUCUUGGAUUAGUAUUUCUAAAGAGGUCAAUUUAGAUAAAUUAUUCAACUCGUCAAGGCUGGCAUUUCUUCUUUCACCGUCGACUCCUCCAACCUUCCCCCACAUAAUGGGACUCUCACCGAUAUACAAUUCUUCUAAUCGUGAUAAGCUUGAUAUCACAUUUUCUGGAAUAACUUUUAGUUUGGAACAAUUGCUCAGAUCCAACAACCUCAACUGAGUCAGCCGGCCUAUUUCUUCAACCAGUUUCUGCAUAUUAGAACCUCGAAGUGUAAGGAUUUCUAAAUUCUUUAGAUCUCCAAUAAUAGCGAUGUCUCCUAGUUGGCAAUCAACGAGAGACAAUGUUUGAAGGCUUUGAAAGAGACCAAGCGAUGAAGGCAAUGCCAACAAAUGCAUCUUAGUGAAAUCUAAAACUCUAAGCUCUGUCAUCUCAGUAAAAAUGUUAUCUGGAAUUCUCAAAGAAGGAUCAUUGCUAAUACGAAAGUAUUUAAGUUGCGGACACUCGAACCCUUGAGGAAGCUCACUAAUAUUAGUAUUAAAUAAGGAGAUUGCGGUGCAAACCUUCAGUGUAUCCUUAUCUGGCCAGCUGGUCAGCGGAACAUCAUCAUUUUCCACCGCAAACACAUGUUGGACUCUAGAUGCAAUUGAUAUGGCUACAUCACGAACAACAUCAUGCAUAGAAAACCUUUCACUAGUAUCGCCAUCAAGCAGCAAGCAAGAGUUCUUGAGUUUAUCAACCAAUGUAUGUGCUCUAUCCCGUGCCUCAUCCACCGUGUUGAUGUUUUGAAACAGACCCAAACCCAUGCCACGAUAAAGCAAGUCUUUAACGUUACAUAUGUAGGAGUAUCCUAUUAGCAAAAACGUUUUCCUGAGUUCCUCACCUCCUAACUGAUUGUAACUCAACUGGAUAGUUGAAUAAGCGGCCACCGCCUGUGUCCCAGAGAAACUUCUCAAAAAAUUCCUUUUUAAUUGUCGUAAAGCAUUCCUCCAUUCAUACGGACUCUUAUUUUUCAAUGCCUUCGCUAUGGGUACAAUGGCAAUGGGCAAGCCAGCACAUUCCUUGACUACCUCUGUCACUACAGAUUUCAGUUCACCAUUUUCUAUGCAAUCACCUGUCAUCUUUUUGAAAAGACUCCAAGCUUCUUUAUCGUUCAGAACAUCAACAACAAAAUUUUGUUGACAAUCCAUCUCACAAGACAACACAUCUUGACUUCUUGCUGUCAGCAGAACUUUACAUCCGCCGUUAUCAUCUGCCAAUGGAAUUCCAAUCGCCUCCAAAUCGAGACUCCCCCAAAUAUCAUCCAAGAUUAUGAGGAUCUUCGUCUCUUUCUUCAAUUGUUCGAGCAGCCUCCAUGCUCUUACACUUUCACUCUCUUGAUCUAUUUUCAGGCCCAGCUUCUCUGCAAUUUCUCUUUGUAUUUCUUUUAUUUGCGGUGUUUGGGAAACACGUGAAGAAAUGACCUUCUCAAAGAGAUUAUUUUCCUUGGCCUGUCUGCCAACUUCUUUCACCAGCGUUGUCUUUCCAAUGCCGCCCAUCCCGUACACCCCAAUCAUGUUGAAGUUACGGUUGCUGAGUGCAUCUAGUAUCCCCUUCAAGGUGGACUUUCUCGAUUCAAAGUGCAUGAAAUCCUGGGUAGACUUAAGCCAUGUCUCCUCUGGAAUGGUACGGAAAGAAACACUGUCGAAUCUCCCUUUUUCAUGGAGUCCAACUAUAGCAUUCGCUUCUCUUUCUGCUUUCUUGCUAAGCUGGUACCGAGUCUUCAAAUUAGGACACAACCCUUUCAGACACCGGUUGUUUGACUUCUCUUUGUCUGCAAUAAGUGUUUCGACUUCGUUGAUUGCCUCGUCCACAGUAAUCAGCCACUCCUCAACGGGCUGCUGAAUUCCGUCCCCUUUAAUUCUGGAAUCAUCAACCUUGUACUGCACACUGGCUCUAGCAAUCUUUAGCUUCUCCAAUUCAUUCUUCAGCUUCUCCAAGUUGGUGUUGUAGCUGCAGCAGUAAGUAAAUUGACGAAUUAUGGGAGCAACCAAGUACUCUGCAACUUUUGCAGUAACGGAGAUAACAAUUUCCAUUAUCCCUUUCUUUUUUAUUUUUCGCUUUCAGAAAACAGGGGAAAGCAAAACUAAUCAAACUAAGCAGCAGUAAUCAAUCAGCUGGGAUGAGGGAAAUAAGAAGUUUGGAUAAAUUGCUAAAAUAAGAGGUUGAAUAGAUUUAAGGGAGGAGGAGGGGAAAGGAGUGAAACAAAGGGGGAUCCUUUUUUUGCUAAGAAAAAUUGAAAAGCGAGUACAAUAAAUGAAAGAUUUGCAAAGAAGGUGUAGGAUCGAGGACAAGAACGAUUCAGAAAAGGGAGACAGAAAAUGAAGAAGAGAUUUCAGAGAACUCUAGAGAUUAGGGAAAUGCAGAGGCAGACAGUUGUCAUCUCAAAUUCAUACAAGGAGAAGACUCGUGCUUCCAAGUCAACUAAAUUCUUAAUAAUUGAGAUAGAUAGUUAUAAGGGUUAAAGUUAUAAUGGUUAUUAUGGUUUUAUUUUAAAAAAUAAAAAAUUAUAAAAUAUAAAAUAACUAUAAAAAGUAUUGGUGUUAUCAUUUUAGUAGUGUAUCUUUAAAAAAAACCUUUUAUCUUAUAAUAUUUUUGUUAAAAUUAUGAGACAGGCAAGUGGACAGGUGCUUGUCUCACUAAAUUUCAUAUAUAUUGCGAAAGCCAUAACUUGAGCUACAUAUGUCCGUUUUAGGGGUAUAAUAUAUUGUUUCGAAGCUUACGACGAGACAAAUCAUAUGCAAAAUCAUGUACUUUAUAAAAUCCAUGGGUUUAUGUGCGACAAGCAGUGAGACAGGUGCCUGUCGCACAUAAAUGCAGUGCGUUUAUGUGAGACAUGCACCUGUCCCACUUGCCUAUCUCACUUGUUCUGAACUUCAUUUUUUACCCGAUUUUUCUGUAUUUUCAAUGAUUUUUCUUCAUUUCUCAACUCAAACUAAGUACUUUAACAAAUCACAUUAUUUUAUGAAUGAAAAAUAACAAUAUUUGCAACAAAACCCACUUUAAUUUCGAACUUAGUUGAUAAAAUCAAUAGAUUAAAGAUUUACAUUGUGUAAAAGCAUAAACUAAUUUUAAGAAGCUCUCCUAUUAAUGAUUAUAUUCAAUUAUGUAAUUGAUUUAUAGAGAGUGAUGAAGUUUGUUGAGAGUGAUAAAUAUUUGUUAAGUUAUUGAAGAAGAACCGUAUUUAGUUGUGCUGAAAUUGAAAAAGUGGCAUGUCUUUGUAAAUUUGAUGAAAGUGAUGAGGGUAAUUUAGUCCAAAAGUAGGGUGUUUGGCUAGUUAUGAUAGAAAAAAGUUUGAGGGGUUAAAGUUGAAAAACGUAAAUAUUUUAUGGCCAUUUUAUAAAUUUCCCAAAAAAAUUGGAAUCUCAAAUAUCUAGCGUCAUCGUUAUCUUUUUUUUUCUUCAUUUUUUUUCUUUUUCCAGACAGUGGUCUACCAUCUUUGAAAAAUUAUUGGCACUUUCAAAUGGGUAUUAAGCCAUGCAUUGACAUUGAGGGUCUCAUCUGAAAGAGGAAUUUUGGUAGCAGCAGUGGCUGUGUAAUUUUUUUUUUAAAUGAUUUAUCUCUAAGAAUGCGCGAUCAAUUUAAAAGUGGAUUUUAUAUUAAAUUUCUUUGAGAUUGCUUUUCGAUUGAUCUGUUUGAUUUGGCUAUGGAAUGAUGGUUUUAUUACUAUGAGUUUGAAGGAUUUAUGAAAUAGAAAUUAAGAUUGAUAGAAAACAUAUUGAUCUCCGAGCUUUAAUGGCAGUUUCAACUUGUUAUCUUCAAGCCUCACCGGUGGUUUCAAUUUGAUACUUUGAUGAGAGCAAAAUUAGCAAUUUAGCACUAGAGGAAGAUAUUUAAUCACAAGUAUAAGAAGUUUUGACAGCGAAGAGAGGUAUGCUUCAACUAGGUUUAAAUUUUUAUUUUUUUUUCUUAUUUUUUAUUGAAAAUUUAAUUAUUUUUUUAAAAUAAGGUCAUACAUGGUAUUUUACUAGUUAACUAACAAUGAUAAACGGAAAUAUAGUAAAAUGAAAGAUUUUACAAAAAUACAAUAAUAAAAUGCUAAACAUUAAUAUUUUUUUUUGUUAUUGGGUGCUUCAUACUUUAUAAUGUAGUCAAGCAAUAAUAACCCUAGUUACAAUUACAUGUAGAUGGUGUUAAUUGGGCAUUUUGGCGUUUCAUUGAAUUUUCUUGUUACCAGUAGCUAUUGAGUUGCCGACAUUUUUCAACUUGUAGUUCUAAGGCUUCUCAAGCAAAUUUUAUGGUAGCUUCCAUUAAUUUUAAGUGUUAAUCAAAUAUUUUACUACUAUAAUUUAAAAAUUACAGUUGAUAAGCAAUAAUAGCAGAGAGAGAGAAUUAAAUAGAUUGAGAAUGAUUUUUGAUUCAGGGCGAGUUUUCGAGUGCUUUACGAACAAUCAAAAUGCUAAUCCUUUUAGCCAAUAAACACAAGCGCUUUGUAAAAAACAUUACGGGAAAACCCUCUAUGUAAAUAACAAUCGUGUAAUUACGGAGGGCGUAUCUUAAUUACAUGUCAGUUACAUUCAAUAACAACAAUAUUACUUAAAAAUUUUCUAUUAGCAAUGAGUGUGUUGGAGGUAGGAUAAAAAAAAUCUGAAGACUUUGCAAACUUUUUUGUGAAAAUGCAUCACAGUUGUCUUGUUCUUUCACUGUUGAUAAUUACAAUGAAGCCGAAGUUUGCGGACUUUAUUAUCAUUUUAAAAAAAAAUUAGAUAUACAAAAAAGGGUCCAGCUACUUUGCGUCAGGGGUUUGGUACCCCAGUCAUUUGUCUUUUAAUGAAGGCGUCUUUGGAUAGCCAAUAGAGGAAUUUGUGGGCUGAGAUUUAACCAUUGGAAAAUGGGUAACUGGCUGAAAGAAUAGUUGUCCAUUUGGUAUAAUGAUAAUUUUGGAUAAGGAAACUACUCAUCUCGAUCUCCUCAUCUCGAUCUCAAUCGAAAUUCAUCUCGAUCUCGGUCACAGUUCGAGAUAAUGAUAAGCCUUAUCUCCUCAUCUCGAUCGAAAUUCACAACUCUCUCUCUCGGUCACAGUUCUUCAACCACGGUUCGUCACAGCUCUCUCUCUCCAUCACGGUCUUUAACCAGAAUCGACUAUUGUUGUGCCUCUGCUUCUCUCGACUAGUGCUAUUGCUGCGCCUGUGAUCUAUCUCGAUUGGUGGUGGUGCUGUUGCUACUGCAUCUCUGCUCGGUCUCAAUUGUUACUGCUGCUGCUCUUGCUCUCUCUCUCUUAGGUUGCUCCUAUAACGAGAUCUAAGCAUAUAUGUUGAGGAUCGACAUUGGCUCACUGGUAUUAUUCUUCUAUUUGGGUAAAUUUUGAGUAAUUAUUAUUUAUCUUGUGCUCUGAUUUCAUUAUUCUUAUAUUUCCAAGCUUCACUUGUCCCUGCGUUUUAAGGAAUAAGAAAAGAAAAGCAGUGUAAGAGAAAUAAUAAGAGUGGAAAUGGCAAUGUUGUCAAUGAAGAAGAAACCUUUCAUUUUUGCUUUGGUUCUGUGUCUUAUUAUGGAUAUGGGAUUUGUUGUUGUGUCUUUGUUGCAGAGUUUUGAGAAAGCAAGUUACAGUCGUGGGUUCAGCAAAUCUUUUGGUGAGAUUUUUUAUACUUCUAAUUAUGGAAUUCUUUAACUCACUAACUGGCUUGGCUUCUGCACCUCAAAUGGGGUAAGGGCUUUCAUUUUUUUUUUUCAUGCUCCAAUUUUCAAGGAUUUAACUUAAUAACUACAAAAGGAUAAACUUGCAUAUCAUGGACCUUGGUGGUAUGAGGAUUUUGGUAUUAGUGGGAUUUUGGAUUAUUCUGGAGUUUGGUGUACCUUUUGAAAGGUAAUUUGGUUGAUGCAUGAGUAUCUUGUGUCACAUGUCCAAGAGAAAAUGUUAAUAUGUUUGAUUUGGUUUUUGCUUUCUUGUUUGUGUCUUGCAGUUGGAAUAGUUGGAAUUUUUUUGCCUGCAAUAUCAGUGAAGCCAUCAUUAAAGAAAUUGGUAUUUGUUUGUUAGCUCAUAUAAUUUGUUUGUUUUAUUAUAUCAUACUGAGAAGCAAUUAACAUAUUGGCAAUGACAAUUUGGAAAGUCUUGUUAUCGAGAAUAAGAGAUAAGCACAUUAAUUCACUUGGGUUGCAAAGAAUUUGAAUGAAUGAGGGAUGAUGAUUCUAAAAAAUAAUGUAAUGGCAAAUAAAUAGCUGAAAAUUGAAAUGGAGUUGGCUGGGGAGAGCAAGAAUGACUUCUAUCAAAUAGGCUUGAUUAAUUUAAAUGGCAGAUACUCAUUUGAAUUAAUCUUUUUUUUACAACUAGGGGGCUUGCAUAUCCUGAGUUUUUUAAGAAAGUGAUCGCAAUGAUGAUGAUAAUAUUGAUUCUCAUUAUGUCUUUAUGAUCACAAGUUUAUCUUUUCAAGGUACUUGCAUAAGCUUUACAGGUUUACUGUAUAAAUAAUACACUAGGAACAUGUGGUUUGUUAUUAUCUGAUGAUUUGCAUUUUUCAGUUUAAUUUCUGUUGAAUGCAUUGAAAUUACAACAAAAUGGUUGUGAUUGGAUAUGAAAUACACUGGGAACCUAUGUAUACAUUUAUACCAUAUAUUAUUUUUAGCUGUGUGUUUUGGACAAUUUGAUUUUGAUGAUGGGUUCAUGUUAUGUUUGUAACUGCUGUGUUUUUGCAUCUUGUUUGCUGAACAAGCACUUUUUACUUGAUGGCUUAUGUCUAUCAACCAUCCUCACUUCAUGGGUAGUCAUUGCAUUCAACAAAGCACCUGAAUCCCAAAUGUAGUUUCAGUUGUUCUAUGAUUGAUCAUUGAUCAAUAUAUUCUCCCAUUUCCUUGUUGACGAUGAUAAUUCUAUUUUAAUUUCUAAACUAUCUUCCAUUUCAUGCCUUGAAUUAGAAGGAUGAAUUUUGUGAAGUUGCAUCGACAUGUGAGACUAAGACAGGACCUUCCAUCGCAGCAGGCUUUUGAAGGGCAUGGUCCCAAACUCUUAAGACCUUGAGAUUGCAAGAUGUAGGGCAUCAUAACCGAAAGCAUGUGCUCAUGGCAAUUUUUGUGGCAAUACAUUCAAUCUCAGCCAUUUAUUUAUUGCACAGGAAACACUUCAUGUUAGAUCAUUUUUUAUGAAUGAUUCUUGUCAUCACUUGUUCACUAAGAUAUGUGUUUGUCAGGUGUUCUUUUUUUUUUUUUUCUCUCUUGUACCACAUUGUUUUCAUGGUUGAUUCCAUCGUAUUAAUUAAUUUUUUAAAUAACUGAUUGAUGUUGUAUUCCUCAUUGAUUAAAUGUGAAUAUUGUAAAUUAAACUAUUAUUUUAUUUUAAUUCUCUUCUAUGGAUGAUUUGAUAUGAAAUCGAAAUUGUAGGGAUGGAUGGUAUAAGAGAUAAAAUUGUAAUUACCAUGCAACAUGAUUACACGCGUAAUGCAUGAUGCCCAUCAUUUAAUUUUUAUAAUUAUUUUGUUUAAAUUAUAGAUAUUGUAAUAUUUUAAUUAUAGUAUAAAAAUAAAGAUAAUAUGAAUUUUUUUUCAAUUAAUGUUAAUAAUUAAAUUUUAUCAUCAUUUAAUUUUUUAUAAUUAUUUUAUUUAAAUAGCGGUAUUGUUCGCGUGGAAAAUGAUAUUAUCACAUCAUACUUUCGUUUGCCCAAAUUGUAUUAUUCAUACUUUACUUGUUCAUAUCAAGCCCUAUGUUGGAAUCAAAUUUAACUUAAUUAAUCCAAUCCCACCAUCUUUUACUGCAUUCACCAGCCCGUAAUUUUUUGGAUAUUCUCAUAGAAAGUAGAGUACAACUCCUUUCUCUUAACAACACUUAAGAAGAGACCCCUAAAAUAAUAGAGUUCUUUUACGUCAAUGCAAGCAUUCGUUCUCUGUUUUUAUUUUUAAGAAAAUACUCUUAACUUAAAAAUAAACGAGACUACUUGGAAGUGGUACAUUUAGCAUGCCCUGGGUUAUAUUUUUCACACUGAACUCAAUUUCCAUUCCGAUCACACCCCGGUGUCUAAUAGGUGUUGUUUUUCGUUUUCCCGUACUCGAUGGGCCUGAUGUUACAGGAUAGCAAAAGUUGAGCUUCAUUCUUGUCAAUUGCUGCAGGUGUCGUUGGCAGCACUAUAGACGGAUGCAUUUGUUUUUUUUCUUUGCCUUAUUACAUCUUUUUUGUUGUCAAUUGAAUGUACUUUUCUUUUAACUUGCAUGUUUUUGCACAUGGCCGCCUGCCUAUCCCCCUACCUAUCUGGUGGUUAAAGAAACACAAAUUUAUCGCUACAAGACUCUCCGAUUUUUUAUACAUUAUGAAAUUUUUUUGGUUUAUCACAAAUAAAUUAAGGUUUAGAGAUACAGAUAGAGAAAACAUUUUUCUUUGUUAUACUAGAAUUUAUUGUAUUUUAAUUGCCCCAUAUUUUUUACAUUCUUAACCAAUAACAAUAGGGAUUGUUGAAUAAUAUAUGAAAUAAUUUUUUUUUAAUAAUUAUUACCAUUUAUUACGAGCUGCGUCUGUUAAAUUUUUAGACCUUUUACUUUUUUUUGCCUUACAACAAACAAUUGUGCCUUCUCAAGGAAGCUUAAAUCUCUAGCAAAUGGUGGUUAAUUUUGCAUGCGUGGCUGCGCUUACCAAAAGUCCACCAAUAUGUGGAGUGCACUUACAAGCGAGUUGCCAUUAGCACUCAACACGAUAGGGGUGUUCAGAAUCCAAUCCAAUCCACUCAAUCCGUUUGAUCCACUGAAUUUGAUCCGUAUCAAUCUGAUCCGUAGAUUAGUGGAUUGAAUAUGAAUUGAAAUUUUAAAAAUUCACAAUCGAUGGAUUGGAUAUCAAUUUACUUCUGUAAAUAAAGUAAAUCUGCAGAAAUCCGUGAAUCUGCAAAAAAAAUAUAUAUAUAUAUAAUUAAAAAAUGAUUAUAAAUUUAAUUAAAAAAUUAUAAAUGUGACAUUGCAUAGUUACUAAACACUAUAACAUAUUUUAGCCAUUACCCAAUAAUAAUAUAAAAUGAAAAAUAAUUAAAUAAUCAAAUAUACAAAUAUAACUUGUAAAAAUUGUAAAACAAAAUAAAAGCAAAGUCACACGCACUAGCAAAGCAAAGUAACAUAACGUCAACUCACCAACAAUUUACAAAUAAAAAAUCCUAAGGUUUCCCGCCGUCACAUACACUAGCAACACUCAAUACUGGUUAGAUACACUCUCAACACGGAUUUAAAGGACAUCGGCCGCGCGAUUCCAGCUAGAGCAAGCCAUCUUCUUUCCCAAGUCCAUCGAGCCACUUCACAUUUACUGGUUCUAGCUGAACAAUUUCACUAUCACAACCUUCAAGAUCUCCACCCGUACGGCUUCUCCUGAUUCCCAUCGUGGAUGGCUCCGUAAUCACCACUUUUCGACAGCCGCAACAGUCCUGGUGAAGGAUCAGACUGUGUUUGGUUUCCGAAACUUCGCCAUUUCAAUUAAUUGUGGUUUUAUUUAAACAAUUAAUUUCAGUGUUAUAUUAAUGUAUUAUUGUAACUUUAUUUGAACAAUUAAGCUUGGUGUGUUAUAUUUUGAAACUUUGAACACAUUAUUGUAGCUUUAGUUGAAUAAUUAGUCUCGAUGUGUUAUAUUUUGAGACUUUAAAUGUAUUAUUUUAGCUUUAUUUAAACAAUUAAUUUAUUUAAAUUUUAUUCAAUUUUAAAUUUAAUUGGUAGCAAAAUUAUUUGUAUAUUAGAUUUUUUUAUUUCAUUAGUUGGAGAGAAUUAAAAAUUUUUAAUUCGAAAACUAAUGCACAAAAUGGUGGAUUGAGUCAAAUCCGCAUCCGAUCCGCAGAUGUAUGGAUUGGAUUUGAAUUGAAUUUUAUCAAUCCGUGGAUUGGAUUGGAUUGAAAAAUUAUAAUCCGUAAAAUUAUGGAUCGGAUAUGGAUUGAUAUCCAAUCCGUAAAAUCCAAUCCGCGAACACCCCUACAACACGAUAUGCUCUUACAAGUGGGAUGCACUUAGUAAUGGCUCGCCUAACACAACUACUCAGUCAUGUUCUGCUUUGCAUCCAUCUGUGCCCACCCAAAUUCUAGACUUCUCUACAUUUUGCAAAUAACUACAAUUCGUUUGAAUUGUGCAUUUACGUCCUACGAGAUAUUUGCGCAUGUUCUUACGAAACUUUAUUACCUUGGCAUCCAAGCCUAUAACAACCCCGUGACACUUGCUAUUUUGCACACCAUACACACAAACCCACCAGCACACGUACAAGCUCCAUAGCUCUUAUAAAAAGUUAUCUUCUAAUUUCUCUUUACUGUGUAAUAAACUUACAUUCAGUCAUACUUCUCUUAUUUCUCUGUAUCAUUUCCACAAGCAUCCUUACUUCAUUAGUUUAUAGCCUCCUUUGCAAAACACUUAUCCCGCGACAUACUGCUCAUGAGAAUAGUUACGAUACGGUGUUUGGUUCAACAACCCCAAGAUAGUUUUCUCUUAGUUUUUUUCCUCUUUCAACUUAUCCUUCACCUCAAUUUAGACCGUCAUUCUUCAUUGAUCAUUUUUAAUUUAUAUUAUUAUUAUUAUUAUUAUUAUUAUUAUUAUUAUUAUUAUUAUUAUUAUUAUUAUUAUUAUUAUUAUUAUUAUUAUUAUUACUACACACUACAUAAUUGUUCCACAUAUUUUUAUUUUAUAUGAUUUUCAUUUACUCAACUCAUACGCAAAUUUUCCACAAAAACAAAUUAUAGGCUAACUCAACUGUAAAUUCAUGCCAGGCUAGUUUUAAAAUUACAGUUGAUAUUUCGCUUUUUUUUUUCCCACCAAGCACGCAAUUCAUUACCUUAAAUCCACUUCCAAAUGUUUUCGUCACUAUUUUCGAAAUUUUCAAAUCAUUCUAACCCCAACCCAUACUUGCACGCUUCCAACUUCUUGUUUUUAACCAAUUCUUGCAUGCACCCUUUUUUCUAUUGUUUUACAUGUGUUACUGUAACAACUCCCAACCCACUACAGGAGUUUUUUUGGUCAAAAAGAUGAGACUUAUAGUACCAGUGGCGGGCCCCCUGGGUCCUCAAAUUAUUCAUAUGGGCAUUUCGUCGAACUGUUGAUAUACUCGGCAUCUGCACUUGGAAGACGCGUUCAAAAACUCUAAACCAUGUUAAAGUCGACCAAAAAGACAAAACAUAGAAAGCGACAAUCCAACAACUAGGUAAAAAUAUUCGCUGUCACAAAUGGGGGCAAAACUACGGUGAAACAGUAGUUGCAACCAAUUAUUAAAUUUAUAAUUAUACAAUUGUAUUAGGUAAAUCUAAUAAUUAAAAGUAAUAAUAAUACCGUACUCACUGUUGCAACAUAACUCUCCCACAAAUAGUUGCGUGUAUAUUUGGAAACAUCAAAUAUAAACAAAGACCAUGUGAAAAAGAAAAGCAAAAAGCUACAAAUAAGAGAAAGGGAGCACAGUGAAAGAUCUGCAAAGAAGGUUUAGGACAACGAUUAUUAUGAAAACGAGACCAGAAGACGUAUAAGGGAUUUCAGAGAAUUUGAGAGAAGUGGGAUGAUUAAGAAAAUGCAGGAGCAGUACAUUCAUGACCUCUAUUAGUAAUUUGAUUUCGUGAAUCAUUUUCAAAAAGAAAAUAAUUAAUGCACACAAUUGGAGAGUAGGUGAUGACAAUGAAAGAUCAUCACAUAACCUACUUAUUAUUUUAUAUGCUUUACUGUGGAAUCGACAAUUGCUAUAUUGCGUAGCGUGUAUUUUGGGAUCAUCAAAUACAAACAACGACCACGAUAAAAGAAAAGAAAGACUAAUAAAGCUUUCCCAGCAGCAUUAAUCAUGAUUAUUUGAUAAAAUAGAGGUAACAAAUAAUUAUAUUUUUGGUGGAAAACAUAACAGAGCACGUUACAAGAGCUGAUUGCUUUCUUUAUUUUUUGUGAAUAUUAAACCAAAAAUACAAGUCAAUGAAAAAAAUUGAAAAUAACGCACCAUCAAGUCCACCUUGGUGCAGAAAAAUAUUAACAUUUAAUGAACUUAGAGGAAUGAGUUGGGCUAAGUCUUUAAAUCAGCUCUGUCGUGGAAUAUUACAGGAAGAUUAAAAGGAAAAUCAAUCAACUACAACUAAGUAUAUAAUAUAAUAUUUUCACGCAUCGUUUAUAAAUUUAUUGGGACACACUAUUUCCGCUUAUUGAAGAAAAUCAAGAAAUGCUGAUUCCGUCAUGCUUACUUUCAUAAUCAUUUAUAAGCUUUUAUACGAAUCCUUGUGUUUGAAUAUAAUAAUGGUUUAAGAAAUGCAUACCUGUUAGUUCUCCAUUUCUUGACUCCGAGGAAAAUUUGACUUGACAGAUGAAGCAAUGUUAUAAGAGGUUUGAUUAUGGGUCAAUUUACUGCGAGCAUUUCAACAGACGGGUGAUAUGCAUACACAGCUUCUACGCUACCACUAUCAUGCUUACCCCAUAGCUGCUUUCUGUUGUAAAACGUUGCUGACAUGUCAUCAUACUGGACAGACCUGCCGAGGUUAUUCUUCGAAGCGUUUCAUGAUGCCACGUGUACUUGAUUAUUUGACUAAUCACGGUUCACAAGUUGAGGGAGCUACUCACCACACCACCUUCCUGCUGCAAAGAAUUUUAACUGAACUUAGACUUCGUCAGAAACUCAGAAUUAGUGGUGCACGUGAUGCUUACACGUGAGGACCCCAAUGACGAAUUCCAAACGCUGAACGAUGUAUGUGUGAAUUAAAUGUAACUAUUACUCUCUAGUACAUAUAUGUCAUAUGUACACUAAGUGGGUGUAGUGCAACGAAGGUGCUCUAAUAUUUUUUCAGUGAACACAAUAUAAUCAUCAAAGUGAAAGAAAAACUUUUGAGGUUUUGGUAUAUUCAUUAGUGAAAUUUGAGCCGAAAAGAAAAAUUCAUAUUUGUAAACAUCAAAACCAAAAUCAUUUGGACAUAGUUGCUGAAAUUGAUUAGGUCAUUUUUAACCUUAAAUUUAAGAUCAUUAAUCGUUGCAUGAAUGUUUUGAUUUUAAUACCAGUGGCAAUCACGUACAUGUUUAAUGAUUUGAUUAAAUUUGUGUUUAGUUCUAUAAAUGAUUUAACUAAAAAAUUCAAAAAUGUUUAAAUAACAAUUGUUAUUAUUAACAAUUUAACUAAAAAAUUAUUAUUAAUUAUUGUUAAUAGAUUAAUUAAUUACAAUACUUUUUAUUAUUCUUAUUAAUAGUAAUUACAAUAAACUAGUAAUUAUAAUUAUAAUCCAUUUAAUAAUAAUUAUUUUUAUUUAAAUGGAGGGUAGUUUGGGAAUUUAAAAAAUAUAGGGGAUAAAUUUGAUACGCUAAGGGUUUUAAUGAAAUAAAAUAGAGUGCAAGGGGCUGAACGAAAUGUUACAAUACAGAAACUUUUAUAUACUUAUUGAUAAAUUGUAAAUACUAUUAAGUAAAAGGGGCUGAACAAUAUUUUACAGUAAGAAUUCAGAAAAAGACAAACGCAGCUGUAACUGUAACUUAGAGGAAGAGGAUCCUUAAAGUUUUUAAUGAAAAUCUUUAGUUGUUUAGUUAUAAAAAAAAAGCUUUUAAAAAAAGUUGUAAAUUAAAAUUACUUUAGUAACAAGUUUAUUAAACCUGGACUCAUCUACUUUGCAACGGCUGCAAUGUACAACUAAUUUUUUUUUAAUUUCAUUCCUUUACCUUUGGAUUUAAUGAAAAAGGUAAUUUCAAUGGUAGAGAUUUGUCCAUUUGAAUACUAACAUUAUAUUUUUGAUAAGUAUUAAAAACACAAAAAAAUGAAAGAGUUAAAAUUUUUAGCAUAUAAGUCUUUAUUGUUUCCAAUUUAUAUUAUUUAAUUAGUAGUAAAUCUUAAAAAAUAUUUUAAUUUUAAUAUUAUAUAUUUUAUUUAAAAGAAUAAAUUUUUAAUGUUAUUUAUUUUAUUUAAAAUAAAUAUUAUUUAAUAUUAUUUAUUUUCAUUUUAUUUAAUUUUAUUUAGCGUAUGCUUAUUAUUAUAUUUAUUCUUCAAAAAACUAAAUAAUAUUAAAUAAAAUAAAAUAAUCAAUAGUGAAUCAUAAAAAAUAGAUAUAAUUUUUAAUUAAUAUUAUUUAUUUUAUUUUAUUUAACGUUUUAUAGUCAUAAACUUAUCAUUAUAUUUAUUCUUUCAUAAAACUAAAUUUAACAUGCAUAACAUAACUCCAUAAGACAAAAAUGGUGGCACCUUGCAACUGUUGCAAAGUAGCUGGAUCCUAUUAAACCUAUAUGUUAUAAAACAAAUGAAAUAGGAUUAUGCAUGCAGUUAAAUAGGUGUAUUUUAGAAAAUCUAAUUCUUUUAAGGAGCUCUACAACCUAUUCUCCUAGAAGUCCAAAAUUUAAACUUCUCCUAAUAAAGACAAAAUAAUAUUUUUAAUAAACUCUAUUCAAUUUAUAGCCAAACGAUGCCAAAAAAUAUUCAAAAGCAAAAUUACUCUCUUGAUCUAUUAGUAGAGAAAUCAUACAAAAUGGACACUUAAUGGUCAAUUAUUUUCCCCCCUUUUUUUUGUAGUUUUACUUUUCCUAUAAACAUUAUUGUUUAGGAAAUAAUAAUAACACUAAAUACUCUCCACUAACACAUUAAUUAAUUAAGAGUAUUUCCUCACUAGCACGCAUUUAAUUAUCAAAUGAUUAUCAAAAGUACGGCUAAACUUUGGUAAUUAACAAAACAAGUACUCUAAGCUCUGUCAUCUCAGUAAAAAUGUUAUCUGGGAUUCUCAACGAAGGAUCACUGCCAAUAGAAAAGUAUUCAAGGUGUGGACAUUCCAACUCUUGAGGAAGCUCACUAAUAUUACUAUUAUUUAAGGAGAUUGCAGUGCAAACCUUUAGUUUAUCCUUAUCUGGCUGUUUGAUCUGUGGGACAACAUCAUUAUCCACUACAAAUACAUGUUGGUCUCUUGAUGCAAUUGAUAUGGCUACAUCACGAACAACAUCAUGCAUAGCAAACCAUUCACUUGUAACACCAUCAAGCAACAAGCAAGAGUUUUUGAGCUUGUCAACCAAUGUAAGCGCUCUAUCUCGUGGUUCUUCCAACGUGUUGAUGUUUUGAAACAGAGCCAAACCCAUGCCAUAACAGAGCAAGUCUUCAACACAACAGAUGAACGAGUACCCUAUUAGCAAAAAUGUUUCUUUAAGUUCCCUACCUUCUAAAUGAUUGUAACUCAACUCUACAGUUGAAUAGGCCACCGCUUGUGUCCCAGAGAAACUUCUUAAACAAGGCCUUUUUAAUUGAAGUAAAGCAUUCCUCCAUUCAUAGAGACUCUUAUUUUUCAAUGCCUUCGCUACGGGCACGAUGGCAAUGGGCAAACUAGCACAUUCCUUGACUACCUUUGUCGCUACAGAUUUCAGUUCACCAUUUUCUAUGCAAUCACCUGUCAUCUUCUUGAAAAGACUCCAAGCUUCUUUUUCAUUCAGAACAUCAACAAAAAAAUUUUGUUGACAAUCCAUUUUACAAGACAACACAUCUUGACUUCUUGCUGUCAGCAGAACUUUACAUCCGCCGUUAUCAUCUGCCAAUGGAAUUCCAAUCGCCUCCAAAUCGAGACUCCCCCAAAUAUCUGUUGGGGAAAAAUCAGGUUUUUAAAUUUUUUAUAAAACCAUUUGAAGAUCGCUCUCAUAUAAUAUAUAAGAAUUUGUAUUCUAGAAAUCGUACCUUGAAAAUCCGAGUUGGCUUUUUCCGCUGAAGUGAUUUAGGCUCCUAGAUCACGAUCCGCCACCACCACUCCUGUUAGAUCACGAUCCGUCUCCACCACGCUUGUUAGAUCACGAACUGUCACCAAUGAUCUUCCAGGUUAUGACUCAGGUUCGAUCUGCACUUGACGUGUGGGCGCCUUUAUCACUACAAAAGCAACUAGCACGAGAAAAUUUUUCUCUCAACAAUAGAGAGAAAAAUCUUAUUCUCCGAUUUGUAUAAAGUGGCCUCUCUCUUUUCCUUUAGAGAAAAUAAACCUUAUAUAUCUUCCUUUAGUGAAAACCCUAGGCUCCAAAUAAUUCAAAAAACAAAACCCACGUUAUUUGCUUUUUCAAUAAGGGACCCACCUUGUAAAAUAACAUAAGGCCCCUUAUACAAAAGCUAAUUAAAUGGAGCCUCCCACUAAAUGAUAUAUUUAGGCUUUUGACCCAAAUUGCUAGUUAUCUUACUUAUUAGUCCAGUAGUGGUGCAGUUAAUUAAAUGAGCUAACCCGGGGAUCAUUUGGGAACAUACAAUAGUGGCUACAAUAAUUAGGCCUGUAAUUAAACUAGCCCAAUUAUUUAAUUCCAAAUCUACUCCACUAAAAGAUUGGAACUGACUUCCAUAAUUGUAUGCUCGAAUAAUAAUUCGUCCCAAGCCACAUUGAUUUCUUUACUGCACAAUCCUUUGUACCACAUCGUUAAUUAAAUUGAUAUCUCAACUGUCCAAUCAAUUUAAUAACAUCUUAUUCCUUGAUCCUUACUGGUUUCCUCUAAUGAUCAUUUUCAACAUACUAAAUAUGUUGACACACUCUGGCCAGAGAAUUCUAUGAUCAAGUACCGAAAACCUAUCAAGAGAUGUGUUGUACAAAUUCUAUAUUGUUAAUCCAUAACUCCAAUACUCAUAAUUGCUCCCACCAAGAUACCGGGUAAUCUUGACCACAAGGAUGUGUCGUGCCCAUUGGUAACUCAAAUGAAAUAACAAUCACAAUCAUGAAAUCAUAAUUAACUCAAGAUUAAGAUUACAGUAAAAUCAACGCCUAUGAGAUUUAAUAAGUCUGACAGUUAUUACAAAGUUAAUUAAAUCUCAUAUGUGAUCCUGUUCAAUGUAGUCGUACUACAUCAAUAAAUUCAUACAUGAUUAAGACAAAUCAUUCAAUGAAUUUAUUACAGUCUAUACCUAAAUAAAGUGCCCAACUUUAUUUAUCAACUGCGAACUAAAUUUAUUUAAUCAUAAGAUAACUUGUAUUUAUGUCUUCUGUGAAUCCACAUGGUGAUCACAUAAAUACAUAUAAUAUGAUUAAAUGGACUUUAAUACAAAUAUUAAUGCAAUUAAGAUAUUUGAAUAAAAUACCUCAUUUAUUUUAUUAAUCAGAAAAAUUGUUUAUUACAAUUAAAUAAACACAUAUGCUUUUAAAGAGCAUAUUUUCCCAACAAUAUCAUAUAAGAUUAUAAGGAUCUUCUUCUCUACUUUCAAUCUUUCAUAUAGCCUCCCUGCUCUAACAGUUUCAAUCUCUUCAACUAAUCGCAAACCUAUCUUCUCUGCAAUUUAUUCUUGUAUCUUCUUUAUUUGUGGUGUUUGGGAUACCUAUUCCCUUAUAAGAUAAUACUUCCUUUCAAUAUGUUUUGUUUCUUGUGGUUCCUUGGUUCCUUAGAUUGAGCUACCGCACCACCCAUCCCGUAUACCCCAAUCAUGUUGAAGUUAUGAUUGCUUAAUGAGCCUAGUAUUUCCUUCAAAGUGGAUUUUCUUGAUUCAAAGUGAAUGAAACCUUCGGUGGACUUAAGCCAUAUCUCCUCUGGAAUUGUACGGAAAGAAACGCUGUCAAAUUUCCUUUUUUCAUGGAGUCCAACAAUAGCAUUCACCUCCAUUUCUGCUUUCUUGCUAAGCUGGUAGUGGGUCUUCAAAUUGGGACACAACCCAUUAAAACACCGGUUGUUUGAUUUUUCUUCAACUUCUAUAAGCUUCCUAACUUCACUGAUGACCUCGUCCACACUAAUCAGCCACUCCUCAAUGUGCUGUUGAAUUCCGUCCCCUUUGAUUUUGGAAUCAUCUAUGUUAAGUAAAUAAGAGCACCAGCUCAACCAUGUCAUCAUCCCCACCUCGGGGUGGAUCACCUCAGCCGAAUGGUACGAGCAGAACACUGAUAAUAAGCCUUAUACAAACAUGGGCCGACCAGAGACGAGUACAGCCAGAGGAAUACACCGACCAGAGACGAGUACCAGCCGGAGGAAUACACCGACUAGAGACAUAUACCGAGUAGAUACGCAUUCCCCAAAGAGUGGGAACACGAUCCCACAAAAUCUCGACAGUUGCGCUUUUUCCAGAACCGUUGAGGGAGACACGGUGUCCCACGUUUGCCCACAAUGUAGCAGUUGGAGUCCCAUGAAGGGCUGCCACUACUUGAGAAAGAGGGGAUGAAGGGUGAACAGAAAUGUGGGACAACGGCUAUAAAAGAGGAAGAAACCAAUGAAGAAAGGGGAUGAAAAAACUGAGAGAGAAGGGAAAACUCUGCCAAGUUAAAACCAGACGGUUUUUCUACCUAAAUUGAGAGUAAAUCGUAAGCCAUUCCAAAAUCUAAAUUAAACCGUUUUCCCGUAAACACCUUGUGCUAACUUAGGCAUCGGAAGGUUUACGCCGGUAAAACCAUCGGCGUCUUUGAUCCAUUUUUUGUGAACGCAGGCUUAGCAAGAUAAAAAGGGGUGAUUCCAACCCAGUGACGUAAGCGAUCGUUAAGGCAAGGAGAAAAUAACAUCGUUCCCAUUAAACAUCUAAGCGUUGGUGGAAGAAUCUGGUGGGGUAAAGGGCGAGCAAAUUUCAGCAUCAACAUUGGGCGAGCAGAUUUCAGCAUCAACAAUCUACUUUAUACUGUACACUGUCUCUAGCAUUCUUUAGUUUAUCAACAUCAUUCUUCAGCUUCUCAAAGUUGGUCUUGUACGUGCAGUAGUAGGUAAAUGGAUGAAUAAUGGGAGCAACCAAGUACUCUGCAACUUUUGUAACAACGAAGGUAACAAUUUCCAUUAUCCUUUUUAUUUUAUUUUAUUUUUAUUUUGCUUUGAGAAAACAGGGGAAAACAAAACCAAUCACAACAAGAAAUAAGAGACAAGGAGGGCAAGGAGUGAAAAAGCUAGAAAUAAAAAAAGGAGUACAGUGAAAGAUCUGUAAAGAAGGUUUAGAAAAAGGAUGAUUAAGAAAAGGGAACCAUAAAAUGUAUAAGGGAUUUUUAGAGAAUCUGAGAAAAGUUGGAUGAUUAAGAAAAUGCUGGAGCAGGACAUUUAUGACUUCUGUUAGUAAUUUGAUUUCGUUAAGCAUUUUCAAAAAGAAGAUAAUACAAACAAUUGGAGAUUUGGUGAUGAUAAUGAAAGAUUAAGUAAGCUACUCCAUAAUUUAUAUGCAUUAACUGGAAUCGACAGCUCUAGCUCGUGUUAAAAUCAACCAAAAAGACAGAUCAUGGAAAGCAGCAAUCCAAUAACUUAAAAAGAGUUAAAAACAUUUGCUAUAGGAAGUGGUUGCGUUGACGUGUAUUUCAAGGAUCAUGAAAUAUAAACAAAGACCACGUUAAAAGAUAAGCAAAAGUUGGCAAGAUUGGUAAUGAUAUAUUAAAAGAAAGACUAAUAAAGCUUUCCUAGCAGCAUUAAUCAUGAUCAUUUGAUAAACUAGAGGUAAUAAAUGAUUAUAUUUUUAGUGGAAAACAGAGUACGUUACAUGAGCUGAUUGCUUUUGUCAAUAUUCAGCCAAAAAUACAAGUUAAUCAAAAUAACCUACCAUCAAGUCAACCUUGGGGCAAAAAAACUAGUAACAUUAAAUGAACAUAGAGGGAUGAGUUGGGCCAAGUCUUUAAAUCAGCUAUGUCAUGGAAAAUUACAAGAAGAUUAAAAAAAAAAGAAUCAAUCAACUAGUAUAUAGUAUAAUGUUUUCACAUUUAAUUAACUAGGAGACUAAUACACUAUCACUCAGCAUUAAUGAAAAUUAUUUGAUAAACUAGUAUAUAUUGGAUAUCUCGGUGCAAAACAGAGUGCUAAGAGAUAAAAAUUAACCUAGUGUCUUUGCCAGGUGUUUAUAAUCGCUAAGCUUGCCUCAUACCAUUGCCAACUUUGGCCAUCUGGUAGUUGCUUAUUGAAGAAAACAAAGGAAUGCUGAUUCGAUCAUGCAAAGUUUAAUGUUAAUUAAAGUUAAAAGCGAUCAGAUUCAUAUUCAUUAAUAUGCUUUUAUACGAAUCGUUGCGUCUGGAUAUAAUAAUGGUUUCAGAAAUGCCUACCUGUUAAUUCCCCAUUUGUUGUCUCUGAAGAAAAUUUGACUUGAAGCAAUAUUAUAAGAGGUUUAAUUGUGGGUCAAUUUCUUGUGAGCAUUUCAACAAACGGGUGGUACGCAAGCACAGCUCCUAUGCUAUCGCUGCUACUAUAUGCGUCAAGUAGCUGCUUCCAGUUGUAAAACGACGCCGACAUGUCAUACUCAGAGAGAUCCUUCCGAGGUUAUUCUUGGAAGCAUUUGACAAUGCCACGUGUACUCCAUUAUUUGACUAGUCACACUCACAAGUGAAUUAGCCCACCACACCACCGAACUCUGACUUGGUCAGAAUAAGUGGUGCACGUGAUGCAAACACGUGAGGACCCAAAUGAUAAUUUCCAAAAGCUGAAUGAUACAUGUAUUAUAUGUGUGCAUUAACUAAAUAUAACUAUUAAUUGUAUGUUAAAUUUUUAAUAUAUAUAUAUAUAUAUAUAUAUAUAUGUGUGUGUGUGUGUGUGUGUGUGUGUGUGUGUGUGUGUCAUACAUAUACUACGUAGAUGUACUACAAUAGAGGUGCUUUAGAAUUUUUCGGCAAACACAGCAUAGCGAUUGAAGUGAAAGAGAAACUUUAAUCUUUGGUGUAGUCAUUGGUAAAAUUUGAGCCGAAAAGAAAAAUUCAUAUUUGUAAACCUAGAAACAAUAAUCAUUUGGAAGUAGUUGCUGAAAUUAAUUAGGUGAUUUUAACCUCAAAUUUGAGACCAUAAAUCAUUGAAUGUUUUGAUUUCAACACUAGUGGCAAUCACGUACACAUUUAACGACUUAGUUAAAUUUAUAGCAACUAAUAAGUAUCCAACUUUGCAACCGUAUUUAUUUCUCGUGAUUUGAUUAAACUGAGCACUCCGAAAACUUCAGUUCCUUCCAUUGUUGUAAGCUGAAUGAUACAUGUACGAUUUGAUUAAACCGUAUUUAUUUAUAUAUUGAAUGCUACUUCAAUGAAUUCUACUGCCGCAAUAAUACUAAAUGAUUUUUCAUGACAAAAAAAUCAAUAAUUAGAAUGAUUAUAAGUUAAUUUAAUGCUGAAUUUCAUCAUUAACUGCUGAAAUACUCCAGAAAUCCAAAUACAUUUAACUAAACAAAAAUUUAAUCAAAUCAUUAAACACACAAUCUGAAAGCGGAUUCAAAAUAACUUUCAUAAAAAAGCCAAAAGCAGAACAAUCAACAAAGAAACAGAAGAACCUCUCACCAAUGCCAUCUGACCCUUCAUAGAAAGAAAGAAGUCAAGCUCCAUGUAAUAUAACGCCUCACAAAUUACACAGAAAAAUGGCCGCAUUCCAUAUGAUGCAUAGAACGUGGCCCGAAUCCUCUUCGUAAGUUUGGAAUUUUUGGAGAAAAAUACACAAUGAAGGUGAAAUCAAGAAAAAAAGGAUAGUGAUAUUUCGUGCAAUUUUCAUGUAAUUUGCAGGAAUUAGCUUCUAUUUGGUAAGCAGUUCUGGAUGCCUAACUAUUAUUACUAUUACUAUUAUUUAUAUGGAUGGGGUUGGGUGAGACAGGUUUAUCAUAAUUAACCCAACCCAGCCCAAUUAUUAAUUGGAUUCUAAAAAAUUACCUAAUUAACCCCAUAAUAAUUCACUUAAUCCAUCAAAAUUUGAUUGGAUUAGAUUGGGUUAGACUGGAUUCGUCAGGUUGGAUUGAAUUCACCGGGAUUGGAUUGAGUUUGCCUACCCCUAGCUCUUGACCCACAUUAUUUAUUUUUAUUAUUUGGUAACUUCAUUCAAUAAAUAAAUUUAAAUUUUAUCAAUUUGUAUAAAAUAAGUUUAUACAAGAGCUUUUAACUGUAUCAUCACUCAUCAAACAAUAUUAGAUGAAACAAUAAAUGAAAUAUACAAAGGUAUCAUUAAAUCCAAAAGCAUCCAAUGUGUCAAAAAAUAUCCUAUCAUUUGAAAUAAAAAUAUUAAAAUAUUAUUUUCGAAAUCAAUAAUGAUAUAACCACAAACAUUAAGAACUUGUGUAAACAAACUAACAUGGCAUAAAGACAUUAGCUAAAAAUCGAUAACUAUUAUUUUUGUAAAUCAUGUGGGUCUAUAACAGUUUUAUACAACCAAUCUUCUCAUGCAAAAUCUGUAUGAAUUUUUUUUUUACAAGGUGGUUGUGGCUCUAUAUAUCCAAGUCGUUGUUCAACUUCAAGGGAUCUGUUAACUCACGUGUAUAUAUAUAUAUGUGUAUAUAUUAUUGGUUGUUAUAUGUUUCCUAGUUUGAUAGGAUUUCCUUUCCUUGUGAACUAGGGUAAUUCUUAUGUACAUAUAAAUAUUGAUCAAUAAGAGGGCAGACCAUGGAAGCCACAACAGUUUUUGCAUCGUAAAAUUCUUCAUGGUAUCAGAGCAUGAUGGAAGACCAAACUCAAACAAAAACAAAAGAUAAAGAGGCUAGCGGAAGUGGAUUGGGCAAGACAAUGAUGUCUCCUUACUUCCUCUCAACCAGUGAUAAUCCUGGAACUAUCAUUACUCAAGUGCAACUUCGAGGAACCAACUAUGACGAGUGGGCAAGGGCUAUGCGAACUGCAUUGCGUGCCAAGAAGAAAUUCGGGUUUGUUGAUGGAACCGUGAAACAGCCUGCUGAUGACUCGGCUGAUUUGGAGGAUUGGUGGAUGAUGAAUUCAAUGUUGGUCUCCUGGAUACAAAAUACAAUCGAAUCGAACCUGCGAUCUACUGUGACUUAUACAGAAGUUGCUAAGUUGCUGUGGGAUGAUAUCAAGGAAAGGUUCUUUGUUGGGAAUAGACCACGUGUGCAGCAACUCAAAUCUGAGUUGGCGAAUUGCAAGCAGCGAGGUAUGACUAUUUUGAAUUAUUAUGGGAAACUCAAGAUGUUGUGGGAAGAAUUGAGUAACUACGAUCAAUCGCCUGCUUAUCUAUGCGGUAAUUGUACGUGUAAUCUAGGUGUGGAAUGGGAUAAGAAACGAGAUGAAGAAAAGUUGCAUCAAUUCUUGAUGGGUCUUGAUGAAGCCGUGUACGGUGACGUGGGGUCUCAUAUUCUAAGCACCGAGCCACUGCUAAAGUUGAACCGUGCCUAUGCCAUAGUCAUUCAGGAGGAGCAGGUUCAGUCAAUGACACGUGCUAAAGAAGAACGGAGUGAACCUAUAGCAUUUGUUAUUCAAGCCGUGCAAGGAUCACAUGACAACCGUGAUAAGUCUUCUAUACUUUGUACCCAUUGCAACAAGACUGGACAUGAAGCAUCUUCCUGUUUCCAGCUUAUUAGGUAUCCCGAAUGGUGGGGUGAACGAUCGAAAGCCACGAGGAAUGCAGGUCGUGGUCGCGACAAUUCAUGACAGAAUGGUGGAAACAAUGGGCGUGGUCGUGGAGGUCCUGCUCGGGCCAACGCUGCUCAAGUCGCGACAGGGUCUAACAAUCCGUCUGGAGAACUCCCGAAAUCAGCCGCAAGCGGUCUCAGCGGUUUGAGCAGUGAUGAAAUAUAUGUGUGCAACCCAAGAGGGGGGGUGAAUUGGAAUUUUAAAAAUUAUCCUAGCAAAUCCACACAACAAGCAAUCUAAUGUCUUAAUAAAAAUUGAAAGCAAUAAGUUCAAUAAAAGCACAAUAAUUAAAAGAGUAAGGGAAGAGAAAAACGAACACAAGGAUUUUUACGUGGUUCGGCUAUCCCCGCCUACGUCCACGCCUCCAAGCUCACCCGGCUUGAGGAUUUCACUAUCCAAGCCUCCCAAGGCUUCAAAUGUUUACAAUUGACUUCCAAGGUGUCAAUGAACCUUUACAACAAGAGAUUAUAUCCCCAAUCUCUUCACCCCAAGUGUUUCCCACACUUGUACACUCACAAUUUGAUGAGAAAUGAUAAAUACAACAAUGAAUCUCUCUUUAAGAGUGGAUAUACAAAUUGAAGAACAAAGAUGAUUUAAUGAAUGAUGAUUCACGAAGUUGAAGCUCAAUAUAUGUUGUGUGCACUUGUUCUUGCUUCUUGGAUUUAUUCCCAAAAAUGAAUUGGUUUUGAGUUUAUAUAGUUUGAACUCAAAAACUAGCCGUUACUCACAUUCUAGGCGUAUCCGAUUUGCCGGUUAUGGAAUCCGGUAAGCCGAAUUUAUGUUACCGUUAAGGCAAAAUUCAAAAUUCUGCCUAUCCGGCUUGCCGGUUUCGGAAUCCGGUAAGCCGUUUGCGUUCUGGAUGCAUUCUGCCCCGAAUUCGGUUUUUCGGUUUUUGAUAUCCGGUAAGCCGCUUGCUACAGUAACCUGCUACAGUGAAAAUUUUCCCAUAUUUUCAGUUUGACCCCAAAACUUUAUAAAACUGUAGUAUGACCCAAAAAGUUAUGAAACUUUACAAAUAUGUCCAAUUUCAGAAUUUCUAAGUAAUGCUUCGUUAAUCCCAAAACUUUCUGAAAUUAUGAUAUAGCCAAAAAUGCUAUGACACUUUACACAUAAGUCCUUUACCAAAAUUUCAAGCAAUACUUGUUUAUUUCAAAGUUUUCAAAAUUCUUUCAAUUAAACCAUAAACUUUGAAAAACAACCAAUUUCAUAAAAUCAUUUUUCCAUUAAAUAUGAAACAUUUAUAAUGUGAAAAUAAUGAUUUAUUUAAAAAGAAUAAAAACAAUCAAUUUCAUAAAAUCAUUUUUCCAUUAAAUAUAAAACCUUUAUAAUGUAAAAAUAAUGAUUUAUUUAAAAAGAAUAUUAAAUAAUUUGGGCUUAAAAGAUUAAUCAUUCUUAAUCUUGUUUGUUAUCAUCAAAAUCAAUAUUACGAAAACAUAUAUGUUAACAAGUGAGCAGUGAGCAGUGAGCAGUGGAACACAUUGCUUAAUCUUUUGAACAGUAAAAAAGACAGCAACUUACGGAUCAGUGGUAAGCGUAAUUCAAUGGAGUUGAUUCUUGAUACUGGGGCCUCACAUCACAUGACUGGAAACAGAAAAAUCUUACACGACAUUGUAUCUGUUAUUCCCUGUUCUAUUCGGCUGCCUGAUGGAAAUGCGACAAUAGCAAAUACAGAAGGAACAGUUGUGCUUGCUAGCCACCUGCGACUAAAUAAUGUUUUAUUUAUGCCAAGUUUAACUUGCAAUUAAAUUUCUAUAUUGCAACUGAUUCAAGACGUCAAUUGUUUUAUUUAAUUUUCUGAUCAAUUAUGUGUGAUACAUGACCGCAUUACGAGGAUGCUGAUUGGAGCGGGUGAGCAGCGAGAGGGACUCUAUUAUUUUCGGGACAUUGGUUCGGCCGCCGCUCUAUCUAGUGUUGCCAACCGAGCUUGUGAUUUAUGGCAUCGAAGGCUGGGGCAUCCUUCCUCUAAAGUUUUUAAGUGCUCCCUUUUAUUGAUUCGGCCUCUUGUCUGUCUAGUUUUCAGAAUUGUGAUGUAUGCUUUCGAGCAAAAUAGUGUCGUGACAAAUUUGUUUUAAGCAAUAAUAAAGCUUCAGAUAUUUUUGAAUUGAUUCAUUAUGACUUGUGGGGACCUUAUCGCACAGCUAGUUCUUGUGGUGCUCAUUAUUUCUUGACUAUUGUUGAUGAUUUUUCUCGCGGUAAUUGGACAUAUCUGCUAGUCGCAAAGAAUGAGGUUGGGCGUGUAUUACGCAAUUUUUCAAGUAUGGUCUCUAGACAAUUCCAUAAACUCGUUAAAAUUGUAGGAGAAAAAUACAGGUUUUUAAAUUUUUUAUAAAACCUUUUAAGAUCGCUCUCAUAUAAUAUAUAAGAAUUUGUAAUCUAGAAAUCGUACCUUGAAAAUCCGAUUAAGCUCUUUUCGCUGAAGUGAUUUAGGUUCCCAUAUCACUAUCCGUCACCACCACGCCUGUUAGAUCACGAUCCGUCACCAUCACGCUUGUCAGAUCACGAACUGUCACCAAUGAUCUUCUAGGUUAUGACUCAGGUUUGAUCUGCACUUGACGUGUGGGCGCCUUUAUCACUACCAAAGCAACUAGCACGAGGAAACUUUUCUCUCAACAAUAGAGAGAAAAAUCUUUUUCUCUGAUCUGUAUAAAGUGGCUGCUCUAUCUUUUCUUUAGAGAAAAUAAGCCUUUUAUAUCUCCCUUUAGUGAAAACGCUAGGCUCCAAAUCAUCAAAAUCAAAACUCACGUUACUUGCUUUUUCUAUAGGGGGCCCACCUUGUAAAAUAACAUAAGGCCCCUUACACACAAGUUAAUUAAAUGGAGCCUCCCACUAAAUGAUAUAUUUAGGCUUUUGACCCAAAUAGCUAGUUAUCUUGCUUAUUAAUCCAGUAGUGGUGCAGUCAAUUAAAUGAGCUAACCCGGGAAUCAUUUGGGAACAUACAAUAGUGGCUAUAACAAUUAGGCAUGUAAUUAAAAUAGCCUAAUUAUUUAAUUCCAAAUCUACUCCACUAAAGAUUGGAAUUGACCUCCAUAAUUGUAUGCUCGAAUAAUAAUUCGUCCCAAGCCACAUUGAUUUCUUUACUGCACAAUCCUUUGUACCACAUCAUUAAUUAAAUCGAUAUCUCAACUGUCCAAUCAAUUUAAUUACAUCUUGUUCCUUGAUACUUACUGGUUUUCUCUAAUGAUCAUUUUCAACAUACUAAAUAUGUUGACACACUCUGGCCAGAGAAUUCUAUGAUCAAGUGUCGAAAACCCAUCAAGAGAUGUGUUGUACAAAUUCUAUAUUGUUAAUCUAUAACUCCAAUACUCAUAAUUGCUCCCACCAAGAUACCAGGUAAUCUUGACCACAAGGAUGUGUUGUGCCCAUUGGUAACUCAAAUGGAAUAACAAUUACAAUCUUGAAAUCAUAAUUAACUUAAGAUUAAGAUUACAGUAAAAUCAAUGCCUAUGAAAUUUAAUAAGUUUGACAGUUAUUACAAAGUUAAUUAAAUCUCAUAUGUGAUCCUGUUCAAUGUAGUCGUACUACAUCAAUAAAUUCAUACAUGAUUAAGACAAAUCAUUCAAUGAAUUUAUUAUAGUCUAUACCUAAAUAAAGUGCCCAACUUUAUUUAUCAACUGCAAUCUAAAUUUAUUUAAUCAUAAGAUAACUUGUAUUUAUGUCUUCUGUGAAUCCACAUGGUGAUCACAUAAAUACAUAUAAUAUGAUUAAAUGGACUUUAAUAAAAAUAUUAUUGCAAUUAAGAUAUUUGAAUAAAAUACCUCAUUUAUUUUAUUAAUCAGAAAAAUUGUUUAUUACAUUUAAAUAAACACAUAUGCUUUUAAAGAGCAUAUUUUCCCAACAAUCUCCCACUAGCUCUCAAAGCAUAUCUGGCAUAUUGCACAUGCUCUAGGGCUCUAAGUGCAGGUUAUAAAGAUUUCCCACUAAUGGCCAUUGUAAUAAGAUAUGUCAUUUAGCAUCUAAUACCAUUUGGGGUACUGUCAUAUAACCUUUCUACACUAUUGCAUUAUAAGAUGAUACUUCCUCUCAAUAUGUUUUGUUUCUUGUGGUUCUUUGGUUCCUUAGAUUGAGCUACUGCACCACCAUAAUCACAAAAUAGUUUAAGGCGUGUAGUUACAACAGGUAUCACCUUAAGAUUUUGUAGGAACUUGCGGAGCAAUAUAGCUUCUUUUGCAGCUUCAGAUGUAGCCACAUAUUCAGCUUCAGUUGUGGAGUCUGUGAUACAAGAUUGUUUCACACUCAUCCAACUAAUAGCUCAACUUCCUAAUGUAAACACAUAGCCGGAAGUUGAUUUUCUAAAAUCCUUAUCUGACAAAAAAUCAGAAUUAGUAUAACCCACUGGAAUAAGUUCAUCACCAGAAUACACAAGCAUAUAACUUUUAGUUCUUUUCAGAUACUUCAUUAUAUGCUUGACCGCAGUCUAGUGUUCAGGUCUAGGAUUAGAUUGAUAUCUACUAACCAUCCCUACUGCAAAACAGAUGUCUGGCCUAGUGCAAAGCAUGGCAUACUUGAGACUUCCCACAUCUUCUACAUAGGGAACUCGUCUUAUUUUCUCUAUCUCUUCAGAUGUUUUAGGUGAUUGGUCCUUAGAGAAUGUAAUUCCAUGUCUGAAUGGUAAUAAACCAGUCUUGAAAUUUUCCAUGCUAAAUCUAGCCAAUAUCUUAUCGAUAUAGACCGCUUGAGACAAGGAUAAAGUUUUAUUCUUCCGGUCUCGUAGUAACUUGAUACCAAGAAUAUAACUUGCCUCUCUCAAGUCUUUCUUAUCAAAUUAUUUUGCUAGCCAACUCUUUAUUGUAGUCAAUACUCCUAUAUCGUUUCCAAUUAGGAGAAUAUCGUCUACAUAAAGAAUUAGGAAGACUAUAAAUUUUCCCUGAAUCUUCUUGUACACACAUGGUUCAUCAAUGUUUUGAAUGAAUCCAAGCGAUUUAAUCUCUUGAUCAAAUCUGAUGUUCCAUGACCGGGAUGCUUGCUUUAAUCCAUAAAUGGAUUUCUGCAACUUACAUACCAUGUGUUCUUGGCCUUUUGUACGAAUCCAUCUAGUUGCUGCAUGUAGAUGUCUUCUUCAAGAAUCCCGUUUAAGAAAGGCUAUCUUGACAUCUAUUUGCCAAAUUUCAUAAUCUAGCACUGCAGUAAUAGAGAGCAGAAUCCUAAUGGAUUUAAGCAUAGUAACCGCAGAAAAUGUUCCUCAUAAUCGAUUCCCUCUUUCUGAGUAAACCCUUUGGCUACUAAUCUUACUUUAAAUGUUUCCAUCCUUUCGUCUACUCCUCUUUCUCUCUUGUAGAUUCACUUGCACCUUAUAGGUUUUACCCCAUUUGGUGCCUCUACAAGUUCCCAGACUUUAUUGGAAUACAUAGAUUCCAUUUCUUGAUUCAUGACCUUUUUACAAAAUUCAACAUCUCCGUCUAUUAGAGCUUCGUUGUAACUAGUGGGAUCUUAUACAUGUUCAACUAAGAUCGUCGUAUAGGUUUCUCUCAAUAACAUGUAUCUUGCAGGUAACCUAGUUACCCUCCCACUACGACGAGGUUCUAAAAGUGAUGGUUGUUCAAGGAUAAUCCUGUGCUGCUCAGCUGGUUGUUGUUGUUCUUCCUGUUCUAUAACAGGUGUUGAAAGCUGGGCAUCAACCUGAUCUCUUUUAUUUCUCUAGUUUUACCUUACUCUUAGGUUAUAAGUCAUUAUAUAGUCUUCCUCAAAGAAAGUAAAGAAUAUGUCUAUAAAUACAUUCCUAUCUUGAGAACUAUAAUUCAGACUUUCCCUUAUUCCUUUAAGAUACCUAAAACAUGCAAGCUUCUGAACACGAAUCCAUCUUCUCUACCUCUGAUUCUAGUAGAAAUACUAGUAAACUCCAAAUAUGAAUGUGUCUCAAACCAUGUUUGUGACUUUUUCAUAAUUUCUUGGAGUAGUAGACACCGAGAUAGAUGAAACUAAGUUCAAUAAACUUUGCAGUUUUAAAUACUAGUAUCUGGAAUCAAAAAGGUAAAUGAUAAACCACUUAGUAUAUAUCUUGUCUUAUCCAAAAGAAUCUUGUUUCUCCAUUUAAUUACACUAUUGUAUCAUAGUGUUCAUUAUAUGAGGUAGUUUAUCCCAUUUGACAACCAAAUUGAGCUUGAAUUCUCCAUAGAGAUAUUCUUUGUUUCGAUCAUAUCGAAGUUCUUUUAUGUUCCUGUCUAAUUGCUUCUGUCUUAUCCACGUACUCUUUUGAAUUUCAAAAGCAAUGGAAUCAUAAUGCAUUUAGACAAACAUAGAUCAAAUGAAUAUUCAUCAACAAGAUUGAUAGAAUACUCAUAACCUCUUAUGAACUGUAAACUGAUUAGUCCGUAUACAUUUGUAUGCGCUAAAUCAUCCAAUACAAUGUUAUGCUUUUAGCUCUAAACGAACAUCCUCGUCAUAUUACUUUUCGAAAUAAGAUUUAUAGAGUUACAAUGAUCAAUCUUAAUAGGCCAACAAGUCUAUCAUUAAUCAUUUUCUUAAAAUCUUAUUACAGUUUAUAUGACUUAAGCAUAAAUAUCAUAGGUGAUUUUGGUUUGAAGAAACAUUUCUUUUCUUAGAUAAAUACAUAUACUCUUUAUCAUUAUAUUUUGCUUUGAAUAGAUCAAUGGACUUAUAUGAUAUAAAUUGUCUUUAUAAAUAACCAAAAUAAGUAAUAAACAGAGGAUAAAAAAAUAACAGUGUAAUCCUGUUUAUUAAAAGAAGUCACUGAAAUUAAAUUCCUCUAAUAUUUGGAAAAAUAAAGACAAAUAUCAAAACUUUAAGUCUUGUAAAAUUGAUCUAGCCUUUUAAUUGAUAUAAACUAGCAUGUCCUCAACUGCUGUUUGAAGCUUUUUUCACUUAAUCUCUUGGUUUCCUGAAAACCAAAUAAAUGAAUUACAAAUAAGAUUAGUUAGCUCAUAAUUCAUUAUUGUAUGAAUCAAUAGAAAUCUGAACUAAUUAGGAAGCUUAAAGAUUUCCUAUACCUGAUUUUAAUAAUCUUAGGACAAUCUUUCUUCCAGUGACCCUUCUGUCCACAUUUGUAACACUUGCCUUUUGGCUUGCCACUUCUUUUAGUGGACAAUUUACCGAUCCCAACUCUUGCUUGCUCAUUCUUGUCUUUCGACUUAAGCCUUGAAGAGAAUCCUUUUUCAGGAAGUUUUCUGCUAUGAUAAAAUUCUUCUAUAGCAUGUAGUUCGUGCAUUAAUUCAAUUAAGGUCAUAUCUUUAAUGUUUAAGAUAUAGUUGACCUUAAACUCUUUGAAUGUAUCAGGUAAAGAUUCAAUCACCAUGUUAUCUUUGAUUUAUCAUUGAUUUGAACACCAUGAAUCUCUACCUCAUUUAAAUAGUCCAUCAUUUUGAGGACAUGAUCACGAACUUUUGUGCCCUCAUCCAUUUUAGUAUCCGUAAUACGUUUUAAUGCUGCUUCUCUAGAAAAAUGAGUAUUUUGCCCAAACAUCUGAUGAAGACUAGCCAUUAUUUCAGUGGCUGUGUUCAUGCUCCGAUGUUUCUUAUGCAGUUCCACAGAAAUCGAAGCCAAUAUAUAGCGCUUAGCCAUUUUGUUAGCUUCGCACCAUUUCUCAUAAGGCUCCCUCUGAUUUCUAUAAUCGUAUAACGAUAGUUUAGGAGGGCAAGGCUGGGUCAACACAUAUUUGCAGCCCUUAGCAGUGAGAAUAUUAAAUAGAUUGCGUUUCCAAUUUAAAUAAUUUUUGCCAGUGAGUUCAUUUUUAACAAGGAUAAUUAAUAAUGGGUUGAUGGAAGACAUUUUCUGAAACAACAAAAUAAACAUGCAUAAAUACUUUGAAACAAUAUUCAGAAUAAAUGACAAAAAUGCAAAAAAUCAUAAAUGCAUUUUAAUUUAUUGUACCGCUUUGACAAGCUAUCCAUUGGGGAAGUCAUGUCUACACUUACUAGACCCAAUUAUCCAUUAGAUUAUUUACUUUCAUGUAGAGACAUGAUAAAUAAUUAUUGUUAUCCCUUUGGGUCUAAAUUUGUUAACAGAGCUUCGUUGGGAAGGUUAAUAACAAAUUUUAGUUGAGUGUAUAACCAUUGUUUCAAUUUACGUAUUUUUCAUAUCGAUAGUCACCGUUGGGGCGAACAAUUGAUUGAAAAAUAUUUCAAUUUUAUCUUUGAAGAAGUUCAUCAAAUAAAAUAUCUAAUAGAUAUACCCUCUGUAGGGAGCAUCACCGUAUCAUGAAGUUGAGGUAUAUAUAUAAUUUUAUUAUUGAACUAACAAUAGAGCCUGUGGGAAAACUUAUCUUGAAUUUUCCCUCUCCCACUCAAUAUUUUAAAAUUGAUUUUUCCUUUUAAAACAUACAUAUUGUUAAUUGCAUGCUUCCUAUAAUAUUAUCUAGAUGAUAUCCAAUAUUAUUAAGCAUAGGCAAAUUACAAACAAUAUAAUGAGAUUCCUUAUUAAUGAAUUACAUGUAUCAUUAUGCAUAGAGUGGCACUAACUAUUCUAUAUGACAUGUUAUCAUGGCAUGUUAUCAUCCAAAACAUAACAUAUAAAAAAAACAAUUAAAUAAUCUUAAUUCAUAGUUUUCCUAAUAAUGAAAAAUACAUUAACCCUAAGCCUAAUCUUCAUUGGGCUUCUUGUCAAUGUUCAUCUUCCAUAAGCUUGUCUAUGCAUUUUAAAUAAUCUUAAUUUUUCUUGUCAAUGUUUUAAAUUUAUAAUUGGUCCAAUUUUAAUUUUGAAAGGAAAUAAAAAAAAAUUAAAAUAAAACUUUUGGACCAAAAAUAAAUUUAAUGUAUUCAAUUUUAUCUAUGCAUUUUAAUCCAUUAAGCCCAAAUUUCAAUUGGGCCUAAAACUAGGAUUCAUUAAGCCCAAAAUUAUUUUUGGACUGAAAUGCAAAACAUUGAACCUUAUCUGCCCAGAGGAAAAAUUAUAGAACCAUAGGGACCUCCAUGAUAAAAACCAUGAAACCUUAAAAUCAUAUUUUUCUCUUCUUCCCCAGCCGUCAUCUCCACAAAGCCCAUCCGCUGGUCACAAUUUCCAGCCAUCUCCGAUGCCGAGUUUGCUGCCGCCGUCACACCGGAAACGUACCAAACACCUCCCUCGUGCUGCACUGGAAAGCUCCUGCUCUCGCUGCCUGCUGCGCGCGCUGGCUGUUGCACGCGAGCGUGCGCUAGCUGCUGCACGCACAGUGUGCGUUGCUGGCUGCGCAAGCAUCGUGCGCACGCUGGCUGCUACCUGCGCUGGUGCAACGCUGCUCGCAGCAUGCUGCUGCAGCGCGCGCUACUGGCCACGCUGGCCGCGCGCGCUGCUGCAGCGGGUGCUGCUGCAUUCGCUUGCAGCGGGUGCGUUCAUCGGUGUUACCGUUGAAAUUUCCAGCGCUUGUUCCUUUGUCGUAGCGUGAUUAAUCUCCAGUGAUUUAUAAAUUUUCUACGCCAAUUUUGGCUUACAAAAAAUUUUAUUACAGUAAAGUAAAUUAAGAGGGAAACAUGGUGAUAAAAAACAGCCCCUCUUGUUAUAGAUGCAAACAAAAAAUACAACAGAAAAUCUAACCAUGAAUUAAGACAAACCAUAACAUGCUUUAUUCAUAUAUUAAACAAAUAAUAUAUAUCUGAAUAAAUUGUGCCACUCUAAUACAUAAAUAUCAAGAAUGAUUUCAUACAAUAUUCUUAUAUAUUAAUAUGAGAUAGCUCUGAUACCAAUUGUUGGAGAAAAAUACAGGUUUUUAAAUUUUUUAUAACACCUUUUAAGAUCGCUCUCAUAUAAUAUAUAAGAAUUUGUAAUCUAGAAAUCGUACCUUGAAAAUCCGAUUAAGCUUUUUUCGCUAAAGUGAUUUAGGUUCCUAUAUCACGAUCCGUCACCACCACGCUUGUCAGAUCACGAACUGUCACCAAUGAUCUUCUAGGUUAUGACUCAGGUUUGAUAUGCACUUGACGUGUGGGCGCCUUUAUCACUACCAAAGCAACUAGCACGAGAAAAUUUUUCUCUCAACAAUAGAGAGAAAAAUCUUUUUCUCUGAUCUGUAUAAAGUGGCUGCUCUAUCUUUUCUUUAGAGAAAAUAAGCCUUUUAUAUCUCCCUUUAGUGAAAACCCUAGGCUCCAAAUCAUCAAAAUCAAAACUCACGUUACUUGCUUUUUCUAUAGGGGACCCACCUUGUAAAAUAACAUAAGGCCCCUUACACACAAGCUAAUUAAAUGAAGCCUCCCACUAAAUUAUAUAUUUAGGCUUUUGACCCAAAUAACUAGUUAUCUUUCUUAUUAAUCCAGUAGUGGUGCAGUCAAUUAAAUGAGCUAACCCGGGGAUCAUUUGGGAGCAUACAAUAGUGGCUAUAACAAUUAGGCAUGUAAUUAAAAUAUCCUAAUUAUUUAAUUCCAAAUCUACUUCACUAAAAGAUUGGAAUUGACCUCCAUAAUUGUAUGCUCGAAUAAUAAUUCGUCCCAAGCCACAUUGAUUUCUUUACUGCACAAUCCUUUGUACCACAUCAUUAAUUAAAUCGAUAUCUCAACUGUCAAAUCAAUUUAAUUACAUCUUGUUCCUUGAUAUUUACUGGUUUUCUCUAAUGAUCAUUUUCAACAUACUAAAUAUGUUGACACACUCUGGCCAGAGAAUUCUAUGAUCAAGUGUCGAAAACUCAUCAAGAGAUGUGUUGUCCAAAUUAUAUAUUGUUAAUCCAUAACUCUAAUACUCAUAAUUGCUCCCACCAAGAUACCAGGUAAUCUUGACCACAAGGAUGUGUCGUGCCCAUUGGUAACUCAAAUGGAAUAACAAUUACAAUCAUGAAAUCAUAAUUAACUCAAGAUUAAGAUUACAGUAAAAUCAAUGCCUAUGAGAUUUAAUAAGUCUGACAGUUAUUACAAAGUUAAUUAAAUCUCAUAUGUGAUCCUGUUCAAUGUAGUCGUACUACAUCAAUAAAUUCAUACAUGAUUAAGACAAAUCAUUCAAUGAAUUUAUUACAGUCUAUACCUAAAUAAAGUGCCCAACUUUAUUUAUCAACUGCGAACUAAAUUUAUUUAAUCAUAAGAUAACUUGUAUUUAUGUCUUCUGUGAAUCCACAUGGUGAUCAUAUAAAUACAUAUAAUAUGAUUAAAUGGACUUUAAUAAAAAUAUUAGUGCAAUUAAGAUAUUUGAAUAAAAUACCUCAUUUAUUUUAUUAAUCAAAAAAUUGUUUAUUACAUUUAAAUAAACACAUAUGCUUUUAAAGAGUAUAUUUUCGCAACAAAAAUCAUACGGACAGACAAUGGGACAUAAUUUAUGCAUUUAUCUGAUUUCUUUGCUGAGCAUGGCAUUCAUCAUCAGACAUCUUGUGUGGGUACUUCUCAACAGAAUGGUCGAGUCGAAUGCAAGCAUCGACACAUUCUCAAUGUUGGUCGCGCUCUGCGCUUUCAGGCUUUCUUACCAAUUGAAUUUUGGGGUGAAUGUGUCUUAACUACUUGCUAUUUGAUCAAUCGAACACCUUCUGUUCUUCUUGACGGACAGACUCCUUAUGAACGACUAUUUGGCAAGGCACCAUCUUAUGCAAAUAUUCGGUCAUUUGGUUGCCUCGCCUAUGCCUACAACCGUGAUCAUCGCGGUGAUAAAUUCGCUAGUCGAAGUCGUCGCUAUAUAUUCAUGGGUUAUCCCUUUGGUAAAAAGGGAUGGUAUUUAUAUGAUUUGGAGAGUGCGUCAUUCUUUACUUCCCGGGAUGUAACGUUCGUUGAGCAUGACUUUCCCUACAAGGCUUUAACCGAACUAGCUGCUACCGCCACGCCUGCUCCUAAGCCUGAUGAACCGGUUUUAGCUGAGGAUUUAUUUAUCACAUGAUUUAAGUGCUCCUGUUGUCUCACCAGAUUCGGUUCCUGUUGCUUCACAUGAUACAUGCGAUAUUCUUGAGACCAUUAAUACUCCAUCACCAGUACCCGCUUUUCCUACUCUUGAUGAGCAUGCUUCUGAUGACAGGGGGGCAUUGAGGCUGUUGAGACAUCAUUGCAACAACAACCGGCAUUGGGGCGCCAUCUUAGACAGCGGCAACAAUUGAUUAAGUUAAAAGAUUAUGUCUUGCAUACUGUUAAGCAUUUGAGUCCCUCUUCGCGGCCCUCUUCAUGCUCACACAUUCAAUCAUUUUCUGCAGGUAGUCCUUAUCCUAUACUUGAUUAUGUGAAUUGUAAUAAUUUUUCUGCUCGACAUUGUGCUUUUCUAGCAGCGAUUACUGUAGGAGUUGAGCCUGCCUCUUUUGCUGAAGAUGUGAGAGAUCCUAGAUGGCGUGAGGCCAUGAAAUAUGAAUUGCAGGCACAGGAAAAUAAUAACACAUGGACUGCUGUGUCUCUACCACUUGGAAAGUGUGCUAUAGGCUGUAAGUGGGUGUACCGGAUUAAGUACAAUGCUGACGGUACAGUUGAAAGAUACAAAGCUCGCUUGGUGAUCCUUGGGAACAAGCAAGUUGAAGGAAUUGAUUACACAGAGACAUUUGCUCCUGUCGCAAAACUUGUUACAAUUUGAACUUUUCUGGCUGUUGCUGCGGCUAGGAAUUGGGAGCUUCAUCAGAUGGAUGUUCACAAUGCUUUCUUACACUGUGAGCUUAAUGAAGAAGUUUACAUGUGCUUGCUGCCUGGUUUCACCUCAAACGAAUCUGGAAUGGUUUGUCGUCUAAGAAAGUCAUUAUAUGGAUUAAAGCAAGCUCUCCGUUGCUGAUUUGCAAAGUUGGCAGUGGCUUUGAAGUCUUACGGCUUUGCUCAAUCAAGCUCGGAUUAUUCUCUUUUACCUUGCAUCGGGAUAACAUACAUCUACUUGUGCUUGUGUAUGUUGACGAUAUAAUUAUUUCGGGAAACAACAGCAAAGCUAUUCAGGUAUUCAAAAUGUAUUUGAGUGAUUAUUUUUAUAUGAAAGAUUUGGGUCCAUUGAAAUAUUUUUUGGGUAUUGAAGUUGCAAGAAAUCCGACAGGAAUCUUCCUGUCUUAGCGGAAGUAUGUGUUAGAUAUUAUCUCUGAGGCUGGAUUACUUGGUGCAAAACCAGCCCCAUUUCCCUUGGAACCGAAUCAUCAGCUAGCUUUGGCCGAAGGCCUUUAUUUUUCUGAUCCUGCGAAAUAUCGACGACUCGUAGGCAGAUUAAUUUAUCUUUCCGCUACAAGGCCAGAGUUGUCUUAUUCGGUUCAUCUGCUUUCUCAAUUUAUGUAGCAGCCGCGAGAGCGACAUUGGGAAGCAGCUUUGCGGGUAGUUCGCUAUCUAAAAGGUAACCCUGGUCAAGGUGUGUUUUUAAGAUCAUAUUGUGAUUUGCAACUUUAUGGGUGGUGUGAUUCUGAUUGGGCAAGCUACCCCCUAUCUCGGCGUUCUUUAUCUGGGUGGUUUGUCAUGCUUGGAUCCUCUCAUAUAUCCUGGAAAUCUAAGAAACAACACACCGUUGCGCGAUCCUCUGCUGAGGCCGAGUAUCGUGCCAUGACAACAGUUACAUGUGAGCUCAAGUGGCUCAAAGGGUUGUUGAUGUCUCUCGGAGUUGAUCACUCACGGCCCAUGCACCUGUAUUGUGACAGCCAGGCUGUUCUUCAUCUAGCUACCAACCCUGUGUUUCAUGAACGGACCAAGCACAUCAAAGUUGACUGUCAUUUUGUCUGAGACGAAAUUCAACGAAGAAACAUACGGCCUGCUUAUGUAUCUACUAAUAUUCAGCUAGCUGAUAUCUUCACAAAGGCACUUGGCAGCAAAGAGUUCGAGUUCCUUCUUCCCAAGUUGGGCAUUCGUGAUCUCCAUGUCCAACUUGAGGGGGGGUGUUAACUCACGUGUAUAUAUAUAUAUAGCAAGUUACAUGUAUAUAUUAUUGGUUGUUAUAUGCUUCCUAGUUUGAUAGGAUUUCCUUUCCUUGUGAACUAGGGUAAUUCUUAUGUGCAUAUAAAUAUUAAUCAAUAAGAGAGUAGACCAUGGAAGCCACGACAGUUUUUGCAUCGUAAAAUUCUUCAAGAUCCAAAAUUUGUGAAAGAAGCCACGAAGAGAUUUUACACCAUUCAACAUGCCUAUUCUGCUGUUAACCUUACUAAAUUCCAAAAUUUUUAAUUCUUAUUUAUUUAUUUAUUUAUUAUGCAUGUAAUUUGUAGUAUACAAUAAGAAAUAAAAUUGUAAUCUUUUUAUAAUGACGGAUAAUUAUCGGAUUCACGAGAUGUUGUUUUCCUUCUUCUCUCUUCAAGUUCUAUCUGAUGCCACCAAAAGGUUCUUGUACUAUGUGGGAGUCUAUGAUAGUGAUGAUGAAUAAAAUAAUAUGAGCUCCAAUUUUGUGUGUGUGUGUCUCUCUCUCUCUCUCUCUCUCUCUCUAUUUCUCUCUCUCUAUAUAUAUAUAUAUAUAUUGUUUUCAUUUCAUCUUUAACUUUUUAAUGCGCUUUUGUUGCUUUGAAGAUACAGGAAAAUUAACUCCUACAGGAAGGGGGGUGGGGAACGAGGGAGGAUUUUAUUACAUGAGACUUUUUAGUUUUGUUUUGAGGGAAUGGGAGAUUUCUUGAAUGAAAUGGCUGUGAUGAUGAGCCAAACACAAACUAAUGUAAGCAUUCUUCAAUGCAUAUUUUUGUUUUCUAUAGAAUAAUUUGAGAAUUGUGUUUGGAAAUUCCUAGGCAUUAUUUAGCUUUUUCCAAGCUUUAGUUAUGGCUUUUACUUUGCUGGUUGGCAAAAGAAUGACGGUACUUUGAUUUCUCCUAAUCAGAUUGCAAAUGGGUCACUUAGUCACAAGGGCAACAUAUUUUAAUCUGUUUUUAUUUUUAUCCCCAGUGUGUUCAUGCUCUGAAAAAUAGUGUUUCAUGGUGCCUAGUUUUGGUCUUGUUCAAUGGCGAAUUACAUAUAAGUUCUAUUGUUGGAAAAUUGAUUGGUGAAGCAGACAUGCAACUAAAGUGAAAUUGAGAAAUAAUGAGACAACAGAAUCACACAGGGACACCAGGAUUUAAGUGGUUCGGCUUUUAACCUAGAUUCACGGGUGAAAAUAGAAAAAAAAAUAUUUUACUAGUGAUAUGAGAAUUACAAGUAUUGUAAUAUUUUGGUUCACUAUCCAGAAUCCCAAUAUACCCAAUCGUUCACUCACUAAUCUCUCAAAUCAAGAGUUUAUUAAACUCUUAAUACUCUCAACUCUCUAAAUGUAGGAAAUGCUUCUCUCAAACUGGAUGUUGAAAUGAGGAGGAGCAUCCUCAUUUUAUAGCCAAAAAUUGGCUACUGUUCAUGCCUAUUAUUUUAUUUAUUUAUUAGUAUUUUUUUCCCCUGAGCGGCCCGCCACUUUCUUUUCUUCUUCUUCUUCUUAUUUCUUCUUGUUUUUUUUUCUUUUUCCUUUGCGGUUGAGCACUAUUAGUGCCCACUGCUUACUUUUUGACAUCUAUGUGGGCCCUACAAAAGUUGUUCUUGGAGGAAUUGAAUAAUUGAAUUAUUCAAUCUGACUUAAUCUUCCAGCAGUGUUAUUGCUUGGUAUUUAUCUUUGUGUGCUUGGAUUGUAAAUUUGACAGGAAAAUGGUGAGGAGACCUUGGAGGAAUUGCAGAAUUUGUUUGAAUAGAUGUUUAAAGGAGACACCAAUGCUUUCAGGCCUAAACUUAUUCUGAUUAUUUCAUCAGUACUUAGAUUUGAACUAAGAAGUUUUUUGUGAUGGUAUGUUAGCUUGUAUAAAUUUCCUUUCUUUAAUAAAAUCUCCCUUUGUUUUUAGCGAAAGUUAAUAAGAUCGGAUGGUGGAUUGUACUUCUGUGUGUUAAAUGACAUUUUAAACAACGUGCUUCUGGCUAUGAAAUAACUAACUAAAAAUGAAGACAACUGGACAAGAAAUGAUGUUUUGAAAGUCACCUAGUAGUGUUUGUUCUAAUGGUUUAAUCUUCAAGGUUUUUUUUUUUAUUGCAAAUAUUGAUGCUAGAGACCUCGAACCAUUUUUUAUGAUUUAGAAUGUUGUAACCACUAGAAGCUUCCUUGUCAUAAACUGGUGGCUCAGAUUAUUAAAAUGUUCAUGAGAAAGCUAAUCUGAUUUCCCAUUGUAUAUUAUUAGAUUCCCUUUUGUUGCAAUUGAGCAGGUCUCAAGAUUCUGACCUUUUUCACCCCGCUUUCUGACAGAAGAAUUUGCCUAUCAUUGUCAAGUGUUUGGCAAUCAGCCACCAUCUGCUGUAUUCAUUAUGAAGGCAUUGUAAAUUUGAUCCCUUAAGAAGGGGAGAAACUGAUCAAGCUGAUUGGUUAUACUCAUUGUAUGCCACAAGUGCUUUAUCAAACCACAACAGGCAACACCCGUGCGAAGGGCGCAAGCCAAAAUUGAUAGUUGGACCAGUAUCAUCAAGAUACUCCUUUUCCGGUCCAUCUAUGUCUUACUGAUGGCAUUUUUACUAUUCAUCCUCUGUAUUGUUUGUUUCUUUAGCAAAUUUCUUUCUGUAUUAUGAGUCUUAAUAAAAGUUUAAUUGUAGACAGCUUUUUUGCCUUGAAAGUAUAUUUUAAACCUUUCAAACCAACUAGCUCUAUUGGGAAACUUAUGACUUUAUAGAAAUAUUUGUUGCAUUUUGUCAUUGAUGGUCAGUCCAUAAAAUUAGUUGACUGAUAGUGUCAAGCAGUUAGCAAUACAACUUUCUACCAAUGAUAUAACUCUUUUCAUUCUGUAUUUUGUUCGAGACUUAAUUCGGUUCCAUUAUGUCAUUAUCUGUGCUUGAUUGAGUUGCAUGUUCAUGCACAAGAAUUUCCCAUCGCGGCGUUCCUAAGCUACUUUAUAAGACCUAGAUUUGUCUUUAACUAGGAUAUGGCUUUUUUUGAGUUGAAAAGCCUACUGUGAAAGUUAUCUGCUCAAAGCAAAAAAAAUUUGUUUCCGUGGGAGGGAAAUUAAAUUUUGACGAAGUUUGCUUUGGGAAUUUUGAAGAUAACUUGUAAAUUUGUUAACAUAUUGAGUGAUUCAAGGUUUUCAAUGCAUUUCUUCCAAGGAAUCAGUUUUGUUUGGCUUCUCAAACUGUGCUUCUAAUCCAAUAUCUUAUCUACGGCUGCCAAAAAGCUAUUCACUGUUAUAAUGGAUUGUUAUUGGAAAUAAUCAAAUAAAGCCUAUGAAGAAUUAGAAUAAAAGCUAUAUUUUGUCUUUGUGAAGGGAAUAUUUGACAGCCAAUCCACCGAUAUUUUUUUCAAUCAUUUCGAGACAUACCGGAGAAAUCUAAUUUAAAAAGUUGGUAAAUUUUAAUUCAUUCUCCCGAUAGAACAACAAUCUUGAUUUUAUCACCUAAAAGAGUGAAAAUAUCAAUUUAGCCUUCAUUUUCAUUUAAUGAGGUGAGAGCAGAUUGAGGAUACGGUAAUGAUUUGUUUUUUUUUUUUUGGGGAAAAAUAUAAAAAAGAGAUGCUAGUUCUUUGUAGGGUCGUUUGUAGAGGCAAAGGCUUAGCUCGAAUGAUAAGAACAUUGCCUUCUUAGGGCCAAAGACGUGAAUUUGAGCCUUAUCCUCCUGGAAGUAAAUAGAAGACUUAUCAUUUUAAGUGAGGGGCAAAUUAAAGUUAAUUCUAAAAUGUUAUAUGAAACAACUUUAGCCUUUUACAACUAUUAAUUGUCUGCUACUAUUUUCUUUUUUUAAUUCUAAAGUCUUUAUUACUCUUUCUCAUAUUUGGGCAAAGCUACUUUGCAAGUACCCCUUUUUUGUCUUUUUCUUAAGGUCAAUUAUAAUAGAGUCCUGUAAUUUAUUCUAAAAAUAAAAAAGCUAAAAACUUUUAAAUUUUCACAUAUUAGUCCCACACCUACAAAUUUUCAGUUGCAUUAAUGCUUCUGGAAGCCAGAUUUUCAGGACAAAAACUCAAUUAAAUUUAUUUAAGUGUACAAUUAAAUUUACUCCUUUUAUUUUAGGACAAAAAUUCAACCAAAAAUACAAAACUCAUUGCUCAAACAAACAAAAAUGAUUUUACAAAUUCAUAAACUAACUCUUUAUUGUUAUUAGUAAAUUAAAAUAUUUUUACUACAUAAUUAAAUAAUUAAGUAUGUUAAUUAAAUAUUAUGUUAUAAAAAAAUAACAAAACAUUACCUACAUAGAAUAUCAAAUUAAAUUUAUUUUCAUAUUUUGUGUAUUCCAUCUACUUGACAUAUAAAAUCUCUUGUUUGAGGAAAAAAAAUAUAUAUGGGGUUUGAACCCUACUCACAUGGGUGAAAGAAAAUUGGUUGCCGUGUUAAAUUAAAAAAAAUCAUAUUUAUAUUUAUCAUCAAUUAUGAUUAGUAAAUAAUUUACAUUGAUUAACUAUGUAAUAAUUUAGUUAAUAUAUUAAUUAAUAAGUAAAUUUAUUAAUUUAAAUAGAUAUUAACAAAUGUAAGAAUAAGUCAUUUAAUUGAAAACCUAGUUCAAUAGAGUAAAAAAAAAUAAAAUAUUGUGGACUUAUAUGUCAGAAUUAUAAAACGUUUGAUUUUUCUUAUUUUGCAUGAACAACAAGGGCUUUUAAUGCUAAUGACCCAAUAAUCACAUCUAACCAUUAUUCAACUCUCACGUUAAAUCCAACGGUGGAUUUGAAAAAGACAAAAGAAUGGGGUACCAAACCUCAUGGGUAUAGUAGCUGGACCCAUUAGUAGUUAGCAGAUAUUCUAAAUUUUCUUUUAACAUUUUAUUCUAACAUUUUUUCCCCGAAAACGACAAUUGCAAGAUAAUUUGACCUAUCUUGACUGACUGAAUUUGGAUAACUUGUGUUACGCUCUCUCUCGUAAUUCAUAAAGACGACCACUUUGAUUUGCACUAUCCUUUCUGUGUCAUUGUGCUCACGUUGCAAGGGAUGCGUCACGCCCGCAGUUGUCGAAUUAAAGUUACAUUACAUUUACAUACGUUAAAGACUUGAUAUGAAUAUUCUCUAUCGUCUUUAUUGACCCUUUUUUAUCUUUUAUUUUUCCUUGUGUCGAAAGAAUCCUUCACUGAUUGGAAUACCCAUGAUGACUGGUUGCAAUUGGAAGAGUCCCUGAAAUUCAUCUUUCAUUCGAUCUUAAAUACUUUCUCCGAGCAAUUAGAAUACAUUAAGAUUUUAUGAACUUGCUUGGUAGAUCAUUCAACUGCUUAAUUGGUGCUGUUAAUUAAUUGAUUAUCUUCCCGGAAACACAUUAAAGACUCUCACGGGGAUUCAUUAAACCUUUUCGCUGGGUCAAUUCUAGAAGCAUCAGACAUAAAAGCUUCAUGAUAAGAGCACAAGCCUAUCGUCUUCUAAAGCUCCUUGAAAAAGCUAGCUAUUUUCUUUAUUGUCAUUUCCAUCCAUUUUAACCCUCUCUUUUUCAUUUUGUACAAUUUUGACUUGACUCUGAAAUAGAGAACAAUGAUAUUUAGACAGAAAAAUUUAAUAGAAUGUUUAAAAAUAAAAUAAAAUUAGUCUCGGUUUAUCUUGUACUAGUUUUACCUUAUUGAUGUCAAUGAUUUUCUAAGAGAAAAAGAAACUUCGUUAAUUUUACCUUUGUUUCAUGAUGAGGUAAAAUAUGAUUUUUUUUUUAAUUUUUAAAAGAUUUCUUCAAAUCAUUUUCAAGUUGAUUUAUUUGGUUGGACUGUAAAAUAGGUUUGGGCUUAAUCCAUCUCUAAUUUCUUUCUUUUUUUUAAUUUUUUUCCAGUUUACCAUAAAAUAUUAUGUGUGUUGCAAGUACUUGCAUGUGUGCGUGUGCGUGUGCGUGUGCGUGUGCGUGUGCGUGUGCGCGUGUGCCAAGAGACGAACAAAUAUACAAUGAAUAGAGAUUUCUAGACCUAAAGACUUCAAAUUAAUGGUGAAACGCCUUUGCAAAUUAAACUAAGAAAAAUUGAAAAAGUAUUUUUAUCAUUUUAUGCAUGGAAUUCCACGUCCAUGCAUGCAUGUACCCAACAAAUGCACUUGUAAUUAAGUAUGCAUAUGGUACAUCACAAAAUAUUGUCUUGGAAAAGUCUCAAUGGAUAACUCAUGACAUGUCAUUGUACGUACACGCACAACGAAUAAUCCUUGCGACGACUUGCAUAAAAAAAAGUCUGUUUGACCCUGUAGUUUAAGUACCCAUGGAGGAGUCAAUAUAUUUUUAGAAAUUUACUCAAAAAAAAAAAAUUCUAUAUUCUUUUGUUAAAAUCUACUUAAUUAUUUUCUAUUUUUCAUCUGUUAUAUAUUAGAUUAGUUUGAAUUUUAAAUUUUAUCAUAUAGAAAUUCUAUUUUAAUUUUAAAAAUUUAUGUCCAACAACUAAGAAAGUAAGUAAAGAGAUGUUUUGAAAAAUUUUUUAAGGCCAAUGCUAUGUUACGUUGAACGUAACAUAGGGUGAUCCAUCUUUUAAAGGUUCAUCUUUUAAAAUAUAAUAUUGACCAAACUGGGUAAUUGACUCGAGCUAUGGGGCUUAAAAUAAUUUUUACCUAUUUAACAAAUUUAAAAUUGUUUUCCAAAAAAAAAAAGUAAAUUAAUUUCUAUCUUUAUUAAUAAAAUUAUGACAUAACUAAGUAAUAUUCAUAUUGUUCUGAGAACAACUUCUUGGUUUAGCGAUGGACCUUACAUGUGGAGGGUUGAAAUCUUUUAUGUAUAUACAUAACAUGGUGUUAAUAAUAGUAAUUAAAAGGGAGUGUGUAUACCACACACCGGAGACCAAAAAGUGAUUGUCAAAUCCGGCAUUUUUUGGUCGAACGAACCAUUUCACUUGGCAUUUUUUGAUUAUUACUUGUUUAAUACUUUUGUUUGCGGUAUUUUAAUUUGAGAGAGAUAUAAGUCUCAAAGGAAUGUCGGUUUUACUUAAGGUUGUUGUAAUUAGUAGUUUAAAAAAAAUACUAGCACAACUCUAAUAAAUAACGGAUAAAAAUUCCUAAUUAAUUUGAAUUCAUCUCUCAUUUGUCAUUUAAAAAAAAAAAGAUAAAAAAAGACUCAAUAAUAUUCUUAUUGAUAAACAUAGUAUUUGACACUUUUGUCUAUUCGGAAACAAAGACUAACGACAAUAUGCUUUAAACGCUUUUUAUGGUUCAGCUCUAUCAACUUCAACGUAAAAUCACAGAUCGAGCACAUAAGUCAUGACCAUCAUUUUCAAAAUUCUCAAAUAUAAUCUAAUUUCUCUAUAAUCAUAACAUUGAGGUAAGUUAAUUUUAUUAAUAUGAGAAUAUUAUAAUUAACUUAUAGUUACAGAAAUUAUCGUUUUCACUUAGUUAUCCUUCGUGCAAUUAAAUUAGAGGUAAAAUAUUUACUAUAUUAAUAAUUAAUUACUGGAUUAUGUCAGAAAUUGAUAUUAAAGGUAGGCUUAAUUAAAAAAAAUAGUCUAUACUUUUUUGCAAUAGACAAAUAAUAUUACAAUGCAAGGACAAAUUCUUUUUAGACAAGACUUAAAAAUAUUAUAACUUAUUAUAAUAUAGAGUAUAUCCUUAGUUAUAACUAACUUAAAUUGAGAUUAAAUCUUUUUUAUAAUUAAAUAAAAAUUAUUUUUAUAUAAAGUAUGACUACAUAGGAGAAAUAUUUUAUUUCUAUAUAAAGUAUAUAUGACUAUAUAGAAGAAAUAUUUUAUUGUAUAUAGCUAUUUCUUUCUCUGUUAUUUCUAUCCACUUCAUGGGCAUUGUCUUAGUCUUUUCCCUUUUCUAUAACAAUAUUGGUUUAACUAUGAACUAAAUGUUUUUUUUUUCAAUCAUUAAUUAAGAUUAGGUAGGUGUAUCUACCAACACGGUUGCAACUAAUUACCCACUAUAAAAUUUUAUUCUCAAUUCCCAUGGAAAAGUGUGUAUGCCUAUAUAUAAUCGGACUUUAUUAUCAGUGUUAUGGAUAGAGGAAUUAUUAAUUUUAAAUUAAUAUUUAUUUUAAUCAAUUUGACAAUAUAUAUCUUAUCCUUGAUUAAUUUAUAUGAAUGAAUAUCAAGUGUAACGUAAAAUAUUAUUUGUGUUGCACAUGACAUGCGGACAAAAGAAUGCAAAGAUUCCUUAAAUUAACAAGAUUCAAAGUAUGAUAUAGAAAAGAAUUUAAAAUUAAAAAAAAAAAAGUAAAAUAGAAAGUUGAAUUUAACAAGAUUCAUGUACAGGAAGAAAAAGAAUUAAUAAAGUGAUGAAAAAUUGGUAAUCGUGGCAAGUAAUCUUAUUCAUGUACGAGGCGGCACGACCCAAGACUUGGAGAUUAAAUAAUGAAACUUCUUUGCAAACGAUAGAAACUCCAAUUUAUGGAGAGACUUGACGAGUAUUUUAUCAUUUUAUGCAUGGAAAUCCACGUGCAUGCAUGCAUGUUCUCCACGCUUGGAAAUUUUGCAAAUGGCUUCUCCCUUUAAUGGGAUGCACAGUUUUCGUACAUCAAUAUUGAAAAUGUCCUCUAACAAGUGUCUCAAUUAUUGGAUAACAUGUGCAGUCCUUGUAAUUCAUUGAUAACACGUCCCUCAACAAUCUAUAAUACAUCAAACUACCAAAUUGGCCAACAAAUCGAUGAUACUUAUGUUUUGAAAAACUAUCAUGUAAUUGAUGAUUAUAUCAAAUUUAACUAUAUAUAUUAUAUAUACAUUAGUUGAUUGUAUUGGUUUUGAUGUAUUGUAAAAUUUUUGAUUUUAUGGGCAUAUAAUAUAGAUUAUCAAAAUUUAAGUUUCUUCACAUAUGCGCGCGCACACACAUACACACACAUAUAUAUAGGAGUGACUAAUGAGUCUUUUUCUUUUCUCAUUUUGAGAAAAUCUCAAGUACAUAAAACUUAUUAUAACCAUUUAGUGAAAUUAGUUAUGACAUACGCAUUCUGAUUUUAUUAUACUAUAAUUAUCUUCUUCUUCUUUUUUUCCAACUUAAAUGUACACGUACGUGAUCAAUGACUAUGGAUUAUGUAAAGGAGUUUAUCAUUUUAUUGAAAUUCUAACGAUUGUCAAAGCAUAUUAAAGGGAGAUUGGCAGUUUUCUUCAUGUAGAAAUUAAUACAUACCAUUUCCAUUUCUCUUCUUAUUGCUUCUAUAAUAAUCAAUAACUUUCAUUCAUCAUAAUUUUAUAGUAUUAUUCUUAUUUUAAGAUAUUUUAAAAUUUAUUUAAUUAUUCAUCUUUAUUAUUAAUUAAAUGAAUUAUAUAAACAGAAAUAUAUAUUUUGUCUUUAAACAUAUUUUCUUAUAGUAAAUAUAUAUUUUAUAUUUUUAAAAUAAAAUAUCAAGUAAAUGACCUAUUUACCUUUACUUUCUUUUAAGUUUUUUUUAUACGAAGAGAUUAUUAACUAUUAUGAAAAUAAUAGACGAAUAAAUAUUUUACAUAAAUUUCGACAGGGAGAAACUAUCAAUACUCUUAAACGAUUGAACCUUCAGUAUCUUAGUAGUUGACUGUGAAUGACAUUUUAUUCCACCCCAUUGCAAUUGUUGCUUGUUUUCCACGGAUAUCUUGAUUACGUUUGCAAGCUUAUGUUAUAAGGGCUUCGUCAUUGCCAUUAUUACGAAAUUAAAUAGACUACGAUUGUUGACCUAAUUUGAAAAUUCCUCCAUUGUUUAUUAUUUUUCCCUUUUUAAUUUAUCAAUAUCAGUCAUAUCAAGUCAUUCUUUUAAUCAAAAACCUUGGGGAAGACGAAAUAUAUAUUAACUUACUGUCUUUUCUCAAUAACUUUUUAGGUGAGAUUAGUUUAAUAAAUUACAUGAUAAAUAAUACUCUUGCUUGAGUCUAUAUAUAUAUAAUUAUAUAUGAUAUAACAUUAAGAUUCUUUUUUUUUUGUCGUAAUACAUAGAAUUGUUCGUACUAUUAUUAUAACAAAAUAAUUAAAAUUUAUGAGUUGAAGUUGUCAGAAAAAUAAACUUAUUUCCAAUGAAUGGCAUUUGGAGGAACAAAAUCAAUCCGGAAGUUUUUUACGCGGAAAAAAUCAAUUAACAUUAAUGACGUCCAAAUGUCCAAAUAUGGUGAGAAAUUGAAUUCUUCAAAACCUUGCUGUUUCUUCAUAUUUCUUUACAAAUUUACCGAUUCUUUACUCUAAAUUCUAGUAUUAGUCUUCAUACAUACAAUGGAAACUUAUUCUCUAAGAUACUGUAAAAAAAAAAAAAAAAAUUAACAAAACCUAAUAAUUUCAUAGUGCGCAAGCUAAUAUCAUAGCUAAAAUGAAGUUGGUAAAUUUUGAUAUAACUAUCUAUUAUGAAUGAUAAUUACGUGGGCCUAAACGUUCCAACUUCCGAAUACAUUAUUCUAUAUUUUGGAGAGAAAAAGGAAAAGGCAAAAUCUUUUAGAUAAGAAAAAAAAACUUUUUUUUUUCCUCAUGAAAAAGCAAUUGAAUUAAAAAGUAAAAAUUUCUUUACAUUUUCGCCGGAGAAACAGAGUCAAAUUCAAAUACGACGACUCAAGCGCAAAAGCCUAUAAAUAAAGCCCGGCUCCAGUUCCCUGUCAGAGGCUACGGAUUUGAGAGAUUAAAGAACAUCAACCGAACAGUGAGACUCCGUACUCUUGACACAAACUUGCAAAAACUUUUAGGUAAUUUUUUUCGAUUAAUUUUUUAAUUUUCGAGAAUAAAGAGAGAGAGAAAAAAAAAAAAACAGAUGGGAUUAUGUUUGUCUGGGAGUGAUGUGAGGGGAGGGAAACAAGCCGUAGGUGGGGCCCACCUCCGGCCCACCAGCGCGGCUGAUCACCACAAUGUCUCUGGUCAAAAUGACGCCGUUGAUUUCUUCUUCAAAUCUCGCGGCCUUCAUGCCCUUUUCACCCAAAUCGAGGUAUAUGUGUGUACCUGAAUUAUAUGAGUCUUUCACUGCCAUUAUUAAUAAACUAUUUUCAGUUAAUUAAUUAAUUAAUUAAAAAUCUAUGAUUAGUUUAUGUUUUUUAAUUUAUUUAUAAUUUUUUAAAUCUGAUUUCGUUCAUGUUGGUAAUUGUGAUGGAUUCUCAAAUGGUCACUCUUUUGAAAAUCUAUUAUCAAAUUAUGUUUGUUAUUAUUACUUAUUUGAUGACUUUUCAGUGUAACAUCGAACAACUUAAAUCAUUUAUAUUUGAUAAAAGUUAUUUGAUAAUUCGAACAUAACUAGAGAGUAGAUUCCUAUUCAAGAAUCAACCGCAAUCCCAAACAUGCCUUUUUUUUUUUAAUUUGUUCUGGUGGCUGAUCUUUUGCUAGUGUUGGUUCGACGGUUUCACACCAAGCAACUGCUUUUGUUUUGCAUAUGGAGAACAGUAAGUUUAACUGCUUAUACCCAAUGAUAACAUUCUGUGAAGUGAAUUUUAGAUUAAGAUUGGUUAAGGUAAAUAAAAAAAGAAUGGUGUUGAAUGCACAGUGGCCUUGUGAACAUUGAAAAAGUCGAUGUUUGAUCCUGUUGAAUGCACAGUGGUUUUCCUGUGUAUCCUCAAAGUUGACUAUUCUGUUAUGCCUCAUUUAUCAAAUUUGACUCAUACCCCUCGUGAUCAAAUUUGACUUAUACCCCUCGUGAAGAUUCCCCAUGAUAAUGCUCCCCUGAUUGGAACAUGAUUUUGUGAAUGCUGGUUUGCAUAAGACAAACCAUUAACUUUAUAAAAGAUUGUGGAUUAAGGAUUUUGUUGUUACGAGGAUAAGAAUGUCUUUCCAUAACGUAGACCACCAAGUGAUUGUAAUAUUCCUGUAUUGAUGUGGACCUUACCUGAGGAUCUCCUUGCAAACUUUCCUGGAGAAAAGGCAACAAGUCAUAUGAUAACAAAUUAAAUGUGGUUCAAUGCUUGUAAUUGACGUGUCACAUCCUGUUGUUAUAUAAAACUUAAUUACAUAUAUUAUUGCUUGCUGCUUAUAAGAUUUAAUAUUAGAAGUGAUUCUGUCAGAAUCCGAAAUGAUGGUUUUCUGCAUGUUCUGUUUAUGACAGAUAUAUAUUGCCUGUCAGUUGACCCACAUCGUACUGACAAUUUUCAUUUCGUGCAGCAUAUGCAUGGAUUACUCCUUUUCCGCUUUUUCAUGUAUCUGUAUUCGUUCUUAUGUUUUUGAAUAUGUAUUGCAGUUAUCUUUAUCUGCUUCAAAGUUACGUGAUCUUGACAUCGCAUCAAAGGUACGCCUUCAUAUCAUUGUUGUCUUAUGUCUGAUAAUGCCAUGUUCAUGCUGUUGAUAGUCUUGGUGAUUGAUUCUCAUGUUAUCUUGUAUCCUCCUUAUAUGAUCUGCUUAUUUGUUCAUAAUGGCCCUGUCAAUUUCCUUUCUCUGUUCAUAAAGGGUCUAGGGAUAUAUGAUCUGAAUAACGCUUAGUGCUGGCACCAAAAUUCUAAACUUAGACAAAGAAGAAUAGUUUGUUAUAUACACUGUCUAUCUCCAAUGUAAUCCAGUAAGGAGCAGUAACUUGAGAGUUCCAGAUAAUGUAUAACAAGUCAUGGUCGGUGGUUUUAUUGUUUUUGCAAUUUUGAGCACUAGUCAAAUAUGUUAUAUGUGCAAGAUAAAAUUCUUUGAUAAUGAACAUUUAUCAGCCGUAUAUCUUUUUACUGGCUGAUACUAGCAUACAUAAAAUGCUGCUGUAUUUUAACAAUGGAUUACUAACUAAAGUUAUUUAACUAAUAAAUGUCUAUAUUUAUAUGACAACUAAAGUUAUUUAACUAAUAUAUGUCUAUAUUUAUAUGACAUAAGUGGAUACAUACCCAUAUGCCUUCUGUUUUUUUUUUUUAAUUUUUAUAUUCACAAGCAAAUGUAUUUACAUGUCUUUUUGUGUCAUAGAGUGAUCCCAUGGCAGUUGUGUAUGCAAAGAAAAGAGAUGGGAGGCUGGACGAGAUUGGACGUACAGAGGUGAUUAUGAACAAUCUGAAUCCUGCUUGGAUUGGAAAGAUUUCAAUUGCUUUUCAGUUUGAGAUUGUCCAGCCCUUGGUGUAAGUUUUUAGUGUGUUCUUUUUAAAGUUUUUUUUUUCUUGAUAGGUCAUGCGCUUAAGCCUUGCUUGAUUUGAUAAUAUUUAAUGUUUUCGAAUUUCUUAAUGCUUUUCUUCUUUUUCCAGCUUUCGUGUGUAUGAUGUGGAUACCAAGUACCACAAUAUUCCAGUGAAGGUAUAAAAUUUCUUAAUUAUUUUUUUUCUCUCAAUUCAGAUGUAAAUGAUACGCACAUACUUCAGUUCCAAAGUUUAGAGUUAGCCAAGGCAUUUGACUGAUCCAUUUGUUGUCUAAGCAUACGUCUAAACUAAAUUGCAUCAGCAAUAGUUUCUAUCAAUUUCGGGAAAUUUGGGAAUACUUGAUUGAUUAUAAACUAACAUUUAGCAUGGAAAGAAACUUAAAAAGUUGGCUGUCAUAUACCAUAAACAAAUCUUAAGGCCAGGGUAGUUAUUAUGGAACUUUCUGCUAUUGCAUCUUGCAAGGUUUGACAUAUUUGUCCUGCUACCAUAACUGGGAAAGAACAAUUUUUCUGAUGGUCCUUACGGAUAAAUUUUCUUUUUUCCAAAAUGGAAUUUUGAUCUAUGUUGUUAAAAACAAUACAGUUAAAUAGUUGCUGCCAUGACCUAAAGAAGUUUCUGUAAAAAAUGACCAUAUUGUCAUUAUUGAAAUGGAUAAGUAAAUCUUUAGAGCCUAUGAUGUAUUCGUCUGUGGAAUUUGAGUCAAAAUGAAAAAAUUUUGAUGGUUAUAAUCCUAGAAACUGUAAUCAUUUGGAAGCAUUUGCUGAAAACAGUUAGAUAAUCUAAAAAUGUGAUGAUUAUUUAUGUCAAUUGUAAAUGGUAUUAACAUUACUGGGAAAAAUGAUAAAUAUGUAAAUUUAUGCCAGUGGAAAGAGAAAAUGAACAAAUCCAGAUGGAUUCUAAGACAUUAAGUAGGAAAUCUAUUGUUCUUUUGAUUCUUUGCUGCAGUGAUCCCUAAUUACUUUCAAGUCAUUAUUAUCUCAUGACAAAAUAUUUGUUGAAGUGUGAAGUUUAAAGCUCAAACUUCUUAUUUACAUUGCCCUGCAGAUGCUAAAGUUGGAGGAUCAAGACUUCCUGGGAGAAGCUAGCUGUGUUCUCUCUGAGGUAAGUUUCUGGGUUAUAUUUUGUUUGAUGAAUUUAUGUAUUUUCUCUUUAUCCAAUGGGCAAAAUAUGCCCAUCUAAUUUUCUGUAAAAAUCUGUUUCCUAUCAAAAAAAGGGAAAAAUAUUCUCAGAUGAUUUUUACUAGCAUUCGUCUUCUUCUUUAGCAUUCUUCUUUUGCACUAACAAGUGUCAUAUUUUCCUUUUAAAUGGCAGAUAGUGACCAAACAAAAUCGAACUUUAACCUUAAAACUCCAUAACAAUUAUGGACUUCGAGUUUCAAGAAACUUUGGGACACUCUCUGUCCAUGCUGAGGAAACAGUUGCUUCCAAGAGUGCUGUUGAAAUAGCAUUCUGUUGCUCGCAUUUGCAAAAUGUAGACCUGUUUUCCAAAAGUGUAAGUUCUGACAAAGUAGCUAAGUUUGGAGGUUCACUAAUUAAUCUAUUAAUUUAGAUGCUAUUUCUUCUUCUUCUUAUAUUCUAUAGGAUCCAUUCUUAAGAAUAUCUAGAAUUGUUGAGAGUGGAAAUUCUGUUCCUAUCUACAAGACGGAGGUGAUAAACAAUAACUUGAAUCCCAUUUGGAGACCAAUAACUUUGAGCAUGCAACAAUUUGUGAGCAAGGUAACCUUGUCAUCUUCUUGUGUUUGUUACUUGAAUGUAUAAUAGGUAGUGAAGUUUGGUCAUGGGGAAAUGUUUUUUAGUUUAUGAUUCUCUUUGGUACAGGAAAACCCAUUAAUCAUUGAAUGUUUUGAUUUCAAUACCAGUGGAAAUCACGUACUGAUGGGGUAACUGUUAAAUUUCUUAAUGUCAUCAGCUUCCCUCUUUUAUCCUUUUGCCUUUCUGAUGUCAAGGUUUUCUAUUUCUGUUAUUAGUAAAAUUCAGAAAUCAGUUGGAGACCUGGAGAAACUUCAUCAAGAAAGAACUGGUGCAACUUUUAUAUUACCAUCAACUCAACGUGGCCAUGACAAGGUGUUUAUUCUUUUUUGUUUUAACUCCACCAAAGGUGUUUGUUCAUGCUUACGGUUUUUGAUAAUUUAAUAUCACUUUAUUUUUUAUCUGACUUUUUCCUAGGUUCUGAAAAGUCAGUUGUUUGUUGAAAAGUUUGUUGAGAAAGAGCAAUAUAGUUUUCUGGAUUACAUAUCUAGUGGCUUUGAGUUGAAUUUUAUGGUUGCAGUCGACUUUACAGGUAAUUAGAAAGAGAUUACUUGUUGAAGAUAAAUUUGCAAUAUAAUCUUUUUGUUUUGUUUAUUUCCUCUUAUUUGGUCCAAUUUCAUCUGGUCUCUCAUUAAAUGCAAAAUCAUCCAGCUUCAAAUGGAAAUCCUCGAAAUCCAAAUUCUUUGCACUAUAUUGAUCCUUCAGGCAGAUUGAAUUCUUACCAGCAGGUAAGGCUUUGUUAUGACUCACACUUUGACAAGUGAUCUCUGAACUCUGAAGGUCAUAAAAUGGUCUUUUUGUCCAGUGUUUUCGACUUAGAAAAUGCCUGUGAUUUUCAAGUCUUUCUAUGGCCAUCAUAGUGAAAUACAUAUUUCAAUAGUUUGUAGAAGUUGAGAGAGACUAUCACUGAUUAGUUCUUGGCCUCUUCAACCAUUUACAGGCAAUAACGGAAAUUGGGGAGGUCAUACAAUUUUAUGAUUCUGAUAGACGCUUUCCUGCAUGGGGAUUUGGAGGGAAGACAUUUGAUGGCACUGUAUCACAUUGUUUUAACUUGAAUGGAAGAGCAGGUGGCUUUGAGGUAGGGGUAGCUGGAAUUCGCAACGUUGCUAUAAUCCUCAUUUGGUUGGCUUGUCUCCCAUAACUUUUCAUUUUUAAUAACAAACAAUAUAAUAUGUUUCUACAUUUUUUUUAAAAUUUCCUUGGAAUUAUAUCCUAAAAGAUGUGUAUUUUGUCCUCUUCCAUUUUUUCAUUAACUGCGUUUCUUUAUUUAAUAGGUAGAUGGAGUUGAAGGCAUUAUGGCUGCUUAUGCAAGCGCUCUAAACAAUGUUGCUUUGGCAGGACCGACUCUGUUUGGUCAAGUGAUCAACACAGCUGCACGAAUUGCUGGACAGUCCCUCUCAUACGACAGAAGCAAGUAUUUUGUCUUACUCAUUAUAACGGUGAUUACAAUGAUUCUAUAUAUUCACAGUUUUCUCUUUGUAUCAUUCUUUUUGGGUGAUUUGUAAAUUUGCAUUAUCUAUUUAGGAUGGAGUUCUGACAGAUCUCCAAGAAACAAAAGAUGCUUUGGUAAGGGCUUCUGAUCUUCCCCUGUCAAUUCUAAUUGUGGGUGUUGGAGGUGCAGAUUUUACACAAAUGGAGGUACGCAAUGUUUUCCAACUGGAAUAUCUUCUUACUAGCAUUGAACUUCUUUUUUCUAUAGUUUGACAGAUUCAAUUUAGAGUACAUAUGCAGUGUGGUAUUAUCCCACUUUUGUUGCAGAUUCUUGAUGCUGAUAACUUUGUUGGCAGAUUCUUGAUGCUGAUAAUGGCCGUAGAUUAGAGAGCUCUACUGAUCGGGUAGCUACCAGAGAUAUAGUACAAUUUGUUCCAAUGCGAGAAGUUCAUAGUGAGUGCAUAUGAUUCUUUGACAAAAUUAGUUCAAAAUAUUGAAUUUGGGAGUUAAUUCACAAAAGUUUCUGAAUUUUUUCAUGCGUUAACAAACGAACACAUUGUUUUCUGAACAGGUGGGCAAAUUUCUGUUGUACAAGCACUUUUGGAGGAGCUGCCUGGUCAGUUUCUGACCUACAUGCGCUGCAGAGAUAUCAAACCACUCAAUGUUCAGAUGGCCCAAACAUGCGCUUGAGUAAAUAUUCAUAUGUUUGGAAAGGAUACAAAACCAAGCUAAACAUAUUAGACAAAACCAAGCCAAACAUAUUAGGCUAUACAGACAUAACAUAGCAAAAAUUGAUAAUGGUACAUUACAUAUGUUAGGAUAUAGUGGUUUUAGAUGAUGGUAAAUUACAUAUGUUAAGAUAUAGUGGUUUAUAACUAACUUUUGAUGGCUUAAUGAAUUGAUUGAAUUUGUAUUUAGGUUCUAUCAAUUAUCUCAUAUUCUUCCCAUCCAUGUCUUUCGAUUUUUAUUAUUCCCUCUACCCACUUGUUUCACAAUUGUUUGUGUCUGAUGGCCUAAAACUCCAAUUUCUAUUGCUGUAUUAUCAUCUUUGUUGAAUAUUUACUACAAUGAACAUGUGCUGAAUGUCUACUUUUACUACUACACCAGCAAUCUAACACAUGGCUCACGUGCACACAAGACAAGUCUGAUUCACACAUCUUUAAUUUAGAUUCUUAUAUAGUCUUUCAAGAUGUCUGAAACAGCAUAGAUGAAGGACCCUUCCACCAUUCAACCUGGAAUGAUGUGAGUGAAAGAAAUUUCCGAAAGUGUUGUAUUAUAACUCUUUGAAACUGGGUUUGAGUAAUCAAGAGAAGCCAAAAUGUAGAACAAUAACAACAAAAAAUGAAGGCCCUCUUACCGUCUUAACUUUGAUAGAAAAUUCACGAGCUGCAUACCAUGUCUCACAAAUUUCAAUGAAAAUUGGCCUCAUUCCUGAUGCUGCACAGAACGUUGGCCUGAAUCAUCUUUAUGAUUUUGGACUUCCUGUAAACAACGAACAAAACAAAUUGAAGGUGAAAGCAGGAGCAACAGUUUUCAAAUAAAAUGGGAGUGCUUAAUCUAAUUGAACACUAACUUUUGGGUCUCUCAGUAAUGGAUACGUACCUUUGUUUCAAGAUAUAUCUGUUGUAUGGUAGAAUUAAGGUCGCCCUUCCAAGUCCAAUACUCACCAGACAGCCAGCGUUUCUCUAAUUCGUGUAAACUGGGAGUGCUUAAUUCUUUUCCAGAGAAAAUCUUCAUAUUGGGGCAUUUAUCCACACUUAAAUAUGUCAAAGCUGGGAACUUGAAGGCGCAGUUGCCAGAGCAGAAGCUUGUAAGUCUUCUUAAAUCACAAAGCUCCAAGUACAUCAACUCGCUGAAAACAAUUUCAUCUUUAGCAGCAUCUCCCUCAUCAGUUGCCACUACUUCUGUUAUCAUGCUGCAGUCAACGAUACUCAUCUCUGUCAGUCGUACCAAACUCUUUGCUGUCGAGGAUGUUAGCACAUUUAUCAAUCCUUUGCAUCUCCACACCUUCAAAGUUGUCAGAUUCUGAAACGAUGUUGAAGGUGGCACUAGAUUAAUCAAAUGGUCACAGUACUCAACUGUUAGAUGAACCAAAUUGUCCAUUUUGGACUCCUGGAUCAAAAUAUGCUUCAGAUCACAACAAUUGUGUAGAUUCCUUAUGAUUGCCUUCGUCCAAUUUUCUACUCCAUAUGAUGGCUUAACGCCCCCAACAUAUCCUCCUCCCCUUAUUGUGAGUUCUCUUAUGCUGUGAAAUCUCCGAAGGAAAUCAAGUGAUGAAAUAGUAGAUGACUCUUCAAAUAUAACAUCAAGAAAGUUGAGUUUGCAAAACAUGUCCGCUGGAAACUCAGCUGCCAUUGGUAUCUUCUUUCCUUCAAUGGUCAAAUAUUUCAAAUUGGGGAAUACCUGGUUGGAUGCAUGAUAAAUCAGGACCAAAAAGAAAACGUAACGCCAAUUAUUAAGAGUAAAUUUUAAAUCUUGUACGUACCUCUUUUGUCAAGUCAUGAGCAGUUAAAAGGAAUUCAGGACACUUUAUUACUUCUAAAUUUUCCAAUGUUGGAAAUUCAAUGUGCACAUCUCCUGUGCAGAAGCUUGUGAGCCUUUCGAGAUCUACCAUCUUUAGAAAUUGUAACUGAGGGAACACAACAUUCUUCCUUUCUUGCUGGUCUAUGACUAUUAUCUCUUCCAAAAUAGGGCACUCAUCUAUCUCAAGGUGUUGGAGUCGAAUAAAGCUGUUAACUAUAGAAGAUGAAAACAGACAUCUUAAUUCCCCACAGCCAUACAAAAUCAACCGGGUUAAAGUUUGAAUGCCACAAGACAUGGCUGGAAGUUGGCUUUUCCAAAUCCUCUCCACAUUUACAUUAUACAGCUCCAAGGUCUGCAAGUUUGGUAACCCACCCUGUUCACAAAACUUUCCAGCCGUUAUAUGAGGGGAGCAAAGUUAGUAUAUAAGUGCAUUCAGAGUACUUUUUCUUUCAUCCGAGAAUGUAUUUGUUACACCUACGUUACUCGGGAUGAAAAUUUUAAUAUAAUUAUGAAAUAUGUUCGUUAAUCCCUGAUUCACUCUAGCCUAUAUUUCCUAGGAAAGGAGAAUAUAUAAUAAAGCAGCUAAAAAAAAAAAGGAAAAAAUCAUAAGAAUAUGACCAUUGGAUCAUUAAUAUCCGACCUUGAGGAAAAAUGUAUUAGGAACGUUGACAUGGUCCUCCAAAAUGAUUUCAUUCGAUCGCAUUUCACUUGUCGAUUCCUUGCAUCUCUGUUUAGAACAUAGUCAUACUCAUUAGAAAUGAAGAAUCUGUUUUUGCACUGGCUGCUUUGAUAUGUUCGAAAUUUAGGAAGAUCAUAUCAUACCUUUGACUCUUUCGGACUGGGGGCUUGACAACCUUCGACCCAGAGAUGCUUCAGUUGGGAAGAAUAAGAGCCCAAUUUGUUAUUAACUAAUUCAAUGAUAUCUUGGUCUGGCAAUCUAGAUAAACAAAGGUCUUCAAUUCGCUGAAGUUGCACGAUAUGUCCACUCUUGAAGCUGAUACAAUUGUCGGUGCCAAGGAGGAGUCUGAAUGUUCUAGAACACGUAGGUGAGGUAUCCUCCCAACACCAACGUCCAAUACAUAUUCUGUACCUUUCCAGCUUCUCGAAGAACAGCCCCUUCCGCAGAGUGUUGACAUCUGGGAUGCAUAAUUCUAAGGUGGUCAAGUUAGGCAAACGCUUCAACUCUUCAAGGCUUGCAUUCUUGACCCCUGCAGCUUCCACCUCCACCUCCCACUUAUUAAAGCUACGAAUGUAUAAUUCCUCCAAAUGGGAUAAAUUUGAUAAAACAUUUGGGGGAAUAACCUGUAGUCUGUCACAGUCUCUCAAAUCAAGCGACCUUAACCGAGUCAAUUGGCCUAUUUCCACAGGCAACUGCUCAAUAUAAGAACCCCUUAAGCAAAGGAUUUCUAGGUUCUUUAAUUCUCCUAUAACAGCUAUAUCUUGCAAUUCGCUGCAAUACAAACACAAUGUUCGAAGGUUUGUUAGGAGACCAAGUGAUGAAGGCAGUAAUGAUAGAUGCAUAUAAGUCAAGUCUAAAACUCUGACUUGCGUCAACUUCCUGAAAAAAUUGUCUGGAAGUGUGAUUAAUGAAGAUUUCUCAGUCCACAAAGAGAGAAGUUGCAGUUGAGGACAUUCCAAAACUUCAGGAAGAAGAGCAUUCAUCUUGCUGUCGUGUAAGACAAUCGAAGUGUAAAACUUAAGCGCACCUUCAUCUAGCCAUUCCCGUGAAUUAACCAGUUCAUAUCUCAUCGUAAGCACAUUUUGUUCUCUGGUUGCAAUUGCUAUGGCAACAUCACGAACAACAUCAUGCAUAGAAAACCAAUGUUCAUUUUUGCUUCCAUGCUCAAGCAACAUACAAGAAGCCUUGAGUUUGUACACCAAUGUAUACACUCGAGCUCGUGCUUCUUCCAUCCUAUUGAUGCCUUGAAACAAACCCAAACCCAUGCCAUACAUUAACACGUCAUUAAUGGAUGAUAUGUAGGUGUAGCCUAUUAGCAAAAAGAUCUUCUUGAGCUCCUCUCCUUCUAAUUUGUUGUAACUCAACUCUAUAGCUGAAUAAGCGGCCGGCUGUAUAUCUUUAAAGUUCGUUGAGGAAGGCCUUCUUAACUGUCCCAAAGCGUCCUUCCAUUCAAAUAAUCUCUUAUUUCUCAACGCCCUCGCUACUGUUACAAUGGAAACAGGCAAACCUGCACAUUCAUUUGCCACCUCCGUUGCCACCCCUUUGAAUUCACUACUUUCGAUGUACUCCCCUGCCAUCUUCUCAAAGAGACUCCAAGCUUCGUCUUCUCUUAGAACGCCAACUGAGAAAUUAUGUCAGCAAUCCAUCUUCCGUGACAGUAUAUCUUCACUUCUUGCUGUCAACAAUAUUUUACACCCCGUGUGGUUAUCUCCGUGAGGAAUUCCUACAUCCUGCAAAUCAACACUUUCCCAAACAUUAUCUAAAAUUACAAGGUGUUGAUGCUGAAAUCUGCUCGCCUUUUGACCGACCAGAUUCUUUCACCAACGUUUAUGUUAUCAACUGUUGCUUGAACCACUGGGGUUGGAAUCGCCCUCCUUUCUCUUUCUAGACCUGUGUUCACCAAAAACGGAUCAGAGACGCCGGUGGUUUUGUCGGCGUAAACCCUCCGAUGCCUAAGUUAGCACAAGGUAUUUACGGGAAAACAGUACAAUUUGGACUCAAGAAUGGUCGCUAAUUUAUCCGAAGUUUUGUAAGAAAAUGGCCUGAUUGCAAUUUGGCAGCGUUUUCCCUCUCUCAAUUUUUUCUCCCCUUUCUUCAUCGAUUUCUUUCUCUUUUAUAGCCGCCGUUUGUCCCACGUUUUCCGUUUACCCUUUAUCCCUCUUUUUUCGGGUGGUGGCAGCCCCUCAUGGGGCUCUAACUGUUAUAUUGUGGGCAAACGUGGGAUCUCGCGUGUCCUUCAACGGUUCUGGGAAAAGCGCAACUACCGCGAUUCUGUGGGAUCGUGUUCCCGCUUUCCUGGGGGAUGAGUAUCGGCUCGAUAUACGCUUCUGGUCGGUAUUCGUCUCUGGUUGGUUCAUGCUUGCCCCCGUGUUCUGCUCGUACUACUUGGCUGAGGUGAUCCAUGCCGGUGUGAAAAUAGUAGCAUGGCCGACCUGAUGCUUUUAUUUACUUAACACCAGUCCCCCAGUUUCUGGUCUUGUGAGUGAAAUGAGUCAAGAGUAGAAACUAAUAGUCAGAUCUUGCCAACCCGGGGAGCUUCACAUCUGAUCUUCUGUUUACUGGGAUGGACCUGAGGCACCAUUCUUCUUCUGGGGAGAUCCCGACCUGAGCAUGGGCUUGAAUGAGCGUGUCCAUUGCCUAUCUAGGCUUGCAUCUAGGUUGGCCUCUUGUAACGAUUAGCGACGUGGCCUUUCCAGACUCUUCACAUUUGAAAUUUGAAACGACGGGCUAUCUGUCCUCGAUAUUCGGUGAGUGAGCUGGCAUCCCCAUCACUUAAAUGCUUUCAUUUCCCUUGUCGUUUCAAAUCCCUAGACUUAAAUCAUCGUCGUUUUGUUCUAUUCGCUUCUCUGUUGUGAGACAAUGCCUACGAACUUCGUUCACACUCUCCGCGUCUGGGACUUCUGUUUGCGGGCUUUUUUCUCCAUCACAGCAACAUUAUCAGUGCCAGUCUAUUCCAUGUACAGCCUUUAACUUCUUCUUUGGUUGUUGUUGAUUGGGUUCUGUGUUGCCCCUUUUUGUAUUCGUAUACUUGGAUUUGUUUUGGUUUCCUUUUGGGGCUCCGAUAUGUCAAAUCGGAAAAGGAAAUUAAUUGCCGAUGAGAGUGACGAAGAAACGGGGGAUUCAGACCUUAACUUGUCGAUACCCACUGAUUUUUUACGUCCCUCUAGUAGUGUAGGGCCUUCCCAUGGUAGGGAUACCUUUGAGUACCCACGCCCCUUGGCUGUUUCUCCUUCCCCCGAACUAGAGCUUGUAGGGAAUAGAGGUGGACCUGCGUCGGGCUCUGGUGAGAACCACAGCUUUGGUGGGGUUGGGGUCCCUGAAGGAGUUGGUGAUGGUGAGGGGAGCAGUUCUAGACCGAGCGGACCUUCUAAGAAAAGGAAUCUUGGCUAUAGGGUGGAGGUGGAUUCGUACCCUAUUGAUUUCAUAGCUUGUGCCACCACCCCCACUAAUCUAUUUAAGCUUAAGAACCUCUACAACAUUCCCAAUGAGGUUCUCCUGGUAGUUCCUGGAAAAGGUGAUGUCCCUAGUCGGCCUCCGAAAGGGUAUGUGACGAUGCACCUGGAAAGUUUCAAAUUAGGAGCUCGGCUGCCCCUUCAAUGUUAUUUUGCCAAGAUACUGGGCGGUAUGCACCUGGCCCCAGGUCAGUUACACCCAAAUGGGUGGAGGGUUCUCUCGGCGAUGUUUGUGUUGUGGGAGAGGUGCGGGUUGGAGGAGCCUUCCCUUGUUGAAGUGAAGCACCUGUACCAGCUGCGGAGUAGCCCAAGGGAAGCGGGCUGGUACUACUUUAUGUCUAGUUCCGCAAAGAGGAAACUGAUCACUGGGUUUCCUUCUUCAUGUAAAAAUUGGAAGAAUAAAUUCUUCUUUGCUGGAGGAGAUUGGUGUCCAGCAGUUCGGUCGCUUGGUGGGGAUAUUUACCUUCCAACACAUUUUAUCACCCUAGGUCGUUCAUUUUUGCCUAUGUUCUUAGUCAAAUUGUCACUUAUUGGGUUCUUUAACCUUUUUUGCUAUUUCAGAGUCGUGGGGUUUGAUUGAGGGGCUUGAAGACCGACCUUUGCUUCAGGUGGAAACUGCUCUGGUGAACGCGUCUACCUGCCAAGACCUCCUGUCACUAACAAACCUAGUCGGUUCGGGUCUGGUGGACAUAGCUGCUGGAAUGGAUAACAAGAUCCUCAGCGUGAUGAGCAGAAAGCGUGGUCGGGCUCCAAGCAGCUCCAGCAACCCUCCCCCUCCUCCAAAGAAAACCAUCGUCGGUCCUUCUAAGGCUCCUGUUCAUGCUCUGCCCCCUCCUCCACCUCGUAAGAGUGGUGGGGAGAAAGCUUCCGAUAAGAGUCCUGAGGUCAGCAUUCAGUCUGGGGACCGAUCUUCUCCUCUUCCAUCCCGGGAUCAAGAUGACUACCUGAGCCUGUAUCAAAAGGAUUACAGAAAAUCGGUGGGGCCCAAGAUGGUGAAGGACAUCGAGAGUAUGAACCUCUCCGAGUUAGCGGCUUCUGUUCAAAGAGUCUCCUUCAGGCUGGCCACCAUGGUUUCAUGCUACAAGAACGGGUCCACACGCCAUGAGAGGAAGCUUCAAGCUUACAAUCAUGAGUUGAAGAAGAGAGCUGAAUCUGCUGAUCGCUCCAAGGAAAAGCUGGCUGAGCUGAACAAGCAGAUUACGAAGUUGGAGGAGAAAGUUGCUGUUGCUGAGUCCACCACCUCCAAACUUGAGGGUGAGUUGAGUGACCUGAAGGACUCCCACUUCUACCCACUUGGUGAAGUAGUCUAUUGCCACAAUUGCAUGUGUCGCCGCUCCUCGGCCCUUAGGUAACGGACCAACCAAGUCGAUUCCCCAUUGGGCGAAAGGCCACGGGGAUGCCAUAGUGGUCAGCUUUUCUGGGGGUUGUGCAGGAAUCUCAGAGAAGCUUUGACAGGUUUUACAGUUCCUUGCCAUCCUUUUCGCAUCCUGGUGCAUGGUCGGCUAGAAGUAUCCUUGCCGGAGUGCCUUGAAGGCUAAAGUUCUUGUUGCCGAGUGAUUACCGCAUAUUCCUUCAUGAAUUUCCCUUAGUACAUAAUCUGCAUCCUCCUCAUCCAAACAUCUCAAAAAGGGCAAGGUGAACCCUCAGCGGUACAGCACUCCAUCUAGUAGUGUGUAUCUCGCUGCUCGGCAUUUUAACUUUCUUUUUUGCAUUUUGUCCUCUGGUAACACUCCAUCGCGGACAUAUGCGCGAAUCGGAUCCAUUCAGGAUUCUUCAGUGCUUACUCUCAUCACUUCUACUUCCUCCUCUAUACUUGGCAAGGUCCUUAUCUCUAGUGGGACCGACUUAGGUAAUUUCGGAUCUGCGGUUGCAGCCAUUCUAGCCAACAUAUCAGCUCGGUAAUUUUCAUUCUGGGAUAUCUGCUUCACCUCUACUUCAUUGAAGAGUUCAACCAUUUGCUUCGCCUUCUUCAAAUAAAGCCCCAAUUUCUCUUCCCUUACUUGGAAUUGAUUGCUGAGCUGGUUACAUACUAGCUGGGAAUCUGCUCGGAUUUCUACUCUUUCUGCCCGUAGUGCAUGUGCAAGACCGAGCCCAGUAAUGAAGGCCUCAUAUUCAGCUUGGUUGUUCGUAAGCUUGAACUCGAACUUUACAGCAUAGGAUACCUUGACACCUUCUGGGCUUCGUAUUAUAACUCUUGCCCCGGAUCCAUGUUCACCACGUGAUCCAUCAACCGUUACCAGUCAUACCCCUUUUUUAUCCUCCUACUCUGCUGGUUGUUCCUCUUGGACCUCUUCCCCUGGUUCAACACAGUUAACCAUAAAAUCAGCCAGGGCUUGGGCCUUGAUUACUCCUCGGGGCCUGUAGGAUAGGUCGAAUUCGCUCAGUUUCACGGACCACUUCACUAACCGCCCUGAUGCAUCUGGUUUUUGGAGCAUGUGCCGAAGAGGCUGGUCAGUCAUCACCAUUAUCGGGUGGGCCUGAAAAUAUGGUCGCAGUUUCCGUGCUACUGUUAUUAAAGCCAGUGCCCAUUUUCUCCAUCAAUGGGUACCUAGUUUCUGCGUUUACUAAGGCUUUACUAGUGUAAUACACGGGGUGUUGCUUCCCUUCUUCUUCUCGGACUAACACUGAGCUGGUUGCCCAUUUUGAGAUUGCCAAGUACAAAAACAACUGGUCGCCUUCCCUCGGAGUUGAUAGUAACGGGGCAUGGGCCAGAUACUCCUUCAGCUGCCCAAACGCCUCCUCACAUUCUGAUGUCCACUCCAUCUUCCUCCCUUUCUUUAUGGUUUGGAAGAAAGGGUGGCAUUUAUCCGUGGCCCGCGAGAUGAAUCGGUUCAAUGCUGCCACUUUUCUUGUAAGGCUCUGCACCUCCUUAACUGUUCGGGGGGAUCUCAUUUCUGUUAUUGCCCGUAUUUUCUCCGGGUUGGCCUCGAUCCCUCGGUGGCUCACUAGGAAUCCCAAAUAUUUGCCCGAGCUGACCCCAAAUGCACAUUUCUCUGGGUUUAGCUUCAUUUCAUACUUCCUCAGUAAUUCAAAGGUUUCUUCCAAGUGUCUCACGUGAUCCCUCGGUUCUUUGGACUUUGUGAUCAUAUCGUCCACAUAUACCUCCAUAGUAUGACCGAUCAAGGGCUUGAAGAUAUUGUUCAUCAACCUUUGAUAGGUGGCUCUUGCAUUUUUCAGGCCAAAAGGCAUCACCUUGUAGCAAAACAAACCCAUGUUAGUUAUAAAGGUGGUGUUUUCCUCAUCCUGCUCGUCCAUGGGUAUUUGGUUGUAUCCUGAAAAUGCAUCCAUGAAGCUGAGCAGACUGUGACCCGCUGUUGAGUCCACCAAUUGAUCUAUCUUUGGUAGAGGAAAACUGUCCUUCGGGCAUGCCUUAUUAAGAUCUGUGAAAUCCACACACAUUCUCUAUUUCCCGUUGGCCUUCUUUACCAGUACUACAUUGGAAAUCCACUCCGGGUAUCUGGCCUCCCUUAUAAACCCUGCUUUCAACAGUUUCUCCACCUCGGCGUUUAUGGCCUCGUAUCUUUCCUGGUUAAAGCAUCUCCUCUUCUGUCUCACCGGCCUCGCCCCCUUCUUGAUUGCCAACUUGUGGCAAGCUACGAUCAAUUCUUGGUAUAUCCUCGUGAGACCAGGCGAAUAUAUCUGCAUGAGAUUGUAGGCAAUUUACCAGCUCGCCUUUUACUGCCCCAUCCCUGAUCCAAUCUUCACCACUCUGCUCGGGUUGCUUUUGCUUACCGCAACUUCUUCCAGUUUCUCAACAGGCUCUUGACGGCCCUUUUUAGGCUCUCAUCGAUUAUCUAGAGAAGUAACCUGCAGUGUCUCCUUGGCCGCUGUAGCAUAACAAUUCCUUGCCAUCCUCUGGUCGCCUUUUAUUACGCCAACCACUCCAUUUACUUUGUAUUUCAGUGCCAGAUAAUGCGUAGAUACAACGCAUUGGCUUAUCCUCAUGAAGGGUCUCUCCAGUAUCAUUUGGUAAGGGCUUCUUUCCUCUACCACGAUAAAAUCCAGCAUCAUCGUUCUUUCAAACGGCUUUGUCCCUACAGUAAUUGGGAGUUCAAUGAUCCCCAUGGGAGUUAGCCGUCCCCCUCCAAAUCCCUUUAAGGAUGUAUUUGUUCGUUCCAAUUUUAAGUCUACAAUUCCCAUAUCAUCUAGAGCCGACUUAAACAAGAUGUCAACCGAGCUGCCCGUGUCUACCAGUAUUCGUCGCAAUUCUGUACCAGCCACCAUUGCCUUAAUUACCAGUGCAUCCUCAUGAGGAUAUAAGAUACCAUCUUCAUCAUCAUCUGUCCACAUAAUGGGAACUUGCCGCAAUUUUGCCUUCUUGGCUGUUGGCAAAUUGAAAAACACUUCUUUGCUAGUCAUGACGUAUCUCCCAUAGUUCUUUCGUGCCCUGUUCGAAUCCCCAGCCAAGGUUGGCCCUCCUGCUAUCACACGGAUAGUCGGCUGUUCACAUUCCAGGCCUCUCUCACCUCCUUCAUUCUGCGUGUACUGUGAUUCAAUGACGGGAGAAAUCCCAUCUACAUAUUCAUCCAAAUAACGGUUUCUCACCAAAUCCUCCACCUGAAUCUUUAAGUCACGACAUUGGCUGAUGGUGUGACCGUGAGUGUCGUGGAAUUUGCAGAAUCUACUCUUAUCCCGUUGGUGAGCAGGUUUUGUUAUAGGGGCUGGAGGGUAUAACAGGCCUCGUCCCUCGAUUCUCUCAUACAACUCCUCCAUAGGGACUUUUAGCGGGGUGUAUUGUCUGUAUGCUGGGUUUUGGUCAAUCAGCUGGACUGCUCGGCUAUCAUGAGUAUCGUCCUGAGCGGAUAUCGAAGGUAGCUGACCUGAUCGUCCCGUUCUAGGGUUGGUUGUAUGUAGUGCUUUGGGAGCGUUGUGAUAAGGAUGGUUAGCCAACUGCCGGAAUUCUCGCUGCCGCUCCAGGAAUGGGGGGCACGGGGGCUGAGCCCGAUUGUGUUGGACCUGCUACGGUCUCUGAGCCAUAGGGUAAGGGCGAGAAUGAGCUGAUACUGCACCCAUCAUUGAGGACUCCCCGGCUCGCUUUCCCGACCCGCUUCCAUUUAGGGUUCUCAUUUCCUUUCGUCUCAGUUCCUCCAACUGUUCACUCUUUAUCCUUGCCGAUUUUUCUUCUUCAAUUUCAAUGUCUCUCUUUGCCUGCUCAUACCCCGCUGAAUAAUUCUGCACCAGGGGGCUUCUCAGGUUAUACCAUAGCCGGCUUAUCCUCACACCCUCCUUCAAUCCCCUCAACACUUGCGGGUGAUUGAAAGCUCCCAAAUCAAGCACGGCUCGGUGGUAUCGCUUUACAAAAUCUCGAAGGGGUUCUUGUUCCUCCUGCUUCAUCCUCAUUAAUUCCAUCAUAUCAUCCUCUGGGGCCACCGCUCCUAGGAACUGUUCGGCCAACUCUUGGCACGUCUGCUCGUACCCUCUGAUACUUCCUCGUAAUAGCUUGCGGUACCAUUCUCGGGCUCGUCCCUCUAGUGUCAAUGGGAACACCCUACACCUCUGAGCUGGUGUUAACCCCUGGACACCCGUCAUGUCGUUGAAGCGUUCAAUAUGCACCAGUGGAUCACUUCGCCCGGAGUAUUUGAGGUCGGGGAAGCCGAAAUUUCUUGGGAUUACAGUACCCAUAAUCUCAGUGGAUAGUGGAGAUUCUUCAUCUAGCAUUAUCCUCCAACUCGGGGGCUUCCUCUUACCCUGUAUCUCCUCUAUCAAUUGCGCUAAUCUGCGCACCUCUCCCUCCAAUUCUACAGCACGGUCAGGAUCACGCACAACUAUCUGAUCUCGCUUCUGCUCGGCAUUCUGCAGCCGCUGUCUGAGCUCUCCUUCAUCAACACUGGCCCCUCGGACAUCAGCUUCCAGUACCCGCCCGGGGGGAGGUUGGUUCCUCCCUUCAUCUACUUGUUCUCCAGGAACCCGACCAAUGCUUCUGUGGGGAUGCACCCCAUUAGGUUGGUCCGCCGGCGGAGGGAUUUCCUCGACUCUACGCCUCCGGAGGCUGGGUUCCGCUCCAACAUCAUCUCUCCCCACGGGGGUUUCACAAUUCCUUCGCCGCUGAUCUCUCAGCUCAUACAGUAUGGUCGCGAGAGUUUCCAUUUGUUUCUCCAUCCGUUCCAAUCGAUCUUGCAUCACCCUCUCCCGGGCUUCAUUUGCAAUUUCUCAAAGAGUGAUUGUCUCCCCAGAUUCGUUAUCCUCCCUCAAAGAGUCCUUCCUUGGCAUAUCCAUAUCUAAUCGUUCGUUGUUUCUUCGGUAACUACUAAUUCGGUGGUAGCUUUUUAUCCAGCUUCCCCACAGACGGCGCCAAAAUGUUGAUGCUGAAAUCUGCUCGCCUUUUGACCGACCAGAUUCUUUCACCAACGUUUAUGUUAUCAACUGUUGCUUGAACCACUGGGGUUGGAAUCGCCCUCCUUUCUCUUUCUAGACCUGCGUUCACCAAAAACGGAUCAGAGAUGCCGGUGGUUUUGUCGGCGUAAACCCUCCGAUGCCUCAGUUAGUACAAGGUAUUUACGGGAAAACAGUGCAAUUUGGACUCAAGAAUGGUCGCUAAUUUAUCCGAAGUUUUGUAAGAAAAUGGUCUGAUUGCAAUUUGGCAGCGUUUUCCCUCUCUCAAUUUUUUCUCCCCUUUCUUCAUCGAUUUCUUUCUCUUUUAUAGCCGCCGUUUGUCCCACGUUUUUCGUUUACCCUUUAUCCCUCUUUUUUCGGGUGGUGGCAGCCCCUCAUGGGGCUCUAACUGUUAUAUUGUGGGCAAACGUGAGAUCUCGCGUGUCCUUCAACGGUUCUGGGAAAAGCGCAACUACCGCGAUUCUGUGGGAUCGUGUUCCCGCUUUCCUGGGGGAUGAGUAUCGGCUCGGUAUACGCUUCUGGUCGGUAUUCGUCUCUGGUUGGUUCAUGCUUGCCCCCGUGUUCUGCUCGUACUACUUGGCUGAGGUGAUCCAUGCCGAUGUGGAAAUAGUAGCAUGGCCGACCUGGUGCUUUUAUUUACUUAACACAAUGAUCUUUUUCUCAUCCUUUCAAUCGAUUAUAAAGACUCCUUGCCCUUCCAGAUUCGGUCUCUUCGAAAAAUAUGAGACCUAAUUUAUCAGCGAUUUCUCCUUGAAUCUUUCUUAUGUCUGGAAUAUGGGGCACCUCCACGAAAAUCACUUGAUCAAAGAACUGGUCUCUCCCGAACUGAAUAGCAACCUCUUUUGCUAAUGUCGUCUUUCCGAUGCCGCCCAUUCCAUAAAUCCCAACCAUGUUCACAUCAGGAUCUUGUAAUGCACGAAGUACGUUAUUCAAAGUGGAGCUUCUUGAUUCAAAUGCCUCGUAGUCUUUGUUAGAUAUAAGCCUUAUGUCCUCCAGAGCUUUACGGUAGGAAAGUCUAUCAAAUCUCCCAGCUUCCCCAAGUUCGACAAUGGCUUUCUGUUGCCUUACCGCUUCCUUGCUAAACCGAUGGCGGGUCUUCAAAUUUGGACACAGCCCCAUGAAACAACGCUUGUUUGCUUUAUCUGCAUCGCCUGUAAAUUUCUCAGCCUCAGUAAUGAUGUUGUUGACACUUGCAAGCCAUUUCUCAACGUUCUUUUCGAUCUCUUCUCCUUUUCUUCUACCCUCAUCAACCCCGUGCUGCAUACUGGCACCGUCAUCCUUGAGCUUCUCAAGUUCAGUCUUGAGAUUCUCAAAGUUGCUCCUGUAGUUGCGCACAAAACUCAAUUGUCUUUCAGUGGGACGACCCAAGCACUUUGCAACUUCUAACACAACAGUUACUAUGCUUUCCACCAUCUUCAAUUCUUUCCCUUUUCUCUCUCUUUUUUUUUUUUUUGGGUCAAAUUUUAGAAUUUUGUAAAGUAUGUAGAUGUGAAGUGAAGCAAACCAAAAGGAAACUGAACAGAGAAAACAACUAAAAAGAUGUAGAGAUGAAGAAGAAGAGAAGGGAUUUAUUGACAGAGUAAAAAUACAUCAGAAGAGUAGAUACAGAACAAAACAGAGACAAGUGGACAGGGAACAGAGUAAAACUAAAUAAAGAAAACAGGUACACGUACGAUUCGUAGUAAUGUUGAGAUCCGAAGAUUGUAAUAACUAAAGGUGUUGCUUGAUCCAGUGAAAGGUCCAAAGAGUUGAUGGCAGAAAGGAGGAAAGCUGAAUAAUAAAAACACUCAAGAUGAUUGAGAUGAAGAACGACUUGCAUAGUUGGGAGAUGUGCGUCGGACAAAUGGUAGCCAAUUAUUUGAUUUCUACAGCGGGAUUCACUGACUGUAUAUUUUUAAAAAAUUAAGUCAGCAGAAUUAAUUCUUUUCAUUGAAAUGAACUCAAAGGCCAAAGAGUGGACAAAGAAUGUGAAAAAGUUAUGCGAAACGUGAGGUGAUGAGAUAGUUAAGUUCACUGAUGCUCAAUAAUCAAUUUUAUUAAAAAAAAAAAAUAGUGAGAAUCCCAAAGUCGAAAGCCAAUAGAUUUCAUAAUGGUUAUCCCACCAGCCACCACCUCAGCUUCCACGCAAGUUUCUCUCACAUUUGAACAGUUGGCCCACUCCUCAGGUCUUUGUCGUUUCAGUCAACAUAAUAUCACAGAAAGGGUGUUGUUAAAUUCUAUUAUAAUGUAAUUUAUAUUAAUUUAAAAGUUGUAAUUAAUAAUUUAAAAAGUAGUUUAGUUAUUCUAAUUUUAGGUCACUAAUGAUAAUUUAAUGAUUGAUAUAAGUUACAUCAUAAUAUAACUUAAAAGGUCCGAACAUGUAAUUAAUUAAGGCCAAAAGUUAGAAUAAAGAGACCCCAUCCGCCCAUGUGCUUCUAAUUAUAAAAUCUUCGCAUAAUUUGCAAGACCGAUGUUUUGAAAUAAAAUUUGAUUAAAAAUUGACAAAAAACAUAAGCAAUGGUGUCAUUUUAGGUGAUUUUUUUUUAAAUAAAACAAAAACGAUGUCAUUUUUUAGCUGAUUUUAGUCCUCCAAUCAUUUUAAAAAUUUUCAAGCAAGUUACAGGUAAUUCUUAUUCAAUGAUUCAAUGAACUUAUAAUAAAUCUCAGCCACAACGACGAUGAUCAAAUAAUUGAUUCAGCUUCGCACCUAAGCACAUAGUCGCAUAAAUCUCAGUAUAAACAUUAUAUACUUAAAAUUAUAUCAUUUUAGGUUUUUUUUUUAAUUUUAAAUAAAACCAAAACCACAUCAUUUUAAAUAUAUAUUUUAUCAAUUCUUAUGUCUCCAAUCAUUUUCUAAUUUUCAAACAAGCGAUUCUUAUUCAAUUUUUACAUUUUCUGUUCACAAAAGUGAAACAGAAAAUGAAAUUAAAAAAAAAAAGAAAAAAGAAAAAGUAAAUAUUUCGAUAUUAGUUUGAAGGAAAAGUCUAGUAUCGUUCUUCAAAUAUGUACAAGCUUAGAGCUUGUAAUUUGUAUGACCUUUUUUCGAAGAUGAGAAUAUUUCUACAUUACACGCUUUAGAAAAACUAGAUGAUAGGAAAAGAGUGUAGGAUAGAAAUUAAAGCUUAAUAAUAUUAUGAUCAAUUACUGAAAUAUUACCGUGGGCACUAGAUGAUAGGAAAAGAGCUCAUUUAUUACGUUAAUACAUUGUAUUAGUGAUAUAAGAACUUUUAAUCAAACUCAUGCCCCAAGGUGGGAACAGCCAAACGGGCAUUUCAUGGAACAGUUGAUAUACUCGGCAGCUACACUUACACGGAUGUUUCUGUCCUGGAGGUUGCAAGUGUUGCCUCCAUAAUCAAACUUGGAAGACCCUUCAAGGUUUCAAUAAUUAGCUUUGAUUAUUAAGUAAUAAUAUAUGAUAAUGUAGUGAUGAUGAUGAUGAUUUAUAUAUGUGAUUAAAAGCUAAGCUAGCAGAUUUGCAAGUAAGAACACACGGCAAAGUAUUUGAGCAAGUACUUUUAUCUUCUUAUUAUCGUCGCUUACUUCUAAUCAAUUAGCUUUCACCAUCAAAUCUAAUCAGUAAUGUAAAUGAAGGAACUUGGGCUCAAAUCUAUAAAUUAAUAUCGGUAAACUACAACCCUAUUUUCAUCAAAGUUUUCAACUCAAGAAAUAUAUAGAUUAGAGAUUAGUUGUUUAUAAAAUAUAAAGGAACCCUAAAAAAAAGAAAAGAAUUUUCCAGUACAAGAAUAAUAAUUUAUACUUAUUUAUUGAAUAUAUCUCAUUUUAAUCGCUUAAGGAUUUACAAAGUUUAUGCAAUAAUUUAUUCUUUUUAAAAAAAAAAAAUUCACUUCUUAAAAAAUCUUUAGAAAGGAACAAAGCUGAAGAAUAAAAGCAAUUAAGGUGAUUGGGAUGGAGAAAGACUUGCAUAGUUGGGAGACGUGCGUCGGACCAGCGGAAUUCACUGACUUUAUAUUUUAAAAAGUAAAGUCAGCAGAAUUAAAUUAACUGGGAACGUAGGUCAAUGAAUGCGAAGAGUGGACAAAGAAUGAGAAAAACUUUAUGCGAAAUGUUUUGAUUAUUUGACUAUCUACAGUUGCUUUUAAUUAAUGACGAUUGGUUUUGAUUAUUUCACUUUCUUCGUACAAUGAGAGUAUUUUGAGGUCAUUGAUCGAAUAAAGGAUUACCAUUCAUUAUCUAGGGUCCGGCUACGAUGUAACGGUGGCAUGGUAUCACUGUUGCAUUAUCUAAUUUUCUCCCAUGAUCUAAUUGCCUAAAUAAUAGAAACACUUGUAUUAAAUAAUUAUUUUACUUGCUAGUAUUGUUCUUAAAAUAUAUACAAACUUAGAGCUUGUAUGACUUUUUUCUAAGGUGAAAAUAUUUCUAACUCACAGGCUUUAGAAAAACUGAAGCCUUUCUUCUUCUUUUUCUUUUUUCUUCCCCCCCAGCCCCCCCUUUCUUCUUAAAUGACAAUUAUUAAAUAAUUGUGAACGAUUGGGUAUUUAAGUCUAAUUUCUUAAUGAUCUAGGUUAUGGGUGUAGUAUAUAAACUAGAAUUGAAUAAUUAUGAUCAAUUAAUGAAACUCAUGUCCCAAGUUAGGAAGAGCUACAUGGGCAUUUCAUCCAACAGUUGAUAUGCUCGGCAUCUGCACUUAAUCGAAGUUUCCUGGAAGUUGCAAGUGCUGCCGGCUUUUUCAAAAUUGGAAGAUCAUUCAAAGGUUUUCAAUAAUUAGCUUUGAUAUUACACAUGUGAUAAUCUUGUGAUGAUGAUGAUUUUAUGUGUCUGAUUAUAAGCUAAGCUAGUGGAUUCGUAAAUAAGCACACGGCAAAGUAUUUAAUCUUCUUAUUGUCGCAUUCUUCUAAUCAAUUAGCUUUCAACAACAAAAAUAAUUAAUAAUAACGUAAAUGGAGGAACUUGGGCUCAAAUCUCUGAACUAAAAUGAUGAUCAUUAAUACCAAUAAACUACAAUUUCACCUAGGCUCCAGGGAGGAUCCACAUGUUGUCCACAGUGAGCAAGUGACCCGUAAACUUUGAUUUUUCCAUAAUUUUCUAUAUAAAAUAUUGAUAUUUUCAUGAAAUUACAUAAUUUCUUAUAUAAUUGUCUCCAAAAAAUACCAAUAGGUGCACAAACACAAAUAUGAUGCACACAUCUCUUUAAUUAAUUUAGGGAUUAAAGAGAUUUUCAGAUGCCUACAAAUUGAAUAUGGCAGCUCUUGGACACCAUCCACAAGAAGUAAAACUAGCUUCAAAUUGGAUUUCUGAGUACUCAAACAAAGCUAAAAGCAUAAUAAUGAAUGAAAACUGAAACAAAAAAUCCUCUCACCAACAUCAUCUGACUUUUAAUAUAUAGUAAGAACUCGAUGCCUUAUUCAAGAUGCUGCACAGAAGGUUGACCUGAAUCGUCUUCAUAAGUUUGGAGACUCUGUAAACAAAGAGUAAAAACACAUUGAAGGUGCGGUUUUCACUUAAUCAAAUUGCACAAAUUAGCCUCUAUUAAGGACACGGAAAUCCUUCAAUUCUCUCUGUAAGCAAUUAAUUUUAUUUUUUAUUCUUUUAUUUUUUGCUAUGUCUGUCUAACAACUAAUCCUCAACAUACAACAAAGCAGAGUAGUUAUAUCUUAAAAAGAUGUACCGAUAUGAUUUAACAAAAAUUUCAACAUAAACAAAACAUUUUUAGUCAGCAAAAUAGAAUCAAAUCAAAACCUCCCAAAUUGUAUAGAUUUUAUCUUACCACUGUCUUUCACAUUUUUCUCCUUUUCAUUCGCCUCGGCGGACUUCUCAUUCUCUUUUUCCUUCUCUUCCUAAUCAGAUUUAAAAUGAAUUUAUAAAAAAUUUAAUAUAUACUUUUUUCUUUUUAGUUUUUUAUAUAUAUCUGUUAUUAAAUCAGUAAGUUUUAGAAAAAAAAAAAAUCAACAUCUCAUAGUGAAUGAAUACUUACCUUUUUCCUUUUAAGAUAUACGUAUUGAAUGGUUGUAUUAAGGUCCCGAUCCCAAGCCCAAAGUUUAUUAUCAAGCCAGCUCAGCUGCACUUUCUGUAACUUGGGUGUGCUUAAUUCCCCUUCUGAGAAAAUCUUCAUAUUGGGGCAACGAUCCACCACUAAUCUUUCUAGAGAUGGGAAUUUGAAGGCGCAAUUAUUCCCAGAGCAGCUGAAACUAGUCAGACUUUGUAAGUCCCAAAGCCGCAAUUCCUUUAAUUCGCUGAAAACAAUUUCAUAUUGUGCUGCAUAAUUAUCUCCCUCAUCAUCCUCAUCUGCCACUAUUUCUGUUAUCAUCUUGCAGCAACCUAUCUCCAUUUGUCUCAGUCGCACCAGAUUCCUUGCGGUUGAGGAUGUUAGAAGGUGUAUCAUUCCAUGGCAAAGACUUACCUUCAAAGUUGUUAGGUUCUGAAAGGAUGUCGAGGAUGGCACUAGAUUAGUCAAAUUGUCACACUCGAAUAUCUCCAGCUGUUCCAAAUUGUUGGUAUUGGUUGACUCUUGUUUGAAAAUCUGCUUCAGUUCACGACGCUGGUUUAUUCCCCUCAUCAUUGCAUUCAACCCAUUUUCAAGGUUUUCAAGUGAUUCUCCCCAAACAAAAUCGUCUCCUUCUAUAGAGAGAAUUUUGAUGGUGUGAAAUCUCUGGAGGAAAUCGUCAAGUGAUAAAAUAGUACUUGACUCAUCAAGCCGGACAUCAAGACAUUUAAGUUUGCAAAGCCAGUCUUCUGGAAACAGGCCUAUGUGCUUUUCAUCAACGAUCAAUUCUUCCAAAUUGGGGAACACCUGGGUGAUCAUCAAUCACAAAAGUGGCAAGAUGGAGUUAGCACUUCUUUCUAACGAUUUCACAAAUUCAAGUAAAUACAAAGCAUUCCAAUGAUGCGUAUUGAUGGCCGGACAAAUUUAUAGAUAUGCGGAGAGAGUUUGAUUUUCAGCUGUAAAUACAAAGUAAAAACAAAGCAUUCCAUUUAAGUAAUGUGUAUUUUCUUCCAUUCUCUCUUCUUAACUCUUGUCCAGUAGAUAGAUUUUCAAAUUUUAUUAGAUUUGUGCAUAAUCUCUAUGAAAAAGACUUCAAUUAUUCUCAAAUUGCAUUUAAACUUUGAGAUUCUUUUAAUUGAUCCGUUUAUUUGGUUUGAAUUGAAAAUCUUACAAAUUUAUUUUUAAAAAAAUUUGGAGUUUUUAACUUUUUCUUAAAGCAAAAAUGAAUAAAUAAUAUGAAUUUUAAAAGUUUAAUAAUAUAGUAAGAAGCUGGUAUUUCAUUAAUAUUCAUCCAACUCAAUGGAAUUGGAUAUAUUUACUAUUGUGCAAGAAUGGAUUUUAUUGUACAUAAAGUUUAAUAGAAUAAGAUUUCUUAAUUUGAGUUUUGUCCAUCUCUCUAUAUAUAUUUUAAAAAUAUUAUUUAUGUUAACACGAGAUGACCAAUUUCUUCUUCAACAUCAAAAUUGAUAAUCAUUUUGUAUGUAACAAAAUUGUACUAAGGAGUACUAAUUUGGAAAUAGCUCUUGAAAGAUUUUCAGGAAAUUAACUGUGGCUUGAAAGCCUCUAGAUCUUAUGAGUAUUUUCUUUGUUUGGCUAAUCAAAUGCACUGUCUCUUUCCGUGUAUUUAACUAAAGAUGUAGACAUAAAAUAAAAAGUAGAGGGAGAAGAAAAACUCUGAUAAUUAAGAGAAAAAAAAUUGAACAAGAAGGAAAAAAAUAAUUGUUUACCAUAUAUCUUUUUUUUUUUUCAUUCGGUCUAACUGACAUCCAAAAAAAAAAUAAUAAUUAUGUUUGUAAGGAUAUUAUAAAGUAUAAUUAAACAAACUGAUUUAUAGAACUAACAUUUUGUUACUAAAAGAUGAAGUGAUGAGGGCGAUGACGACAAUAAAACUCUGAACUCUCAAAGUAGAAAUACAUUUCAGUACGUAAGAAUUGAAAAAUAAUUAAACAAAUCUUGCACGUGUACCUUUUCAAAAUGCAGAUCACCUGUGCAGAAGCUUGUAAGCUGCGGAAGAGAAUGAAGCUCAAGUGUCCUCAAUUGAGUGAGUUCAAUCACUUCAGUACUGUUAUUAUUGCUGGAUUCAUCUCCUCUCUCAGCAGCAAAAAUCACUUCCAUUUUUUGGCAACUACUCACUUUAAUGGACUGAAGUUGUUGAAGGCCUCUGCCUAUGACCAUCGGCAAUACAUUUUUCAAUUUAUCACACCCUUCCACCCUUAUGGUCUUUAAUUUGCAAAAAGACUCUGCUGUGAGUGGACCACGACAUAUUUCCUCAAGGUUCCUUAAAUCUCUUAGAAAUAAUGACUCCAAAAGGGGGAAUGCAGUCGUCCGAGCUGGCAUACAAUCCAUUGUGUCAACAACACAAGAAAGGUUGCCAUUAUGUUCGAUUUGGAGACCCUUCAGUUUUGGAAAGCCUUCUCUGUCUGAUCCAAAAAGAACAUUCUUCAUGUCGAUCAAUCCAUCUAGAGACAGGCCUUCAAUACCCUUCAAUUGCAUGAUAUGCCCCUCGUUCAAGCAAAUGUUGGCACCAUUUGUGAGCCCCAGUUUGAAUAUUCUAGAAAUCCCAUCCGAUGGGGGAACCACAAUAAACUGCGACAACUGUCCUAUAGAUAUCCUGUACCUUUGCAGCAUUUUGAAGAACGACAAGUCUCUUGAUAGAGUCUUUUCAUCGCCGAUGAGUAUUUCUAAAGAGGUCAAUUUAGAUAAAUUAUUCAACUCAUCAAGGCUGGCAUUUCUUCUUUCACCGUCUACUCCUUCAACUUUCCCCCACUCAAUGGGACUCUCACCAAUAUAUAGUUCUUCUAAUCGUGAUAAGCUUGAUAUCACAUUUUGGGGAAUAACUCUCAGUCGGUAACAUAGGCGCAAAUUCAACAACCUCAAUUGAGUCAGCUGGCCUAUCUCUCCAGCCAGUUCCUCCAUAUCAGAACCUCGAAGCGCAAGGAUGACUAAUUUCUUUAGGUCUCCGAUAAUGGCCAUGUCUCCUAGUUCACAAUCAUCUAGAGACAAUGUUUGAAGGUUUUGCAAGCGACCAAGCGAUGAAGGCAAUGCCAACAAAUGCAUCUUAGUGAAAUCUAAAACUCUAAGCUCUGUCAUCCCAGUAAAAAAUUUAUCUGGGAUCCUCAAAGAAGCAUGACAGCCAAUACAAAGGAAUUUAAGUUGCGGGCAUUCGAACCCUUGAGGAGGCUCACUAAUAUUACUAUUCUUUAAGGAGAUUGCGGUGCAAACCUUCAGUGUAUCCUUAUCUGGCCAGCUGGUCAGCGGAACAACCUCAUUUUCCACCGCAAACACAUGUUGGUCUCUUGAUGCAAUUGAUCUGGCUACAUCACGAACAACAUCAUGCAUUGAAAACCAUUCACUUGAACGGCCAUCAAGCAACAAACAAGAGUUCUUGAGUUUAUCAACCAAUGUAUGUGCUCUAUCCCGUGCCUCUUCCAACGUGUUGAUGUUUUGAAACAGACCCAAACCCAUGCCAUAAUAGAGUAGGUCUUCAACACAAGAGAAGAACGUGUACCCUAUUAGCAAAAAUGUUUUCUUCAGUUCCUCUCCGUUUAAAUGAUUGUAACUUAGCUCUAUACUUUUGUACGCCACCUGCGUUGUUCCAGUGAAGUUUCUCAAGGAAGGCCUUCUAAAUUCCAGCAAAGCAUCCUUCCAUUCAGACAAUCUCUUAUUUCUCAAUGCCCUUGCUACGGGUACAAUGGCAAUCGGCAAACCACCACAUUCCUUGACUAUCUCUGUUGCUACAGAUUUCAGUUCACCAUUUUGUAUGCAAUCACCUGUCAUCUUUUUGAAAAGACUCCAAGCUUCUUUUUCGUUCAGAACAUCAACAAAAAAUUUUUGUUGACAAUCCAUCUUACAAGAUAACACAUCCUGACUUCUUGCUGUCAGCAGAACUUUACAUCCGCCGUUGUCAUCUGCCAAUGGAAUUCCAAUCGCCUCCAAAUCAAGACUCCCCCAAAUAUCAUCCAAGAUUAUAAGGAUCUUCGUCUCUUUCUUCAAUCGUUCAAGCAGCCUCCCUGCUCUUACAGUUUCAUGACUCUGUUCAGCCAAUUCUAAGCCUAUCUUCUCAGCGAUUUCUCCUUGUAUGUUCUUUAUUUGCCGUGUUUGGGAAACACGUGAAGAAAUGAACUUCUCAAAGAGAUUAUUUUCCUUGGCCUGUCUGCCAACUUCUUCCACCAGCGUGGUCUUUCCAAUGCCACCCAUCCCGUACACUCCAAUCGUGUUGAAGUUACGGUUGCUGAGUGCGUCUAGUAUCUCCUUCAAGGUGGACUUUCUCGAUUCAAAGUGCAUGAAAUCCCGGGUAGACUUAAGCCAUGUCUCCUCUGGAAUGGUACGGAAGGAAACACUGUCGAAUCUCCCUCUUUCAUGGAGUCCAACUAUAGCAUUCGCUUCUCUUUCUGCUUUCUUGCUAAGCUGGUACCGAGUCUUCAAAUUAGGACACAACCCUUUCAGACACCGGUUGUUUGACUUCUCUUUGUCUUCAAUAAGGGUUUCGACUUCAUUGAUGGCCUUGUCCACAGUAAUCAUCCACUUCUCAACGUGGUGUUGAAUUCCGUCCCCUUUAAUUCUGGAAUCAUCAACCUUAUAUUGCACACUGUCUCUAGCAUUCUUGAGCUUAUCGACUUCAUUAUUCACCUUCUCGAAGUUGGUCUUAUAAGUGCAGCAAUAAGUAAAUGGAUGAAUUAUGGGAGCAACCAAGUACUCUGUAACUUUUGCAGCAACGGAAAUAACAAUAUCCAUUAUCCCUUUCUUUUUUAUUUUUUGCUCUUAGAAAACAGGGGAAAGCAAAACUAAUCAAACUGAGCAGAACUAAUCAAUCAGUUGUGAAGAGGGAAAUAAGAAGUUUGGAUAAAUUGUUAAAAUAAAAGGUUGAAUAGAUUUAAGGGAGGAGGAGGGGAAAGGAGUGAAAAAUCUGGAGAUGAAACAAAGGGGGGUCCAUUUUCUGCUAAGACAAAUUGAAAAGCGAGUGCAAUGAAAGAUUUGCAAAGAAGGUGUAGGAUCGAGGACAAGAACGAUACAGAAACGGGAGACAGAAAAUGAAGAAGAGAUUUCAGAGAACUCUAGAGAUUAGACAAGAGGGAUGAUUAGGAAAAUGCAGAGGCAGGCAGUUGUGAUCUCAAGUCUCAAGGGUAAUCUGAAUACUGCAAAAAUGCCAAACUAAAUUCAUACUGGAGAAGACUCAUGCUUCCAAGUCAACUAGAUUCUUAAUAACUGAGAUAGAUGGUUAUAAUUGCAUGUAAAUAAUGUCAAAGUUGUUGGUUAAUUGGACAGCGCAAGGUGGCAUUUUGGCAUUUCAUUGAAUUCUCCUGUUACCAGUAAGUGCUAUGCUGCCGUUGCCGGACUUUAUGAUUUUUUAUUUUUUUAAGAAAUAGAUAUACAAAUAAGGACUCGCCUACCGUGCAACAGUAGCACCAUGCCACCGCUUUUGUCUUUUCUUGGUAAAAUUUCAUAAAGUCCUUUCACUUAUUCUUAUUUGAACUUUGCUUCACAAAUAUUAAGUUCAUUUCUCCCAAACCCGUGAAUCCUUCAAUGGCCGAUCAACGGCAAAUCGGCUCCUCUGGUGGCUGUGGUUGGUCAGAAAAGACAGAGGAAACUGUGGAGAACAAACCCCAAGUGGUGGCGUCACUGGAAACCGGAGAAACCGCCGCGAAUUGAAGCAGGGAUUCUGUAACUUUCACGGCUUCGAUCGGCAGCUUUCCGAAUGCUUUACGGCGACAAGGAUGGCAUGGAGAUGACUGGCGUAGCACGAGCUUCUGAUCGGUACCAACCUUGGCCGGUGGAGUAGCUGGAAACGAAAACAAAAUCUGGGUCGGGUUUGCGGGUCAGGUUGACCUAGUUAUUUUUUCGACAAGGAUGGCGUGGAGAUGACCGGCAUCACACGAUCUUCUGAUCGGUACCAACCUUGGCCGGUGGCAUGGACGAAAACAGAAACGAAAUUCAGGUCGGGUUCACCGGUAUUUGUGGUAAAGAGAGGGGUAUUGUGAUAAAUGUGCAAUAUAGAAGAAAAAUGUAUAAAUAACAAAUAGUAUAAGGUGCUAUUAUAAUGUUAUAUGGAUGCAAUAGAAAUUAAUUUAAUAUUUAUGAGGUAAAGGUUAAAUAAAAAUGAAUGAAAGGGGUUCAAUGAAAUUUUACAACACUACUGACACAAAAGAUAAAAUCAGUUGUACGGUACCACGGUGGUACCGUAGCUGGAUCCCACUCACUGACAUUCAUGAGAAAUUUAACGGUAGGAAAAAGAAGUUAAAAAAAAUGGACAUUCAUGGGAAACCGGCUUUGAUGGUUAAUGUGCAACCGGAUGUGAGCAAAAGGUCACGUGGUGAGGGCAUUGUCACAUGGUUGGAGAAAUUGACAGUCUUUUUUAUUUUUGUCAAUGAGGUUGGUGAAGGUAGGAAAAAAACAAGUUUGGGUUAUUCCAUUGUUUUGGGAAAAACAUUGAAAGCGGUGAAAAGAAAAUGUCAACUACACUGUAAUGUCAGUGAAAAUUGGUCGGAGUUGUACAAAGAUCAGUUAUGAAGAAUAUUAGGGAAAUGAAAAAUAAUAUACUUAAAAUUAUAUCAUUUAGGUUAAUUUUUUUAAAAUAAAACCAAAACCACAUCAUUUUAAAUAUAUUUCUUUAUCAAUUUUUUUUUGUCUCCAAUCAUUUUCUAACUUUCAAAUAAGUAAUUCUUAGGCUCUGUUUGGUACAUUUUUUCAAGUAGAGUUUAUUUAAGUAGAGCUUUUAUAAAUAGAGAUUUUACAAAAAAAAAUUAGUUAUUUGGUUGUCAAUAAGAGUUUUUAUUAAAAAUUUAUAAAAUUACUUUAAGAGGUAAAUUUUUUAAAGUUAUGUUAUGAAAAGAAUAAAAUAAAAUUGUCAAUAAGGAGAUGAUAUUUUAGAUAUUUUAACAUUUAAAAAAAAUUAACCUCUACUCCCAAAACCUAAAAUUUGAAUUUUUUCUAAUAGAGAUAAAAUAACUUAUUUAAGUUUUAAAAGCUCGAUUAUAAAAACAACCAAACAACAACAAAAAUUAUGAUAAGAGUUUAUAAGAUUAAAUAAGCACUUAUGACUCUUAAAUAAAGCAUAUCAAAAGUAAACAUUGUCUUGUUCAAAAGUGAACGAAAACGAAAUGAAAAAAACUAAGCUUAUUUAAGUUUUAAUAUCAAAAGUUAUUUGGUACUUAUUCAAAUUUUACAUUUUCUGUUCUCAAAAGUAAACGAAAAUGAAAUGAAAAAGAGAAUGAGUCUCGGCUCGGGUGGCUAAUGCUGACAGUGGCUAAUGCUGCCGACAUCUUCCAACUUGCAACAACGUUAAAAAUACGUAGCCUUAAUUAAUUGCCUAAAUAAUAAAAAUAAUUGUUCAAUAAUUCCCAUUCAUCAUCUAAUUGCCGAUAUAAUAAAAAUACUUAGCCUCAGCUGACUUGUUCCAAAUCAUUCAAUAAUUCUUUUAAUUAUUAAAUAAGUUUGUUCUUGCUAAAUGCUAAUGGAUACUGAGCUGAAUGUCAAAGACGAAUAACUACAUUAGGAAUAAAAAUAUUUCGAUAUUAGUUUGAAGGAAAAGUCUAGUAUUGUUCUUCAAAUAUGUACAAGCUUAGAGCUUGUAUGACCUUUUUUCGAACAUGAGAAUAUUUCUACCUUACACGCUUUAGAAAAACUAGGUGAUAGGAAAAGAGUGUAGGAUAUAAAUUAAAGCUUAAUAAUAUUAUGAUCAAUUACUGAAAUAUUACCAUGGGCACUAGAUGAUAGGAAAAGAGCUCAUUUAUACAUUAAUAUAUUAUAUCAGUGAUAUAAGAACUUUAAUCAAACACAUGCCCCAAGUUGGGAACAGCUAAACGGGCAUUUCAUCGAACAGUUGAUAUUUGUAAGUAAGCAAGCACACGGCAAAGCAUUUGAGCAAAUAUUUUUGUCUUCUUAUUGUCGCAUUCUUCUAAUCAAUUAGCUUUGACCAACAAAAAUAAUUAAUAAUGUAAAUGGAGGAACUUGGGUUCAAAUCUAUAAAUUAAUAUCGGUAAACUACAACCCUAUUUUGAUCAAAGUUUUCAACUCAACAAAUAUAGAUUAGAGAUUAUUUGUUAAUAAAAUAUAAAAGAGCCCAAACAAAAAAAGAUUUGACAGUAUACGAAUAAUAAUUUAUACUUAUUUAUUGAAUAUAUCUUAUUUUAAUCGCUUAAGGAAUUACAAAGUUGAUGAAAUUUUUUUUUUAUUUUUUAUUUUUCACUUCUUAAAAAUUGUUGGAUUAAGAGAAUCCUCAAUCUUCAUUUACGUUCAGUGGUGGAUCCACACGGAGCCUAUAGUGGGCAAUUAAUUGACUCCCGUAAAUUAUUUUUUUUCCAUAAUUUUCUAUUUAUUUUUUAUAUUUUCAUGAAAUUACAUAAAUACUUGCAUAAUUGCCCCUAAUAAAUACAAAGUCUAUCAAUUUCAUUAAUUUUUUUUUUUUAAUUAUUGUGUUGUCCCUUGUAAGCCAAAUUUUUAGAUCCGCCCUUUAAAUAGGUUGUUACAUUUAUUGUUCUCAAAAGUGAUGACUUCUCCUAGUAUGAAGCUCCUACCAUAAGAAAAAGGUCUCCAUAAAACAUUUCGAGCUUUAACUAUGAUCUUCGGUACUGAUCUAACUUUUUUUAGUCCCUCCCAAAAAAGAAGCCUACACACACACACACAUAUAUAUAUAUAUAUUGUAACACAUUAGGACAUGAACUUGAAGCUUCUCAAGUGUUUAUGCAAUCCGGUUAACAUAUACAAGUUAUGAUAGGUAAAAUUGCUAAUAAAUUUAGAAGCCUAAAAUAUGGAAUUUGAUUAAGACUUACUAAUUAUUGGAGCAUUUUUUUCAUCUAGUUUUUGGAGAUUGAAAGAACUUAAAAUUACAGGUGAUCAUAUCUUAAUUGGCAGACUCUUGAUGCUGAUAAAUGACAAAAGUCGUAGAUUAGAGAGUUCUACUGAUUGAGUAGCGACUUGAGACAUUGUACAAUUUGUUCCAAUGCGAAUGAUUCAUAGUGACUGCACAUAUGACACCUUUUUGUCGAAAUGACACAAUUUCUCUUCAUUGUGCUAGAGAAAGGUGGGUAGAUUUCUGUUGUACAAGCAUUAUUGGAAGAGAUAUCAAGCCACUCAAUGUUCAGAUGGUCCAAACAUGUGUUCAGGAGGCACUAACAUAGCAGAAAUUGAGAUAGUUUUAGUUUCAUCAUACACUAAAAAAAUAUAAACCAGAAAUCCUGAUGGAGCGAGGCGUAGAGGAAGCGAAAAUUAAUAGGAUAGGAAACACUAGUUAUCAUUUUAGUACAGGAUUAAGCCAACGCAAUUAGGUUAUAUUCUAAUCGAAGCGUGAUUAGAUAUCGUUUUAAUCCAAACGACUCAAUGAGAUUUUUAAUAACACGUAAUGUGAGAUUAGAUGACACUCUAAUCCAAACGACUCUACAAGAGAGAUUUUGAUAGAUAAUCCCAGAGGGAAUUAUAAAAUGGGAGUUUUAUUGAAUAAUUGAAUUUGAAGUGCUCAAAACAAUGACAAGAUCUCUCUAGUUAUAAUAGAGGAAACCCACUUUCCUAAAUUAACCUAAAAGGGAAACUGAAUCACAAUUAGAAUGGAAAUAAAAGACUAAGAUACAUACCAUAAUUGACUCAAACUAAAAUAGGAAAUCCUAAAACAAUAAAUAUUCUAGAAUCCUAAAUCACCUAAAAUAACGUAAAUUAACUUCCUACAUCAUUCUUCCCCUCUUAAAAGAAACUCGUCCUUGAGUUUGAAUGCAGUCUGGAGGAUGAAACUUAUAGUGUAGGAGCAAAUCAUCUUGUAAUUUGAACUUGUAGCCUUGCUCAUCAAUCUUCCUUGAAACUUUGAAGUAUCCUAACUUCAUCAACUUCCUUCGCUUGUACAUUCUUCGAGUCGAUGACGACUUUCAAGAACGAACAAUGAUCAAAUAACUCUUGCACUUCCCCAAUUGUCGCUCAAUGCGCUCGCCAAUAAGUUUCACCUUUUCAACCAAAUCUUCUUCAAGCACAAUCUUUUUUUCUUCAAUGUGAAUAGGCAGAACCAUUUCAAUCAUUUCAACUUCUUCACCUUGAUUUUGUUGUACAACCUCGAUCGUAUUGUUAAGUUCACUGCUUAAAUUAAGAGCAGGUUAUAUAUCUUCUUAAAAAUUAUCAAAUAGGUCAAUAAUAUCAUUAUCUUCAGCACUUAUCUUCUCUUCCAAGGAAACAUCACGCACAUUCUCGAACAACUUGUCAGAUUGAAACCUUAAAUCAAUAAUAAAUUGUACAUUUUCUUCUGGCAACUCAUGCGAGUCUUCUUCCUUAACAAUAAGAGAACUCAUUGGUACAUCUUUGGGCACUUUCAUGGUGACACGCCAUUUCUUGCUUAAAUUCUGGAUUUCGUCAAGUUUUUUAAUCACAUCAUCAAAGUUUCUUUGACGUUGCGACUUAAUUUGCGAUUCGAUUUUCUUGGCUAAAUGAAUUGCAUGUUGUAAAUUGUAGAUAGUGUAUAUAGGCAUCCUUUCUUGAAUAUGCAAAUCAAGCCCUUUAAUAAAUCUUGUAACUGUGUUCUCUUCAGGCUCAUAAUAAUAAUGACAUCCAUAAAAUCAUUCAAACUCAUAAGCACAAGCAGAAACAUAUCUCGUACCUUACUGUACCAAACAAUAAUCAAGAGGAAUAAACUCAGAUCGUAAAAUAUGCUUCAUACAGUUCCAUGAUUGAACUUUGCAUUUGCCUUGGUCAAGUCGAGACAUUUGCAACUCAUCGCACCAUUCUGAAGCACUUAUGCUUAAUCUACUGGCAGUAAACGAGACUUGCUUUUCUUUAGGAGUGUGCCAAAAUAGAAACUAGUGCUUAACCUUGUCCAACCAAUCAAGAAAUUUGUUUGGACGUGUAUUUUGUAAAUAAUAUCGGCACAUGAUAAAUAGGAGGGCAAUGAUGGUAGCUUGCCAUUUAAGUUUCCACACAAUGGCAAAAUUGUAAUUAAGGCUCAACUCUCGGGUUUGGUAUGGUCGGCAGCUGGUGGCGUGAUUGGGACCAGAGGGAUCGGAUCUGGGAGAUUUGGUGAUAAGGAACUCGAUGAUGGUCGUGGAUCGGCUAGAUUCGCUGCGGUUUUGGUCGGAAAAUCUGACUUAAAGUGGCGGCUGAUUUUGGUGAUGUGGCUUUUGGUUUAUGGCGGCCUUACGGUGGCGGACGUGCUGGAUUUAUGGUCGCCGAUUGCUAGGGAUUAUGGUGGUGGUAGUGCAAAUUGACAGAAAAAAGGAGGUGGUUUGGUGGCGGCGCAUGUGUGAAGCACUUGUGGGUUGUCGUUUCGUGUGGUGGCUGUGGGCGGCGAUCAAGGGCUGAAGUUGGUCGGUGUUUUGGUUAGUGGAGGCCUGCAAGCUCGUUGGUAGAGGUGGCUGGCUGUGAAAGUGGCUGAAUGGUGGUGGAUUGCUUGGUGGAGCCGCGGGUUUGGGUUGGUGAUUUGCGGCUGUUUAGGCGGCGGUUGAGGAGGCGAUGGCUGAGGCUUGGUCGGCAGUGGCUAGCGAGGUUUGUGGUGGUGUUGGCUGGCUGAUCGGUGGUGGAAGUUGAUGUGGUGGCUAGGGUUUUCAAAUUUGUAAAGUUUUGAUUUAUUUAUUUUGUUUUAUUUUAUUUAUUUUUUGUGAUAGAUUUGAUGUGGAUGGAUAUGGAUAGUCAGGAAAGUUGUGCAAUUGGCACAAAACUGCUCUGAUACCAACUAAUGGAGCGAGGCGUAGCGGAAGCAGAAAUUGAUAGGAUAUGAAAUACUAAAUACCAUUCUAGUACAGGACUAAGCCAACGCGAUUAAGUUAUGCUCUAAUUGAAGCAUAAUUAGAUAUCCUUCUAAUCCAGACAACUCAAUGAGCUUUUUAAUAACGUGUAAUGCGAGAUUAGAUGACUCUUUAAUCCAAACAAUUUUACAAGAGAGAUUUUGAUAUAUAAUCCCAGAAGGAAUUAUAAAAGGGGAGUUUUAUUGAAUAAUUGAAUUUGAAAUGCUCAAAACAAUGACAAGAUCUCUCUAUUUAUAAUAGAGGAAACCCAAUUCCCUAAGUUAACCUAAAAAAGAAACUAAAUCACAAUUAUAAUAGAAAUAAAAGACUAAGAUAUAUACCAGAAUUGACUCAAACUAAAAUAGAAAAUCCUAAAACAAUAAAUAUUCUAGAAUCCUAAAUUACCUAAAAUAACGUAAAUUAACUUCCUACAUUAUUCAAUACAUCAAUAACAAGUGCACAAACACAAAUAUGAUACACUCAUCUCUUUAAUUAAUUCAAGGCUUAAAUACUCUUUCGGUUGAAUCCAAAUUGAACAUGGUAGCUCUUGGACACCAUCCAUGAGAAAUAAAACUAACUUCAAAUUAGAUUUCUAAGUACUCAAACAAAGCUAGAAGCAUAAUAAAUUAGAUUUCUAAUUACUCAAACAAAGCAAGAAGCAUAAUAACGAAAUGAAGAAAGAAACAAAAGGUCCCCUCACCAACGCCAUCUGACUCUUAGUAUAUAGAAAGAACUCGAGGCCUUAUUCUAGAUGCUGCACAGAAGGUUGGCCCGAAUCGUCUUCAUAAGUUUGGACUCUCUGUAAACAAAGAGCAAAAACACAUUGAAGGUGUAGUUUUCACAUAAUUAAAUUGCACAAAUUAGCCUCCAUCAUAACCAGUUAAUGCUUAAGAACACAAAAAUCCUUCAAUUCUCUCUAUAAGCAAUUACUUUCAUUUUUUUUCAAUUUCUUGUUCGCUAUAUCAUAUCUAACAACUAAUCUUCAACAUAACAAUACAGCAGAGUAGUUAUGUUUUAAAAAGAUGUACCAAUGUGAUUUAACAUAAAUAAAACGUAUUUAAUCAGCACAAAAAUAAAAUCAAAACCUCCCAAUUUGUAUGGAUUUUACCUUGCCACUGUCUUUUGCAUCUUCCUUCUUUUCAUUAGCCUUGUUGGACGUCUCAUUCUUUUUUUUCCUUCUCUUCCUAAUUAGAUUUAAAAUGAAUUUGUCAAAAAUUUGAUGGGUACUUUUUCUUUUUCCUUUUUUAUAUAUAUCCGUUAUUGAAUCAAACUUUUACAAAAAAUCAACAUCUCGUAGUGAAUGAAUACAUACCUUUUUUUUAAGAUAUAGGUAUUGAAUGGUUGUAUUAAGGUCGCGAUCCAAAGUCCAACAUUCUUCAUCAUCCCACCGUUUAAGCUGCACUUGGUGUAACUUGGGUGUGCUUAAUUCUCCUCCUGAGAAAAUGUUCAUAUUGGGGCAAUUAUCCACCACUAAUCUUUCCAGAGAUGGGAAUUUGAAGGCGCAAUUAUUGCCAGAGCAGAAUCCUGUCAGGCUUUCUAAGUUCCAGAGCAGCAAUUCCUUCAAUUCGCUGAAAACAAUUUCAUUUUUUGCUGCAUAAUUAUCCCCCUCAUCACCGUCAUCUGCCACUAUUUCUAUUAUCAUCUUGCAUCUACCUAUGCCCAUUUCCCUCAGUCGCACCAGACUCUUUGCAAUUGAGGAUGUUAGUACAUCUAUCAAUCCUAUGCAAUUAUAUACCAUCAAAGUAGUUAGAUUUUGAAACGAUGUCGAGGAUGGCACUAGAUUAAUCAAAUUGUGACAGUCACAUAUGUCCAGGUUUUCCAAAUUGUUGGCAUUGGAGGACUCUUGUUUCAAAAUUUGCUUCAGACCACGAUGCCGGUUUAUUCCUCUUAUCAUUGCCUUCAUCCCGUUUUCAACCUUUCCAAAUAGUCUAAAAAUAUACUCGUCUCCUCCUAUAAUGAGAAUUUUGGUUGUGUGAAAUCUCUGGAGGAAAUCGUCGAGUGAUAAAAUAGCUGUUGACUCAUCAAUCCAGACAUCAAGAAGUUUAAGUUUGCAAAGCAAGUCUUCUGGAAAUAGACCUAUGUACUUUUCAUCAAUACUCAAAUCUUCCAAAUUGGGGAACAUCUGGGUGAUCAACAAUCACAAAAAAAAAAAAAAAAAAAGCAAGAGGGAGUUAAAUCUUCUUUCUAACGAUUUCAAAAAUUAAAGUAAAUACAAAGCAUUUCAAUGAUGAAUAUUGAUGGCCGGACAAAUUUAUGGAUAUGUAGAGAGAGUAUGAUUUUCAGCGGUAAUUAUUUUCUUUUUUUUUUUUCAAAUAUAGUAAGUGAUGUGUAUUUUUUUUUGUCAUCCUCUCUUCUUAACUUUCAAAUUUUAUUAGAUUUGUGCAUAAUGUCUACAAAAAAGACUUCAAUUAUUCUCAAAUUGCAUUUGAACUUCUGGAUUCUUUUAAUCGAUCCGCUUAUUUGGUUUCAGUUGAAAAUCUUACAAAUUUCUUUUUUUUUUUAAAUUGGUUUUUUUAACUUUUUUCUUUUCAAGAGCAAAAAUGAAUAAAUAACUUGAUUUUAAAAAGUUUAAUAAUAUGGUAAGAAGCUGGUAUUUCAUUAAUAUUCAUCCAACUCAAUGGAAUUGGAUAUAUUUACUAUUGUACAAGAAUGGAUUUUCUUGUACAUAAAGUUUAAUAAGAUAAGAUUUCUUCAUUUGAGUUUUGUCCAUCUCUCUCUUUAUAUUUUUAAAAAUAUUAUUUUUGUUAACACAAAAUGACCAAUUUCUUCUUCAACAUCAAAAUUGACAAUCAUUUUGUAUGUAACAAUACUGUAGUAAGGACUACUAAUUUUAAAUAGCUCUUAAAAGAUUAUCAGGGAAUUAACUGUGGCUUGAAAAACCGUAGAUAUUUUGAGUAUUUUCUUCGUUUGGCUAAUCAAAUGCAGAGUCUCUUUCGUGUAUUUAACUAAACAUAUAGACAUAAAAUAAAAAGUAGACGAAGAAGAAAAAAUCUGAUAAUUAAGAGAAAAAAAUUGAACGAGAAGGAAAAAAAAAUACUAAAUAAUUUUGUAUUCAUUCUUUCUAACUGACAUCCAAAUCCAUCUAUGGUUGUAGCCGAUUCAAUAUUCGAUAAUGAGAAGAAUUAUUGAAGAAUGAUAAUUAUGUUUAUAUCGAAUAUUGAUAAUUAUGUUUAUAAGGAUAUUAUAUUAGUAUAAAUAAGCUGAUUUAUAGAACUAACAUUUUGUUACUAAAAGACAAAUUGACGAGGGCAAUAUAUGACGACAAUAAAGCUCUAAACUCUCAAGUAGAAAUACUUUUAAGUACGUAAGAAUUGAACAAUAAUUACAAAAGUCUUGCACGUACCUUUUUGGUGGACUCAUGAAUAGUGCUUUUAAAUUUCACAUGGGGACAUCCCCUUAUUAUUAAUUGUUUCAAGGAUGGAAAUUCAAAAUGCAGAUCUCCUGUGCAGAAGCUUGUAAGCUGCGGAAGAGAACCAAGUUCAAGUGUCCUUAAUUGAGUGAGUUCAAUCACUUGAGUGUUAUUAUUGCUGGAUUCAUCUCCUCUAUCGGCAGCAAAAAUCACUUCCAUAUUCUGGCAUUUUGUCACUUCAAUGGACUGAAGUUGUUGAAGGCCUCUGCCAAUGAGCAAUGGAAACACAUUUUUCAAUUUAUCACACCUUUGCACCCUUAUGUUCUUUAAUUUGCAAAAGGACUCUGCUGUGAGUGAACCACGACAUAUUUUCUCUAGGUUACCCAAAUCUUCCAGAAAUAAUGACUCCAAGAGGGGGAACGCUGUCAGCGCUGUUGCACAAUCCACUGUGUCAACAACACAAAAAAGGCUGCGAUUAUCUCGGACUUCGAGAUGCUUCAGCUGUGGAAAACCUUCUCUGCCAGGUUCGCAAAGAACAUUCUUCAUGUCCAGCAAUCCAUGUAAAGAUAGGUCUUCAAUACCCUUCAAUUGCAUGAUAUGCCCCUCGUUCAGGCAAAUGUUGGCACCAUUGGUGAUCUUCAGUUUGAAUUUUCUAGAAAACCCAUCCAAUAUUGGGUCAUCCGACCACAGAUAUCCAAUGAAUAUCCUGUACCUUUUCAGGAUUUUGAAGAACAACAAGUCGCUUGGUAUAGUCUUUUCAUCUUGGAUGAGUAUUUCUAAAGAGGUCAAUUUAGAUAAAUGAUUCAACUCAUGAAGGCUGGCAUUUCUUCUUUCACUAUCGAGCCCUUCAACCGUCCCCCACUGAAUGGGACUCUCACCAAUAUACAGUUCUUCUAAUCGAGAUAAGCUUGAUAUAACAUUUGGUGGAAUAACUUUUAGUUCGAAACACUUGCUCAAAUCCAACAACCUCAAUUGAGUCAGCUGGCCCAUUUCUCCAACCAGUUUCUCCACAUCAGAACCUCGAAGUGAAAGGAUUUCUAAUUUCUUUAGGUCUCCGAUAAUAGCGAUGUCUCCUAGGUUGCAGUAAUUCAGACACAGUGUUUGAAGGUUUUGUAAGAGACCAAGCGAUGAAGGCAAUGGCAAUAAAUGCAUCUCAGUGAAAUCUAAAACUUUAAGCCCAGUCAUCCCAGUAAAAAAAUUAUCUGGGAUUCUCAAAGAUGGAUCAUUGCCAAUACGAAAAUAUUUAAGUUGCGGGCAUUCGAAACCUUGAGGAAGCUCACUAAUAUUACUAUAAAUUAAGGAGAUUGCGGUGCAAACCUUUAGUUUUUCCUUAUCUGGCCAGAUGAUCUGCGGAGCAACCUCACUUUCCACCACAAACACAUGUUGGUCUCCAGAUGCAAUUGAUAUGGCUGCAUCACGAACAACAUCAUGCAUAGAAAACCGUUCACUUGUAUUACCGUCAACCAACAAACAAGAUUUUUUGAGUUUAUCAACCAAUGUAUGUGCUCUAUCCCACGCCUCUUCCGACGUGUUGAUGUUUUGAAACAGACCCAAACCCAUGCCAUGAUAAAGCACGUCUUUAACGCAAGAGAUGAACGCGUACCCUAUAAGCAAAAACGUUCUCUUGAGCUCCUCCCUGUUUAAAUGAUUGUAACUCAGCUCUAUACUUUUAUAUGCCACCUCCAGUGUUCCACUGAUGUUUCUGAAGGAAGGCCUUCUUAAUUCCAGCAAGGAAUCCUUCCAUUCAAACAAUCUCUUAUUUAUUAGUGCCCUGGCUACGGGUACAAUGGCAAUGGGCAAACCAGCACAUUCCUUGACUAUCUCUGUUGCUACAGAUUUCAGUUCACCAUUUUCUAUACAAUCACCUGUCAUCUUCCGGAAAAGACUCCAAGCUUCUUUUUCAUUCAGAACAUCAACAAAAAAAUUUUGUUGACAAUCCAUCUUACAGGACAACACAUCUUGACUUCUUGCUGUCAGAAGAACUUUGCAUCCGCUGUUAUCAUCUGCUAAUGGAAUUCCAAUCGCCUCCAAAUCAAGACCCCCCCAAAUAUCAUCCAAGAUUAUAAGGAUCUUUUUCUCUUUCUUCAAUCUUUCAAGCAGCCUCCCUGCUCUUACAGUUUCAUGACUCUGUUCAGCCAAUUCUAAGCCUAUCUUCUCUGAGAUUUCUCCUUGUAUAUUUUUUAUUUGCGGUGUUGGCGAAACACGUGAAGAAAUGACCUUCUCAAAGAGAUUAUUUUCCUUUGCCUGUCUGCCAACUUCUUUCACCAGCGUUGUCUUUCCAAUGCCACCCAUCCCGUACACGCCAAUCAUGUUGAAGUCACGGUUGCUGAGUGCGUCUAGUAUCUCCUUAAAAGUGGAUUUUCUCGAUUCAAAGUGCAUGAAAUCCUGGGUAGACUUAAGCCAUGUCUCCUCUGGAAUGGUACGGAAAGAAACACUGUCGAAUCUCCCUUUUUCAUGGAGUCCAACAAUAGUAUUCGCCUCUCUUUCUGCUUUCUUGCUAAGCUGGUACCGAGCCCUCAAAUUAGGACAUAGCCCCUUCAAACACCGGUUGUUUGAAUUCUCUUUGUCUUCAAUAAUUGUUUCGACUUCAUUGAUCUCCUUGUUCGCAGCAAACAGCCACUCCUCAACGUGCUGUUGAAUUCCGUCCCCUUUAAUUCUGGAAUCAUCAACCUUACACUGCAUACUGUCUCUAGCAUUCUUUAGCUUAUCGACUUCAUUAUUCAGCUUCUCGAAGUUGGUCUUGUAAGUGCAGCAGUAAGUAAAUGGAUGAAUUAUGGGAGCAACCAAGUACUCUGCAAAUUUUGCAGCAACGGAGAUAACAAUUUCCAUUAUCCCUUUCUUUUUUUUUAUUUUUUGCUUUCAGAAAACAGGGGAAAGCAAAACUAAUCAAACUAAGCAGAACUAAUCAAUCAGCUGGGAAGAGGGAAAUAAGAAGUUUCGAUAAAUUGCUAAAAUAAGAAGUUGAAUAGAUUUAAGGGAGGAGGAGAGGAAAAGAGUGAAAAAUCUAGAGAUGAAACAAAGGGGGAUCCUUUUUCUGCUAAGACAAAUUGAAAAGCGAGUACAAUAAAUGAAAGAUUUGCAAAGAAGGUGUAGGAUGAGGACAAGGAUGAUUCAGAAAAGGGAGACUGAAAAUGAAGAAGAGAUUUCAGAGAACUCUAGAGAUUAGAGAAGAAGGAUGAUUAGGAAAAUGCGGAGGCAGACAGUUGUGAUCUCAAGUCUCAAGGGUAAUCUGAACUUUAUGAUUUUUUAUUUUUUCAAGAAAUAGAUAUACAAAUAAAAUGAAAAAAAAAAAAAAAACUGUUGUGUGGUCGUGUGGGUUCCUCGAAAUCACUUCGGCAUUUAAUCGAACGAUUGGAUGUACUCAGCAUCUACACUUCCACGAAGGUUCCUGGAAGUUGCGAGUGCUGCCGGCAUUUUCAAACUCGGAAGGUUUCAAUAAUUCUUUUACUUUGAAAGAAAGGUUUCAAUAAUUAGCUUUGAUAAUUGUGUAAUAUACGAUAAUCUAGUGAUGAUGAUGACUUAUAUAUGUGAUUAAAAGCUAAGCUGGUGGAUUUGUAAGUAAGAACACACGGCAAAGUAUUUGAGCAAGCAUUUUUAUCUUCUUAUUGACACAUUCUUCUAAUCAAUUUGCUUUCACCAACAAAAAUAAUUAAUAAUUUGUAAAUAGUUGGAUCUUAAGCUCAAAUUUUGACAAUACAUGAAUGAUAAUGUAUACUUAUUUUUCAAGGGUAAACUCUAUUUAAGAGAGGAUCUCAAUUUUCUAUUAGUUUCUUCAAAUGGGCAUUUUAUCCAACAGUUGAUGUACUCGGAAACUUACACGAAGGUUCCAGGGAGUUGCAAGUGCCGCCGGCAUUUUUCAAAUAAUCAAGUGAUUAUUGAGUAAUAAUUAACUUUGAUUAUUGAGUAAUAAAUAUAUGAUAAUCAAGUGAUUUUAAUAUGUAAACAGUAGGAUUUUGGGCUCAAAUCUUUAAAUUAAAUCGUGAUCAUUUUAUCAUUAAACUCGAACUCUAUCUUGAUUAAUGAACAAAUGUUAGAAAUUAGUUGUUAAUAAAAUAUACCCUGGAUGUAAUGGCUAUUCCUAAAGCUCAAUUGAACCAAGAACACAAUCUUGAAGGGCCCAAGAACAGAUCCCAAACAAGAAGUGACACAAAGCUUAACAAGAAUCCAUGAUCAAACAAUGAACAAAACAAAGAAUCAGUAAAGAAGAAAACUUAGAGCAAGAGUGUUUAAUGAUUUGAUUAAAUUUGUGUUUAUUUCUGUGGAUGAUUUCAUUCCUAUUCUUGCCAUUCAUUUUUAUGAUUUUUUUUUUUUUGGGGUUGACUCCCGGAACAAUCAACCUGGGGAUGGGUGGGUUUUAUUUAUUUGUCAUGAUUUGAUUAAGCAGAGCAACUAAUACUUCAAAUCGUAUCACUGUUGUAUUAGAGGCUUCACGUAUAUAAACCAAAGUUUAACAGAUCUACAUAUAACUGAAUGAAAAGCUUAUGUAUUAUAUUCACUCCAUCAAGUAUGAAGCAUAUAAUCAAUUGAUCUACAAGCACUAGACAUACAAAAAUCAAAUGGUAGAAUAGAAUAUACAAGCAUCAGCAUUAGAUGACAGGAAAAGAGCUCAUUAAUAAAUUAUAUGAGUGAUAAUACUACUUGAAUCAAACUCACGUCCCCAGUUGAGAAGAGUUAAAUUAAAUAAUACUUUGGUGAUUUCAUGUGCGUAAAAUUAUAAAUUUAUAACCAGACUUUGUAAAGUUAAUGUGAAAAUGCAUCACAGUUGUACUUAUUAUCUUUUUUCUUUUUUCCUUUUCCAAUUAGUCUAAUACCAGUGGCGUGGCCUCGUGGGUCCUCAAAUUAUUCAAAUGGGCAUUUCAUCGAACAGUGGAUAUACUCGGCAUGUGCACUUGGAAGACGCGUUCAAAAGCUCUAAAUCAUGUUAAAGUCGACCAAAAAGACAAAACAUAGAAAGCGACAAUCCAACAACUAGGUAAAAAUAUUCGCUGUCACAAAUGGUUGCGUUAACGUGUAUAUUUGGGACAUCAAAUAUAAACAAAGACCAUGUGAAAAAGAAAAGCAAAAAGCUAGAAAUAAGAAAAAGGGAGCACAGUGAAAGAUCUGCAAAGAAGGUUUAGGACAACGAUUAUUAUGAAAACGGGACCAGAAGACGUAUAAGGGAUUUCAGAGAAUUUUGAGAGAAGUGGGAUGAUUAAGAAAAUGCAGGAGCAGGACAUUCAUGACCUCUAUUAGUAAUUUGAUUUCGUGAAUCAUUUUCAAAAAGAAAAUAACGCACACAAUUGGAGACUAGGCGAUGACAAUGAAAGAUCACAAUCCUGAAUCAUGUUAAAGCCAAUAAAAAGACAAAACAUGGAAAGCGGCAAUUGCUAUAUUGCGUUGCGUGUAUUUUCGGAUCAUCAAAUACAAACAACGACCACGUUAAAAGAAAAGCAAAAGCUGACGAGAUUGGUAAAGAUAUAUCAAAAGAAAGACUAAUAGAGCUUUCCCAGCAGCAUUAAUCAUGAUUAUUUGAUAAAAUAGAGGGAAUAAAUAAUUAUAUUUUUGGUGGAAAACAGAACAGAGUACGUUACAAGAGGUGAUUGCUUUCUUAAUUUUUUGUCAAUAUUAAACCAAAAAUACAAGUCAAUGAAAAAAAUUGAAAAUAACGCACCAUCAAGUCAGCCUUGGUGCAGAAAAAUAUUAACAUUUAAUGAACAUAGAGGGAUGAGUUGGGCCAAGUCUUUAAAUCAGAUCUGUCGUGGAAUAUAACAGGAAGAUUAAAAGAAAAAUCAAUCAACUAGUAUAUAAUAUAAUGUUUUUACAUUUAACUAAUUAGGAGACUGAUACACUAGCAAUCAGCAUUAAUCAAUUAUUUGAUAAACCAGUAAAUAUUGGAUAUCUCGGUGCAAAACAGAGUGUUGAGAGAUAAAAAUUAACCUGGUGUCUUUGGCAGGUGCUUAAUAUAAUUGCUAAGCUUGCCACAUGCCAUUGCCAACUUUGGCCAUCUGCUAGCUGCUAUAUAUGAAGCAACUCAAGUAAACAUAAAGCAGCCGUCGUGAGAUGAAGCACAACAAGGCUUGUGAUGUGAUCACUGAUCAUGCAUCCGGGACACUUUUAUACUUAUUUAAUUCCAAUAAUCAUAAUAAACUAUUGAAUUAUAGACCAGGUUUUCGUUUUUAUGAAUACAAGGCACAAACACGAGCAUAUUUUAAUCCUAUUUCUGCUAAUUGAAGAAAAUCAAGAAAUGCUGAUUCCGUCAUGCUUAGUUUCAUGUUAGUUAACAUACUGGACAGACCUUCCGAGGUUAUUCUUCGAAGCGUUUCAUGAUGCCACGUGUACUUGAUUAUUUGACUAAUCACGGUUCACAAGUUGAGUGAGCUAUUCACCAGUCACCAAACCACCUUCCUGCUGCAAAGAAUGUUAACUGAACUUUGACUUGGUCAGAAACUCAGAAUUAGUGGUGCACGUGAUGCUUACACGUGAGGACCCAAAUGACGAAUUCCAAAAGCUGAAUGAUGUAUGUGUGAAUUAAAUAUAACUAUUACGCUCUAGCACAUAUAUGUCACAUGUAUACUAAGUGGGUGUAGUGCGACGAAGGUGCUCUAUAAUUUUUCAGUGAACACAAUAUAAUCAUCAAAGUGAAAGAAAAACUUUUGAGGUUUUGGUGUAUUCAUUAGUGAAAUUUGAGCCGAAAAGAAAAAUUCAUAUUUGUAAACAUCAAAACCAAAAUCAUUUGGAUGUAGUUGCUGAAAUUGAUUAGGUCAUUUUUAACCUUAAAUUUAAGAUCAUUAAUCAUUGCAUGAAUGUUUUGAUUUUAAUACCAGUGGCAAUCACGUACAUGUUUAAUGAUUUGAUUAAAUUUGUGUUUAGUUCUAUAAAUGAUUUAACUAAAAAAUUCAAAAAAGUUUAAAUCACAAUUUUUAUUAUUAACAAUUUAACUAAAAAAUUAUUAUUAAUUAUUGUUAAUAGAUUAAUUAAUUACAAUACUUUUUAUUAAUCUUAUUAAUAGUAAUUACAAUAAACUAGUAAUUAUAAUUAAAAUUACUUUAGUAACAGGUUUAUUAAACCUAGACUCAUCUACCUUGCAACGGCUGCAAGGUACAACUCUUUUUUUUUUUUCAUUCCUUUACCUUUGGAUUUAAUGAAAAGUUAAUUUCAAUGGUAGAGAUUUGUCCAUUUGAAUACUAACAUUAUACUCUUGAUAAGUAUUAAAAAAAUAAAAAAAUGAAAGAGUUAAAAUUUUUAGCACAUAAGUCUUUAUUGUUUCUAAUUUAUAUUGUUUAAUUAGUAGUAAGUCUUAAAAAAAUAUUUUAAUUUUAAUAUUAUAUAAAAAUAAUAAAUUUUUAAUGUUAUUUAUUUUAUUAAAAAUAAAUAUUAUUUAAUAUUAUUUAUUUUCAUUUUAUUUAGCAUAUGCUUAUUAUUAUAUUUAUUCCUCAAAAAAUUAAAUAAUAUUAAAUAAAAUAAAAUAAUCAAUAGUGAAUCAUAAAAAAUAGAUAUCAUUUUUAAUUAAUAUUAUUUAUUUUAUUUUAUUUAACGUUUUAUAGUCAUAAACUUAUCAUUAUAUUUAUUCUUUCAUAAAACUAAAUAAUGUUAAAUAAAAUAAAAUAAUAGUAAUGAGUCUUAAAAAUUAAUAUUAUUUUUAAUAUUAUUAACUUGAUUUUAUUUAAUAUUAUUUAUCCAUAGGCUUAUAAUUUUAUUUAUUCUUUUAAAAAAUUAAAUAAUAUUAAAUAAAAAAUAAUCAAUAGUGAACCUUAAAAAAUAAAUAUUAUUUUUAAUAUUAUUAAUUUUAUUUAAAAAAUAAAUAUUAUUUUUAAUAUUAUUAAUUUUAUUUAAAAAAUAAAUAUUAUUUAUUUUAUUUUAUUUUAUAUUAUUUAUUCAUAGGCUUAUUAAUAUAUUUAUUUUUUAAAAAGUUAAAUAAUAUUAAAUAAAAUAAAAAAACAAUAUUGAGUCCUAAAAAAUAAAUAUUAUUUAGUCAUAGACUUAUUAUUAUAUUUAUUCUUUUUAAAAAGAUAAAUAAUAUUAAAUAAAAUAAAAUUACAUUUUAAAAAGUCACCAGCAAAAGCAUAUAAACUUAUAAAUAAAUGUAAAAAAAAUAAAAUAAAAUAAAAUUACAUUUUCAAAGGUCACCAGCUAAAGUAUAUAAACUUAUAAAAAAAGGAUAAAUAAGAAGGAUAGUAAGGGGUUAAAUAAAAUUUAACAUACAUAACAUAAGACAAAAAAUGAUGGCACCUUGCAACUGUUGCAAGGUAGCUGGAUCCUAUUAAACCUAUAUGUUAUAAAACAAAUGAAAUAGGAUUAUGCAUGCAGUUAAAUAGGUGUAUUUUAGAAAAUCUAAUUCUUUUAAGGAGCUCUACAACCUAUUCUCCUAGAAGUCCAAAAUUUAAACUUCUCCUAAUAAAGACAAAAUAAUAUUUUUAAUAAACUCUAUUCAAUUUAUAGCCAAACGAUGCCAAAAAAUAUUCAAAAGCAAAAUUACUCUCUUGAUCUAUUAGUAGAGAAAUCAUACAAAAUGGACACUUAAUGGUCAAUUAUUUUCCCCCCCCCCUUUUUUUGUAGUUUUACUUUUCCUAUAAACAUUAUUGUUUAGGAAAUAAUAAUAACACUACAUACUCUCCACUAACACAUUAAUUAAUUAAGAGUAUUUCCUCACUAGCGCGCAUUUAAUUAUCAAAAGUACGGCUAAACUUUGGUAAUUAAGAAAACAAGUGAUAUUGGUGGCAAACUGGCAAUGACAAGAAAAUUUUAAUACCACAAAAAAAAAAAUUAUCAGUUACGUAACAACUGAAUAAUUAAUUAUAAAAGUGUUGUACGUACCUUAUCUGUCAAGUCAUUGGCCGUACUUUUAUAGUUCAACACCAAUUUAGGACAUCUCACUAUUUGUAAUUCUUUUAAAAAUGGAAAUUCAAAGUGCAGAUCUCCUGUACAGCAGAAGCUUGUGAGAUUUCCAAGAUCUGUUAUCUUUAGAUAUAGUAGCUGAGGGAACAUUACAAUAAUAUUAAGGGAGCUGCUACCUUACAUUAAACGUAAGGUACAGCCUUCUCACUAAUGGUGGAUUUUAAUGGAGCCCACAGAUAAAUUAUGUGAGUGGUUGUACCAUACGUUUUACGUAAGGUAGCAAAAUCCUAAUAUUAAUCUUGCUUUCUUCUUGGUCAUCCACGACUAUUAUCUCUUCCAAAACAUUGUUCACUCCCUCAACCUUCCACUGAAUGGGACUCUCACCAAUACACAGUUCUUCUAAGCGGGGUAAGCUUGAUAUGACAUUUGGUGGAAUAAAUUAUAGUUUGAAACAAUUGCUCAGGUCCAAACCCUUCAACUGGGUCAGCUGGCCUAUUUCUUCAACCAGAGUCUCCAUAUGAGAACCUUGAAGCGUAAGAAUUUCUAAUUUCUUCAGGUCUCCGAUAAUAGCUAUGUCACCUAGUUUGCAAUCAUCUAGAGACAGUGUUUGAAGGUUGUGUAAGAGACCAAGUGAAGAAGGCAAUGGCUUCAAAUGCAUCGUAGUGAAAUUUAAAACUCUAAGCUCUGUCAUCUCAGUAAAAAUGUCAUGUGGGAUUCUCAACGAAGGAUCACUGCCAAUAGAAAAGUAUUCACGGUGUGGACAUUCCAACUCUUGAGGAAGCUCACUAAUAUUACUAUUAUUUAAGGAGAUUGCAGUGCAAACCUUUAGUUUAUCCUUAUCUGGCCAUUUGAUCUGUGGGACAACAUCAUUAUCCACUACGAAUACAUGUUGGUCUCUUGAUGCAAUUGAUAUGGCUACAUCACGAACAACAUCAUGCAUAGCAAACCAUUCACUUGUAACUCCAUCAAGCAACAAGCAAGGGUUUUUGAGCUUAUCAACCAAUGUAAGCGCUCUAUCUCGUGCUUCUUCCAACGUGUUGAUGUUUUGAAACAGAGCCAAACCCAUGCCAUAACAGAGCAAGUCUUCAACACAACAGAUGAACGAGUACCCUAUUAGCAAUAAUGUUUCUUUAAGUUCCCUACCUUCUAAAUGAUUGUAACUCAACUCUACAGUUGAAUAGGCCACCGCUUGUGUCCCAGAGAAGCUUCUCAAAAAAGGCCUUUGUAAUUGUCGUAAAGCAUUCCUCCAUUCAUAGAGACUCUUAUUUUUCAACGCCUUUGCUACGGGUACAAUGGCAAUGGGCAAACCAGCACAUUCCUUGACUAUAUCUGUCGCUACAGAUUUUAGUUCACUAUUUUCUAUGCAAUCACCUGCCAUCUUCUUAAAAAGACUCCAAGCUUCUUUCUUAUUCAAAAUAUCGACAAAAGAAUUAUGUUGACAAUCCAUCUUACAAGACAACACAUCUUGACUUCUUGCUGUCAGCAGAACUUUACAUCUGCUGUUAUCAUCUGCUAAUGGAAUUCCAACAGCCUCCAAGUCAAGAAUAUUCUCCAUCGUCUUUAUUGUCCCUUUUUUAUAUUUUAUUUUUUCUUGUGUCGAAAGAAUCCUUCACUUAUUGGAAUAUCCAUGAUGACUGGGUGCAAUUGGAAGAGUCCAUGAAAUUCUUCUUUCAUUCGAGCUUAAAAUACUUUCUCCGAACAAUUAGAAUACAUUAAUAUUUUAUGAACUUGCUUAGUAGAUCAUUCAACUACUUAAUUGGUGUUGUUAAUUAAUUGGUUAUCUUCCCGGAAACACAUUAAAGACUCUCACAGGGAUUCAUUAAACCUUUUUGCUGGGUCAAUUCUACAAGCAUCAGACGUAAAAGCUUCAUGAUAAGAGCACAAGCCUAUCGUCUUCAAAAGCUCCCUCAAAAAGCUAGCUAUUUUCUUUAUUGUCAUUUCCAUCCAUUUUAACCCUCUCUUUUUUAUUUUGUACAACUUUGACUUGACUCUCAAAUAGAGAACAAUGAUAUUUAGACAGAAAAAUUUAAUAGAAUGUUUAAAAAUAAAAUAAAAUUAGUGUCGGUUUAUCUUGUACUAGUUUUACCUUAUUGAUGUCAAUGAUUUUCUAAGAGAAAAAUAAAACUUACAUUAAUUUUACCUUUGUUUCAUGAUGAGGUAAAAUAUGAUUUUUUUUUACUUUUAAAAGAUUUCUUUAAAUGAUUUUCAAGUUGAUUUAUUUGAUUGGACUGUCAAAUGGGUUUGGGCUUAGGCCACCCCUAAUUUUUUUUUUUUUCCAGUUUACCAUAAAAAAGAUUGGGUGUGUUGCAAGUGAGAUAUGGAUAAAAGGACAUAACUAUUUCUUCGUUGGAAAUUCGAAUAAAGAGAUAGAAAAAUUGGUAAACGAGUAGGAAAUAAUUUACGGGAAGGAUGAGUGGAUAAGAUUAGUGCUGGAGCCGUCGUGGAUUCAUUGCUAUGCAGAAUUAAAAAUUCAAGCUUAAACAGUUUUGGUGAAAUUUUUAUAUUGAAAUUCUUGUUAAUUAAUCAUUCACACUUUAAUGAAAGUAUUAAUAGCAGCCGUGUAACUCCCUAUUAAUUAAUUUAUAUUAAUAGCAGCCGUGUAACUCCCUAUUAAUUAAUUUAUAUUAAUAGCUACCGGUAACUCCCUAUUAAUUAAUUUAUCACGUGUUAUAUAUAUAAAGUAAUAUUUUAACAAUUAAUAGCGUAACAGGAUUUUUUUUUUUAUGUUGCUCUUUUACUCAAUUAAUUAAUUAACAUUUAUAAAUGAUCACUAAGUAUUCAUGAGUAUGUGACACAUGAGCUUAAACAUGAAUCAAUAUUUGCUAGUGCAUUGGUGGUUAGCACAAAUAACCACGAUGAUAGAGAGUGACAGGGAAGCAUUAAGGGGACGGAUCCUUUAAUGACCUGAUUUUUAAGCAAAUUUCACUUAUAUGUUUAUUGGUUAACCAAUUAAGAAAUAAAAAAAGUUAAAUUCUAAUAAUACAUUAAUAUUAAAAGGCAAGUGAUAUAAGUUCUUUAAACGUUCAGAAGAGAUCAAAUCAAAAGAGAAUUUUAAUUUGAAAAUAACUCUUGUAAAACUUAAGUUUUAUGUGCUCAUGAAAGUAGUUGUAAUUGAAGGCAUCUAUUGAAUAUUCAAUGGUUUAACUAAUUAUAUUCUUUAUAGACAGUUUGUAAAUUAAUCUCGUCACUACCACCAUGACUUGUAAUUUACUUGUUAGAAAAAGAAUCGAUUAUAAAUACUAAUUUGACUUUAUUGUGCUCUAGAGCAAAAUACAAAGUGGAUAUUUAGUGAUUAUUAGUUUAACUUACAAUGCUAGAUAUAUUUUAAGUAUACAUAUUAAGACAUAUAUACACACACAUACAUACACAGAUUUGCGUGCAUGCGCGCGCCAAGAGACAAACAAAUAUACGAUGAAUAGAGAUAUCCGGACCUAAAGACUUCAAAUUAAUGGUGAAACAUCUUUGCAAAUUAAACUAAGAAAAAUUGAAAAAGUAUUUUUAUCAUUUUAUGUAUGGAAUUCCACGUCCAUGCAUGCAUCUACCCAACAAAUGCCCUUGUAAUUCCAUGCAUGCAUCUACCCAACAAAUGCACUCGUAAUUAAGUAUGCAUAUGGUACAUCACAAAAUAUUGUCUUGGAAAAGUCUCAAUGGAUGACACAUGAUCAUGUCAUUGUACUUACACGCACAAUGAAUAAUCCUUGCGACGACUUGCACAAAAAAAUGGCUGUUUGUCCCUGUAGUUUAAGUACCUAUGGAGGAGUCAAUAUAUUUUUAGAAAUUUACUCAAAAAAAUCUACAUUAUAUUUUUUUUGGUUAAAAUCUAAUUAAUUAUUUUUUAUCUUUCAUCUGCUAUAUAUUAAAUUAGUUUGAAUUUUAAACUUUAUCAUAUAAAAUUUAGCUUUGAAAAUUUAUGUCCAACAACAAAGAAAGUAAGUAAAGAGACGUUCUCCAUAAUCUUUUAAAAUAUAAUAUUGACCAAACUGGAUAAUUGACUCGAAUUAUGGGGAUUAAAUUAGUAUUUACCUAUUUAACAAAUUUUAAAAUUAUUUUCUAAAAAAAUGUAAAUUAAUUUCUUUCUUUAUUAAUAAAAUUACGACAUAUCUAAGUAAUAUUCAUAUUGUGCUGAGAACAACUUCUUAGUAUAGCGAUGGUCUUACAUGUGGAGGGUUGAAAUCUUUUAUGCAUGCACAUGGAGUUAAUAGUAAUUAAAAGGGGGUGUGUAUACCACACACCUUCGAUUUGAAGACAAAAAGUGAUUGUCAUCUAUUUGCCCACGUACACACCAAAAAGUGAAUCAAAUCCUCGAACGACUCAAUGACGGGACAAGGAUUGGUUCUCCACUUUUGUACGGCUUUGAAUCACUUCUCUAUUCUAUUCACCCCGCAUCACAAACGUGGUGACGACGUAAUUACGAAAACAACUAUAAUCCAGCUGAAAACAAAUUCGUAGGCAUUUUCCCUUCAUUUAGACCAAAUCUAAAGUUCUGAAUGAAAUGAAAGAGAAAGCCAACUUGAAUUACAUUUUUUCCGGCAUUUUUUGGUCGAACGAACCAUUUCACUUGGGAUCAUAAUGAGUCGUUGCAAAGAAAAUGUUAUUUUGAUUAUUACUUUGUUUAAUAUUCUUGUUUGCGGUAUUUUGAUUUGAGAGAGAUAUGAGUCUCAAAGGAAUGUCGGAUUCUGUGCUCACAUGAUGAGCUAUAUAAUAUAUGUUGGUUUUACUUAAGGUUGUUGUAAUUAGUGGUUUAAAAAAAAAAUAACUAGCACAACUCUAAUAAAUAAUGGAUAAAAAUUCCUAAUUAAUUUGAAUUCAUCUCUCAUUUGUCAUUUGUCAUCUCUUUUAUAUAAAGUAUGACUAUAUAUGAGAGAUAUUUUAUUGUAUAUAGCUAUUUCUUUUUUUUGUUAUUUCUAUCGACUUCAUGAGCACUGUCUUAGACUUUUCCCUUUCUGUAACAAUCUUGGUUUAACUAUGAACUAAAUAUUUUUCUUUUCAAUCAUUAAUUAAUAUUAGGUGGGUGGAUCUACUAACACGGUUGCACCUAAUUACCCACUAUAAAAUUUUAUUCUCAAUCCCCAUGGAAAAGUGUGCAUGCCUAUAUAUAAUCGGACUUCAUUAUCAGUGUUAUGGAUAGAGGAAUUAUUAAUUUUAAAUUAAUAAUUAUUUUAAUCAAUUUGGCAAUGUAUAUCUUAUCCUUAAUUAAUUUAUAUGAAUGAAUAUCAAGUGUAACGUAAAAUAUUAUUUGUGUUGCACAUGUGGACAAAUUAAAGAAUACAAAGAUUCCUUAAACAAGAUUCAAAGUAUAUUAGAAUUCGUAAUGGGGUGUUUGGAAACAAAGAAAAAAACAGAGAAAAUGAAAAAGGAAACUUCUCGAUUUUAUUAAUCAGAAUAUUCAAUACUUAUUAAGCUUACUUAGCUAAGCUUAUAUACAAUUAUUCUAACUAAUUAAACAACUUCAAACCAACUAACAACUUCAGAUUUAGUUUAGCCAUUGAGCUCUUGCCACAUGUCAUUCAGUUACAUUCAAUCUUGACACAUCAGUCAGCUCUGUCCAGCUCAGCAACUAUAUCUUCAACAUCCCCCCUCAAGCUCAACCGAGGAAGUAAGGUUGAGCUUGUCACGUAAGUAGAGAAAAGGAUGAUAAGAAAGAGCUUUGGUGAGAAUAUCAGCAGUUUGUUCUGAGCUAGAAAUAUACUGAACCUUAAGACAUUGAGCAGCAACUUUCUCUCGAACAAAAUGAACAUCUAAUUCAAUGUGUUUUGUUCUGGAAUGAAACUUAGGAUUAGAGGCUAAAGCAGCUGCACUUUGAUUGUCACACCAUAUGAUUGGAAUGGAGGAAAGAGCAAGGCCAAUCUCAGCAAGAAGAGAGCGAAUCCAUAAGACUUCAGCUGCUGCCAUAGCUAGUGCUCUAUAUUCAGACUCAGCACUAGAUCUAGAGACCACUACCUGUUUCUUAGAGCACCAAGACACUAGAUUUGGACCCAUAUAGACACAAUAACCAGCCACUGACCUCCUAUCAUCUCUGUCUCCAGCCCAAUCAGCAUCACUGAAACAAUCAAUCUGUAUGCUACCAUGAUUGUAGAACUGUAAACCAAGAUCAACAGUGCCCUUCAGAUAACGUAAAACCCUUUUACAAGCCUGCCAAUGAUUGACAGUUGGAGAAGAUAGAAACUGACUAAGCUUGUUGACAGAGAAAGCAAUCUCUGGUCUGGUCAAUGUUGCAUACUGAAGAGCACCUAUGGUGCUUCUGUAUAGAGUAACAUUAGAAAAGGGUUCACUAUCAGUUUUAGUAAAAGCCACUUCAGAAAGCAUAGAAGUAGAACAAGGUGUACUAUCCUGCAUGUGCACCUUGGCAAGCAAAUCAGUGAUAUACUUGGAUUGAGAAAGAUGAAUACCAGAUUUGUUGUAAAGGACCUGAACUCCCAGAAAAUAAUUCAAUGCACCAAGAUCUUUAAGUGCAAAAACAGACUGGAAGUUAGUGAUAGUCUGCUGAACAAGCUGAGGAUUGGAGCCUGUAAUAAUGAUAUCAUCUACAUACACCAAGACAAGUAGCAGAUGACCUUGUGUGCUCUUAAAGAAGAGUGAAGUAUCUGAAAUAGAAUUUGUAAAACCCCAUUGAGUUGUAAGAACUAAUUUGAGUCUAUCAAACCAUGCCCUUGGAGUCUGUUUAAGUCCAUAAAGAGCUUUGUGCAACUUACAGACAUAAUCAGGCCUGGAACUAUCUACAAACCCCUCAGGCUGUUGCAUAUAAACUUCUUCAGUGAGGUAGCCAUUAAGGAAGGCAUUAUUAAUGUCUAUUUGCCUUAGUACCCAAUGAUUCAUGACAGCUAUACUCAAGACAAUUCUGAUAGUUGAAGACUUAAUGACAGGACUGAAUGUUUCAUGAAAAUCCAGCCCUUGAGUUUGAUGAAACCCCUUAGCAACAAGUCUAGCUUUGUAUCUAAAGACACUGCCAUCAGGAUUAUAUUUAAUCCGAAAUACCCACUUAUUCCCAAUUACUUUAAUGGGAUGUGUAGGUUUGACAAGAGUCCAUGUAUGAUUAUUGAUUAAUGCUUGAUAUUCAUCUGUCAUUGCUUUAUGCCAAGCUGAAUCUUGAAGAGCUUUUGAGGUAGUAGCAGGUUCUGUAGGUUUGGUAGGAUUGGCUGUAAUAUAGGCUUUAGGUUUGAAGAUACCAGCCUUUGAUCGAGUGAGCAUUGGAUGACCAGUAGAUGACUGCAAUGGUGGAGUUAAAUGAUGGACAGGUGAGGUAGAUGGUUUUGAGUGUGAUUGUAUAGAAGAUUGAGAAGAAGAGUCUGGAGAGGAUUGAGAGAACCUGAGAUCAGCUGCUGUAGAGGAUGAAGACUUGGUUAUAUCAAGUUGAAUCAAAAGACAAACAGAAGAUGAACAAUGUGAAGAAGAUUGAGAUGAAUGAUCUGAAGAAGAGCAAGAGUGACUGACAGAGGAAAAAUCAACUCCUGACUGAAAAGGAAAACAUAACUCAUCAAAAGUAACAUGGUUACUGACAUAGAUUCUACUAGAGGAAUGAAGACACAAGUAGCCUUUGUGAAGGGAGCUGUACCCAAGAAAAAAUACAUCUAGCAGUUCGAAACUCUAGCUUAUGAUGAUUAUAAGGCCUCAGAUAUGGGAAACAAGCACACCCAAAAACUCUCAUAACAGAAUAAUCUGGUCUUUUGUGGAAUAAUUUUUCAAAUGGUGAUUUGUUAUCUAGAAUGGGCGUAGGGAGCCUAUUUAUGAGAAAUGUGGCAGUAUGGAAAGCAUUCCACCAAAAUUUCAAUGGUAAAUGUGCUUGAGCAAAAAGAGUAAGGCAUGUUUCCACUAUAUGUCUAUGUUUGCGUUCAAUCUUUCGAUUUUGAUGGUGAAUAUAAGGACAAGGAUGUCUAAAUUGGAUUCCCUGCUCAGCAAGAUAAGAAAGAAAUGGCCUAAAUUCACCUCCCCAAUCUGUUUGAAGACAUUUGAUUUUCCUAUUUAGGCAUUUUUCUAUCAUAUGCUGGAAUUCAAUAAAGGUUUGUAAGGCUUGAGAUUUGGUAACAAGAGGGAAUAUCCAGGUGAACCUAGUGAAGUCAUCUAAGAUGGAAAGAUAGUAGUGAUAGCCUUGAGAGGACAGCAAAGUAGCUGGUCCCCAUAGAUCAGCAUGCAACAACUCCAGUGGUUGAAUGGUAGUGGUGUCUACAAAGGGAAAAUGCUGCAUGUGACACUUUCCAAAUUGACAAGCAUUACAAAAAAUUGGUUUGAGGACUCUAUUGGUAUCGAGAGAAUGAUGUAAAUGCUUCACAAUUUGUUUAAGAGCAUGCACAGUUGGAUGACCCAUUCUUUUAUGUAAAACAUUGUAAUCAACUGAGUUUGAGUGAGUAACAGACAAGGCCAUUGAGGCUUCAUUAUUGAAUUGAGAAAUAUUUACAUCUGUCAAAAUUUCUCCAGAAUGUAUAGAGUUUGAAACAUUGGAAUGACUAAUCAUUGACACUGGAGAAGAACAGACAUUUGACACAGAACUGGAAUUUGAGGUGACACAGAAAACAUUAGACUGAACUCUAUUUGAAACUGCAGCAUGAGACACUGCAACAAGACCUUCAACUUGAUAUAAUCCUCCUCUAGCAAUCCCCUUGAGCAAGAUGAUCCCUGAGUUCUUGUCAUUGACAAAACAGAAUGUUUUAUAGAAUUCAACAACAACAUCAUUGUCAGCCAGUAGUUUAGAUACACUUAAAAGGUUUUUGGUUAUAGCUAGGACAUGCAAAAUAUUAUUGAGAUAGAUAGAUGUUGCAGCAAGUGUAUUCAAUCGUGUGCAGCCAACAUGUUUAAUAUGUAAUCCCAUGCCAUUUCCUACAUGUAGCUUAUCAAAACCAUGAUAAACUGAGUAAGAAGAGAAGAUACCUGCUUCCUUAGUCACAUGAUUUGUUGCUCCUGAGUCAAUAUACCAAGCAGGAUCAGCUACAACUCCAUAAUCAACAACUGGACCAGUGGAAGCAAAUUGUGCAGUGGGAAUAGCAGAAGGAGCAACUCCAUAGUUAGCAAAUGGAGUAGCAAUUGCACCAUUGUAUUGACCUUGUAAUCCUUGAAACACAGGAAACCCUUGAGGAUACAUAACAUUUACAUUCUGAUAUGCAACAUUCCCUUGAAACAUGGGUGCAUUAUAUCUAGGAGCACCAGUUGCAGUUCCAUAAAAAUUUCCAUAACCUCUGCCAAACAUGUUCUGAGGCUGACCAGGAAAGCCUCUAAAAUUGAAUCCACCUCUAGGCCUAAAGCCACCUCUUCCUUGUCUAGGAAUAAAGUUCAGAUUAAAUAUGUUCCUGCAUUUGUAUGCUCCAUGACCAGGUAUGAAGCAUAUUUGACAAAUCACUUCCUUAUCAACAUUAUAUCCUCCUUUGCCAUUAUCCAUUCCAGUAAAAUUUCCACCAUUAAAACCUCUCUGAUUAGCAUUAUUUAACUUAUUGUAAUUCUGUCCUUUUUGAACAAAAUUAGCUGACAUAUCAUGCAACAAUUCAUUUUGCACCUUUCCCUUACUCAUCUCAACCCUAGUUUCAUGACUAAGCAUUAAGGAAUACACUUCUUCAACAAUGAGAUUAUCUUUUUCCAGCCUAGCAAGUAUAGUUGUCACUAAUGACUCAUAAUUGUCAUCUAAACCAGUAAGCAAAUGCAUUAUAAAAUCUGUUGAAGCAAGAGGAUUACCACCAAUAGCUAAGUUGUCUGCAAUUUUUUUCAUCUUAUCGAAGUAAUCACUUACUGACAUAGCUCCUUUCUUUGUGGUUUGAAUCUGCAUUUUCAGAGGCAUGUAUCUAGCCUUUGACUGUGACAUGAACAUCUCGGCAAGUUUCUCCCAGAUCUCAAGUGAGGUAUCACAAUCCACAACCAUGAUAAGUACAUUGUCUACCAUAGAUGACAACAUCCAGCUCUGUAGAAGCUUCUCAGCUUUCUUCCAAUCAAUAUAGUCAGAAUUUUCACGUCUGCUUGAGCUAGGAGCUUCUGAUCUACUGGCAGCAUUCUCAUAUGAGGAAAGAAAACGAUAUGGACAAGGAGAUUCACCAUUGAUAAAACCUUCAAGACCAUUGGCAAUAAUCGAAGCUUGAAUUUGAGCUCUCCACACCAGAUAAUUUGUUCGAUCAAGUUUUGUUGGUUGAAUAAAGGAAAAAGAAAGUGAAGACGAUCCUGAAUUGCUUUGAUUCGUCAUGUUUCAUAGCUCUGAUACCAUAUUAGAAUUCGUAAUGGGAUGUUUGGAAACAAAGAAAAAAACAGAGAAAAUGAAAAAGGAAACUUCUCGAUUUUAUUAAUCAAAAUAUUCAAUACUUAUUAAGCUUACUUAGCUAAGCUUAUAUACAAUUAUUCUAACUAAUUAAACAACUUCAAACCAACUAACAACUUCAUAUUUAGUUUAGCCAUUGAGCUCUUGCCACAUGUCAUUCAGUUACAUUCAAUCUUGACACAUCAGUCAACUCUAUCCAGCUCAGCAACUAUAUCUUCAACAAAGUAUGAUAUAGAAAAGAAUUUAAAAUUAAAAAAAAAAAGUAAAAUAGUAAUUUGAAUUUAACGAGAUUCAUGUACAGGAAGAAAAGGAAUUAAUAAAGUGAUGAAAGAUUGGUAAUCGUGGCAAGUAAUCUUAUCCAUGUACGCGGCGGCACGACCCAGGACUUGGAAAUUAAAUAAUGAAACUUCUUUGCAAACUUAGAAACUACAAAUUAAUGAAGAGACUUUGACGAGUAAUUUAUCAUUUUAUGCAUGGAAUUCCACGUGCAUGCAUGCAUGUUCUCCACGCUUGGAAAUUUUGCAAACGGCCUCUCCCUUUGAUGGGAGGGACAGUUUUCGUACAUCAAUUUUGAAAAUGUCCUCUAACAAGUGUCUCGAUUAUUGGAUAACAUGUGCAGUCCUUUUCAUUAAUAACACGUCCUUCAACAAUCCUCAUUGCAAUAAAGAAUUUACGGAAAAUUUCUAUAAUACAUCAUACUACAAAGUUAGUCAUACAACAAAUAGAUAAUACUUAUAUUUUAUAAAAUUAUCAUGUAAUUGAUGAUUAUAUCAAAUUUAACUACAUAUAUUAUAUAUACAGUAGUUGAUUAUAUUGUCUUUGAUGUAUUGUAAAAUUUCUGAUUUUAUGGACAUAUAAUAUAGAUUAUCAAGGUUUAAGUUUUUUCACACGCGCGUGCACACACACACACAUAUAUAGAAGUGACUAAUGAGCCUUUUUCUUUUUUCAUUUUGAGAAAAUCUCAAGUACAUAAAAUGUAUUAUAACCAUUUAGUGAAAUGAGUUAUGACACAUGCAUUUUGAUUUUAGUAUACUAUAAUUAUCUUCUUCUUCUUCUUUUUUUUCCAACUUAAAUGCACACAAGGAUGGCAAUGGGGAGAGGAGGGAGGAGACUGACCUCCCUGUACCCAUCCCCGAAAUUCUACAUAUGUAUCAGUCCCUUCCCUGUCCUCAACAAAAUUGUUGUAGGGAAUUUUCGUCCCCUCCCUGAAUAAUAAUAGGGGAUCCUUGAGGGUCCCCGAUCUCCGAAUAACCGAUACGUUAUUUAGUUUUCAAUUUUAAUUUUAUCAUAUUAAAAAAAAUUAAAUAAAAAUAAAGUUUGACGAUAUAUUUUAUACUAACAUUAAUCCAUUACAAAAGUCACAUUACAAAAUAUAAAUCACCAUAAUAAUUAUUUUCGUCAAUCUUCAUAAUCCUACAAUAAAAAAAAAUUACUUUUAUAUCAACAAUGAGAUAAAUGAAAUGAAUAUAGAUACUUAAUCAAUAUUUUUAAUAAAAGUAUUUACCUUUUACGUCUCCUGUUCCUCUUGUUCUUUCUCAAGAAAUGUGGUAAAUUAAGAGAUAGACUCAGGUUUUAAAUUUAAAACAAUAAAAAUAAUAUAAGUAAUGUAACUUCUAAGAGAAACUAUUAAAAAUUAUGUAAUAUAAUUACAAGGUAAAAUAAACUCAUAUUGCCAUUGUAAGCUUGUAGCUAACUUUGUAACACAUUAAAGCCUCCAAUGUGCUUGAAUGAAGCUGAAUGAAGCCUGUUAUGGUACUCUAUCACUGAUGCUAAAAGCUAGCUUGGAAGCAACAAAUUGUAAUUGGAAUUGCCAAAAUAUCUCUAGCAAUUCAUGCCAAUAUAGGAUACCUAUGGGCAUUUGUUUUCCACCAACUCAAAAUAUUAAAAUCUUUCAUUCGUGGCAUAACUUUCUCAUCCAAAUAUUAAUCUAGUCAAUUAGGCCCAAAAGUUUAAUAAUAUAAUUAUUUUGAUAUUUGUUAUUUAUACUAAUAUUUAAUAUUUUAUUAUUUACAUCUUAUUAUUUAUUUACUAAUAAAAAUUAAAAUAAAAAUUAAAAUUAAAAUAGGAAAAUGGGGGAAGGGAUGGGGAUUCCACCUCAUCCUCGUCCUUUCCCCAAAUAAGAAAUUGGGUAAAAAAUUAUCCUUAUCCUUUCCCCGAAUAAGAAAUUGGGUAAAAAAUUAUCCUUAUCCUUUCCCUGAAUAAGAAACUGGGUAAAAAAUUGUCUUUUUACCCUCCCGGAAUAGGAAAAAUCCCUAAGGGUUCCCUUCCCUGUGGGGAUUUAUGUCAUCCCUAAAUGCACACUUAUGUGAAUGACUAUAGAUUAUAUAGAAAAGUUUAUCAUUUUAUUGAAAUUCUAACCAUUCUCACUGCAUAUUAAAGGGAGGUUGGCAGUUUUCUUCACGUAGAAAUUAAUAAAUACCAUUUCCAUUUCUCUUCUUAUUGUUUUUAUAAUAAUCAAUAACUUUCAUUGAUCAUAAUUCUACAAAAUUAUUCUUAUUUUAAAAUAUUUUAAAAUUUAUUUAAUUAUUAAUCUUUAUUAUUAAUUAAAUAAAUUAUAUAAACAGAAAUUGAAAUAAAAAUUUAAAUAUUGGAAAUAAGAAAUAUAAUUGUCGGUAUCGAAACUAAUAAGAAUAUAUUUUUCUUAUUUUUUAAUCUUUAAAGAUAUUUUACUAUAAUAAAUAUAUAUUUUAUAUUUUCAAAAUAAAAUAUUAAGCAAACGACCCAUUUACCUUUACUUUCCUUUAAAUAUUUCAUACCAAAAGAUUAUUAUCUAUUAUGAAAACAAUAGAGGAGUAUAUAUUUUACAUUAAUUUCGACAGGGAGAAACUAUCAAUACCCUUAAAAAAUAAAUAAGAUUUUUUUAGAGCUUAUUUAAAUAGAGUUUUUGUUAAUAGAACUUUUGUAAAUAGAGUUUUUACUAAAAAAAAGUUUAGUUGUUUGAUUGUUAAUAAGAACUUUUAUUAAAAAUUUAUGAAAUUACUUUAAUAGACAAGUUUUUUAAAGUUAUAUUAUGAAAACAAUAAAUAAGAUUGUUAAAUAAGUAGAUGAUAUUUUAGAUAUUUUAAUAUUUAAAAAAAUCUUUUAAACCUCUAUUCUUAAAAGUUUAAAAUUUUAACUUUUACUAGUAGAGGUAAAAUAACUUAUUUAAAAUUCAAAAUUUCUAUUAAAAAAAUAACUAAACAAUAAUAAAAAUUAUAAUAAGAACUUAUGAAAUUAAAUAAGUACUUAUACUCAUUAAAUAAAUUAUACCAAACACGCACUUACUUAACAGUUGAUUGUGAUUUGUGAAUGACAUUUUAUUCCACCCCGUUGCAAUUGUUGCUUGUUUUCCACGGAUAUCUUGAUUACGUUUGCAAGCUUAUGUUAUAAGGGCUUCGUCAUUGCCAUUAUUACGAAAUUAAAUAGACUAAGAUUGUUGACCUAAUUUGAAAAUUCCUCCAUUGUUUAUUAUUUUUCCCUUUCUAAUUUAUCAACAUCAGCCAUAUCGAGUCAUUCUUUAAAUCAAAACCCUUGUGGAAGACGAAAUAUUAACUUACUGUCUUUUCUCAACAACUUUUUAGGUGAGAUUAGUUUAAUUAAUUACAUGAUAAAUAAUAGUUUUGAGUACACAUGUAUGAUAUAAAUUUAAGAUUCUUUUCUUUUUUGUCGUAAUACAUAGAAUUAAUCAACCUAUUAUUAUAACAAAAUAAUUAAAAUUUAUGAGUUGAAGUUGUCAGAAAAAUAAACUUAUUUCCAAUGAAUGGCAUUUGGAGGAACAAAAUCAAUCCGGAAGUUUUUUUACGCGGAAAAAAAUCAAUUAAAAUUAAUGAUGUCCAAAUGUCCAAAUAUGGUGAGAAAUUGAAUUCUUCAAAACCUUGCUGUUUCUUCAUAUUUCAUUACAAAUUUACCAAUUCUUUUCUCUAAAUUCUAGUAUUUGUCUUCGUACAAUGUAAACUUAUUCCCUAAGAUAUGGUUAAAAAAAAAAUUAAUAAAAUCUAAUCAUUUGGUAGUGCGCAAACUAAUAUCAUAACUAAAAUGAAGUUGGUAAAUUUUGAUAUAAUUAUCUAUUAUUAAUAAUUAGGUGGGCCUAAAUGUUCCAACUUCCAAAUACAGUAAAACAAUCCAUCAUCUACAUUAUUCUAUAUUUUGGAGAGAAAAAGGAAAAGACAAAAUCUUUUAGAUAAGGAAAAAAAAAAAAAAAACCUCAUGAAAAAGCAAUUGAAUUAAAAAGUAGAAAUUUCUUUACAUUUUCGCCGGAGAAACAGAGUCAAAUUCAAAUACGACGACUCAAGCGCAAAAAGCCUAUAAAUAAAGCCCCGCUCCAGUUCCCUGUCAGAGGCUACGGAUUUGAGAGAUUAAAGAACAUCAACCGAACAGUGAGACUCCGUACUCUUCACAAACUUGCAAAAACUUUUAGGUAAGAGUUCUGCUAUUUGCCCCGGGUCAAACCCCGGGUCAAGCCCCGAAGAUUGUAAAACGACGCCGUUUUGACAAUUAAUUUUUUUUUCAUUUUAAAAUAAACACCAGCUUCUUCGUUUCUCUCUCUCUUUUCAUUUCGUUCUUUUUCUUCCUAAGUACAGAGCAUUGUUAUCUUCCUUCACAGCCCCCUCUAAUUCCUCCAAAUCUGCCUUUUUUAGUUUUUUAAAUCCAAAGAUAAUGUUCAACUGAAAGUAACAGAGCACAAUUGUGAUCUCAGCACAUGUGACAAUGAGAAUCAGGAAGACAAGCAGGAGGAAGCCAAAUAGGUAAUAGAACUGAUGCAACCAUAUUGAGGUGAGAAUGAAAAAGAGCUCAAUGAAGAUGGCUCCAAAUGGAAGUAUGCCCCCAAUUAGGAUAGAGAAGAUGGGAUUCAUGUACCAGGGCUGCUCUGGAAUCUGUCUUGGGAUCUUGUUGGUUUUCACAGGAUCCUCAAUUGCUGGCUUUCUAAAACCAAUAUAACUACCCACAAAGACAAGUGGGACAGAAAUGCCAAACCAUAAAAAGACCAAAGCAAACAUGGUUCCAAAUGGCACUGCACCAGAGGAUUUCUCGCCCCAAAUUAAAGCAUUUAGGACAAAGAAAAUGGCAAAGCAAAUUCCAGGGAACAUGAAAGCUGUUUUGAGAGUGAUUUACAUAUUUUUUCAUUUUCCAAAACUAGGAGAGAGAUUGCAGGGACUGUGGCUGGAAAGAAUUAUUGUUUAUAAAUAUAUAUAUAUAUUUUUUUUUGCUAUGAUGGCUGUCGGUGGUGGUGAUGCCGAUGGCUGGGUAUGCAUGAUGGUAGCUGCCGGUGCCUGUUGGUGGUGGUUGUCAGUGGUGGUGGCUGUGAACUGUGAAACGAAGAGGAAGAUGAAUACAACGCCAAAAGGUUGUGAGACAAAGAGGAAGAGAAGGUAAUUUGGGGCUGCCUUAACUAAGCCAAAACGACGUCGUUUUAAUGAGAUUGAAAACAAAAAACAAAAAAGUUGAAACGACGUCGUUUGGAUUAAUUUCGGGGUUUGACCCGGGGUUUGACUCGGGGUAAGUAGCAUUUUCCUUUAGGUAAUUUUUUUCGAUUAAUUUUUUAAUUUUCGAGAAUAAAGAGAGAGAGAAAAAAAAACAGAUGGGAUUAUGUUUGUCUGGGAGUGAUGUGAGGGGAGGGAAACAAGCCGUAGGUGGGGCCCACCUCCGGCCCACCAGCGCGGCUGAUCACCACAAUGUCUCUGGUCAAAAUGACGCCGUUGAUUUCUUCUUCAAAUCUCGCGGCCUUCAUGCCCUUUUCACCCAAAUCGAGGUAUGUGUGUGUACCUGAAUUAUAUGAGUCUUUCACUGCCACUAUUAAUAAACUAUUUUCAGUUAAUUAAUUAAUUAAGUAAAAAUCUAUGAUUAGUUUAUGUUUUUUAAUUUAUUUUUAAUUUUUUAAAUCUGAUUUCGUUCAUGUUGGUAAUUGUGAUGGAUUCUCAAAUGGUCACUCUUUUGAAAAUCUAUUAUCAAAUUAUGUUUGUUAUUAUUACUUAUUUGAUGACUUUUCAGUGUAACAUCGAACAACUUAAAUCAUUUAUAUUUGAUAAAAGUUAUUUGAUAAUUCGAACAUAACUAGAAAGUAGAUUCCUAUUCAAGAAUCAACCGCAAUCCCAAACAUGCCUUUUUUUUUUUAAUUUGUUCUGGUGGCUGAUCUUUUGCUAGUGUUGGUUCGACGGUUUCACACCAAGCAACUGCUUUUGUUUUGCAUAUGGAGAACAGUAAGUUUAACUGCUUAUACCCAAUGACAACAUUCUGUGAAGUGAAUUUUAGAUUAAGAUUGGUUAAGGUAAAUAAAAAAAGAAUGGUGUUGAAUGCACAGUGGCCUUGUGAACAUUGAAAAAGUCGAUGUUUGAUCCUGUUGAAUGCACAGUGGUUUUCCUGUGUAUCCUCCAAGUUGACUAUUCUGUUCUGCCUCAUUUAUCAAAUUUGACUCAUACCCCUCGUGAUCAAAUUUGACUUAUACCCCUCGUGAAGAUUCCCCAUGAUAGUGCUCCCCUGAUUGGAACAUGAUUUUGUGAAUGCUGGUUUGCAUAAGACAAACCAUUAACUUUAUAAAAGAUUGUGGAUUAAGGAUUAUGUUGUUACGAGGAUAAGAAUGUCUUUCCAUAACGUGGACCACCAAGUGAUUGUAAUAUUCCUGUAUUGAUGUGGACCUUACCUGAGGAUCUCCUUGCAAACUUUCCUGGAGAAAAGGCAACAAGUCAUAUGAUAACAAAUUAAAUGUGGUUCAAUGCUUGUAAUUGACGUGUCACAUCCUGUUGUUAUAUAAAACUUAAUUACAUAUAUUAUUGCUUGCUGCUUAUAAGAUUUAAUAUUAGAAGUGAUUCUGUCAGAAUCCGAAAUGAUGGUUUUCUGCAUGUUCUGUUUAUGACAGAUAUAUAUUGCCUGUCAGUUGACCCACAUCGUACUGACAAUUUUCAUUUCGUGCAGCAUAUGCAUGGAUUACUCCUUUUCCGCUUUUUCAUGUAUCUGUAUUCGUUCUUACGUUUUUGAAUAUAUAUUGCAGUUAUCUUUAUCUGCUUCAAAGUUACGUGAUCUUGACAUCGCAUCAAAGGUACGCCUUCAUAUCAUUGUUGUCUUAUGUCUGAUAAUGCCAUGUUCAUGCUGUUGAUAGUCUUGGUGAUUGAUUCUCAUGUUAUCUUGUAUCCUCCUUAUAUGAUCUGCUUAUUUGUUCAUAAUGGCCCUGUCAAUUUCCUUUCUCUGUUCAUAAAGGGUCUAGGGAUAUAUGAUCUGAAUAACGCUUAGCGCUGGCACCAAAAUUCUAAACUUAGACAAAGAAGAAUAGUUUGUUAUAUACACUGUCUAUCUCCAAUGUAAUCCAGUAAGGAGCAGUAACUUGAGAGUUCCAGAUAAUGUAGAACAAGUCAUGGUUGGUGGUUUUAUUGUUUUUGCAAUUUUGAGCACUAGUCAAAUAUGUUAUAUGGUUUUAUUGUUUUUGCAAUUUUGAGCACUAGUCAAAUAUGUUAUAUGUGCAAGAUAAAAUUCUUUGAUAAUGAACAUUUAUCAGCCGUAUAUCUUUUUACUGGCUGAUACUAGCAUACAUAAAAUGCUGCUGUAUUUUAACGAUGGAUUACUAACUAAAGUUAUUUAACUAAUAAAUGUCUAUAUUUAUAUGACAACUAAAGUUAUUUAACUAAUAUAUGUCUAUAUUUAUAUGACAUAAGUGGAUACAUACCCAUAUGCCUUCUGUUUUUUUUUUUUUUAUAUUCACAAGCAAAUGUAUUUACAUUCUUUUUGUGUCAUAGAGUGAUCCCAUGGCAGUUGUGUAUGCAAAGAAAAGAGAUGGGAGGCUGGACGAGAUUGGACGUACAGAGGUGAUUAUGAACAAUCUGAAUCCUGCUUGGAUUGGAAAGAUUUCAAUUGCUUUUCAGUUUGAGAUCGUCCAGCCCUUGCUGUAAGUUUUUAGUGUGUUCUUUUUAAAGUUUUUUUUUUCUUGAUAGGUCAUGCGCUUAAGCCUUGCUUGAUUUGAUAAUAUUUAAUGUUUUCGAAUUUCUUAAUGCUUUUCUUCUUUUUCCAGCUUUCGUGUGUAUGAUGUGGAUACCAAGUACCACAAUAUUCCAGUGAAGGUAUAAAAUUUCUUAAUUAUUUUUUUUUCUCUCAAUUCAGAUGUAAAUGAUACGCACAUACUUCAGUUCCAAAGUUUAGAGUUAGCCAAGGCAUUUGACUGAUCCAUUUGUUGUCUAAGCAUACGUCUAAACUAAAUUGCAUCAGCAAUAGUUUCUAUCAAUUUCGGGAAAUUUGGGAAUACUUGAUUGAUUAUAAACUAACAUUUAGCAUGGCAAGAAACUUAAAAAGUUGGCUGUCAUAUACCAUAAACAAAUCUUAAGGCCAGGGUAGUUAUUAUGGAACUUUCUGCUAUUGCAUCUUGCAAGGUUUGACAUAUUUGUCCUGCUACCAUAACUGGGAAAGAACAAUUUUUCUGAUGGUCCUUACGGCUAAAUUUUCUUUUUUCCAAAAUGGAAUUUUGAUCUAUGUUGUUAAAAACAAUACAGUUAAAUAGUUGUUGCCAUGGCCUAAAGAAGUUUCUGUAAAAAAUGACCAUAUUGUCAGUAUUGAAAUGGAUAAGUAAAUCUUUAGAGCCUAUGAUGUAUUCGUCUGUGGAAUUUGAGUCAAAAUGAAAAAAAUUUGAUGGUUAUAAUCCUAGAAACUGUAAUCAUUUGGAAGCAUUUGCUGAAAACAGUUAGAUAAUCUAAAAAUGUGAUGAUUAUUUAUGUCAAUUGUAAAUGGUAUUAACAUUACUGGGAAAAAUGAUAAAUAUGUAAAUUUAUGCCAGUGGAAAGAGAAAAUGAACAAAUCCAGAUGGAUUCUAAGACAUUAAGUAGGAAAUCUAGUGUUCUUUUGAUUCUUUACAGCAGUGAUCCCUAAUUACUUUCAAGUCAUUAUUAUCUCAUGACAAAAUAUUUGUUGAAGUGUGAAGUUUAAAGCUCAAACUUCUUAUUUACAUUGCCCUGCAGAUGCUAAAGUUGGAGGAUCAAGACUUCCUGGGAGAAGCUAGCUGUGUUCUCUCUGAGGUAAGUUUCUGGGUUAUAUUUUGUUUGAUGAAUUUAUGUAUUUUCUCUUUAUUCAAUGGGCAAAAUAUGCCCAUCUAAUUUUCUGUAAAAAUCUGUUUCCUAUAAAAAAAGGGCAAAAUAUUCUCAGAUGCUUUUUACUAGCAUUCGUCUUCUUCUUUAGCAUUCUUCUUUUGCACUAACAAGUGUCAUAUUUUCCUUUUAAAUGGCAGAUAGUGACCAAACAAAAUCGAACUUUAACCUUAAAACUCCAUAACAAUUAUGGGCUUCGAGUUUCAAGAAACUUUGGGAUACUCUCUGUCCAUGCUGAGGAAACGGUUGCUUCCAAAAGUGCUGUUGAAAUAGCAUUCCGUUGCUCGUAUUUGCAAAAUGUAGACCUGUUUUCCAAAAGUGUAAGUUCUGACAAAGUAGCUAAGUUUGGAGGUUCACUAAUUAAUCUAUUAAUUUAGAUGCUAUUUUUUCUUCUUCUUAUAUUGCAUAGGAUCCAUUCUUAAGAAUAUCUAGAAUUGUUGAGAGUGGGGAUUUGUUCCUAUCUACAAGACGGAGGUGAUAAACAAUAACUUGAAUCCCAUUUGGAGACCAAUAACUUUGAGCAUGCAGCAAUUUGUGAGCAAGGUAACCUUGUCAUCUUCUUGUGCUUGUUACUUAAAUGUAUAUUAGGUAGUGAAGUUUGGUCAUGGGGAAAUGUUUUUUAGUUUAUGAUUCACUUUGGUACAGGAAAACCCAUUAAUCAUUGAAUGUUUUGAUUUCAAUACCAGUGGAAAUCACGUACUGAUGGGGUAACUGUUAAAUUUCUUAAUGUCAUCAGCUUCCCUCUUUUAUCCUUUUGCCUUUCUGAUGUCAAGGUUUUCUAUUUCUGUUAUUAGUAAAAUUCAGAAAUCAGUUGGAGACCUGGAGAAACUUCAUCAAGAAAGAACUGGUGCAACUUUUAUGUUACCAUCAACUCAACGUGGCCAUGACAAGGUGUGUAUUCUUUUUUGUUUUAACUCCACCAAAGGUGUUUGUUCAUGCUUACAGUUUUUGAUAAUUUAAUAUCACUUUAUUUUUUAUCUGACUUUUUCCUAGGUUCUGAAAAGUCAGUUGUUUGUUGAAAAGUUUGUUGAGCAAGAGCAAUAUAGUUUUCUGGAUUACAUAUCUAGUGGGUUUGAGUUGAAUUUUAUGGUUGCAGUCGACUUUACAGGUAAUUAGAAAGAGAUUACUUGUUGAAGAUAAAUUUGCAAUAUAAUCUUUUUGUUUUGUUUAUUUCCUCUUAUUUGGUCCAAUUUCAUCUUGUCUCUCAUUAAAUGCAAAAUCAUCCAGCUUCAAAUGGAAAUCCUCGAAAUCCAAAUUCUUUGCACUAUAUUGAUCCUUCAGGCAGAUUGAAUUCUUACCAGCAGGUAAGGUUUUGUUAUGACUUGCACUUUGACAAGUGAUCUCUGAACUCUGAAGGUCAUAAAAUGGUCAUUUUGUCCAGUGUUUUCGACUUAGAAAAUGCCUGUGACUUUCAAGUCUUUCUGUGCCCGUCAUAGUGAGAUACAUAUUUCAAUAGUUUGUAGAAGUUGAGAGAGAAUAUCACUGAUUAGUUAUUGGCCUCUUAAACCAUUUACAGGCAAUAACGGAAAUUGGGGAGGUCAUACAAUUUUAUGAUUCUGAUAGACGCUUUCCUGCAUGGGGAUUUGGAGGGAAGACAUUUGAUGGCACUGUAUCACAUUGUUUUAACUUGAAUGGAAGAGCAGGUAGCUUUGAGGUAGGGGUAGCUGGAGUUCGCAACUUUGCUAUAAUCCUUAUUUGGUUGGCUUGUCUCCCAUAACUUUUCAUUUUUAAUAACAAACAAUAUAAUAUGUUUCCGCAUUUUUUUUAAAAUUUCCUUGGAAUUUUAUCCUAAAAGAUGUGUAUUUUAUCCUCUUCCAUUUUUUCAUUAACUGCUGGUUUCUUUAUUUAAUAGGUAGAUGGAGUUGAAGGCAUUAUGGCUGCUUAUGCAAGCGCUCUAAACAAUGUUUCUUUGGCAGGACCGACUCUGUUUGGUCAAGUCAUCAACACAGCUGCACGAAUUGCUGGACAGUCCCUCUCUUACGACAGAAGCAAGUAUUUCGUCUUACUCAUUAUAACGGUGAUUACAAUGAUUCUAUAUAUUCACAGUUUUCUCUUUCUAUCAUUCUUUUUGGGUGAUUUGUAAAUUUGCAUUGUCUAUUUAGGAUGGAGUUCUGACGGAUCUCCAAGAAACAAAAGAUGCUUUGGUAAGGGCUUCUGAUCUUCCCCUGUCAAUUCUAAUUGUGGGUGUGGGAGGUGCAGAUUUUACACAAAUGGAGGUACACAAUGUUUUCUAACUGGAAUAUCUUCUUACUAGCAUUGAACUUCUUUUUUCUAUAGUUUGAUAGAUUCAAUUUAGAGUACAUAUGCAGUGUGGUAUUACCCCACUUUUGUUGCAGAUUUUUGAUGCUGAUAACUUUGUUGGCAGAUUCUUGAUGCUGAUAAUGGCCGUAGAUUAGAGAGCUCUACUGAUCGGGUAGCUACCAGAGAUAUAGUACAAUUUGUUCCAAUGCGAGAAGUUCAUAGUGAGUGCAUAUGAUUCUUUGACAAAAUUAGUUCAAAAUAUUGAAUUUGGGAGUUAAUUCACAAAAGUUUCUGAAUUUUUUCAUGCCUUAACAAAUGAACACAUUGUUUUCUGAACAGGUGGACAAAUUUCUGUUGUACAAGCACUUUUGGAGGAGCUGCCUGGUCAGUUUCUGACCUACAUGCGCUGCAGAGAUAUCAAACCACUCAAUGUUCAGAUGGCCCAAACAUGCGCUUGAGUAAAUAUUCAUAUGUUUGGAAAGGAUACAAAACCAAGCUAAACAUAUUAGACAAAACCAAGCCAAACAUAUUAGGCUAUACAGACAUAACAUAGCAAAAAUUGAUAAUGGUACAUUACAUAUGUUAGGAUAUAGUGGUUUUAGAUGAUGGUAAAUUACAUAUGUUAAGAUAUAGUGGUUUAUAACUAACUUUUGAUGGCUUAAUGAAUUGAUUGAAUUUGUAUUUAGGUUCUAUCAAUGAUCUCAUAUUCUUCCCAUCCAUGUCUUUCGAUUUUUAUUAUUCCCUCUACCCACUUGUUUCACAAUUGUUUGUGUCUGAUGGCCUAAAACUCCAAUUUCUAAUGCUGUAUUAUCAUCUUUGUUGAAUAUUUACUACAAUGAACAUGUGCUGAAUAUCUACUUUUACUACUACACCAACAAUCUAACACAUGGCUCACGUGCACACAAGACAAGUCUGAUUCACACAUCUUUAAUUUAGAUUCUUAUAUAGUCUUUCAAGAUGUCUGAAACGGCAUAGAUGAAGGACCCUUCCACCAUUCAACCUGGAAUGAUGUGAGUGAAAGAAAUUUCCGAAAGUGUUGUAUUAUAACUCUUUGAAAUUGGGUUUGAGUAAUCAAGAGAAGCCAAAAUGUAGAACAAUAACAAUAAAAAAUGAAGGCCCUCUUACCGUCUUAACUUUGAUAGAAAAUACACGAGCUGCAUACCAUGUCUCACAAAUUUCAAUGAAAAUUGGCCUCAUUCCUGAUGCUGCACAGAAGGUUGGCCUGAAUCAUCUUUAUGAUUUUGGACUUCCUGUAAACAACGAACAAAACAAAUUGAAGGUGAAAGCAGGAACAACAGUUUUCAAAUAAAAUGGCAGUGCUUAAUCUAAUUCAACAGUAACUUUUGGGUCGCUCAGUAAUGAAUACGUACCUUUGUUUCAAGAUAUAUCUGUUGUAUGGUAGAAUUAAGGUCGCCCUUCCAAGUCCAAUACUCACCAGACAGCCAGCGUUUCUCUACUUCGUGUAAACUGGGAGUGCUUAAUUCUUUUCCAGAGAAAAUCUUCAUAUUGGGGCAUUUAUCCACACUUAAAUAUGUCAAAGCUGGGAACUUAAAGGCGCAGUUGCCAGAGCAGAAGCUUGUAAGUCUUCUUAAAUCACAAAGCUCCAAGUCCAUCAACUCGCUGAAAACAAUUUCAUCUUUUGCAGCAUUUCCCUCAUCAUCUGCCACUACUUCUGUUAUCAUGCUGCAGUCAACGAUACUCAUCUCUGUCAGUCGUACCAAACUCUUUGCUGUCGAGGAUGUUAGCACAUUUAUCAAUCCUUUGCAUCUCCACACCUUCAAAGUUGUCAGAUUCUGAAACGAUGUUGAAGGUGGCACUAGAUUAAUCAAAUGGUCACAAUACUCAACUGUUAGAUGAACCAAAUUGUCCAUUUUGGAUUCCUGGAUCAAAAUAUGCUUCAGAUCACAACAAUUGUGUAGAUUCCUUAUGAUUGCCUUCGUCCAAUUUUCUACUCCAUAUGAUGGCUUAACGCCCCCAACAUAUCCUCCUCCCCUUAUUGUGAGUUCUCUUAUGCUGUGAAAUCUCCGAAGGAAAUCAAGUGAUGAAAUAGUAGAUGACUCUUCAAAUAUAACAUCAAGAAAGUUGAGUUUGCAAAACAUGUCCUCUGGAAACUCAGCUGCCAUUGGUAUCUUCUUUCCUUCAAUGGUCAAAUAUUUCAAAUUGGGGAAUACCUGGUUGGAUGCAUGAUAAAUCAGGACCAAAAAGAAAACAUAAUGCCAAUUAUUAAGAGUAAAUUUUAAAUCUUGUACGUACCUCUUUUGUCAAGUCAUGAGCAGUUAAAAGGAAUUCAGGACACCUUAUUACUUCUAAAGUUUCCAAUGUUGGAAAUUCAAUGUGCACAUCUCCUGUGCAGAAGCUUGUGAGCUUUUAGAGAUCUACCAUCUUUAGAAAUUGUAACUGAGGGAACACAACAUUCUUCCUUUCUUGCUGGUCUAUGACUAUUAUCUCUUCCAAAAUAGGGCACUCAUCUAUCUCAAGGUGUUGGAGUCGAAUAAAGCUGUUAACUAUAGAAGAUGAAAACAGACAUCUUAAUUCCCCACAGCCAUAUACAAUCAACCGGGUUAAAGUUUGAAUGCCACAAGACAUGGCCGGAAGUUGGCUUUUCCAAAUCCUCUCCACAUUUACAUUAUACAGCUCCAAGGUCUCCAAGUUUGGUAACCCACCCUGUUCACAAAACUUUCCAACCGUUAUAUGAGGAGAUCAAAUUUAGUAUAUAAGUGCAUUCAGAGUACUUUUUCUUUCAUCCGAGAAUGUAUUUGUUACAUCUAUGUUACUCGGGAUGAAAAUUUUAAUAUAAUUAUGAAAUAUGUUCGCUAAUCCCUGAUUCACUCUAGCCUAUAUUUCCUAGGAAAGGAGAAUAUAUAAUAAAGCAGCAACAAAAAAAGGAAAAAAUCAUAAGAAUAUGACCAUUGGAUCAUUAAUAUCCGACCUUGAGGAAAAAUGUAUUAGGAACGUUGACAUGGUCCUCCAAAAUGAUUUCAUUGGAUCGCAUUUCACUUGUCGAUUCCUUGCAUCUCUGUUUAGAACAUAGUCAUACUCAUAAGAAAUGAAGAAUCUGUUUUUUGCAUUGGCUGCUUUGAUAUGUUCGAAAUUUAGGAAGAUCAUAUCAUACCUUUGACUCUUUCGGACUGGGGGCUUGACAACCUUCGACCCAGAGAUGCUUCAGUUGGGAAGAAUAAGAGCCCAAUUUGUUAUUAACUAAUUCAAUGAUAUCUUGGUCUGGCAAUCCAGAUAAACAAAGGUCUUCAAUUCGCUGAAGUUGCACGAUAUGCCCACUCUUGAAGCUGAUACAAUUGUCGGUGCCAAGGAGGAGUCUGAAUGUUCUAGAACACGUAGGUGAGGGAUCCUCCCAACACCAACGUCCAAUACAUAUUCUGUACCUUUCCAGUUUCUCGAAGAACAGCCCCUUCGGCAGAGUGUUGGCAUCUGGGAUGCAUAAUUCUAAGGUGGUCAAGUUAGGCAAACGCUUCAACUCUUCAAGGCUUGCAUUCUUGAUCCCUGCAGCUUCCACCUCCACUUCCCACUUAUUAAAGCUACGAAUGUAUAAUUCCUCCAAAUGGGAUAACUUUGAUAAAAGAUUUGGGGGAAUAACCUGUAGUCUGUCACAGUCUCUCAAAUCAAGCGACCUUAACCGAGUCAAUUGGCCUAUUUCCACAGGCAACUGCUCAAUAUAAGAACCCCUUAAGCAAAGGAUUUCUAGGUUCUUUAAUUCUCCUAUAACAGCUAUAUCUUGCAAUUCGCUGCAAUACAAACACAAUGUUCGAAGGUUUGUUAGGAGACCAAGUGAUGAAGGCAGUAAUGAUAGAUGCAUGCAAGUCAAGUCUAAAACUCUGACUUGCGUCAACUUCCUGAAAAAAUUGUCUGGAAGUGUGAUUAAUGAAGAUUUCUCAGUCCACAAAGAGAGAAGUUGCAGUUGAGGACAUUCCAAAACUUCAGGAAGAAGAACAUUCAUCUUGCUGUCGUGUAAGACAAUCGAAGUGUAAAACUUAAGCGCACCUUCAUCUAGCCAUUCCCGUGAAUUAACCAGUUCAUAUCUCAUCGUAAGCACAUUUUGUUCUCUGGUUGCAAUUGCUAUGGCAACAUCACGAACAACAUCAUGCAUAGAAAACCAAUGUUCAUUUUUGCUUCCAUGCUCAAGCAACAUACAAGAAGCCUUGAGUUUGUACACCAAUGUAUACACUCGAGCUCGUGCUUCUUCCAUCCUAUUGAUGCCUUGAAACAAACCCAAACCCAUGCCAUACAUUAACACGUCAUUAAUGGAUGAUAUGUAGGUGUAGCCUAUUAGCAAAAAGAUCUUCUUGAGCUCCUCUCCUUCUAAUUUGUUGUAACUCAACUCUAUAGCUGAAUAAGCAGCCGGCUGUAUAUCUUUAAAGUUCGUUGAGGAAGGCCUUCUUAACUGUCCCAAAGCGUCCUUCCAUUCAAAUAAUCUCUUAUUUCUCAACGCCCUCGCUACUGUUACAAUGGAAACAGGCAAACCUGCGCAUUCAUUUGCCACAUCCGUUGCCACCCAUUUGAAUUCACUACUGUUGAUAGACUCCCCUGCCAUCUUCUUGAAUAGACUCCAAGCUUCGUCUUUUCUUAGAACGCCAACUGAGAAAUUAUGUCGGCAAUCCAUCUUGCCAGACAAUAUAUCUUCACUUCUUGCCGUCAUCAAUAUUUUACACCCCUUGUGAUUAUCUCCGUGAGGAAUUCCUACAUCCUGCAAAUCAACACUUUCCCAAACAUUAUCUAAAAUUACAAGGAUCUUUUUCUCAUCCUUCAAUCGAUUAUAAAGACUCCUUGCCCUUCCAGAUUCGGUCUCUUCAAAAAAUAUGAGACCUAAUUUAUCAGCGAUUUCUCCUUGAAUCUUUCUUAUGUCUGGAAUCUGGGGCACCUCCACAAAAAUCACUUGAUCAAAUAGCUGGUCUCUCUUGAACUGAAUAGCAACCUCUUUUGCUAGUGUCGUCUUUCCGAUGCCGCCCAUUCCAUAAAUCCCAACCAUGUUCACAUCAGGAUCUUGUAAUGCACGAAGUGCAUUAUUCAAAGUGGAGAUUCUUGAUUCAAAUGCCUCGUAGUCUUUGUUAGAUAUAAGCCUUAUGUCCUCCAGAGCUUUACGGUAGGAAAUUCUAUCAAAUCUCCCAGCUUCCCGAAGUUUGACAAUAGCUUCGAAUUGCCUCACCGCUUCCUUGCUAAGCUGAUGGCGGGUCUUCAAAUUUGGACACAGCCCCAUGAAACAACGCUUGUUUGCUUUAUCUGCAUCGCCUGUAAAUUUCUCAGCCUCAGGAAUGAUGUUGUUGACACUUGCAAGCCAUUUCUCAACGUUCUUUUCGAUCUCUUCUCCUUUUCUUUUAGCCUCAUCAACCCCGUGCUGCAUACUGGCAGCGUCAUCCUUGAGCUUCUCAAGUUCAGUCUUGAGAUUCUCAAAGUUGCUCCUGUAGUUGCGCACAUAACUCAAUUGUCUUUCAGUGGGAGGACCCAAGCACUUUGCAACUUCUAACACAACAGUUACUAUGCUUUCCACCAUCUUCAAUUCUUUCCCUUUUCUCUCUUUUUUUUUUUUUUUGGGUCAAAUUUUAGAAUUUUGUAAAGUAUGUAGAUGUGAAGUGAAGCGAACCAAAAGGAAACUGAACAGAGACAACAACUAAAAAGAUGCAGAGAUGAAGAAGAAGAGAAGGGAUUUAUUGACAGCGUAAAAAUACAUCAGAAGAGUAGAUACAGAACAAAACAGAGACAAGUGUACAGGGAACAGAGCAAAGCUAAAUAAAGAAAACAGAUGCACGUACGAUUCGUAGUAAUGUUGAGAUCCGAAGAUUGUAAUAACUAAGGUGUUGCUUGAUCCAGUGAAAGGUCCAAAGAGUUGAUGGCAGAAAGGAGCAAAGCUGAAGAAUAAAAACGAUCAAGAUGAUUGAGAAUGUUGAUUGAGAUGGAGAACGACUUGCAUGGUUGGGAGAUGUGCGUCGGACAAAUGGUAGCCAAUUAUUUGAUUUUUACAGCGGGAUUCACUGACUUUAUAUUUUAAAAAAUUUAAGUCAGCAGAAUUAAUUAUUUUCAUUGAAAUGAACUCAAAGGCCAAAGAGUGGAGAAAGGAUGUGAAAAAGUUAUGCGAAACGUGAGGUGAUGAGAUAGUUAAGUUCACUGAUGCUCAAUAAUCAAUUUUAUAAAAAUAAAAGAUAAAAAAUAGUGAGAAUCCGAAAGUCGAAAGCCAAUAGAUUUCAUAAUGGGAUUCAUUCAUUAUUCCAUCACGGAACCGAACACCAAUAGGUUAUCCCACCAGCCACCACCUCAGCUUCCACGCAAGUUUCCCUCAUAUUUGAAUAGUUGGCCCACUCCUCAAGUCUUUGUCGACAAAAAAAGAAAAAGAAAAAGUAAACUAUGAAACUCGGGUGGAUCACAACUUGUAUAAAGAUUCCUGACAGUUGCUAAUGCUGCCGACAUGAUCUUCCAACUUGGAACUUGUAAGAUCGGUCAAGCUUUCUAGUUUCUACAGUAGCGUUUAAUUAAUGAAUAAUGAUGAUCAGUUUUGAUUAUUUGACGACGUUAGUACAAUGAGAGUAUUUGAGGUAAUUGAUCAAACAAAAAGAUUGCCCAUUCAUGAUCUAAUUGCCUAAAUAAUAAAAAUGCUUAGCCUCAGCUGACUUGUUCCAAAUCACUAAACAUUUGAGCAGGUAUUUUCAUCUUUUCGUUAUCACAUUCCUCUAAUCAAUUAGCGUUAAUCAACAAAAAUGAUUAAUAACGUAAAUGGAGGAACUUGGGCUCAAAUCUCUAAAUUAAACUCGUGAUCAUUAAUAUAAGCAAACUACAACAAGACUAUCUUGAUCAACGUUUUCAACUCAACAAAUAUAGACUACUAGUGUUUAGUUGUUAAUAAAAUUAACCAAAAAAAAACACACAAAUGUUGACAGCACAAGAAUAAUAAUAAUGUUUAAUUAUUUAUUAAAUUUAAACUAUGUUCAAGAGAGGACCCAACUUUUAUAUAUUUUAUUUUAAUGGCUUAAAGAAAUUACAAAGUUGAUGCCACAAUUUAUAGUUUUUUUUUUUUUACCUUUAAAAAAUCUUUGGAUUAACCGACAAUCAUCAUCAAUCCUCACCUAGGGUCGGGGGAGGAUCAAGAUGGUGCCUACAGUGAGCAAACAUGAUGGCAGAUGGUGUCCAAUUGACCCCCUAAACUUUUCUUUUUUCAUUGAUACUGUCAUGAAGUUACAUAAUUUCUUACAUAAUUGUCUCCAAUAAAUACCAAUAGGUAUACGAACGCAAACAUGACUCUGUUCAGUCAAUUCUAAGCCUAUCUUCUCUGCGAUUUCUCCUUGUAUAUUUUUUGUUUGCGGUGUUUGGGAAACACGUGAAGAAAUGACCUUCUCAAAGAGAUUAUUUUCCUUGACCUGCCUGCCAACUUCUUUCACCAGCGUUGUCUUUCCAAUGCCACCCAUCCCGUACACCCCAAUCAUGUUGAAGUUACGGUUGCUGAGUGCGUCUAGUAUCUCCUUCAAGGUGGACUUUCUCGAUUCAAAGUGCAUGAAAUCCAGGGUAGACUUAAGCCAUGUCUCCUCUGGAAUCGUACGGAAGGAAACACUGUCGAAUCUCCCUUUUUCAUGGAGUCCAACUAUAGCAUUCGCUUCUCUUUCUGCUUUCUUGCUAAGCUGGUACCGAGUCUUCAAAUUAGGACACAACCCUUUCAGACACCGGUUGUUUGACUUCUCUUUGUCUUCAAUAAGUGUUUCGACUUCGUUGAUUGCCUCGUCCACAGUAAUCAGCCACUCCUCAACGUGCUGUUGAAUUCCGUCCCAUUUAAUUCUGGAAUCAUCAACCUUAUAUUGCACAUUGUCUCUAGCAUUCCUGAGCUUAUCGACUUCAUUAUUCAGCUUCUCGAAGUUGGUCUUAUAAGUGCAGCAGUAAGUAAAUGGAUGAAUUAUGGGAGCAACCAAGUACUCUGUAACUUUUGCAGCAACGGAAAUAACAAUAUCCAUUAUCCCUUUCUUUUUUAUUUUUUGCUCUUAGAAAACAGGGGAAAGCAAAACUAAUCAAACUGAGCAGAACUAAUCAAUCAGUUGUGAAGAGGGAAAUAAGAAGUUUGGAUAAAUUGUUAAAAUAAAAGGUUGAAUAGAUUUAAGGGAGGAGGAGGGGAAAGGAGUGAAAAACCUGGAGAUGAAACAAAGGGGGAUCCAUUUUCUGCUAAGACAAAUUGAAAAGCGAUUGCAAUGAAAGAUUUGCAAAGAAGGUGUAGGAUCGAGGACAAGAACGAUUCAGAAACGGGAGACAGAAAAUGAAGAAGAGAUUUCAGAGAACUCUGGAGAUAAGGGAAAUGCAGAGGCAGACAGUUGUCAUCUCAAGUUUCAAAGGGUAAUCUGAACUUUAGUUGUGAUACAAAUAAAAUGAAAAAAAAAAAAGGGUUGUGUGGUCGUGUGGGUUCCUCGAAAUCACUUCGGCAUUUAAUCGAACGGUUGGAUGUACUCAGCAUCUACACUUCCGCGAAGGUUCCUGGAAGUUGCAAGUGCUGAGGGCAUUUUCAAACUCGGAAGGUUUCAAUAAUUCUUUUUCUUUGAAAGAAAGGUUUCAAUAAUUAGCUUUGAUAAUUGUGUAAUAUACGAUAAUCUAGUGAUGAUGAUGACUUGUAUAUGUGAUUAAAAGCUAAGCUGGUGGAUUUGUAAGUAAGAACACACGGCAAAGUAUUUGUGCAAGCAUUUUUAUCUUCUUAUUGCCACAUUCUUCUAAUCAAUUUGCUUUCACCAACAAAAAUAAUCAAUAAUUUGUAAAUAUUAUGAUAAUGCAUACUUAAGCUCAAAUUUUGACAAUACCUGAAUGAUAAUGCAUACUUAUUUUUCAAGGGUAAACUCUAUUCAAGAGAGGAUCUCAAUUUUCUAUUAGUUUCUUCAAAUGGGCAUUUUAUCCAACAGUUGAUGUACUCGGAAACUUACACGAAGGUUCCAGGGAGUUGCAAGUGCCGCCGGCAUUUUUCAAAUAAUCAAGUGAUUAUUGAGUAAUAAUUAACUUUGAUUAUUGAGUAAUAAAUAUAUGAUAAUCAAGUGACUUUAAUAUGUAAACAGUAGGAUUUUGGGCUCAAAUCGUUAAAUUAAAUCGUGAUCAUUUUAUCAUUAAACUCGAACUCUAUCUUGAUUAAUGAACAAAUGUUAGAAAUUAGUUGUUAAUAAAAUAUAAAAGAACGUUAAAAAACAAAAAAAAAAUCAGGCUGGAUUUUUCAGGAAUAAAUCUUCAAGAAACUAAAUAUGCCGAAUUGAAGUUAUUAAAAUGAAAAGCUUAUGUAUUAUAUUCACUCCAUCAAGUAUGAAGCAUAUAAUCAAUUGAUCUACAAGCAAUAGACAUAAAAAAAAAUCAAAUGGUAGAAUAGAAUACAAGCAUCAGCAUUAGAUGACAGGAAAAGAGCUCAUUAACAAAUUAUAUGAGUGAUAAUACAACUGUUGAUGCUGAAAUCUGCUCGCCCUUUGCCUGACCAGACCUUUACACUAACGUUUAUGUAGUCAAUAGUGAGGAUGUCAAUUUCUUCUUGCUUCAACGAACGCUCUAGUCACUGAAGUUGGAAUUGUCCUUCCUUCUCCCACUGAGCAUGCGUUCACAAAAGUAGAUCAGAGACGCCGGUGGUUUUACCGGCGUAAACCCUCCGAUGCCUAAGUUAGCACAAGGUGUUUACGGGAAAACGGUGCAAUUUGGAUUCGAUAAGUUGCUUAUAAUUGGCUCACAAUUUGUAUUAAAAAUGGUCUGGUUUCAAUUUGGCAAAGUUUUCCCCUCUCUCAAUUUUUAUGUCCCCAUCUUCAUUGGUUUCUUCCUCUUUUAUAGCCGCUGUUCCACGUUUCCGUUCACCCUUCAUCUCGCUCUUUGGGGAAUGGGUAUCUGCUCGGUAUAUGUCUCUGGUCAGUGUAUUCCUCUGGCUGAUAUUCAUCUCUGGUCGGUGUAUUCCUCUGGCUGAUAUUCGUCUUUGGUCGGCCCAUGUUGGUAGAGGGCUCAUUAUCAGUGUUCUGCUCGUAUCAUUUGGCUGAGGUGAUCCAUGCCGGGGUGGGGAUGAUGGCCUGUCUGUGCUGAUGCUCUUAUUUACUCAACACCAGUCCCCCAGUUUCUGGUCUUGCGAGUGAAACGAGUUGAGAGUAGAAACUGAAGUCUGCUCGUAUCUUAUCGAUCCUGGGAACUACCCAUCUGGUUCUCGUGUUAUUGCGGUGGGUCUGAGGUUCCAUCUCUUGUCUAAGGAGAUAUCGGCCUGAGUAUGGGCCUUGACGAAUGUAUCUAGUAUCUAUUUGGGCUUACAUCUCGUCGAGCCUUUUAUAACGGUUAGUGACGUGGCGCUUUCCGACUCUUCGUAUUUGAAAUUCGAAACGACGGGCUAUCCAUCCUCGAUAUACGGUGAGUGAGCUGGCAUCCCUAUCACUCAAACGCUUUCAUUUCCCCCUUUUUGUUUCAAAUCCCUAAACUAAAGUCAUCCUCGUUUUGCUUAUUCGCUUCUCCGCCGUAAGACAACUCCUUCGAACUUUAUUCACACUUUUCGCGUCUGGGAUCUCCAUUUGCUGGGUCUUUUCUCCGUUACAGCAACGCUUAUCGGUGCCAGUCCAUUCCAGGUACAUCAUUUAACCUCUUCUUUGGUUAUUGUUGAUUGGGUUUUGUAUUGUGGGUUCUGUGUUUGUCCCUUUUUUGCAUCCAUACUUUUAGAUAUUUUGUGCUUUCCCUUCUUAAACUUCGGUAUGUCCAACCGAAAAGGAAAAAGAAUUGUAGUCAAGAGCGAUGAAGAGAUAGAGGAUUCAUAUCCUCAUUUGUUUGGACCCAGUGAUCUUCUUCACUCCUCUCGCAAUGUAGGUCCCUCAUAUCAUAGGAAUACCCCUGAAUACCCUCGUCCCAUGGCUAUUUCACCCUCCCUUGAAUUAGAGCUUGUAGGAAAUAGAGGUGGAUCCGCAUCGGGCUCUGGUGAGAAUCAUGGUUCUGGUAGGAUUGGGGUUCCUGAAGAAGUGGGUGACGGUGAGGGGAGUAGUUCCGAACCGAACAGACCUCCUUAUAAGAGAAACCUAGGGUGGAGGCAGAUUCUUACCCUAUUGAUUACAUAGCUUGUGCCACCACCCCAACUGACCUGUUCAAACUUAGGAAUCUAUACAACAUUCCCGAAGAGGUUCUCCUUGUAAUUCCUGGGAAAAACGACGUUCCUAGUCGGCCUCCGAGGGGGUAUGUGACGAUGCACCUGGAGAGUUUCAAACUAGGAGCUCGGCUGCCCCUUCAGCGCUACUUUGCCCAGAUACUGGGUGGUAUACACCUGGCCCCAGGUCAGUUACACCCAAAAGGGUGGAGGGUUCUCUCAGCUAUGUAUGUGCUAUGGGAGAGGUGCGGAUCAGAGGAACCUUCCCUUGUUGAAGUAAAGCAUCUGUACCAGCUGCGGAGUAGCCCAAAGGAAGGGGGCUGGUACUACUUUAUGUCCAGCUCUGUAAAGAGGAAGCCGAUCACCGGGUUUCCUUCUUCAUGUAAAAAUUGGAAGAACAAAUUCUUCUUUGCUGGAGGAAAUUAAUGUCCAGCAGCUCGGUCGCUUGGUGGUGAUAUUCACCUUCCAACGCACUUUGUCACCCUAAGUCGUUUAUUUAUUGCCUAUUUUCUUUCUCCAAUCGUCACUUAUUGGGCUCUUUAACCUUGUUUGCUAUUUCAGAGUCGUGGGGUUUGAUCGAGGGGCUUGAAGAGAGACAUUUGCUCCAGGUAGAGACUGCUUUGGUGAACACAUCUACCUGCCAAGAUCUUCUGUCAUUAACAAACCUGGUCGGGUCACGCUUAGUGGACGUAGCUGUCGGAAUGGACAACAAGAUCCUAAGUGCAAUGACUAGGAAGCGUGGUCGGGCUCUAAGCAGCUCCAGUAACCCCCUUCCCCCUUCGAAGAAAAUCAAUGUUAGUCCAUCCAAGGCUUCUGCUCCUGCUCUGCUCCUUCCUCCACUUCGGAAGAAUGGAGGAGAGAAGGUGACUGACAAGUGUCCUGAGGUCAGUAUUCAUUCAGGAGAUCGAUCCUCUCCUCUUCCACUUCGGGAUCAAGGUGACUAUUUGACCCUAUAUCAAAGGGACUAUGGGAAGUCCGUGGGGCCUAAAAUGAUUAAGGACAUCGAGAGCAUGAAUCUUGGUGAAUUGGCUGGUUCUGUCCAGCGGGUCUCCUUCAAGCUGGCUACUCUGGUGUCUUGUUAUAAGAACAGGGCCAUACGUCAUGAGAGGAGGCUUCAGGCUGAUAACCAGGAUCUGAAGAAGAAAGCUGAGUCUGCCGACUGCUCGAAGGAGAAGCUGCUUGAUCUGCACAAGCAAAUCAUGGACCUGGAGGAGAAAGUGGCCAUGGCUGAGUCCACCUCCAUCAAGCUUGAGAAUGAGUUGGGUGAUCUGAAGUCUGAUCACCAGGCCACUCAGAGUGAGCGGGAUACCUUGAAUACGGCUCUUGAGGGCGAAAUCAAAUCUCUGAGUGAGCAAUUGGCCGAGGUGAAAAGCAAAUCUGCUGAUGUGGAUGAUCGGCUAGAUGCAAAGUAUGACUCUGGGGUUGCUUUCUGCUAUAAGUGCAUCAUGUCUGUGCUUAAGGAAGAGUAUUCAGAGCUUAACAUGAACAAGUUUGAGGCUGGAGUGCAAAGGUAUAUGGCCGAGGUCGACCAGGGGGACAAGGAGCAGGGUGACCAAGACCGGGUGGAGGCUCCCUUAGGUGGGGUGCAGGAGGAGGAAGCAGGGGAUCGUGCUCCUGAAGUAGGUCAAUGGUCAGUGCUUCCUCCCCCCGAUGCUGCUAAUCCUCUUCUUUAUGAGAUUGCUGAUCCUUCAGUUGUUGAGGUUGCUGAACCUCCUAAUCUUUAGGCUUAUUUUUGUAUGAAUUUUCAUUUUGUUUGCAAACGCUCGGAUAUUUAUAAAUUUUUGGAUGCUUUCUAUCGGCCUUCCUAUCUGGUUUUUUGCUCAUGGAUUGUUUCUGCAAAUUAACUUGACAAUUUAUUUGAUUUUACCUGCUGGCUCUUUGGUGGACCGAGCAGGAAUAGACGCUUACUUGCCUUAGUAGAAUUUCAUAAAACCGCCUGCUGGUCCUUUCAGCGACCGAGCAGGAAUAAGCGCUUGCUUGCCUUAGUAGAACUUCGCAAAAUUGCCUGCUGGCCUUUUGUUGACCGAGCAGGAAUAGGCACUUGUUUGCCUUAGUAGAAUUUUAUAAAAUUACCUGCUGGUCUUUCGUUGACCUAGUAGGAAUAGGCACUUGUUUGCCUUAGUAGAAUUUUGUAAAAUUGCAUGCUGGUCUUUCGUUGACUGAGCAGGAAUAGGCACUUGUUUGCCUUAGUAGAAUUUUGUAAAAUUGCCUGCUGGUCUUUCUGACCGAGCAGGAAUAGGCACUUGUUUGCCUUAGUAGAAUUUUGUAAAAUUGCCUGCUGGUCUUUCGUUGACCGAGCAGGAAUAGACACUUGUUUGCCUUAGUAGAAUUUUAUAAAAUUGCCUGCUGGUCUUUCGUUGACCGAGCAGGAAAAGACACUUGCUUUCCUUAAGAGAAUUCAAUGGGCUUGCUAGUAGGGGGAUUUCAUGCUGAAUUCAUCUUUAUUGAAACUUAAAUGCAUUACAGAAUAUGCGAAAUAUAUGCAUGUGCAACAAGUCAUCAUGCAUUUAAUAGAAAUAAUUUAUCAAAAUGAAGACUUAGUAGAGCACUUUGCUUACUGGAAAUACUUCUUCAAGUGCUCGGCGUUCCACGACCUCUCGUCCAUCUAAGUACGCUAGCUUGUAAGCUCCUGGUCCAGUCGCUCGUAUCACCAUGUACCGGCCUUCCCAUUUCGGGCCAAGAGCGCCAUGGUUAGGAUCCCUAGUGUUUUGGUUCACCUUCCUAAGUACCCAAUCCCCUGCUCGGAACUGCCUCACGCGUACGUUCUUGUUGUAAUAACGCAUGACUCUUUGCUGACACUGGGCCACUUUCUGUGAGGCCCCUUCCCUUUUCUCCUCCAGCAGGUCCAGGCUCAAGCAGAUCUGCUCGUCGUUUUGCUCCUCGUUGAAGUAUUCUGUCCGAUGUGUCCCCACUCCAAUUUCUGCUGGGACUACCGCCUCAUGACCAAAAGCCAAAGCAAACGGAGUUUCCCCUGUGGCGGUUUUGUGAGUUGUCCGGUAAGCCCACAAUACCCUUGGUAGCUCGUCGACCCAAGCUCCCUUCUCCUCUCCCAGUCUGGUUUUCAGGAGUUUCUUUAUUACUUUGAUGGCUGCUUCCACCUGUUCGUUUGCCUGGGGGUGUGCGGGGGUACAGAACUUCAGGUCCACCCCAAAGUUUCGGCAAAAUUCUCUGAAGUUGUUAUUGUCAAAUUGCCUCCCAUUGUCUGUAAUGAUGGCAUAUGGGAUCCCAUAUCUGCAGAUGAUAUUCUUCCAAAUAAAAUCCGUUGUCUUUCUCUCCGUGAUUUAGCUGAGGACUCCCACUUCUACCCACUUGGUAAAGUAGUCUAUUGCCACAAUUGCAUGUGUCGCCGCUCCUCGGCCUUUAGGUAAUGGACCAAUCAGGUCAAUUCCCCAUUGGGCAAAAGGCCAUAGGGAUGUCAUGGUGGUCAGCUUUUCUGGGGUUGUGCAGGAACCUCUGAGAAGCUUUGGCAGAUUUUACAGUUCUUUGCCAUCCUUUUCGCAUCCUGGUGCAUGGUUGGCUAGAAGUAUCCUUACUGGAGUGCCUUGAAGGUUAAAGUUCUCACUCCCGAGUGAUUGCCACAUAUUCCUUCAUGAAUCUCCCUCAGUACAUAAUCUGCUUCCUCGUCAUCUAAACACCUCAAAAGGGGCAAGGUGAAUCCUCGGCAGUAGAGCACCCUAUCGAGUAGCAUAUACCUUGCUGCUCGGCAUUUUAAUUUCCUUGCUUGCCUCUUGUCCUCCGGUAAAAUGCCAUCACGGAUGUAUAAGAGAAUCGGGUCCAUCCAGGAUUCCUCGGUGCUUAUUCUCAUUACCUCAACUUCCUUCCUUAUACUUGGCGAGGUCCUCACCUAUAGUGGAACUGACUUAGAUAAUUUCGGAUCUACAAUUGCAGCCAUUCUCGCCAACAUAUCUGCUCGGUAAUUCUCAUUCCGGGAUAUCUGCUUUACCUCUACCUCUUGGAAAAGCCCAACCAUCUGCUUUGCCUUCUUCAAAUAAAGCCCCAUCUUCUCUUCCCUUGCUUGGAACUGAUUACUGAGCUGAUUACAGACUAAUUGGGAAUCUGCUCGGAUUUCUACCUUUUCUGCUCUUAGUGCGUGCGCAAGUCCGAGUCCAGUGAUAAAGGCUUCAUAUUCAGCUUGGUUGUUCGUGAGCGGAAACUCGAACUUCACUGCAUAAGUUACUUCGGUCCCUUUUGGGCUUCGUAUUACAAUUCCUGCUCCGGACCCUUGUUCACUACAUGACCCAUCAACCAUUACUAGCCAUACCCCAUCCAGUUUAUCCUACUCUAUUGGUUGCUCUUCCCGAAUUUCUUCCCCUGCUUCAGCACGGUCAACCAUAAAAUCGGACAGGGCUUGGGCUUUUAUUGCUCCUCGAGGCCUAUAGGAUAGGUCAAAUUCGCUCAGCUCCACGGACCAUUUUACUAAUCGACCUGAUGCAUCUGGUUUUUGGACCAUUUGCCGAAAAGGCUAGUCAUUCAUCACAACUAUUGGGUGGGCCUGAAAAUAUGGUCGGCGUUUGCGCGCUGCCGUUAUUAGAGCUAGUGCCCAUUUCUCCAUCGGCGGAUACCUGGUUUCUGCGUCUACUAGGGCCUUGCUUGUGUAGUAUACGGGGUGUUGCUUUCCUUCUUCUUCUCUGACUAGCACCGAGCUGGUUGCCCAUUUUGAGAUUGCUAAGUACAAAAACAGCUGGUCACCCUCUCUCGUAGUUGAUAGUAACGGGGCGCGGGCUAAGUAAUCCUUCAGCUGUCCAAACGCCUCAUCACAUUCCGAUGUCCACUCCAUCUUUCUCCCUUUCAUUAUGGUUUGGAAGAAAGGGUGGAAUUUAUCUAUGGCCCGCGAGAUAAAUUGGUUCAAUGCUGCCAAUUUCCCUGUAAGACUGUGCACCUCCUUAACUGUUCGUAGGGACCUCAUUUCUGUCACCGCCCGUAUUUUUUUCGGGUUGGCCUCGAUCCCUCAGUUGCUCACCAGGAAUCCCAAGAAUUUGCCCGAGCUGACCCCGAAUGCACAUUUGUCUGGGUUCAGCUUCAUUUCGUACUUCCUCAGCAACUCAAAGGUCUCUUCCAAGUGCUUCACAUGAUCCCUUGGUUCUUUGAACUUUGUGAUCAUAUCAUCCACAUACACCUCUAUAGUAUGGCCGAUCAAUGGUUUGAAGAUCUUGUUCACCAACCUUUGAUAGGUAGCUCUUGUAUUUUUUAGACCGAAAGGCAUUACCCUGUAACAAGACAAACCCAUAUUAGUUAUGAAGGUGGUGCUUUCCUCAUCCUACUCGUCCAUGGGUAUCUGGUUGUAUCUGAAAAAGGCAUCCAUGAAGCUGAGCAGACUGUGGCCCGCUGUUGAGUCCACCAAUUGAUCUAUUUUUGGUAGGGGAAAACUGUCCUUCGGGCACACCUUAUUGAGGUCCUUAAAAUCCACACACAUUCUCCAUUUCCCGUUGGCCUUCUUUACCAGUACUACAUUAGAAAUCCACUCCGGGUAUUUGGCCUCCCUUAUAAAUCCUGCUUUCAGCAGCUUUUCCACCUCGGCAUUUAUGGCCUCGUACCUUUCCUGGUUAAAACACCUCAUUUUCUGCCUUACCGGCCUUGCUCCUUUCUUGAUCGCCAAUUUGUGGUAUGCUGCCCUGCGAUCAAUUCCUGGCAUGUUCUCAUGAGACCAGGCAAAUAUGUCUGCAUGAGACUGUAGACACCUCACCAGCUCGCCCUUUAUUGUCUCACCCAAUCUCGACCCGAUCCUAACCACUCUGCUCGGGUUACUCCUACUCACAAAGACCUCCUCCAGAUUCUCAACAGGUUCCUGGCGACCCUUUCUAGAAUCCUCUCGGUUAUCUAGAGAGGUAACUUGUAGCGUCUCCUUGGCCGCUGUAGCAUAACAACUCCUUGCCAUUCUCUGGUCACCUUUUACUACGCCAACAACUCCAUUUACUCUAUACUUCAAUGCCAGAUAAUGCGUGGAUAUAACGCAUUGGCUUAUCCUCAUGAACGGUCUCCCCAGUAUCAUCUGGUAAGGGCUUCUUUCUUCUACCACGACAAAGUCCAGCAUCAUCGUUCUUUCAAAUGGCUUUGACCUCAUAGUAAUCGAGAGUUCGAUGAUCCCCAUGGGAGUUAACCGUCCCCCUCCAAAUCCCUUCAAGGAUGUAUUCGUCCGUUCCAGUUUCAAGUCUGAAAUUCCCAUAUCAUCUAAGGUCGAUUUAAACAGGAUGUCAACCGAGCUGCCCGUGUCUACCAGUAUUCGCCGCAACUCUAUACCAGCCACCCUUGCUUUAAUCACCAGUGCAUCCUCUCAUACAAUUCUUCCAUGGAGAUUUUUAAUGGGGUGUAUUGUCUAUGCGCCAAGCUCUGAUCAACCAGUUGGACUGCUCGGCUAUCAUGGAUAUCGCCCCGGGCUGAUAUCGUAGGCAACUGAUUUGGUCGUCCAGCCCUGGAGUUAGUUGUGUGUAGUGCUAUGGGAGCAUUGUGGUAAGGGUGGGCAACCAACUGCCUAAAUUCUCGUUGUCGUUCCGGGAACGGGGGGGGGGGGACGGUGGUUGAGCCCGGCUGUGUUGGAGCUGUUGUGGUCUCUGAGCUAUGGGAUAAGGGUGGGACCGAGUUGAUAUUCCGUCCAUUACUGAGGAUUCCCCAGCUCGCUUUUCCGAUCCGCUCCCGUUCGGGGCUCUCCGUUCCUUUCGUCUCAGCUCUUCUAGCUAUUCACUUUUUAUCCUCGCCGAUUUCUCCUCUUCGAUUUCUAUAUCUCUCCUUGCCUGAUCAUACCCCGCCGAAUAAUUCUGCACCAAGGGACUUCUCAAGUUAUACCACAGUCAGCUUAUUCUCACCCCCUCUUUUAAUCCCCUCAGUGCCUGCGGGUGAUUAAAAGCUUCCAGAUCUAGCACGGCUCGGUGAUAUCGUUUUAUAAAAUCCCGAAGGGAUUCAUGUUCCUCUUGUUUCAUCCCCAUCAGCUCCAUCAUGUCGUCCUCUGGGGCCACUGCUCCUCGAAACUGCUCGGCCAACUCUUGGCACAUUUGCUCGUACCUUUUUAUACUUCCUCGGGGCAACUUGUGGUAUCAUUCUCGGGCUCGUCCCUCUAGUGUCAACGGGAACACCCUACACCUCUGAGCUGGUGUCAGCCCCUGCACACCCGUCAUGUCGUUGAAACGUUCAAUAUGCACCAGCGGGUCACUUCGCCCGGAGUAUUUGAGGUCGGGGAAGCAAAAAUUUCUUGGGAUUACAGUACCCAUGAUUUCGGUUGAUAACGGAGACUCUUCAUCUAGCAUUAUCCCCCAGCUCAGGGGCUUUCUCUUGCCCUAAAUCUCCUCCAUCACCUGCGCCAAUCUGCGCACCUCUCCCUCCAAUUCUAUAGCACGGUCAGGAUCGCGCACAGCUAUCUGAUCUCGUUCCUGCUCGGCAUUCUGCAACCGCUGUCUGAGCUCUCCUUCAUUAACACUGGCCCCUCGGCCAUCAAUUUCCAGUACCUGUCCGGGGCGAGGUUGGUCCCUCCCUUUAUCCACGCACUCUCCAUGAACUCGACCAGUACUUCUACAGGGAUGCACCCCAUUAAGUUGGUCUGCCGGCAGAGGGAUUUCCUCUACUUUACGCCUCCGAAGGCUGGGUUCUGCUUCAACUUCAUCUCUCCCCAUGGGGGUUUCACAAUCCCUUCUCCGCUCAUCCCUCAGCUCAUAUAAUAUGGCCGUGAGAGUAUCCAUUUGUUUCUCUAUCCGCUCCAGUCGAUCUUGCAUUGUCCUCUCUCGAGCUUCAUUCACAAUUUUCCGGAAAGUGAUUGUUUCAACAGUUUCAUUGUCAUCCCUCAAAGCAUCCUUCCUUGACGCAUCCAUAUCCAACCGUUCGCUGCUUCUCCGGUAACUACUAAUUUGAUGGUAGCUUUUUAUUCAACUCCCCACAGACGGCGCCAAAAUGUUGAUGCUGAAAUCUGCUCGCUCUUUGCCCGACCAGACCUUUACACCAACGUUUAUGUAGUCAAUAGUGAGGAUGUCAAUUUCUUCUUGCUUCAACGAACGCUCUAGUCACUAAAGUUGGAAUUGUCCUUCCUUCUCCCACUGAGCCUGCGUUCACAAAAGUAGAUCAGAGAUGCCGGUGGUUUUACCGGAGUAAAAUCUUCGAUGCCUAUGUUAGCACAAAGUGUUUACGGGAAAAUGAUGCAAUUUGGAUUCGAUAAGUUGCUUAUAAUUGGCUCACAGUUUGUAUUAAAAAUGGUCUGAUUUCAAUUUGGCAGAGUUUUUCCCUCUCUCAAUUUUUCUGUCCCCUUCUUCAUUGGUUUCUUCCUCUUUUAUAGCCGCUGUCCCACGUUUCCGUUCACCCUUCAUCCCCCCCUUAUCUCGGGUAGUGGCAGCCCCUCAUGGGACUCCAACCGCUAUAUCGUGGGUAAACGUGGGACACUGUGUCUCCCUCGACGGUUCUGGGCAUAGCGCAACUGUCGUGCUUUCGUGAGAUCGUGUUCCCGCUCUUUGGGGAAUGAGUAUCUGCUCAGUAUAUGUCUCUACUCGGUGUAUUCCUCUGGCUGAUAUUCGUCUUUGGUCGGUGUAUUCCUCUGGCUGAUAUUCGUCUUUGGUCGGUGUAUUCCUCUGGCUGAUAUUCGUCUCUGGUCGACCCAUGUUGGUAGAAGGCUCAUUAUCAAUGUUCUGCUCAUAUUAUUUGGCUGAGGUGAUCCAUGCCGGGAUGGGGAUGAUGGCCUGUCUGUGCUGGUGCUCUUAUUUACUCAACACCAACUUGAAUCAAACUGACGUCCCCAGUUGAGAAGAGUUAAAUUAAAUAAUAUUUUGGUGAUUUCAUGUGCGUAAAAUUAUAAAUUUAUAACCAUCAAUAUAUCACCAGACUUUGUAAAGUUAAUGUGAAAAUGCAUCACAAUUGUACUUAUUAUCUUUUUUCUGUUUUUCUUUUCCAAAUAGUCUAAUACCAAUGGCGUGCCCUCGUGGGUCCUCAAAUUAUUCAAAUGGGCAUUUCAUCGAACAGUGGAUAUACUCGGCAUGUGCACUUAGAAGACGCGUUCAAAAGCUCUAAAUCAUGUUAAAGUCGACCAAAAAGACAAAACAUAGAAAGCGACAAUCCAACAACUAGGUAAAAAUAUUCGCUGUCACAAAUGGUUGGGAAAUUUACAGUAAUAACCAUUAAAAUUUUGAUUUUUUUCAUCUUAACCUCCCAAAAAUAUUUCUAUCAACAUUAGCCAUAAAACAACCUUUGAGACCAAAAUACCCCUCUCCCUCAUCUCUCCCCCAACAUUCCCUUUCACUCAUCUCUCCCAAACCGAUCCAACUCCCAUCAUCGGCGGCAACAUCAACCCUCGUCGGCGGCGGCUCCAUCUCUCACCGACAUCCGAUCUACGAUCUACAACCUUCAAGGUUAGUCAUUUUUCUUAUUUUCAUUAAUUUAAAAUGAAAUUUUAGAAUAAUAAUAGUUAUAGCUUGAGAAUAAUGGUGGUGGUGGUGGUGUUUGUGGUGGUUGGUGGUGUUUGGGAGCAUUGUUUUUUGAUUUUGGAGUGUUGUGGCUUAAUUUUAGAGUGGCCUUUUUUUUAAAGAGUCAAUUUUUUUUAUGUAAAUAUAAUGUAAUAAUUUUAUAAAUAUUAUAGAUACAUGGCGAAAUCAGAAUCACCAGAUAUCGAAGUAGGCAAUAUGUAUUUUUGUUAUGCCGAUCACUUUCCUGGUCGAAUUUUGAGCAUGUGUAAGUUAUCUUCGGUCGUAAAAGCCAUCGAGGAAAAAUUAACAAAGCGGCAGUUGAGUAUGUUAAAAAAUGAUAUAUUUGGGCAUUUCUUGGAGUGUCAAAGUUUUUCAUUUAGUAGGGUAAUUUUGCACAAUCUUUUACUGAGGCAAGUGGCCCAUGAAGAAGAUAGCCGUGAGGAUCAGUUAUGGUUUCAAAUUGGUGAGCAUUUGAUUCGCUUGUCAAUUGUCGAAUGGUGCUUGGUUACUGGACUUUCAUUUGGUGUUGAUACCAAACGAAAAAUUGAUGAAAUGGAGGAGAGGCUACGAAAUACGUAUUUUGGUGGUGUGCAUCGUAAGAUUAAUGUGAACGAAUUCGAUGCAGUAUUUAAGGAGUUGAAAUUCGAGGAAAUGGACGAUAUGGACGCAUUAAAGAUUGCGUUGUUUUAUUUUGCGGACAUAGUACUAAAUGCAAGAAACAAUCACUGUCAAAUCAAUUUCGAUUGGCUUGACGAAGUUGAUGAUAUAGAGUACUUCCGAAAGUGUCCAUGGGGUCUAUUGUCGUGGAAAAUGAUUUACGAGAGUCUUGACAAUGCACUGUUCGAGAAAGACGAGAAAUUUAAGAGGACUCGGUUGAAAAAUCCAGAUCAUAACAUUGAAAAAUACAAUCUUUACGGCUUUACGUCCGGGGUUCAGGUGCGUUUUUUUUGUUUAUUAAUAAGUUUUAUAAUAUUAAAUAUUUGAUAGUUGUUUUAUUACAUUUUUCACUUUGGUUGUUGUAGGCUUGGAUUUACGAAGCAAUCGGAGGGUUGCCAUCAACAUGGGUCGUCAAAACGAAGAAGAAGAUUCCCCGCAUUCUGCAAUGGAAGCCCAUAGCGUCUUCGAGAAUCAACUUUGCGGAGGUUUAUUCGUUCUUCAACGACGAAUCUCGUCUUGUAAGUAAUAUGUAUUACUUAUUUUUUUAACUUUACUAAAUUUAAGUUAUGUAUACUUACUUAAAAUUUUCAAUUGAAUUUAUGGCAGGGGGACGUUUUACAAACUCUUGAGCCAAAUUCAAAGAAGAGUAGCAGAAAAUAUUGGCUCUCUGUGAAGGAUUACUUGCCAAGCAUUCCAGACUGGGUUCAUAAGGUCGGUAUACUCUAAGUACUAAAAAUUUUUUAAUCGAAAUUUUUGACUUUUCAUUUACUAAUUUUAAAUGAUACUUUAUACAUCACCAACCCUCAAUCAACGCGAUGCCGUCGGUUACAAGGCAAUCAAACGAGCAAUCCGAUCAUGACGACAUACCAAACCCAAUAUCAGAGCAGCGUCAUGACACUUUUGAGGAUGAGGUGGCUAUUGAUGACCACCAGGAGCAAACAGACAACUCUGAUGAUGCACGUGAUUCUGAGGUUAUAAAUAAUAUACGAUAUUUUUCCUUUAUAAAUCAUUAUUUUUUUACUGUUAGUCUAAAGUUUUAUUUUUUUGUUUUGUAAUAGUCGAGGACAAAGCUGUUUAAUGAUUACAUACGACGACGGCUGGAUAAGAUUGAUCGUAACGUGUAUGAAAUGAAGUCAGAAUUAAAAGAUUUUAAAGAAACCGUUGUUGGCUUCAUCGACACAUUUUCUAAACGUUCAAAUAAGGAUUCUCCCAGUGCACACUCGUAUGCGGUGAGCAAAUUUAAAUUUAAUAAUUAUGUUCGUUUAACUUUUGAUUUGAUAGUUUUUUAAUAUGUUCUUCUUGGCGACUGGACAGGCCCCGGAUGACUAUGGAGUGUAUACUGACGUGGGCAAUCAAAAUUUGUCUACGCCCACGUCAUUGUAUAGUUUCUAAGGCGAUGUUAGUGGGGAGUGUUAGCCUAAAGGGCUAUACAUAAUAUAAUUUUGAUGAUAACAAACAUAUGUAUUGAGUGAUUUAAUAAAUAUUGUAUUUCACAUUUUCACUAGUUUUUGAAGGAUAAUAUUUAUGCAAGUGAAUCAAGUGAAAUCAAGACUCAAGACACUCAACGGACAACGGCGAAAUCAAGAAUAAAGUUUAGAGCUCAACGGACAAUUUAUUGCGACAAAUUCUUGUAAAGCCGGUAUGAUUUAAUUGAUGCAUGAUUUAGCAUUUGAGAAGCUCAAUAGAUUAAUUUAAUACUUUUCAUAAACUAAAAUUUUUUAUUUUUAUAAAGUAAAGUAUUUUGUGGAUUUAAGUAAUUUGGACUUAAAUGCUAAGAUUUGUAAUCUUUGAGUUUAUUAAAUAUUUUUUUGAAAUUCAAAUUUGGACUUAUUUGCAAAGGUUUGAAACAUUUUGGGUCAUACCAUAAUUUAUGAAACUUUGAGGACCCCAAUGUAAUUUAGACACUUGAAAUCAACAGUUGGACAGUGAGGAAGCGGCUAACCGCCUGAGGGCUAGCGGCUAGCCGCCUGAGGAAAUUCUCAUAUUUUCAAUUUUUGGAUUAAAGUGAAAGAUUUUGAGAACUUUAAAAAAUAUGAGUAUUAUGUUAUAUUUGUAAAGGACCUCUUUGAAAAAUAAUAAAAUCUUUGGGGCCAUAUCAUGAUUUUAGAAAGUUUAGAAAAGACAACUAUUUUUACGAAGUUCUGAAAUUGGACUUAUUUGUAAAGUUUUCUAAUGUUUUGGGUCAUAGUAUAAUUAUAUAAAGUUUUGGGUCAAAGUGUAAUUUCAGUGAACAAUAUUACUGUAGCAAAAUUCAAAAAUAACGGUAAUAUCACUGUUUCUGAGCGGCUAGCCGCUUGGGCGCUGGAAUUUGCCUAUAACGACUAGUUUUCGGGCUUUCACUAUAAAAACUCAACUCCAACUUCAUUUUAAAGAUAAACACAAGCAACUAUAAGAUCAUAUAACAUAUAUUGAGCUUCCAUUUCGUAAAUCAUCAUUUGUUGAAUCAUCAUUGAGAUAUAAUUUGUUAUUCACUCUUAAAGAGAGUUUUAUUGUUGUGAAUUUCAUUUCUCAUAAAUUUGUGAGUGUAUAAGUGUGGGAAACACUUGGGGUGAAGAGAUUGAGGAUAUAAUCUCUUGUUGUAAAGGUUCAUUGACACCUUGGAAGUCAAUUGUAAACAUUUGAAGCCUUGGGAGGCUUGGAUAGUGAAAUCCUCAAGCCGGGUGUUCUUGGAGGUGUGGACGUAGGCGGGGAUAGCCGAACCACGUAAAAAUCCUUGUGUUCGUUUUCUCUUCCCUUACUCUUUUAAAUUGUGCUUGAUUGAAUUUAUUGUUUUGAUUUGAUGAAGGCAAUAGAUUAAAUUGUUGUGCGAAUUGUAUUGAAUAGAUUUUAAAAUCCCAAUUCACCCCCCCUCUUGGGUUGCAUAACUUGCAUUUCAGGGAGAGCGUGCAGGUGUUCACUGAGGUGCCUCCAAGCGUUAGUAAGUUCGGCCGCGCGUACAUACCGUCGUAUGUUUAUAACAGUCCUUACAUGAUUCCUCCAGUCAGGCGAGGACAGAACGUCCGGCCUUUACCUCGACCCCAAAUCAUGGAGCAUGCGAUUGACAUGAGUACGAGUGUGGAUGUAAAUCCACUGAGAGGAUUAGAGGACUCUAGUCUGUUUGCUGAGUUUGAUCGAUGGUUCACUGGUGAUAUCAGAGUCCGCCGGAGAGUCCAGCACCCGCGGUCAUUCUUUCAAAUAAUUUUGGGUACAGCUUCGAUGGGAUGGCUAGGCGAUGAGGUAUUUAUAUUUUUGAAGUUUUUUGAGUGUUGUGGAUUUGUGUAUAAAAUUUUUCUUUUAAAUCGUAAUAUAUCUGUUUCUCUACAGCAUAUUCACGAGUAUCUCCGCUUGAUUAGCGAGAAACAACGGCAGUAUCCGAAUGCCUUACUCCAACGUGUCACACAUACUGACACAUUUGUUUGGGUAACGUGCCGACAAAACUUAUAAAUACUAUUUAUUUAUUUUUUAAUUAUUGCCUUAAAGUUUUGUUAAUUUAUGCAUUUCUUGGUUAUCUAUGUACUAGGUGUUCUUGAAUCAGUUAUGGAAUAACGGGGAUUGUGCGGUCGAUUCAUUGGUAUUCGACGACCGCUUGAAUAGUUAUCUUUGUGGGCGACAACACACAAUGUCCAAAUCAAUGACGGAUGUCGAUAUGGUAUGUAUUUUAUUGCAUUUCACAUACUCCAUAUUGAAAAUAUUCGAGUUGUCGCUUUUUCUUUGUUGUAUUUCAAUUUCAUAUAUAACGAACAUGUUUUUCAAUUUUUAUAUACAGUUACUCAUCCCUGUUAAGUUGGACGGCGCGCAUUAGGUACUAGCACGAGUUGACUUUCGGAAAAUAAAGUCUGGAUUUAUGACUCAUUACUCACAUUUCGCGACGACAAAAGGUACAAGUUGAAAUUCAAGCCACUUGAAGUUAUAUUCCCUCGAUGGUUGGAAUAUGUUGGCUUCUACAACAUCCGACCUGAGUUGAGGAGUGCAGACCCCUGGAAAGUUAUCGCAGUUAAGAGCGCGCCACAACAAGAGCCUGGAACUGGCGAUUGCGGUGUUUUUGUAUUGAUGGUUACGAUGUAUUUAAUGUUCGGGCUUAGAUUGGAGUUUAACGCUAGUCAUGUCGAGUACUUUAGAAAGAAGAUUGCGGUUGACAUAUUUAAUGACGAUAUUGUAUUGUAAACCUAUGUAGUAAUUUCAAUGUUGAAAUUUGAAUUUUUAUUUUAAUUUGCGCACUUAAGUUUAUAUAAUGCUCAAAUUUUAAUAUUUAAAAUAAAAUAAAGUUUUAUAACAUAUAAGUGUACAAUACACAAAAAACAAUAACAAUUUUAACCAACGAAAUACAAAAAAUAAUAACAGUUUUAACCAACAAAACACAAAAAACAAUAACAGUUUUAACUAACGAAUAACACACAAAAUACAAUUAACUUCGAGUCGACGCAAUGGGAUUCUUACAUCGCUUACGAUUAUGGCCCAGUUCAUGACACCGCCCGUAUCUUACAGUCUGCCGGUUAACGUCCUCACCAGCCGAGGGUAUUCUGAACUCUUUACGACGGCCAGGUGGUAGUGUCUCAACUGGUGGGUAUACUUGCAUCUCCUGAAUUUCAUCUAGAAUUUCCCAAUCAGCCACAUCACCAACUGGUUCCACUGGUUGUACAUAAGCCAUCGCCACAAAUUCUGUAGUGUAAAAGUCCGAGCAAAGGUUAAUAAAAUCCACCCGGUGUGUUAGACAUGUCGCAAUUGCAUGAGCACACACAAGCUGAUCAAGCUGAAACACUCUGCAAGAGCAAGUUCUCUUUUGCAAGUCAACCAAACCUUCCUUAAGCCCACCGCCUAUAACUUGAAAUCGAUGCGGAGACACCGGCCGAACUAUCAUUCUUUCAGCUAUAGUUCUCAUCUCAGUGACAAUUUCAUCCGCCCAUGUUGUUAGCUGAGUAGUCAUUGAUUCAACCACAAUUUUUCUAUCAUAAAACCAUUACUAUAAUGUUUUCCUAAAGUGAUCAACAAGAUGAGUAACAGGAAAUUUUCGAGGUUCCCUCAUGAAAGCAUUAACACUCUCCGCGAUGUUGGUGGUAAGUAUGCUGUACCUCCUACCUUCAAACUGAGACCUUGCCCAAUUACACGUACCGACAUUAUUUUUUACGUAAUCAGCCGCACCCGAGUGGAUCAUCCACAACCCUUCAAGUUGUCUCUUAAAUUCCUCGUGGCCAUAUGCUUUUGCUGCAUUAAUAAAGGCAGGCUCAAAUUCAUCCCAAAGAGCUUUGGACAUUCUAAAUUGUGACUUAAUGUUACCUUUGACAUGGUAAAAACAAACGCCAUGAGUUGCAUUGUGAAAUACUUUAAGAACGGCUCUCCUUAUGGCAGUGCAUCGAUCAGAGAUAAUUACCAACUCAGGUCUAUCGCCAAUCACUCCGUGUAACUUCAUCAUAAACCAUUCACAAGCAUCAUUAUUUUCUGAAUCCAUGAUCCCAAUAGCUAACGGAUACAAUUGAUUGUUACCAUCAAGACAUGUUGCCACGAACAUGCUUCCACGAUAUAGUCCCUUCAGAUGAGUACCAUCUACAGCAAUGACAGGCUGAAUGUACUGCAUAAACCCAUUGAUGGAAGAUCAGAGUGCAACAAAAUAGUACAAGAAAUUACCAUCUCCAUUCUGCUCGAGGUGAGUGACUAUACCCUCAUUCGCUGUAGUUAGUACGUGAGAGUAUUUAGGGAGUGUCGAGUGUUAGAAAAUGCAUAUUUAUAAAGGAGAAAACCGUCAUUUGACAUUUCAAGUCUUACUAACAACCCUUACUUUUAUGUAUUUAACCUUCUUGUGAUUUAAUUACAUGUGUUUUAUUUUAAUUAAGUAUUUUAUGUAUUUUAGGUGCAUUAUAGUCAUUUCACAAUAAAGGAGAGAUCAGACGGCAAAACGGACAUCACUUUUGAACUCAGGACGGUCGAAAACCUUAGGAGGAGCAUAAAAGGAAAAAUCACACUAUUCACAUGUACGGUACUAUUCACGUGUACGGUACUGUCUACGUACUGUUCACGACACUGUUCACAUAGACGGAUCGAUGAUGUGGCAUUGACCGAUGAUGUGGCAUUGACUGAUGAGGUGUCACGAUCCUGUUGGGCUAAAAUUCUUAUGUACUGUUGAUGAUGACGUGGCAGCAUAUCAGUGGACGAAAAAUCUCUCGUACGGUACAUGCAUCACACAGGAUUAUUUUCAACCAAACCGUGUUACUGUUCAUCCGGGUCAAACCGUGUUACUGUUCAUCCCCGUGGUCAAACCACAUACUGUUGACUGAUGACGUGGCGCAAUCCUGAGCGUCCAAACUGUUUUUAAUCCGAUUGCCAUGAUUUACUCCAUGUAUCUAUAAAAAGGGGGCCUCUCCCCCCUAAUUGGAUAGCUCUAAAUCCAUUUUUGGGAUCCAUUUUCUGUAAUUCCUUCUCCAUCUUGUAUUUUCUUCAUAUUUUAAUAAAUUCCCAUUUUGCCCCUAGUUCAAUUAUGAGUGGCUAAUUUCCUUUCAAGCUUGGGUUGAAGGUGAAGUCUCAACAUGUAUCAUGGGCUUAAUUUGGUAAAUUUAUUUUCUCUUCCCCUCUAGAUUUUGUGUAUGUUUUGACUUCUCGUCGACAAAUAAUACUAAUCUUGUCUAGUACCGCCUUGGUUUCACCGGCCCUCUAGUACAAGGUUAUUAUUAUUUGGCACGAUAAGCCCUUAGCACCAUAUUGAUUAGAGCGUGGUUCAUGAGGUGUGGAUUCCCCCCUCAUGAUUUAAUUAGCAUUAAUAAGGAUUAUUUAGCCCAUGAUGCAUGUUGAUACGGAUCCAGAUACCCAAGUACGUCAUUUCAAUAUAAUUCUCUUCAAUUUAUUCUCGUCAUUUCAAUACCAAUUUUAGAAUUUAUUCUCGCCAUUUUAAUUUAAGUUUUAGCAUAUUCCAAAUUAUUUCCACAACAAAUCCAAUCACCCAUUUACAAAAUUAAUUCUACACAAUUAAAAUCCACCUCCUCGUGGGAUCGACACUCGUCACCAUUGAUCUAUACUACAAUAGAUUCGUGCGCUUGCGAGUACAUUAAAAUUUGCACAACAAGUUUUUGGCGCCGUUGCCGGGGAGGUAAGUUAUUUUAAUUUGUAGAAUUAAUUUUUGUCAAUAAUUUCUUUUAUUUGUUUUCUUGUAUUUUUUUUCUUAUUAAAAGAAAAAAAAAGGUGAAUCUACAUUUAAAGGUUAGUAUUUCUUUUCUUUUUCUCUUCUUUAAAAUUUUGUAAUUUAAUUUUCAAUUUAUUUUUUUUUCUUUGUAAUUUUUGUUUAUUUUAUUAAUUUAAUUUUUAGUUAAUUUAUUUCACGUAUUUGUUUUUGUGUAUUUUUAUAGAAAGGUUGUAAUAGCGCAAUAAGGUUAGUAUCAUAAUUUCUCCCUCUUCUUUAUUUUUAUUUGAUUUGUUCCCAUUUAUUUUUGUGUUUCUUGCAUGCAUGGUCGUAGGUCAUUAUUUCCUAAUCUUGAACCUAUAGACCUUGAAUUAGAAAAAACACUUCGCACACACAAACACGUUAAAAAUAAAAUGGAUUUACAAGCACCACAGGAGAGGCCAUUUAAGGAUUAUUUCAGUCCUUUAGCAAAUUUGAGCACAUCAUGCAUAAGAUACCCAAAUGUAGCUGCUAGGAGUUUUGAACUAAAACCUAGUGUGCUAAAUUGUCUCCCCACAUUUUAUGGCCUAGAAAAUGAGGACCCAUAUAAUCAUUUGAAUGAUUUUCAUGCUAUUUGUCAAACAUUUAAAUAUGAGAAUUUUUCAGAUGAUGAUGUUAAACUUAGAUUAUUCCCAUUUUCUUUAAAGGAUAGAGCUCGUUCAUGGCUUAAUACAUUGCCUGCCAAUAGCAUUGCAUCAUGGGAACAAAUGGUAACGAAAUUUUUGAAUAAAUAUUUCUCAGUGCAUAAAACCAAUGCUAUUCGCAGGGAAAUCUCAGAGUUUACCCAGAGAGAUGAUGAGCAGUUUUUCGAAACAUGGGAGCGAUUCAAUGGGCUACUCUUGAAGUGUCCACAUCAUGGGUACGAGAAAUGGCACUAAUGCCAAUAUUUUUUGGAGGGAUUAUUACCGAAUGUGCAAGAAUGGCUAAUGGCAACAAGUGGAGGAGAGCUAAUGUCAAAAAGUGCAUCAGAGAUUUGGGAAUUCUUCCAGAGACAAGCGGAUAAUUCCCAACAACGGAGUCGAUCACUCAGGAAUACUAGAAGGAUUAAAGGAGUGAAUGAGGUCCACAUUGGCGAGUCAAGUUCAGAAAUUAAAGAAGUCAAAGCGAUAAUUGAAGGUCUCUCUCGACAAAUAGCAUCGUUAUCGACUGCUAAAUCAACAGAGCCACAUGACCAUGACUCAUACUCAGAUCAAGCCAAUGCCAUUGGUAUAAUGAGAAAACCAUCGAAUUACAACCCAUACUCCAACACAUAUAACCCUGGAUGGAGAGACCACCCCAAUUUUUCAUGGUCUCAAGGAUUCCAACAGAAUGGACCAGCGGCUCCAGCUCUACCAAUUCCUCAAAAUCCUCAAGCCUCUCAGCCCCCAUUUAGACCAUACAAUCAGAACCAGAACUACACUCAGCCCAGACCAUGGGAGGAUUCAUUCCAGAAUCUUAAGAAUCUUAAGAAUCUUACUCACUCCACGAUUGAGCAACAUAACCGCACCAUUGAUGGACUACGAAAUGAGUUGAGAGCAGGCUUCAACUCACAAGCUCAAUCAGUUUCAAGCCUCAAGAAGAUGGUGGGACAACUUGCUUCUUUAGUUCAGACCUUGGCAAUGACCGUUGAGAAAGGUAAAUUUCCAAGUCAACCAGUGCCUAACCCUAAAGGAGUACAUGAAGCAAGUACCAGUUCACCACAACAGCAUGGAGAGGUCAAAGCAGUCAUGACCUUGCGAAAAGGAAAAGAAGUCGACAACAAAGUGGAGAUGCCGGUGACAAAAGAAAAUCAAAUUGUACCUUUGAAUGUUGAGGACUCACCACCGGAGGAAAAAAAAGAAACCAACCCACGAGAAUAUGUUCCUAAAGCUCCAUUUCCUCAGAGGUUAGCGAAAGGAAAGAAGGGAAAAUCCACAGGUGAGAUUCUUGAAAUCUUCAAACAGGUAAGUGUUAACAUCCCUUUACUUGAUGCGAUUAAACAAGUUCCAUCUUAUGCCAAGUUUCUUAAAGACCUCUGUACUAAAAAGAGAAAUAUGCAUGUUCAAAAGAAGGCAUUUUUAACAGAAAACGUUAGUUCUAUACUCCAACAUAAAAUUCCUCUAAAAUGCAAAAACCCAGGAUCCCCCACUAUCUCAUGUAGCAUAGGGAACCACACAAUUGAGAAUGCUUUGUUGGAUUUAGGAGCUAGUGUAAAUUUGUUGCCUUACUCUGUUUUCGUGAAACUUGGACUUGGAGAAUUACACCCAACUCCAGUGGUGUUACAACUCGCAGAUCGGUCCACGAAAAUACCUCGUGGUAUUGUGGAGGACGUGCUUAUCCAGGUAGACAAGUUUUAUUUUCCUGUUGAUUUCAUUGUAAUUGACAUUCAACCUAUACAGGAUUCAAGGAAGCACAUCCCUAUUAUCCUAGGCCGACAUUUCUUGGCAACUACGGAUGCUCACAUUCAAUGCAGGACUGGAAAUAUGCAGUUGUCCUUCGGCAAUAUGACUAUGGAGCUGAACAUCUUCAACAUUGCCAAACAACCUCAUAAUGCAGAUGAUGGAAUUGUUGAUGUGGAUUUAAUAGAAGCAUUAGUUGAUGACUCUUUUAUUUCACACCUUAGUGAUGAUCCUUUACAAACAUGUUUAACUCACUUUGGUUUGGAUUUUGAUAUUGACAGAUCAGUUGAUGAGGUCAACGCCCUGCUUGACUCAGCACCAUCCAUGGACACUAAUAAAUGGAAGUCACGAGUUGAACAACUAGCACCAUCAGAGAAGAAACUCAUCCCAUCAUCAGAAUCACCACCGAAACUCGAGCUCAAACCAUUGCCCAACACAUUGGAAUAUGCAUUUUUAGGGGAAGAAAGUUCUCUGCCGGUAAUCAUCUCAUCAUCCCUCAAUGACAAACAAAAAGGUAAGUUGUUGGAUGUUUUAAAAGAGCACAAAGGAGCAUUAGGAUGGACCAUAGUGGACAUAAGAGGUAUAAACCCAGUAGACUGCAUGCAUUACAUUCACCUCGAUGAAAAUGCUAAAUCUACUAGGGAAAUGCAACGUCGGUUAAAUCCUAAUAUGAAAGAAGUUGUUAGAACUGAAGUCCUUAAGCUAUUAGACACAGGUAUCAUUUACCCAAUUUAUGAUAGUUCAUGGGUCAGUCCUGUACAAGUUGUCCCCAAAAAGUCAGGAGUCACAGUAGUUACCAAUGCUGAUAAUGAAUUGAUACCAACUAGAGUAACUACAAGAUGGCGUGUAUGCAUUGAUUAUAGAAAGUUGAAUUCUGUCACACAUAAAUACCAUUUUCCUUUACCAUUUAUCGAUCAAAUGCUUGAUAGAUUAGCAGGUCAUGAAUUUUAUUACUUUUUAGAUGGCUACUCAGGAUAUAAUCAGAUUCUCAUAGCACCAAAAGAUCAGGAGAAAACUACUUUCACUUGCCCUUUUGGCCCAUUUGCAUAUACGAGGAUGCCAUUUGGAUUAUGUAAUGCACCUGCUACAUUUCAACGAUGCAUGUUAAGCAUUUUUUCUGAUAUGGUUGAACGAUUCCUUGAAGUCUUUAUGGAUGACUUUUCUAUCUUUGGUGAUUCGUUUGAUCAAUGUUUACAUCAUCUAACACUAGUUCUGCAGAGAUGUAUUGAGAAGAACUUGAUCUUAAAUUGGGAGAAGUGCCAUUUUAUGGUAAAACAAGGUAUUGUUCUCGGUCACAUCAUUUCGAGCAAAGGUAUUGAGGUUGACAAAGCCAAGGUGGAUCUCAUUUCUAAUCUUCCUCCACCUAAAACAGUCAUAGAAGUAAGAUCUUUCCUUGGGCAUGCUGGUUUUUAUAGACGUUUCAUUAAAGAUUUUAGCAAAGUUUCUCGACCCUUAUGCAAUCUACUUGCUAAGGAUGUACCUUUUGUCUUUGAUGAUUCAUGUCUUGUGGCAUUUGGAAAAUUAAAGCAGUUGUUGACAUCAUCACCCAUCAUUCAGCCCCCAAACUGGAGCUUACCAUUUGAGCUCAUGUGUGAUGCAUCUGAUUAUGCAGCAGGAGCAGUGUUAGGACAAAGAGUUGAUCGAAUUCCCCAUGUUAUUUACUAUGCUAGUAUGACAUUGAAUGAUGCACAGUUGAACUAUUCAACUACUGAAAAAGAAAUGCUAGCAGUAGUGUUUGCAUUAGAGAAAUUUCGAUCUUAUCUCAUUGGUUGUAAAAUAAUUAUAUUCACAGAUCAUGCUGCUCUUAAAUAUCUUCUCACAAAGAAAUAUGCAAAAGCUAGACUAAUUCGUUGGGUGUUACUUUUACAGGAGUUUGACUUGGAAUUCAAAGAUAAGAAAGGCACAGAGAAUGUUGUGGCGGACCACCUCUCUCGUCUCCAUUUUGACACAAUUACAGAAUCAUUACCAUUGAAUGAGUCAUUUCCAGAUGAACAAUUAAUGAAUGUGGAAGUAUUACCUUGGUAUGCUGAUAUAGUUAAUUAUCUUGUUACAGGUCAACUUCCAGAGCAUUGGACCAAGCAAGAUAAGGCUAAAUUCUUUGCAGAAAUAAAGAAUUUCUUUUGGGAUGACCCGUAUUUGUUCAAGUGUUGUGCAGACCAAAUUGUUAGACGAUGUGUCCCAGAAAGUGAAAUUCAGAAUAUCCUUUCAUUUUGCCAUGAACAAGCUUGUGGAGGCCAUUUUAGUGCUAAGAAAACAGCAACUAAAGUUUUACAAUGUGGUUUUUAUUGGCCAACUAUAUUUCGAGACGCUUACACUUUCUGUUCUUCAUGUGAUAGGUGUCAACGAAUGGGGAGCAUUACGCGAAGGAACAUGAUGCCACUAAAUCCAAUUCUAGUGGUUGAGAUUUUUGACGUAUGGGGUAUCGACUUCAUGGGACCCUUUCCCCCUUCUUUUGGCCACCAAUACAUAUUGGUUGCUGUUGACUACGUAUUGAAAUGGGUAUAAGCAAUUUCAUGCAGAACCAAUGAUCACAAAGUGGUGAUAGGAUUUUUGAAAAGCAACAUUGUUUCACGCUUUGGAUUCCCUCGAGCAAUAAUCAGUGAUGGUGGUGCCCACUUUUGUAACAAAGCAUUCAAAGCUUUUUUGACUCAAUCACUCACAAAGUGGCGACUCCGUAUCAUCCGCAAACCAGUGGCCAAGUUGAGAUCUCCAAUCGAGAAAUAAAGCACAUAUUAGAAAAAACAGUGAGGCCAGACAGAAAAGAUUGGUCAUUAAGACUUGAUGAUGCAUUAUGGGCAUAUAGAACGGCUUUCAAGACCCCGAUUGGGAUGUCACCCUACAGGCUAGCGUAUGGAAAAGCUUGCCACCUACCUGUGGAACUCGAGCAUCGUGCGUAUUGGGCCAUCAAGAAAUUCAACUUUGACAUGCAGCAAGCCAGCUCAGAAAGAAGAUUACAACUGACAGAACUUGAAGAAAUUCGCAAUGACGCAUACGAAAAUGCCAAGAUUUACAAGCAACGGAUGAAAGUCUUUCAUGACAAGCAAAUUAUGAGAAAAUCGUUCACUCCAGGUCAGAAAGUGCUUUUAUUCAAUUCUCGUUUGCACCUAUUCCCAGGUAAGUUACGCUCUCGAUGGUCUGGUCCCUUUAUUGUUCAUACUGUUUUUCCACAUGAGGCAAUUGAAAUUAAGGACCCAAAGAACGGUGUCACGUUUAAAGUUAAUGGUCAAAGAUUAAAGCCAUAUCUAGAGUACCAACCACAUGGAGAAGACACCGAAAUAAAUUUGAGUGACCCACCAGAUUUGAAUUGAUUUUUUUUUUUUCGUUGAUUUGAUUUUUUUUUCUUUAUAUUAUUCUUCUGCUAAUUGAAAUUAUUUUUGCAUAAGUGUGUUUGUUUAACUAUUAAGUUUUCUUUUAUCGUUUUUAAUCAUGAGUACCUUACUUAGACCGUUCCUCCUGAACAUUCUUAAACCACUUCAACGUGUCAAAACUCAUCUCAAAAGGCAGAUUCAAUUUUGUAAAACACAUCGCAUUUGGGCUCUACAACCACCAGAGUUAGUAGCCUAUGUUGAGGGUUUAGAACGCCAACUCAGAGACAUUGAAAGAAGUGUUUACGACACCCAGUUGGAGCUUGAGGUAAAUUCAAUAAGAGGACGAUUUUAAUUUUCUUUGUGUGUUUUAAUUUGUUUUUCUGUUUGUGUGCUUUAGUUUGUUACCCCGGUGAAGUGGCGGAUAACGGUACUCCAUGACAAUCAAGUCGGUUACUUCAGUUUCCCAUAAUAACUGAUAUUUUGAGGCGAAAGUAUGGACAAAAACGACAUUCUAGCGAAGCUUCACAAGCGAUUCCCUUCACUUCCUCAGAAUGCCCUCCUUACGAUCUAUAAAGCUCGGUCCGAACGCAUGCGAUUACUUAUGAGGAAUAAUAUACCUGCUGACAUCCGUUGGUUAAUCGAGGCUAAAGUACGAUCGGCAGGUGAGUUACCUCCAAAAUUUAUUGCAUACAUGCUUGGUUGUGGUAAAGGAAAUUAUGCAAGAAAACGACGAGCUCAAAGAAUUUCUGUUGCUUGUCAUAAGUGCGCCAGAAUGAGUUGCAAUAAAAACCCAUGUUCUUUAGGAAUGGUGUCUGAUAACAGGGAAGAUAAAAUUCAAUUCAUUAGGGAUGGCUUGAAUAAGGAGUCAUUGGAUGAUAUCAUUUUGUCUCUUGAAACGCAUCCCAGUGGAUAUGUGCAAGGAGCGAUUCUCCAGUUAUGGCCAUUAUUCCAGAAAGAGCAUGCACGAUAUAGUCUUGGGAAUCUGACUAUAAACGACCCUGUUUGCCAGUUUAUAAGAAAACUGGAUAGGAAGCCUAUCCUCGACCCAUAGAGGGCGUUCAAGCCGUUUCUGGAUGUAAAACCAGAGGAAGAUGUGAGCCACAGUCGCAACUACCUGUAAAUAUCCUUUCACUUUACUGUUAUUUUAUUUCACUAUUGUUUUAUUGUGUGCAUUAUUGUCUUUAAUAAUUUUAUUAUUGUUUGCUUUUUCCUUAUUACUGUUUGCUUUUUCCUUUUUACUGUUUCCUUUUUGACUCGCGAGCCACGUGCUUUACGCGUUAUUUGACACUGACAUGUUACCUCAUACACAACUGUGACCUACUGUCACCAAGACUCUUAAAUGUGAUUUUUUUUUACAAGCACUCACAAAUUAUUUUUUGAGAAGUAUCACAAUGGCAGCUACUCCAAAUAGACAAUUCAAGAACAUUUGUGUGCUUUCUGGAUUUACCUAUGGCAAACAUAAAGAGUUCGUUGAGGCAGCCAUCGAUCUUGGUCGAAGCAUGGCAGCGAGAAAAUUACACUUGGUGUAUGGAGGAGGUAACCGAGGAUUAUCAAAAAUGGUCUCAGAAGCAGCUUUUAUCAGAGGACGUCAAGUGUUAGGCAUCAUCCCAAGAGUCCUAAAACCAUUGGGUAGUUCGUCUGACUCAUCAACUGGAGAAGAGUUAGUCGUCUCAGGUAUACAAGAAAGAAUAACUGAAAUGCUUAAUCAUGCUGAUGCUUUUAUUUUCCUUCCAGGAGAUCUUGCAACACUAGAGGCACUUAUCACACUAGCAUCUUGGGCCCAUCUGCACAUUCACCAGAAACCCAUCGGUUUGUUAAAUGUCAAUAAGUUUUAUGAUGGCUUUAUCGCAUUUCUUAACCAUGCAAUAAAAAACUAUUUCAUUCCCUCUAAUGCGAAAAAACUCUUUAUUUGUGCUCACACUGCUAAUGAGCUACUUGAUCAGUUACAAGCUUAUAGACCGGAGCCAGACCCCUGGACCUUUGUGUUAGAGCAUCCAAAUAAUGAUGGUAACAGUAGCCGCAGUAAGAAGUACAAAUUAGAUUUAACUCUCCGCCUGUAAAUAUUUUCUUCUGUGUUGCACCACCCAGGUGAUGUCUUCUAAACUCUACUUCGUUCCUUUCAAACAUUGAGGACAAUGUUUCGUUCUGGUUGGGGGGAGGGAAUAGUCGACAAUUGUGGAAUUUUGGUUAAGUUUUUACUAAUUUUUUGUUGUAGAAACUAACUGUUGCUAACUUUUUGUGUUGAAGAUGGCUGAAUAUGGAAUGUAGUGACUCUAGAAACGCAUCUUCAUCGUUAAAAAAAAAAUUUUAAAAAAAAAAUUUAAAAAAAAAAAUUCAGACAUUUUCUUUUUCUUUAUUAUGUUUUUAUGUUUAUUUUUCUUCUUUUUAAUUUCUCCUCUAUAAAUAUACAUUUUCCAACUUGUGAGUCGAAGAUGGCUGAAUAUGGAGUGUAGUGCCUCUAGAAACGCAUCUUCUUAAAAAAAAAAAAUCAUUUUCGUUUUCUAUCAUUUUACGUGUAACUUUUCUAAUUAGUUUUUAUGCAUCAUCUUCACAUUUCUGCAUGCAUAUUUUCCUUUCAUGUUUAGAAUAGGUUGGCGGGUAGAUUGGUAUUUAAAAAAAAAUUGUGUGAUUUGUUUUAACAUUGGAUGACAUGAUUAAUUUCAAAUUUUAGUAUUUGUAUUAUCUUUGGUCUUAAGUGAUGUUACGCUAUGUUUGCUACUUUACAUGUUGAUGUCGGAGACAAAUAUGAGUUGCUUGAAGGAAUGACCAUGUCAUAAAUAAGUGCCAAGUGAGUUGUUGAGCCUAUCAUUUUCUUGGAGAGUAACCUUUUUUGCCCAUUCUCUAUACAGCUUAGCAGUUUAUUAUUUUAUACACGAUCUCUAGAUUUCUUUUGAGUUAACCCUUAAAAAAAAUGGUAAAAUAAAAAAAAAAAGUGUGUUGCUACAUUGGGAGGCCUGUCUAACUAGUAGAUAUGGAUGAUUAUUUAGAGCCCUAAAAGACGAUGGAAAGGCCAUCUUUGAUCCGUUUGAGCCUUUCUAGCCAUCCCUUUUAUUAAAUAUCCAUAGUUAACCCUUUUGAGCCUUUAAAAAAAAAAAAACAUUUUCUUUGUCAACUUAUCAUCUUGACCCACUCCAAUUUGAAGUAUUACCCGAUGUCUUAUAAGUUCCAUCACCUAUUUAUGUUUGAGAAAAUGUAAAUAAUUAUGUUGUUCAGUGAAGUUAUGCCAAAUAAAAGCAAAAAAAAAAAAAAAUUGUUGUUUCAAAAGAAUAAAAAUAACAACAAUAGGUGAAAUCCACCCUUGCAACUUCCAAAAAAAAAAUUAAAAAAAAAAAAAUUCUCUGCAUUUUUCUCAAGCAUACACUUUGUUUUCCUUAUUUCCUUUCUUUGUUAGCCAUAUCCCUAGCCUACGUUACGUCCUAAUAAAAGUCCUUGAUUUUAGGGAACUCCUGUUUGAAGUAGAAGCUAGUUAUAUGGGCUAAAAAGAUGUAGUGGUGCAUAAUAAUAAUGAAAAAAAAAAGAGAUAAAUAAAUUGGGUUGACUAGCAUUUUUGUUUGAUUUGAGAUCGUAUUAUUUCUAAGCUGAGGGCAUAUUUAUUUCAUCUUGGUGAGAGCAUGUGAUAUCACUUCUUUAUUAUUUUCUCUCUCAAGUACCAUUCAUUGGAGUGACUAUUUUUAUUAGGUUCAAUUUCUUUGUGAGAGUGUCACUACUUCUAGUGAGAUUUUGGGGUUUGACAUGUCAUUCUUGAAAGUAGCUAUAACAAAGUCUACUGGGCUGAUUCAUGUGGAUGGUUGAUGUGGGUGUGAUGUUGCUUUAGACUGGAGAUAAUGCUUAUACUUUUAUUUGAUUGCUAUCAUUAAUCUGAUUGAAUAAACACGAGUGUUUCUAAAAAAGAAAAAAAAUCAUUUUGAAUUUGAAUUUUGUUUUCGCCUUAUUUGCUAGGGACUAGCAAUAAGCUGGUUGGGGGGUGUGUUGAGUGUUAGAAAAUGCAUAUUUAUAAAGGAGAAAAUCGUCAUUUGACAUUUCAAGUCUUACUAACAACCCUUACUUUUAUGUAUUUAACCUUCUUGUGAUUUAAUUACAUGUGUUUUAUUUUAAUUAAGUAUUUUAUGUAUUUUAGGGGCAUUAUAGUCAUUUCACAAUAAAGGAGAGAUCAGACGGCAAAACGGACAUCACUUUUGAACUCAGGACGGUCGAAAACCUUAGGAGGAGCAUAAAAGGAAAAAUCGCACUAUUCACAUGUACGGUACUAUUCACGUGUACGGUACUGUCUACGUACUGUUCACGACACUGUUCACAUAGACGGAUCGAUGACGUGGCAUUGACCGAUGAUGUGGCAUUGACUGAUGAGGUGUCACGAUCCUGUUGGGCUAAAAUUCUUAUGUACUGUUGAUGAUGACGUGGCAGCAUAUCAAUGGACGAAAAAUCUCGCGUACGGUACAUGCAUCACACAUGAUUAUUUUCAACCAAACCGCGUUACUGUUCAUCCAGGUCAAACUGUGUUACUGUUCAUCCACGUGGUCAAACCGCGUACUGUUGACUGAUGACGUGGCGCAAUCCUGAGCGUCCAAACUGUUUUUAAUCCGAUGGCCAUGAUUUACUCCAUGUAUCUAUAAAAAGGGGGCCUCUCCCCCCUAAUUGGAUAGCUCUGAAUCAAUUUUUGGGAUCCAUUUUCUGUAAUUCCUUCUCCAUCUUGUAUUUUCUUCAUAUUUUAAUAAAUUCUCAUUUUGCCCCUAGUUCAAUUACGAGUGGCUAAUUUUCUUUCAAGCUUGGGUUGAAGGUGAAGUCUCAACAUGUGUCAUGGGCUUAAUUUGGUAAAUUUAUUUUCUCUUCCCCUCUAGUUUUUGUGGAUGUUUUGACUUCUCGUCGACAAAUAAUACUAAUCUUGUCUAGUACCGCCUUGGUUUCACCGGCCCUCUAGUACAAGGUUAUUAUUAUUUGGCACGAUAAGCCCUUAGCACCAUAUUGAUUAGAGCGUGGUUCAUGAGGUGUGGAUUCCCCCCUCAUGAUUUAAUUGGCAUUAAUAAGGAUUAUUUAGCCCAUGAUGCAUGUUGAUACGGAUCCAGAUACCCAAGUACAUCAUUUCAAUAUAAUUCUCUUCAAUUUAUUCUCGUCAUUUCAAUACCAAUUUUAGAAUUUAUUCUCGCCAUUUUAAUUUAAGUUUUAGCAUAUUCCAAAUCAUUUCCACCACAAAUCCAAUCACCCAUUUACAAAAUUAAUUCUACACAAUUAAAAUCCACCUCCUCGUGGGAUCGACACUCGUCACCAUUGAUCUAUACUACAAUAGAUUCGUGCGCUUGCGAGUACAUUAAAAUUUGCACAACAGGGAGCAAGUUGUAUGACUCUACAGGGUUACCUCGAACUAUUUCAAGACCAACUUCUCUCGCUCGAUAUGCCUGCUGGUAUGUUAACUGAACACCGUAUUCCUGUUGCAUAUUUGGCACGAUAAGCCCUUAGCACCAUAUUGAUUAGAGCGUGGUUCAUGAGGUGUGGAUUCCCCCCUCAUGAUUUAAUUGGCAUUAAUAAGGAUUAUUUAGCCCAUGAUGCAUGUUGAUACGGAUCCAGAUACCCAAGUACGUCAUUUCAAUAUAAUUCUCUUCAAUUUAUUCUCGUCAUUUCAAUACCAAUUUUAGAAUUUAUUCUCGCCAUUUUAAUUUAAGUUUUAGCAUAUUCCAAAUCAUUUCCACCACAAAUCCAAUCACCCAUUUACAAAAUUAAUUCUACACAAUUAAAAUCCACCUCCUCGUGGGAUCGACACUCGUCACCAUUGAUCUAUACUACAAUAGAUUCGUGCGCUUGCGAGUACAUUAAAAUUUGCACAACAGGGAGCAAGUUGUAUGACUCUACAGGGUUACCUCGAACUAUUUCAAGACCAACUUCUCUCGCUCGAUAUGCCUGCUGGUAUGUUAACUGAACACCGUAUUCCUGUUGCAUAUCUGCUCUUAUGUCAUUGGGAGUAUAAAUCCUCUUAUCUUGAAUAUAUUUUUCUACGAUAAUAUGACCGACAACCCGGCUCCUUACUUGAUGACGUCCAUCAACCAAUACCUCAUUAUGACAAGUGUGUACAUUGUCAAUUCUCUUCACCACCCAAGGAACAUUUUGCUCGUUCGAACAUCUAGUUGCUCGAAUACGCAAUUUACAUGAUUCUGAACAACAGUGAGCCUCGAAACGUGUCGUAGUAGACCGUGCAAUUUUGAAAUCAAACUUAUCUCUAAAGGCCACCUUGCGUAGUUGUAAUAUAAACUCAUUAUUCUCAGCAAAUAGCUUACCCAUACUGAUAUCAUCUGAGUCACAACUGCUAACAAAGCUUGGAGCAACCAUGUUCGAAGGCAAAGUUGGAGCAAGACUUGUAAGGGGGUCAAUUCUCCUUCUCGAUCGAACCAUAGAAGGAAUAAGUCUAUUGCCUCUGUUAUUCACAGGAGUAUUGUCUUCACACUCAUCCUCAUACUAAAACGACGGAACAUUCGAAUGAUCGGCUUCUCCAUAAUCACCAUCAUUAUUGAAAUGAGUGCCCCCCCUCGUAUUAUUAGAAGGUUCUGCACAAACAUUAUCCCCCUCUGUCUCAUUAUGAAAAUCAUCAUUGUCCAGAAAAUCAUUGUUGUGAUACGGAGAAUACCGUUGCUCCAACGACGUCGUUAUUGGAAAUACCGUUGCUCCAACAUCCUGUAACGUAACGCCAUUAUCAUCAAUAUUGUCAUAAUUGUCAUGGAUUGGAGAGUAAUAUUGCUGCAGCGAUAUUGUCCUUGGCAACAUCUCUUCAUCAUUAUCAGGGCCAGACAUAUUUGCUCUAAACGACAUUUCUGUAUCGACAUGUGACUCAAUACCUUCGCUCGGAACUCGAGGUGAUGUGGUCAUGAAUAUAGGAAUGCAUCCAAAAUUGGCUACGUCGGAUGCCAUAUGCAACACAACCCUCACCAUUUUAUCAUCACAUAUAUCCAUGGGCAUUGCACAUAUACGAUAUAAUGUGUUACUAGACCUCAAAGUUGUCUUCAUUGUGAUACUAUAUUCAUUAAAGUUUAUUUGUAACACCUCGUAUACUCUUGCCAAUAACUGAUCAAACAGACAAUUUUUCCUAACCAAAAAAGCUCGAUUUUUACCAUUCACAUACUCCAUACGACCAUCCUCUAAUGUCUCCCACCAACCAUCGUAACACAAUUCAAGUACAACUGAAUCCAUUAAGCCUAAAAUUAUUAAAAAAAAAAUUAUUUGAGCCCUAUCAAAAUAAUACAGUUUUAAUGAAUUUCCAAGGGUGGGUGCGGCAGGCAACCUGUCGCCCGAAGCUUGGUGCGACAGGCACCCCUGUCGCACCAAGCAAGGUGCGACAGGUGCUUGUCGCACCAAACCUUGGUGCGACAGGUGCCUGUCGCACCAACCCAACCUGUCGCACCAAGUUUUGCUGCGACAGGCAGCCUGUCGCCAGAUUCACCCCCCGACUCAGUUCUGCAAGUUCUGAAAAUAACUCGUACCACUAAGUGAUGCCGAUUAGUGUUGGAUCCGGAUAGAUUAUGAUCGGAUUUCACUUUUACCGUUGUGUUUUGCCGUCGCCGUUGGCUGAUGAUUCAAGAGUGGAAAGCUGCGUUUGGUUUGACGAUAUGGGAGAAACAAUGUUGGUUUUGUUCUGUAAAGAAUGGUAAUUUAGGAAGAAAAGCUUGUGUUUGGCUAAUGUUGAUAGAAAAAAGUUGAGAGGGUUAAUUAUGAAAAUAACAAAAUAUUUAUGGUUAUUUUAAUAAAUUUUCCCAAAUGGUUGCGUUAACGUGUAUAUUUGGGAACAUCAAAUACAAACAAAGACCAUGUGAAAAAGAAAUAUUCGCUGUUUAGUUCUCAAAUAUUCGCUGUCACAAAUGGUUGCGUUAACAUGUCCAACAACGAUUAUUAUGAAAAUUUCGGAGAAUUUGCGAGAAGUGGGAUGAUUAAGAAAAUGCAGGAGCAGGACAUUUAUGACCUCUAUUAGUAAUUUGAUUUCGUGAAGCAUUUUCAAAAGGAAAAUAAUGCACACAAUUGGAGACUAGGUGAUGACAAUGAAAGAUCACAUAACCGACUUAAUAAUUUAUAUGCAUUAAUGUGGAAUCGACAAUUCUAAACCAUGUUAAAGUCAACCAAAAAGACAAAUCAUGGAAAGCGGCAAUUGCUAAAUUACGUUGCGUGUAUUUUGGGAUCAUCAAAUACAAACAACGACCACGUUAAAAGAAAAGCAACAGCUGACGAGAUUGGUAAAGAUAUAUCAAAAGAAAGAGUAACAGAACAGAGCACGUUACAAGAGCUGAUUGCUUUCUUAAUUUUUGGUCAAUAUUUAACACAAAAUAAAAGUCAAUGAAAAAACGUGGAAUUUAUGUCAAUUAACUUAUUUAAUAAUUUUGACCGAAGCAUAACAAAACGCUCGCUCACGGUCGCAGUCACUUUGAAGAUCAUUCAUGUAAAAGCUUUGUAAUUUAAUAAAUGGCGUGGAAAAUGGUAACGAGAGCUCACGGGCAACCCCAAAACAACAAGUGAAAGAGUGCCUCGUGAUAUGAUUCACGGCCCUCAAGAAACACGCCUUCUGCCCCUCGUGAUUUAAUCAAAAUUUGGACUCACGCUACAGUGAAAUGCAAUUAACAAUUUUUUAUCAAUAAAAUCGCCAGAAAAUUCUCAAUUAUUUUAUUUUUAGUUAUUAGGUGUCGGGUUGACAUCAGGCCCAAUGGAAGCCUUUGACCUGAAGGGCUUUCUAUAAUGUAAACUGGUGGCAUGAGGCCCAUUCCAGAAUAGGCCCUUGAGCCGAGCCCAAAUGGCAUGACCUUGAAUCUCUUCAGUCAGAAUGACAAAUGGAUGCGGUGCGUACUGUGCUCGUGUCCAUUUGUUCAUUGCUCGCCGACGCUAACUGCCUAACUAGGCCAACUUUAUUCAGACUGCAAUAGAAUGGACCAACAAACAUGCCAUAAAUCCUUGUGCUAAUUAAUUAUUAUUAGUUAUAUUUAUAAAUAAGCAAAACGAGAGAUGCAGGGAGUGAGAGUAAUACCAUAUAUGUAUUGAAAAUUGCAUAAAAUUUGAUAUAAAAAAAUACAAAAGACAAAAAAAAAAAAAAGUAAGUUUGUAUUUAUUUAACUCCAAUAAUCAUAAUAAACUAUUGAAUUAUAGACCAGAAGUUCUAUCUACAUAAUUAGAAGGCACAAACACUAUUUCUGCUAAUUGAAGAAAAUCAAGAAAUGCUGAUUCCGUCAUGCUUAGUUUCAUGUUAGUUAAAGUUUAAAGCGAUCAGAUUCAUAAUCAUUAAUAUGCUUUUAUACGAAUCCUUGGUUUUGAAUAUAAUAAUGGUUUCAGAAAUGCAUACCUGUUAGUUCUCCAUUUCUUGACUCCGAGGAAAAUUUGACUUGUCAGAUGAAGCAAUGUUAUAAGAGGUUUCAUACACAGCUUAUACGCGAUCACUACCAUGCUUACAUGUAAAACGUUGCUGCAAUCAUACUGGACAGACCUUCAGAGGUUACUCUUCGAAGCGUUUCAUGAUGCCACGUGUACUUGAUUAUUUGACUAAUCACGGUUCACAAGUUGAGUGAGCUACUCACCACACCACCUUCCUGCUGCAAAGAAUUUUAACUGAACUUUGACUUGGUCAGAAACUCAGAAUAACUGAGGACCCAAAUGACGAAUUCUAAAAGCUGAAUGAUGUAUGUGUAAAUUAAAUAUAACUAUUAAUCAUAUGGUAAUUUUUUAAAAGAAGUACAUAUAUGUCAUAUGUAUACUAAGUGGGUGUAGUGCAACGAAGGUGCUCUAAUAUUUUUUCAGUGAACACAAUAUAAUCAUCAAAGUGAAAGAAAAACUUUUGAGGUUUUGGUGUAUUCAUUAGUGAAAUUUGAGCCGAAAAGAAAAAUUCAUAUUUGUAAACAUCAAAACCAAAAUCAUUUGGAAUUACUUGCUGAAAUUGAUUAGGUCAUUUUUAACCUCAAAUUUAAGAUCAUUAAUCAUUGCAUGAAUGUUUUGAUUUUAAUAUCAGUGGCAAUCACGGACACGUCUAAUGAUUUGAUUAAAUUUGUGUUUAGUUCUAUAAAUUAUUUCAAUCAUUGUUAUGAUUUUUUUGGGUUGACUCGACGGAGCAACUAAUAAUUACCCAGUUCUGCUGCUGAAUUUAUUUCCCAAGAUUUGAUUAAACAGAACUCCCCUAAAACUUCAGUUCAUUUCACUAUUGUAAUAGAGGUUUCAUUCACGUUGAAUGUCUAGUAUAAUUACUGAUAGUUAUAUGUUGAAUGCUACCUCAAUGUAGCUUACUGCCGCAAUAAUACCUGAUGAUUUUUUAUGACAAAAAAUUGUAUGAUUAAAAUGAUUAUAAGAUCAUCUAAAGCCGAGUUUCACCAUUAACUACCAAAAUACUCCAGAAAUCCAAUACAUUUAACUAAACACAAAUUUAAUCAAAUCGUUAGACACUCAACCUGAAAGUGGAUUCGAAGUAAUAUUAAUGAAAACAAAGAAACAGGGGGACCCUCGUGAUCGCCAACGCCAUCUUACCCUUGAUAAAGAGAAAGAAGUCAAGCUCCAUAUAAUAUAAUACCUCACAAAUUAUACAGAAAAAAAUGGCCUCAUUUCAGAUGCUACAUAGAUGGUUUUCAUGAAUCCUCGUUUUGUGUGAUGAAUUUUUUUUUUUUGACAUUUAAUAGAGUAUACAAAAUAAAAAUAAAAAUUUAAAAUUUACUAGAUGAGCCAAUAAAGUAUAGUAGUGUUCAGAAAUUUUUUUUUUUUUUUUUCUAGAAUGUGAAUAACCCAUCCAAAGUAAUGUUACCUUAUUAGACUGAGGUUCUCCCCCCUCCCCCACAAAAAAAAAAAAGUUGCUUCUUGGUUUUUAAUGCAAACACGAUUACACGAAGAGCUUUCGUUAAUAGUGCUUUUAGAUUGGAUUUCUAUGUUAAAAUAUAAAUCAGUUUUAGAACACUAAAUUGAGGGAGAAUAUUCGAUUUGAUCUUAUUGUAGGCUACUUCAAGAGUGUAAGAAACUGCUCCUGGAGCAUGCUAUUACAUGUUUUGUUUGUGGAAAAUGAUAUUUGUGCUGUCAAUUUUAUGCUGCAAUGGCACUAUAGUAUAAGCAAUACCCAUAUUUCUGCAUGACUUCCGAAUAUCUUGCAGCUGUUCAAAUAACAAUGCUCUUUGUUUGCCUACAAACCUCUAUUUUCUGUCAACAUAAUCGAGGUAGCAACCCGCUAAUAAUUUUGUAAAUUGAGCCUGGAUGAAAAAUUGAUGAAUGUGUGGGUGAGAAUAAUCAUUACUCAAAUCUUUCACUGAUGUCCUAAAUGAUUUCUCCUUCUAUAGAUUACAGUGGUUGGUUAUAAUCACAAAUUGAGGAUCUUGCUGGAAGCUGUUGUUCAAAAAAUUGCAGAAUUCAAAGUGAAACCAAACAGAGCACUUAUUUCGGUCUAAGUAGCCACAGUAAAGAUUGAAUUGUGCAAUUGUUUGUGUGGAAUCAAGUUAGUUAUAUUCGGUUAUAACAGCUGAGCUGGAAAGCUGAGUCAGCAAGGGUGGGUCCCCAGGUGGUUUUAGUUAGUCGUUAUAACCAGCUGUAAACUGCUAGCUUUAUAAGCUUCAGUGAGAGAGAGAGCUGAUCAGUUAGUUAAGCGAGAUAGUUUGUGAGCUGAGAAAGAUUCUCUGUGUGAGUUUAGUUUCUUGCUCUGAGUGGAUUCCAUUGUAAUCUUGAUAUCUCCUAAUAAAGCUUUAGCUCUACUGUUCCUGAUCGUGGAUGUAGGUACCUUGGUACCGAACCACGUUAUCUUUGUCUUGAGUCUUUAAAGUUCUUUAUCUUGCUCUGUUGUUUCUGGUGUUGGUAUCAGUUGUUCCUGGGUUCUUGCUUUGGUUGUGUUUAGUUAUUGCAUCAGUAGAAUUGCAAGGUUGAUCAGAAUAUUCCAACAAACUGGUAUCAGAGCUUGGUCAUCUAUCAAGCUCCUUGAAAUCCUCCAAUGGCAUCUACAAGAUUCGAUCUGGAGAAGUUUAAUGGGGACAAUGACUUCUAUUUGUGGAGUCUCAAAAUGAGGGCAAUCUUGAUUCAGCAAGGAUUAGAUGCUGCUCUUGAAGAUGAUGAAGAUUCAAAGGCCAAGAAAGGGAAGGAAGAAGAAUCAUCCAGCUCUGGCAGAGACAUGAAGACUAUCAACAACAAAGCUCAUAGCACUAUCAUCCUACAUCUCUCGAAUGAAGUGCUAAGAGAGGUGUCUAAAGAAAAGACUGCUUCUGGUCUAUGGGAGAAACUAGAAGAAUUAUUUUUAAAGAAAUCUCUAGCCAAGAGACUGUACAUGAAGAGAAAGCUAUACACAUUUUCAAUGAAGGAUGGAACAGCUUUGAAAGAUCAUGUGGAUGAAUUUAAUAAGCUGAUCCUAGACCUUGAAAAUGUGAAUAUAGUUCUUGAGGAUGAAGAUAGAGCCCUGAUCCUAUUAAGCUCACUCCCAGACUCUUACGAGCAUUUUGUUGACACAUUGCUUUAUGGAAGACAAACACUUACAUUAAAGGAUGUAAAGAAUGCCCUGGAAUCAAAGGACUUGAAGAGGAAAAUAGAUGGGAAGGAUCAAAACCCUGCAGAAAGCUUAGUUGCAAAAGCAAAACCAGAUAAGAAAUUCUACAAGGACAAGAAGAAUAGCAACCAGAAAGAUAAACCAGACAAGAAGAAAAAGAAGAGAAAAUGUUACUUUUGCCAAAAAGAAGGUCAUUACAUCAAGGAUUGUUUUGAAAAGAAGAAGCUUGAGAAAUUACAGAAGGAAUCUGAUGGAAAGGCUGCUGUAGCCUCUGAAGAUGAAGGGAUGUCAGAUGAUGCAGAUGUCCUCAUUGCUGCAGAAAAGCAAUCUUCAGGUGAGUGGAUUCUUGACUCAGGUUGCUCCUUCCAUAUGUGUCCAAAUAUAGAUUUCUUUAAGACCUUUGAACAAGUUGAUAGUGGAAAGGUCUUGCUUGGUAACAAUCUUGCCUGUAAAGUAGCUGGAAUUGGAACCAUUAAUAUUAGGAUGUUUGAUGGGAUUGAAAGAGAUCUAAAACAGGUCAGAUAUGUUCCAGAAUUAAAAAGAAAUCUAAUAUCUUUAGGAGUAAUGGAUCAGUUGGGCUGUAGUAUAAAAGCAGAGAAUGGAAAUCUUCAAAUUGAAGAUAAAGGCCAGGUUAUAAUGAAAGGCAUAAGGAGGAAUGGUUUAUAUGUACUUGCUGGCUCAACAACUAUGCCAGCAAUCACAGCUAGUGUAAGCAGUGAUAAAACCAAACUUUGGCACAUGAGGCUAGCACACAUGAGUGAAAAGAGGUUGAGAGAAUUAAGUAAGCAAGGGCUGCUAGGAAAUGAUCAAAUCACUUCACUACAAUUUUGUGAAAAAUGUGUGUUUGGUAAAGCCACAAGGCAAAAGUUCAACUUUGGUAGACAAGAAACAAAACAGACCUUAGACUAUGUUCACUCAGACCUUUGGGGUCCAUCCCAAGUUCCCUCUCAUGGUGGAGCUAGGUACUUCAUCUCAUUCAUAGAUGAUUACUCUAGAAGAGUGUGGGUCUAUGUGCUGAAGCAUAAGAGUGAAGCAUGUGAAAGGUUUAAAGAGUGGACUGCACUUAUGGAAACCCAAACAGAAAAGAAGCUUAAAAGGCUGAGGACUGAUAAUGGCCUGGAAUUCUGUAGCAGUGACUUUGAAAAUUUUUGUAAAUCAAAAGGCAUUGCAAGACAUAGGACAGUGAGGCACACUCCCCAGCAAAAUGGCUUGGCUGAAAGGAUGAAUAGGACCUUAAUUGAAAAGGUCAGAUGCAUGCUGUUUAAUGCAAAUAUGUCAAAGCAUUCUUGGGCUGAGACAGUUAAUACAGCUACAUAUCUAAUAAAUAGGAGCCCCUCAUCAGCUUUAGAUUUUAAAACACCUCAAGAAGUAUGGUCAGGGAAGCCACCAAACCUUAGUAACCUCAGGGUGUUUGGCUGUCCAGCUUAUGCCCAUAUAAGUCAGGGCAAGCUAGAACCAAGGGCUGUGAAAGGAUACUUUAUAGGGUAUCCAGAAGGCAUAAAAGGGUACAAAAUCUGGUGCACUGAUGGCAAGCCAUCUAGAACCUUGAUCAGUAGGGAUGUUGUGUUUAAUGAGGAAGCUAUGUUGCAGCAGAAGGUUGGAACAGAAGUUGAAAUCUCUGAACCCCUAAAUAGAUCUAAGUUGAAGGUGGAGUCCAGAGAUAGUUUGAAAGAAAGUAAAGAGACAAUUGAUCACCAUCAAGAAAGUGCCACAACAUCAGAACUUGACAACUAUCAGCUUGCGAGAGAUAGAGAAAGAAGGGUAGUUAAACUGCCCAAAAGAUAUGGAAUUGCUGACUUAAUAUCUUAUGCACUGAUGGUUGCUGAUGAGGUGACUGGAGAUGAACCUGAAAGCUACAAGCAGGCUAUGAAUAGCAGAGAUAAGUUGAAAUGGCUGAAUGCUAUGGAAGAAGAAAUGGCAUCACUCAAGAAGAAUAACACUUGGGUUCUAGUUCAGAGGCCUACUGAAAGAAGAUUGGUGGGCUGCAAAUGGAUUUUUAAACUCAAGGAGGGAGUUGCUGGAAGUGGAUCAGUGAGGCAUAAAGCCAGGCUUGUGGCAAAGGGGUUCACACAAAAGGAAGGAAUAGACUUCAAUGAAGUCUUCUCACCUGUUGUUAAACACUCCUCUAUAAGGGUUAUAUUAGCCAUCACAGCUUAUUUUGAUUUAGAAUUGGACUAGAUGGAUGUGAAGACUGCCUUCUUACAUGGAAACUUAGAAGAAGAAAUUCUGAUGACUCAGCCAGAGGGUUUUGUUGAGGAAGGAACUGAGGACAUGGUUUGCUUGCUCAAGAAAAGCUUGUAUGGGUUGAAGCAGUCUCCUCGGCAAUGGUACUUAAAGUUUGAUGAGUUUAUGCUGAAUCACAACUUCAGCAGAAGUGAAUAUGACAAUUGUGUUUACUUCAGGAAGCUAAACUCAGGUGAUCAAAUCAGUCUACUUCUUUAUGUUGAUGACAUGCUUAUAGCAUGUAAACAUAGAGCAGAAGUGGAGAAGCUCAAGACUGAGCUAAUGGCAGUGUUUGAAAUGAAGGAUUUGGGUCCUGCUGCUAAGAUACUGGGAAUGCAAAUUAAAAGGGACAGACAAGCUAAGACUCUAUUUCUCACACAAUCUGGAUAUUUGAAAAGGGUUGUCAGUCGAUUUGGGAUGGUGAACUCAAAGCUUGUCACUACCCCAGUAGCAGCACACUUCAAGCUUUCAAAACAGCAGGAACCAGAAGAAGAAGCAGACAUUGAUCACAUGAGGAGAAUCCCCUACUCCAGUGCAGUUGGCAGCAUUAUGUAUGGUAUGGUCUGCACCAGACCAGAUGUUGCCUAUGGGAUUGGUCUUGUCAGCAGGUUCAUGGGAAAUCCAGGCAAGGAACAUUGGGAAGCUGUUAAAUGGCUGCUGAGGUAUCUUAAAGGCACUGAAGAGUAUGGAGUAAGGUUUGGACAAGUCCGAAGUGCAUCUAGCCAAGUUGUGGGAUAUGUUGAUUCUGACUUUGCAGGAGAUUUAGACAGGAGAAGGUCAGUCACUGGUCUUGUGUUUACUCUCUGUGGUGGAGCUGUGAGCUGGAAGUCAACAUUACAAUCAGUAGUUGCUCUCUCAACAACAGAGGCAGAGUAUAUUACUUUAACAGAGGCUGUGAAAGAAGCAUUGUGGUUGAAGGGGUUAGUUACAGAACUGGGUUUGAAACAAGAAUCAGUCACUGUCAAUUGUGAUAGCUCAAGUGCUAUACAGUUGAGCAAAAACCCCAAGUAUCAUGAAAGAACAAAACAUGUGGAUGUGAGGAUGCACUUUAUCAGGGAAGAAAUUCGAAAUGGUGUGAUUAAUGUCAUUAAAAUUCCUACUGAAGUAAAUCCAGCAGACAUGCUAACAAAACCUUUGCCAAUAGUUAAGUUCAGGAAAUCCUUGGACUUGAUUGGAGUUAUUAACUUGUGAGACAAGUUAACUGAUGAUGGAGCAGUGAUAAGUAAAGCUAUAACCGAGUAAACUAAGGUGGAGAUUUGUGGAAUCAAGUUAGUUAUAUUCGGUUAUAACAGCUGAGCUGGAAAGCUGAGUCAGCAAGGGUGGGUCCCCAGGUGGUUUUAGUUAGUCGUUAUAACCAGCUGUAAACUGCUAGCUUUAUAAGCUUCAGUGAGAGAGAGAACUGAUCAGUUAGUUAAGCGAGAUAGUUUGUGAGCUGAGAAAGAUUCUCUGUGUGAGUUUAGUUUCUUGCUCUGAGUGGAUUCCAUUGUAAUCUUGAUAUCUCCUAAUAAAGCUUUAGCUCUACUGUUCCUGAUCGUGGAUGUAGGUACCUUGGUACCGAACCACGUUAUCUUUGUCUUGAGUCUUUAAAGUUCUUUAUCUUGCUCUGUUGUUUCUGGUGUUGGUAUCAGUUGUUCCUGGGUUCUUGCUUUGGUUGUGUUUAGUUAUUGCAUCAAUGUUGGGUCGAACGACCGUGGCAAUGGGUGUAGAUGGUGGCAGCUAGGUUUUUGUAAUUUUUUUUUGUUUUUCUAAUUCUUACCAGUGUAGCCUAUGGAAGCAAAAACAACCAUUUAGGAGAUUAGUCAGAGACUUAAGUAGUGAUCUAGUUGAACAGCCGCAGUAAAGUUUGAAUUGGGCAAUUUUUUGGACAAUAUGUUUCCAGCAAGAUCCUCAAAUUUGUGAUUAGAACCAACCAGUGUAGCCUAUGGAAGCAAAAACAACCAUUUAGGAGAUUAGUGAGAGACUUGAGUAGUGAUCUAGUUCCGCACUGGUCUCAACCUUCUCUUCAAUCUCUUGCCCUUUUGCUUUCGUCUCAGAGACUCCGCGCUGAAUGCCCGUACUUUCACUCUUCCGCUUCUCUGUUUCUGCCUUGAUAUCAUCAAAGAUGGCAUUAAUCGUAGAAUAAGCAGAUAACAAUCUAAAGUGAAGGAGGCCAUAGGAAAGUGAGAUUAAAAAACAAACAGAAGCCAAGGUUUUUUUUCAGAUGAAAACGGAAACAAGAAAAGGACCAAUGCGAAGAGCUGACAGAACGGAUGACUGAAUAAGAAGUGAGUUGAUUAUUUUAUACAGCCAAUUCAUGUAAUGACAGAUCUGGUUUCGAUCUUUGUAAUUUAAAUGUAUUAUCAGUACGAGGUGAAGGACUUUUUUGUCGACUCAGUCCAACACAAAUUCAAAUUACUAAAGCAACGUGAUACUGGUUUUGAUCUUUGUAAAUUAAGCACAUCAAUACGAGGUGACUCUCACAAGACUUUUGAUGUGCUAUUGCCAGUCAAAUAUGAGACGAAAUGUGAAUAGACUCAGUUAGUUGUGUUGUUAUUUAGGAGGUCGAGUCCAGAUAACAUCCAGCUCACUUGCCUUCUCAAUGACCAACAUUUUGUGAGCCAAGCGUUCGACUUCAAACCACUUAAUCUGAUGAGAUGAAUUUUCAAGCCGAAAAACAUGCUUCAAUUAAAAACAGAGACAGCAGGUGCCCUGUACUCAGGAUCCGAUCAUACAUAUACAAAGAAUAUCUGCUAUUAAGAAUUUCACAUCUCAAGUAGUUGAAAUUUAGUUUCGAAAGAAAAGAAUGGAAUAAUUGAUAAUAACAAUAAAUUACUAUAUCGCAUGCAUGUUCAGGUGACUUAAUUUGCAUUUACGCUUGCAAUGCCUGACGUGCGCACGUGAUCGCAAAAAUAAACUUGAAUAGAAUCUCUCACAUUCACCAGAAAAUUGUUGCACAUAAUAAUAAUACAAGGGAUGCACAGAAAUGGUAAGUUCACACAUCUUUAGUUUAGAUGAUCAAAUGAAGGAAUUGCACACAGAUUUUUACGCUUCCAAAGCUGUAGCGGCAGCGUGUAAGUUACAAUACAAUUGAAACUAGUUUAGUCGAAGCUCUCAGCAUGUGAUGUUUCGCAGAAGGAAUACCAGUUUCAGAGAAAUAUUAUCUAAUUUUGCACACCUUUCACGGAAUACCAAAAAAUAAAUGAUCAAAUAAAAGAUUACUACAAAAAUACAUUCCUAUCAAUCAUCAUAUAAUUUCAAACUAUAUGUGUUUUUUUUUUUGGGUUAAUCGAAGGUUCCUGGAAGUUGCAAGUCCCUGCCGGUGUCAAAGGGAAGGUACCAAUCUCGUGUUCGUCCUUCCAAUGUCAAAGGGAAUACUCUGCACCUCUGCGCUAGUGUUAGCCCCUGCACUCCAGUCAUGUCGUUGAAGCGCUCGACGUGCACCAGCGGGCCACUUUUUCCUGAGUAUUUGAGGUCGAGAAAAUGAAAAUCUCUUGGUAUCAUAGUGCCCAUGAUUUCAGCUGAAAGCCGAGAUUAAUCAUCCAGCAUUAUUCUCUAACUGAGGGGCUUUCUCCUACCCUGCAUUUGUCAUGAUUUGGUAUAAUCGUUUUGUUUUGUUUAUUUCCUCUUAUUUGGUCCAACUUCAUCUUGCCUCUCGUUAAAUGCAAAAUCAUCCAGCUUCAAAUGGAAAUCCUCGAAAUCCAAAUUCUUUGCACUAUAUUGAUCCUUCAGGCAGAUUGAAUUCUUACCAGCAGGUAAGGUUUUGUUAUGACUCACAUUUUGACAAGUGAUCUCUGAACUCUGAAGGUCAUAAAAUGGUCAUUUUGUCCAGUGUUUUCGACUUAGAAAAUGCAUGUGACUUUCAAGUCUUUCUAUGGCCGUCAUAGGGAAAUAGAUAUUUCAAUAGUUCGUAGAAGUUGAGAGAGAAUAUCACUGAUUAGUUAUUGGCCUCUUAAACCAUUUACAGGCAAUAACGGAAAUUGGGGAGGUCAUACAAUUUUAUGAUUCUGAUAGACGCUUUCCUGCAUGGGGAUUUGGAGGGAAGACAUUUGAUGGCACUGUAUCACAUUGUUUUAACUUGAAUGGAAGAGCAGGUGGCUUUGAGGUAGGGGUAGCUGGAGUUCGCAACUUUGCUAUAAUCCUUAUUUGGUUGGCUUGUCUCCCAUAACUUUUCAUUUUUAAUAACAAACAAUAUAAUAUGUUUCUACAUUUUUAAAAAAAUUUCCUUGGAAUUUUAUCCUAAAAGAUGUGUAUUUUAUCCUCUUCCAUUUUUUCAUUAACUGCUGGUUUCUUUAUUUAAUAGGCAGAUGGAGUUGAAGACAUUAUGGCUGCCUAUGCAAGCGCUCUAAACAAUGUUUCUUUGGCAGGACCGACUCUGUUUGGUCAAGUGAUCAACACAGCUGCACGAAUUGCUGGACAGUCCCUCUCAUACGACAGAAGCAAGUAUUUCAUCUUACUCAUGAUAACGGUGAUUACAAUGAUUCUAUAUAUUCACAGUUUUCUCUUUCUAUCAUUCUUUUUGGGUGAUUUGUAAAUUUGCAUGGUCUAUCUAGGAUGGAGUUCUGACAGAUCUCCAAGAAACGAAAGAUGCUUUGGUAAGGGCUUCUGAUCUUCCCCUGUCAAUUCUAAUUGUGGGUGUGGGAGGUGCAGAUUUUACACAAAUGGAGGUACACAAUGUUUUCUAACUGGAAUAUCUUCUUACUAGCAUCGAACUUCUUUUUUCUAUAGUUUGAUAGAUUCAAUUUAGAGUAUAUAUGCAGUGUGGUAUUAUCCCACUUUUGUUGCAGAUUCCUGAUGCUGAUAACUUUGUUGGCAGAUUCUUGAUGCUGAUAAUGGCCGUAGAUUAGAGAGCUCUACCGAUCGGGUAGCUACCAGAGAUAUAGUACAAUUUGUUCCAAUGCGAGAAGUUCAUAGUGAGUGCAUAAGAUUCUUUGAAAAAAUUAGUUCAAACUAUUGAAUUUGGGAGUUAAUUCACAGAAGUUUCUAAAUUUUUUCAUGCCUGAACAAAGGAACCCAUUGUUUUCUGAACAGGUGGGCAAAUUUCUGUUGUACAAGCACUUUUGGAGGAGCUGCCUGGUCAGUUUUUGACCUACAUGCGCUGCAGAGAUAUCAAACCACUCAAUGUUCAGAUGGCCCAAACAUGCGCUUGAGUAAAUAUUCAUAUAUUUGGAAAGGAUACAAAACCAAGCCAAAUAUAUUAGACAAGACCAAGCCAAACAUAUUAGGCUAUACAAACAUAACAUAGCAGAAAUUGAUAAUGGUACAUUACAUAUGUUAGGAUAUAGCGGUUUUAGAUGAUGGUAAAUUACAUAUGUUAAGAUAGAGUGGUUUGUAACUAACUUUUGAUGGCUUAAUGAAUUGAUUGAAUUUGUAUUUAGAUUCUAUCAAUGAUCUCCUAUCCAUGUCUUUCGAUUUUUAUUAUUCCCUCUACCCACUUGUUUCACAAUUGUUUGUGUCUGAUGGCCUAAAACUCCAGUUUCUGUUGCUGUAUUAUCAUCUUUGUUGAAUAUCUACUACAAUGAACAUGUGCUGAAUGUCAACUUUUACUACUACACCAGCAAUCUAACACAUGGCUCACGUGCACACAAGACAAGUCUGAUUCACACAUCUUUAAUUUAGAUUCUUAUAUAGUCUUUCAAGAUGUCUGAAACAGCAUAGAUGAAGGACCCUUCCACCAUUCAACCUGGAAUGAUGUGAGUGAAAGAAAUUUCCAAUAGGUGCACGAACACAAAUAUGAUGCACACAUCUCUUUAAUUAAUUUAGGGCUUAAAGAGAUUUUCAGAUGCCUACAAAUUGAAUAUGGCAGAUCUUGGACACCAUCCAUAAGAAAUAAAACUAGCCUCAAAUUGGAUUUAUGAGUACUCAAACAAAGCUAAAAGCAUAAUAAUGAAUGAAAACUGAAACAAAAAAUCCUCUCACCAACACCAUAUGACUCUUAAUAUAUAGAAAGAACUCAAGCUCGAGCCUUAUCCAAAAUGCUGCACAAGUAGCAUGAAUCGUCUUCAUAAGUUUGGAGACUCUGUAGACAAAGAGUAAAAAGACAUUGAAGGUGUAGUUUUUACAUAAUUAAAUUGCACAAAUUAGCCUCUAUUAAGGACACAUAAAUCCUUCAAUUCUCUCUCUAAGCAAUUAAUUUCAUUUUUUAUUCUUUUAUUUUUCGCUAUGUCUGUCUAACAACUAAUCCUCAACAUAACAACAGAGCAGAGUAGUUAUAUUUUAAAAAGAUGUACCAAUAUGAUUUAACAAAAAUUCAACAUAAAUAAAACAUUUUUAGUUAGCAAAAUAGAAUAAAAUCAAAACCUCUCAAAUUAUAUAGAUUUUAUCUUACCACUGUUUUUCGCAUCUUUCUCCUUUUCAUUCGCCUUGGCGGACUUCUCUUUCUCUUUUUCCUCCUCUUCCUAAUCAGAUUUAAAAUGAAUUCAUAAAAAAAUUAAUAUGUACUUUUUUCUUUUUACUUUUAUAUAUAUAUCUGUUAUUAAAUCAGUAAUUUUUAGAAAAAAAAAUAAAUCAACAUCUCAUAGUGAAUGAAUACUUACCUUUUUUCUUUUAAGAUAUACAUAUUGAAUGGUUGUAUUAAGGUCCCGAUCCCAAGCCCAAAGUUUUUCAUCGACUAGGCUCAGCUGCACUUUCUGUAACUUGGGUGUGCUUAAUUCCCCUUUUGAGAAAAUCUUCAUAUUGGGGCAAUUAUGCACCAUUAAUCUUUCCAGAGAUGGGAAUUUGAAGUCGCAAUUAUUCCCAGAGCAGCUGAAACUAGUCAGACUUUUUAAGUCCCAAAGCUGCAAUUCCUUUAAUUCGCUGAAAACAAUUUCAUCUUUUGCUGCAUAAUUAUCUCCCUCAUCAUCCUCAUCUGCCACUAUUUCUGUUAUCAUCUCGCAGAAACUUAUCUGCAUUUGUCUCAGUCGCACCAGACUCCUUGCUGUUGAGGAUGUUAGUACGUGUAUCAUUCCAUGGCAACUACUUACCUUCAAAGUUGUUAGGUUCUGAAACGAUGUCGAGGAUGGCACUAGAUUAGUCAAAUUGCGACAAUGAAAUAUCUCUAGCUGUUCCAAAUUGUUGGUAUUGGUUGACUCUUGUUUGAAAAUCUGCUUUAGUUCACGACGAUGGUUUAUCCCUCUCAUCCUUGCAUUCAUCCCAUUUUCAAGGUUUUCAAAUGAUCUGUACAAAACCUGAUUGUUUCCUCCUACAUAGAGAAUUUUGAUGGUGUGAAAUCUAUGGAGGAAAUCGUCAAGUGAUAAAAUAGUACUUGACUCAUCAAGCCUGACAUCAAGACAUUUAAGUUUGCAAAGCCAGUCUUCUGGAAAUAGGCCUAUGUGCUUUUCAUCAACACUCAAUUCUUCCAAAUUGGGGAACACCUGGGUGAUCAUCAAUCACGAAAAAAGCAAGAUGGAGUUAACACUUCUUUCUUACGAUUUCACAAAUUAAAGUAAAUACAAAGCAUUCCAUUUAAGAAGCUAGUAUUUCAUAUGCGGAGAUGGAGUUAUACAUAUGCGGAGAGAGUAUGAUUUUCAGCUGUAAAUACAAAGUAAAUACAAAGCAUUCCAUUUAAGUAAUGUGUAUUUUCUUCCAUUCUCUCUUCUUAACUCUUGUCCAGUAGAUAGAUUUUCAAAGUUUAUUAGAUUUGUGCAUAAUCUCUAUGAAAAAGACUUCAAUUAUUCUCAAAUUGCAUUUAAACUUUGAGAUUCUUUUAAUUGAUCCGUUUAUUUGGUUUGAAUUGAAAAUCUUACAAAUUUCUUUUUUAAAAGUUUAAUAAUAUAGUAAGAAGCUAGUAUUUCAUUAAUAUUCAUCCAACUCAAUGGAAUUGGAUAUAUUUACUAUUGUGCAAGAAUGGAUUUUAUUGUACAUAAAGUUUAAUAGAAUAUGAUUUCUUAAUUUGAGUUUUGUCCAUCUUUCUAUAUAUAUUUCAAAAAUAUUAUUUAUGUUAGCACAAGAUGACCAAUUUCUACUUCAACAUCAAAAUUGAUAAUCAUUUUGUAUGUAACAAUACUGUACUAAGGAGUACUAAUUUGGAAAUAGCUCUUGAACGAUUUUCAGGGAAUUAACUAUGGCUUGAAAAACUCUAAAUCUUAUGAGUAUUUUCUUUGUUUGGCUAAUCAAAUGCACUGUCUCUUCCGUGUAUUUAACUAAACAUAUAGACAUAAAAUAAAAAGUAGAAGAAGAAGAAAAACUCUGAUAAUUAAGAGAAAAAAAAUUGAACUAACAUUAUUGAAGAGUGAUAAUUAUGUUUAUUGAAGAUUUAUUGAAUUCAAUAUUCGAUAAUGAGAAGAUUUAUUGAAGAGUGAUAAUUAUGUUUAUACGGUAUUAUAAAGUAUAAAUAAAGUGAUUUAUAGAACUAACAUUUUCUUACUAAAAGACAAAGUGAUGAGGGCAAUGACGAAAAGAAAACUCUAAACUCUCAAAGUAGAAAUGCUUUUAAGUACGUAAGAAUUGAACAAUAAUUACAAAAAUCUUGCACGUGUACCUUUUCAAAAUGCAGAUCACGACGCUGAUUUAUUCCUGUUAUCACUACCUUCAUUCCAUUUUCAAACUCGUCAGGUGGAUCUUUCCAAAAAUCAUCGUUUUCUUUUAUAACAAGAACUUUGAUGGCGUGAAAUCUGUGGAGGAAAUCGUCAAGUGAUACAAUAGCAGUUGACUCAUCAAGUCGGACAUGAAGACAUUUAAGUUUGCAAAGCAAGUCUUCUGGAAAUAGACCUAUGUGCUUUUCAUCAACAAUCAAAUCUUCCAAAUUGGGGAUGGCCUGGGUGAUCACCAAUCACAAAAAAAGCAAGAUGGAGUUAGAUCUUCUUUCUAACAAUUUCACAUAUUAAAGUAAAUAAAGCAUUCUAAUGAUGAAUAAUAUUGAUGGCCAGACAAUAUAUAUAUACAUACAUACAUACAUACAUACAUACAUACAUACAUACAUAUAUAUAUAUUGUUCUCAAUUAUUCUCAAUUUACAUUUAAACUUCCAGAUUCUUUUAAUCCAUCGGUUUAUUUGGUUUGAAUUGAAAAUCAUACAAAUUUAUUUUUUUAAAAAUUGGAUAUUUUAACCUUUUUUUUUUUAACAAAAGCAAAAAGAAUAAACAGCUUGAAUUGCUAGCACAUAUGAAAAGAAGGAAAAUUUGCACAAAUUUAAAAAAAUUAAUAAUAUAGUACGAAGCUGGUAUUACAUUAAUAUUCAUCCAACCCAAGGGAAUUGGAUAUAGUUUACUAUUGUACAAGAAUGGGUUUUAUUGUAAAUAAAGUUUAAUAGGAUAAAAUCUCUUCAUUUGAGUUUUGUCCAUCUCUCUACAUAUAUUUUUAAGCAUAAUAUAUAUGUUAACAUGAGAUGAACAUUGAUCAUCAUUUUGCAUGUAUGUGGCUUGAAAAUGGCACUCAGAAAUACUUUUGAUGUACUGUGGCUUGAAAAACUCUAGAUCAUAUGAUCAUUUUCUUUGUUUGGCUAAUCAAAUGCACUGUCUCUUUCGUGUAUUAACUGAACAUAUAGGCAUAAAAUAAAAAGAAAAAAAGUAGACGAAGAAGAAAAUCUCUUGAAGAGUGAUAAUUAUGUUUAUUGAAGAUUUAUUGAAUUCAAUAUUCGAUAAUGAGAAGAAUUAUUGAAGAAUGAUAAUUAUGUUUAUAAGGAUAUUAUAAAAUAUAAAUAGACUGAUUUAUUUAACUAACAUUUUGUCACUAAAAGAUAAAGUGAUGAGGGCAAUGACGACAAUAAAACUCUGAAUUCUCAAAGUAGAAAUACUUUUCAGUACGUAAGAAUUGAAAAAUAAUUAAAAAAAUCUUGCACGCGUACCUUUUCAAAAUGCAGAUCACCUGUGCAGAAGCUUGUAAGCUGCGGAAGAGAACGAAGCUCAAGUGUCCUCAAUUGAGUGAGUUCAAUCACUUCAGUACCGUUAUUAUUGCUGGAUUCAUCUCCUCUCUCGGCAGCAAAAAUCACUUCCAUAUUUUGGCAACUACUCACUUUAAUGGACUGAAGUUGUUGAAGGCCUCUGCCAAUGACCAAUGGAAAUACAUUUUUCAAUUUAUCACACCCUUCCACCUCUAUGGUCUUUAAUUUGCAAAAGGACUCUGCUGUGAGUGGACCACGACAUAUUUCCUCAAGGUUCCUUAAAUCUCUCAGAAAUAAUGACCCCAAAAGGGGGAAUGCAGUCGUCCGAGCUGGCGUACAAUCCAUUGAGUCAACAAGACAAGAAAGGUUGCCAUUACGUCGGAUUUGGAGACCCUUCAGUUUUGGAAAGACUUCUCUGCCUAGUUCGCAAAGAACAUUCUUCAUGUCAAGCGAUCCACCUGAAGUUAGGUCUUCAAUACGCUUCAAUUGCAUGAUAUGCCCCUCGUUCAAGCAAAUGUUGGCACCAUUUGUGAGCUUCAGUUUGGAUAUUCUAGAAAUCCCAUCCCACGCGUCAUACUCCCUGCUAUCUCCUAUCAAUAUCCUGUACCUUUGCAGCAUUUUGAAGAACGACAAGUCUCUUGGUAGAGUCUUUUCAUCUUGGAUGAGUAUUUCUAAAGAGGUCAAUUUAGAUAAAUUAUUCAACUCGUCAAGGCUGGCAUUUCUUCUUUCACCGUCGACUCCUUCAACCUUCCCCCACUGAAUGGGACUCUGGCCAAUAUACAAUUCUUCUAAUCGUGAUAAGCUUGAUAUAACAUUUGGUGGAAUAACCUUUAGUUCGAAACACUUGCUCAAAUUCAACAACCUCAAUUGAGUCAGCUGGCCUAUCUCUCCAGCCAGUUCCUCCAUAUCAGAACCUCGAAGCGCAAGGAUGACUAAUUUCUUUAGGUCUCCGAUAAUGGCCAUGUCUCCUAGUUCACAAUCAUCGAGAGACAAUGUUUGAAGGUUUUGCAAGAGACCAAGCGAUGAAGGCAAUGCCAACAAAUGCAUCUUAGUGAAAUCUAAAACUCUAAGCUCUGUCAUCCCAGUAAAAAAUUUAUCUGGGAUCCUCAAAGAAGCAUGACAGCUAAUACAAAGGAAUUUAAGUUGCGGGCAUUCGAACCCUUGAGGAGGCUCAUUAAUAUUACUAUUCUUUAAGGAGAUUGCGGUGCAAACCUUCAGUGUAUCCUUAUCUGGCCAGCUGGUCAGCGGAACAACCUCAUUUUCCGCCGCAAACACAUGUUGGUCUCUUGACGCAAUUGAUCUGGCUACAUCACGAACAACAUCAUGCAUUGAAAACCAUUCACUUGAACCGCCAUCAAGCAACAAACAAGAGUUCUUGAGUUUAUCAACCAAUGUAUGUGCUCUAUCCCGUGCCUCUUCCAACGUGUUGAUGUUUUGAAACAGACCCAAACCCAUGCCAUAAUAGAGUAGGUCUUCAACACAAGAGAAGAACGUGUACCCUAUUAGCAAAAAUGUUUUCUUCAGUUCCUCUCCGUUUAAAUGAUUGUAACUUAGCUCUAUACUUUUGUACGCCACCUGCGUUGUUCCAGUGAAGUUUCUCAAGGAAGGCCUUCUAAAUUCCAGCAAAGCAUCCUUCCAUUCAGACAAUCUCUUAUUUCUCAAUGCCCUUGCUACGGGUACAAUGGCAAUGGGCAAACCAGCACAUUCCUUGACUAGCUCUGUUGCUACAGAUUUCAGUUCACCAUUUUCUAUGCAAUCACCUGUCAUCUUUUUGAAAAGACUCCAAGCUUCUUUUUCGUUCAGAACAUCAACAAAAAAAUUAUGUUGACAAUCCAUCUUACAGGAUAACACAUCGUGACUUCUUGCUGUCAGCAGAACUUUACAUCCGCCGUUGUCAUCUGCCAAUGGAAUUCCAAUCGCCUCCAAAUCCAGACUCCCCCAAAUAUCAUCCAAGAUUAUAAGGAUCUUCGUCUCUUUCUUCAAUCGUUCAAGCAGCCUCCCUGCUCUUACAGUUUCAUGACUCUGUUCGGCCAAUUCUAAGCCUAUCUUCUCUGCGAUUUCUCCUUGUAUAUUUUUUAUUUGCGGUGUUUGUGAAACACGUGAAGAAAUGACCUUCUCAAACAGAUUAUUUUCCUUGACCUGCCUGCCAACUUCUUUCACCAGCGUUGUCUUUCCAAUGCCACCCAUCCCGUACACCCCAAUCAUGUUGAAGUUACGGUUGCUGAGUGCGCCUAGUACCUCCUUCAAGGUGGACUUUCUCGAUUCAAAGUGCAUGAAAUCCUGGGUAGACUUAAGCCAUGUCUCCUCUGGAAUGGUACGGAAAGAAACACUGUCGAAUCUCCCUUUUUCAUGGAGUCCAACAAUAGCAUUCGCCUCUCUUUCUGCUUUCUUGCUAAGCUGGUACCGAGUCCUCAAAUUAGGACAUAACCCCUUCAAACACCGGUUGUUUGAAUUCUCUUUGUCUUCAAUAAGUGUUUCGACUUCAUUGAUCUCCUUGUUCGCAGCAAUCAGCCACUCCUCAACGUGCUGUUGAAUUCCGUCCCCUUUAAUUCUAGAAUCAUCAACCUUAUACUGCACACUGUCUCUAGCAUUCUUUAGCUUAUCGACUUCAUUAUUCAGCUUCUCGAAGUAGGUCUUGUAAGUGCAGCAGUAAGUAAAUGGAUAAAUUAUGGGAGCAACCAAGUACUCUGCAACUUUUGCAGCAACGGAGAUAACAAUUUCCAUUAUCCCUUUCUUUUUUAUUUUUCGCUUUCAGAAAACAGGGGAAAGCAAAACUAAUCAAACUAAGCAGAAGUAAUCAAUCAGCUGGGAUGAGGGAAAUAAGAAGUUUGGAUAAAUUGCUAAAAUAAGAGGUUGAAUAGAUUUAAGGGAGGAGGAGAGGAAAAUAAUGAAACAAAGGGGGAUCCUUUUUCUGCUAAGAAAAAUUGAAAAGCGAGUACAAUAAAUGAAAGAUUUGCAAAGAAGGUGUAGGAUCGAGGACAAGAACGAUUCAGAAAAGGGAGACAGAAAAUGAAGAAGAGAUUUCAGAGAACUCUGGAGAUAAGGGAAAUGCAGAGGCAGACAGUUGUCAUCUCAUGUCUCAAGGGUAAUCUGAAUACUGCAAAAAAGCUAAACUAAAUUCAUACAUGGAGAAGACUCAUGCUUCCAAGUCAACUAUAGAUUCUUAAUAACUGAGAUAGAUAGUUAUAAGGGUUAUUAUGGUUUCAUUUUAAAAAAUAAAAAAUUAUAAGAUAUAAAAUAACUAUAAGAAGUAUUGGUGUUAUAGGUUAAUUGGACAGCGCAAGGUGGCCUUUUGGCAUUUCAUUGAAUUUUCUUGUUACCAGUAAGUGCUAUGCUGCCGUUGCCGGACUUUAUGAUUUUCUUUUUUGGAAUUUUUAUUGAAUUUUCUUGCGCUUUUCUAAUAACUCCGCUAUAAAGCCCAUGUUUCGGGACUUUAUGAUUUUUUAUUUUUUUAAGAAAUAGAUAUACAAAUAAAAUGAAAAAAAAAAAAAAAACCUGUUGCGUGGUCGUGUGGGUCCUCGAAAUCAUUUCGGCAUUUAAAUUUAAUGGAACAGUUGGAUGUACUCAGCUCUACACUUCCACGAAGGUUCCUGGAAGUUGCAAGUGCUGCCGGCAUUUUCAAACUCGGAAGGUUUCAAUAAUUUUUCCUUUUCACUUUGAAAGGUUUCAAUAAUUAGCUUUGAUUAUUGUAUAAUAUGUGAUAAUCUAGUGAUGAUGAAGAUUUAUGUGUGUGAUUAAAAGCUAAGCUAGUGGAUUUGUAAGCGAGCCCACGGCGAAGAAUUUGAGCAAGUAUUUUUAUCUUCUUUUUGUCACAUUCUUCUAAUUAAUUUGCUUUCACCAACAAAUAUAAUUAAUAAUUAAUUUGUAAAUAGUUGGAUCUUACGCUCAAAUUUUGACAAUACAUGAAUUGUAAUGUAUACAUAUUUUUCAAGUGUAAACUCUAUUUAAGAGAGGAUCUCAAUUUUUAAUUAGAGAAGAUCAUAGUUAAAGCACACAAUGCGAGAAUAAUACUGGUUGCGCUGACUAACAUCAAAUACAAACAAGGAAGAAAGACUAUUAAAGCUUUCCUUACAGCAUUAAUCUUGAUUAUUUGAUAAACUAGAGGUGAUCACUGAUUUAUAUUUUUAGUGCAAAACAGAAUACAAUGCAAGAGCUGAUGGCUUUCUUUGCUGUCCUCAUAUUGUCACAUAUUUUGUAGCUUUCUCAUUUUUGAUAAGUCGCUCGCUCAAUAACCUAUAUGGGUUAGGGUCUUGAGGCUGAAAUCUUUAAAUUGAAAUUGUCAUCAUUUCAUUCAUGAUCCAAGAUUCUAUCGUGUAUAAUGGGUAAGACAAUCUUUUUACUUCAAAAUUUUUACAUAAAUUUUUGUAGUUUGAUGGCGUCAAAUCCGAUGGAAACGAAAUAAGUGACUUGAAAAGAUCAAUUGAUCAGUGAUUUGUCAAAAGUUUACUGAUAUUAUUACCCUAUGACAAGAUUUUAAGCUUUAUAUCCAGGCUAAGGUGACAAAUAACGUAGCACUACAAUCGUCAAUCUUACUAGGUGAUGACAAUGAAAGAUCACAUAACCUACUUAUUAUUUUAUAUGCUUUACUGUGGAAUCGACAAUUGCUAUAUUGCGUAGCGUUUAUUUUGGGAUCAUCAAAUACAAACAACGACCACGAUAAAAGAAAAGAAAGACUAAUAAAGCUUUCCCAGCAGCGUUAAUCAUGAUUAUUUGAUAAAAUAGAGGUAACAAAUAAUUAUAUUUUUGGUGGAAAACAGAACAGAGCACGUUACAAGAGCUGAUUGCUUUCUUUAUUUUUUGUGAAUAUUAAACCAAAAAUACAAGUCAAUGAAAAAAAUUGAAAAUAACGCACCAUCAAGUCAACCUUGGUGCAGAAAAUUAUUAACAUUUAAUGAACUUAGAGGAAUGAGUUGGGCUAAGUCUUUAAAUCAGCUCUGUCGUGGAAUAUAACAGGAAGAUUGAAAGAAAAAUCAAUCAACUACAACUAGUAUAUAAUAUAAUGUUUUCACGCAUCUUUUAUAAAUUUAUUGGGAAACACUAUUUCCGCUUAUUGAAGAAAAUCAAGAAAUGCUGAUUCCGUCAUGCUUACUUUCAUAAUCAUUUAUAAGCUUUUAUACGAAUCCUUGUGUUUGAAUAUAAUAAUGGUUUCAGAAAUGCAUACCUGUUAGUUCUCCAUUUCUUGACUCCGAGGAAAAUUUGACUUGACAGAUGAAGCAGUGUUAUAAGAGGUUUGAUUACUGCGAGCAUUUCAACAGACGGGUGAUAUGCAUACACAGCUUCUACGCUACCACUACCAUGCUUACACCACAGCUGCUUCCUGUUGUAAAACGUUGCUGACAUGUCAUCAUACUGGACAGUGGACAGACCUUCCGAGGUUAUUCUUCGAAGCGUUUCAUGAUGCCACGUGUACUUGAUUAUUUGACUAAUCACGGUUCACAAGUUGAGUGAGCUAUUCACCAGUCACCAAACCACCUUCCUGCUGCAAAGAAUGUUAACUGAACUUUGACUUGGUCAGAAACUCAGAAUUAGUGGUGCACGUGAUGCUUACACGUGAGGACCCCAAUGACGAAUUCCAAAAGCUGAAUGAUGUAUGUGUGAAUUAAAUAUAACUAUUGCGCUCUAGUACAUAUAUGUCAUAUGUACACUAAGUGGGUGUAGUGCAACGAAGGUGCUCUAAUAUUUUUUCAGUGAACACAAUAUAAUCAUCAAAGUGAAAGAAAAACUUUUGAGGUUUUGGUGUAUUCAUUAGUGAAAUUUGAGCCGAAAAGAAAAAUUCAUAUUUGUAAACAUCAAAACCAAAAUCAUUUGGACGUAGUUGCUGAAAUUGAUUAGGUCAUUUUUAACCUUAAAUUUAAGAUCAUUAAUCGUUGCAUGAAUGUUUUGAUUUUAAUACCAGUGGCAAUCACGUACAUGUUUAAUGAUUUGAUUAAAUUUGUGUUUAGUUCUAUAAAUGAUUUAACUAAAAAAUUCAAAAAUGUUUAAAUAACAAUUGUUAUUAUUAACAAUUUAACUAAAAAAUUAUUAUUAAUUAUUGUUAAUAGAUUAAUUAAUUACAAUACUUUUUAUUAUUCUUAUUAAUAGUAAUUACAAUAAACUAGUAAUUAUAAUUAUAAUCCAUUUAAUAAUAAUUAUUUUUAUUUAAAUGGAGGGUAGUUUGGGAAUUUAAAAAAUAUAGGGGAUAAAUUUGAUACGCUAAGGGUUUUAAUGAAAUAAAAUAGAGUGCAAGGGGCUGAACGAAAUGUUACAAUAUAGAAAUUUUUAUAUACUUAUUGAUAAAUUGUAAAUAAUAUUAAGUAAAAGGGGCUGAACAAUAUUUUACAGCAAGAAUUCAGAAAAAGACAAACGCAGCUGUAACUGUAACUUAGAGGAAGAGGAUCCUUAAAGUUUUUAAUGAAAAUCUUUAGUUGUUUAGUUAUCAAAAAAAAACUUUUAAAAAAAGUUGUAAAUUAAAAUUACUUUAGUAACAAGUUUAUUAAACCUGGACUCAUCUACUUUGCAACGGCUGCAAGGUACAACUAAUUUUUUUUUUAAUUUUAUUCCUUUACCUUUGGAUUUAAUGAAAAAGGUAAUUUCAAUGGUAGAGAUUUGUCCAUUUGAAUACUAACAUUAUAUUCUUGAUAAGUAUUAAAAACACAAAAAAAUGAAAGAGUUAAAAUUUUUAGCAUAUAAGUCUUUAUUGUUUCCAAUUUAUAUUAUUUAAUUAGUAGUAAGUCUUAAAAAAUAUUUUAAUUUUAAUAUUAUAUAUUUUUAUUUAAAAGAAUAAAAUUUUAAUGUUAUUUAUUUUAUUCAAAAUAAAUAUUAUUUAAUAUUAUUUAUUUUCAUUUUAUUUAAUUUUAUUUAGCGUAUGCUUAUUAUUAUAUUUAUUCUUCAAAAAACUAAAUAAUAUUAAAUAAAAUAAAAUAAUCAAUAGUGAAUCAUAAAAAAUAGAUAUAAUUUUUAAUUAAUAUUAUUUAUUUUAUUUUAUUUAACGUUUUAUAGUCAUAAACUUAUCAUUAUAUUUAUUCUUUCAUAAAACUAAAUAAUGUUAAAUAAAAUAAAAUAAUAGUAAUGAGUCUUAAAAAUUAAUAUUAUUUUUAAUAUUAUUAACUUUAUUUUAUUUAAUAUUAUUUAUCCAUAGGCUUAUAAUUGUAUUUAUUCUUUUAAAAAACUAAAUAAUAUUAAAUAAAAAAAUCAAUAGUGAACCUUAAACAAUAAAUAUUAUUUAUAAUAUUAUUAACUUUAUUUUAAAAAAUUAAUUUUAUUAAUUUUAUAUUAUUUAUUCAUAGGCUUAUUAUUAUAUUUAUUUUUUAAAAAGUUAAAUAAUAUUAAAUAAAAUAAAAAAAAAUAUUGAGCCGUAAAAAAUAAAUAUUAUUUAGUCAUAAACUUAUUAUUAUAUUUAUUCUUUUAAAAAAAUAAAUAAUAUUAAAAAAAUAAAAUUACAUUUUAAAAUGUCACCAGCCAAAGCAUAUAAACUUAUAAAUAAAUGUAAAAAAAUAAAAUAAAAUUACAUUUUCAAAGGUCACCAGCUAAAGUAUAUAAACUUAUAAAAAAAAAAAAGGUAAAUAAGAAGGCUAGUAAGGGGUUAAAGAAAAUUUAACAUGCAUAACAUAACUCCAUAAGACAAAAAUGGUGGCACCUUGCAACUGUUGCAAAGUAGCUGGAUCCUAUUAAACCUAUAUGUUAUAAAACAAAUGAAAUAGGAUUAUGCAUGCAGUUAAAUAGGUGUAUUUUAGAAAAUCUAAUUCUUUUAAGGAGCUCUACAACCUAUUCUCCUAGAAGUCCAAAAUUUAAACUUCUCUUAAUAAAGACAAAAUAAUAUUUUUAAUAAACUCUAUUCAAUUUAUAGCCAAACGAUGCCAAAAAAUAUUCAAAAGCAAAAUUACUCUCUUGAUCUAUUAGUAGAGAAAUCAUACAAAAUGGACACUUAAUGGUCAAUUAUUUUCCCCCCUUUUUUUUUUUGUAGUUUUACUUUUCCUAUAAACAUUAUUGUUUAGGAAAUAAUAAUAACACUACAUACUCUCCACUAACACAUUAAUUAAUUAAGAGUAUUUCCUCACUAGCACGCAUUUAAUUAUCAAAUGAUUAUCAAAAGUACGGCUAAACUUUGGUAAUUAACAAAACAAGUACUCUAAGCUCUGUCAUCUCAGUAAAAAUGUUAUCUGGGAUUCUCAACGAAGGAUCACUGCCAAUAGAAAAGUAUUCACGGUGUGGACAUUCCAACUCUUGAGGAAGCUCACUAAUAUUACUAUUAUUUAAGGAGAUUGCAGUGCAAACCUUUAGUUUAUCCUUAUCUGGCCAUUUGAUCUGUGGGACAACAUCAUUAUCCACUACGAAUACAUGUUGGUCUCUUGAUGCAAUUUGUUUGGGAGAGAUACUGUUUGGGAUAAAUACGUCGACGAGACCAGGAAUGACGAGCAGAUAUCUGAUGGCGGAGUUCUGCGAACCGGUGUGUUCCGUAAAAGCCUGGUGCGCGGAAGAACAGGAGCAGAAAUAUCCUGCUCGUCCACGAUGUUGUCAUCCGCGAGGCCAAUUCCCUAUAAAAGGCAUAAGGCCAUUCCGGCUAGAGGUCAAGAGGCGAGGAGACCCGGUCGACGGCAGUUGGCAAGACGCGCUCUCCAGCACGAGAAUCUAGGCACAACAGCCACGCUUUCCCCAGAACCGUGGCGUAACACGCAAGAUCUCACGGAACCAUGACAGCCACGCUUUCCCCAGAACCGUGGCGUAACACGCAAAGUCUCACAGAGCCAUGACAGCCACGCUUUCCCCUGAACCGUGGCGUAACACGCUAGAUCCCACGUUUGCCCAUAACGCAGCAGUUGGAGUCCCAUACCGUCUGGGAAAGAGCGGAAGACUGAGAUUCAGAGGAAGCCUAUAAAAAGGUAGCCAACGAAGGUAAAAGGGUUGGCAUUUUUGAGAGAGAAGGAAAAACCACGAAAAAGCCAUAAGACCUGUGGCAAGCGUUCCCUGAACCUUCAUAUCUGACUUGAGCGUCGGAGGGUUUGCGCCGGGGGAACAACCGGCGUACUCUGACUUGUCUGUUUGUGCAGGGACAUCUGGAGAAGAAGCAUUACUAGGAGACCUCCUGGUCGUGGUGAAGUUGAUCGAGCAGAGAUCCUGGUCGUGGAACGAGGAGAACCGGAAUCUCGCAUCAACAUUUUGGCGCCGUCUGUGGGGAACCAGAGCAAAAAGCUUCUGUCGAUAGCAAGAAGAGGGGUGGAGUAAGCGAAAGGCAAUGGAGAUAGGAGGAAGUAGCGCACAAAGGGGUGACAUGAGGCUUAACGAUUCCGUGACGCUGAGGGAGGUAAUCAGCGAAGCACGGGAAAAAGUCAUGUUCGACCGGAUGGAACGAAUGGAAAAGCAGAUGGAAACCUUGACAACCAUCCUGCAUGAGCUGCGGAACGAGCGAAGGGUAACCCAAGAGGGAAGGGUGAGAGGCGGUGGAGCGGCACCAGGUCCCGAUAGUGCGGGGAGAAGUCAAACCGCAGGGAGAUUUGGUGGUGAGAGAGGUAACGUACCCCUGCGGGGAGAAUUUCAUAGAGAAAGAGAGCAGUCCCCGGCAAGACAGACUUGUGACGAGGGCGACGGGGUGGUGAAUGCAGAGGAAACAGAGCUGAGGCAACACUUGCAUGAUGUAGAGCGAGAGCGGGAUCAAGUUGCAGCACGUGACCCUGGUCGUGCAGGGCAGCUGGAGGAGGAAGUGCGAAGGCUAGCGCAAAUAAUUGACGACAUGCAAGGGAGGAACAGAGCCCCUGGUUGGAGGAUAAUGCUGGACGGAGAAUCACCGCUCGCAGCAGAGAUCAUGAGGGCAGUUAUUCCGAGAGAUUUCCGCCUCCCCGACCUCAGAUACUCGGGAAGAACUGAUCCGCUGAUGCACAUAGAGCGCUUCAACGACAUGACGGGGGUACAGGGAUUAUCUCCAUCCCAAAGGUGCAGGGUGUUCCCACUAUCCCUUGAGGGACGUGCACGAGAAUGGUACAGGAAACUUCCUCGGGGCAGCAUUAAAACCUUCGAGCAGAUGUGCCAGGAAUUCGCGGAGCAGUUUAGUGGGGCAAUGUCACCGGAAGAUGACAUGAUGGAGCUGAAAAGCAUGAAACAGGGGGAGCAAGAAACCCUUCGGGAAUUCAUCAAGAGGUUUCAUCGGGCUGUCCUCGACUUGGGAGCCUUCAACCACCCUCAGGCGUUAAGGGGAUUGAAAGAAGGGGUGAAGAUAGGAAGGCUGUGGUACAAUUUGAGAAGCCCAGCUAUUCAAACGUAUGCAGCCGCAUACGAACAGGCUAAAAGAGACAUCGAGAUUGAGGAGGAGAAGGCUGCACGGAUCAAGACAGACCAGUUGGAAGGGUUAGGGAGGAAAGAGAAGAAAGCAUUACCGGGGAAUGGGCCGAUCAGGAGGAGGGACCACCAGGUCUCCGGUAGUGGAUCAGGAGGUAGGGUGAUUGCUUAUCAGCCUCAUCAGAGGCCGCCACAGUAUCAGCGCAGCAGGGCGCCACCUCCUCGUUCCCCAGCUAGGGAGCCUUGGAGAAGGCAUGAUUCGGCAUCCGGUGGUCUUCAUCAACAUUCCCACGGUAACAGGACGAGCAGACCAGAAGCACUUCCACCGCCCCCAACCCACAGUGGGGCAAACAGAGAAAGAGCAGUGCAUCUGGUCGACCAGAACCAGGACUAUGGGCGGUACACUCCCUUGAGGAUGCCCCUGGAUGAGGUGUACGAGGCCAUAAAGGAUCGAGGGCUGCUGCACCUCCCUACACCGAUAACAAAGCUGCCCAACAGAAGGGAUAGAGGACGUUAUUGUAAGUUCCAUGGCACUAUUGGCCAUACCACAGCAGAGUGUAGAGAUCUCAAGACCCAGGUCGAAGAUCUGGUGAGAAAUCGGUACCUGGACGAGUUUAUGGAUGGGACUUUUCCGAUGGUGGCCACAACAGAUGAAGGGGAGCAGAGUGAUAGAAUCUUGAGACGCGAGCAGCCCGCAGUAAGGGUGAUAGCUGGGGGCCCAACGUUGGCCGGAGAUUCGAACAGAUCGAGAAAAAAUUAUGCCAGAUACGCCAUGACCAGUAAAGAGAUACUCUUCAACACCCCAGCAGCCAAACGAGCAAGGGUCAGUCAAGUGCCAAUCAUGUGGACGGAUGAGGAUGAGGAAGGGAUUCUAUACCCCCACGAGGAUGCUUUAGUCAUCGAGGCUACGGUCGCUAGCAAGAAGUUUGACCGGAUACUGGUUGAUACGGGGAGCUCAGUUGAUGUGUUAUUUAAGUCAACUUUGGAAGAGAUGGGAAUAGCCGACCGGAAGUUGGAAUACACCAACACCUCCUUGAAGGGGUUCGGAGGAGGGAAGUUGGUCCCUCUGGGCGUGGUCGAACUGCCUAUCACAAUCGGGAGCCCCCCGACAGAAAGAACAAUGAUACUGGACUUCGUCGUAGUGGAUGAGGAAGGUCCUUACCAGAUGAUCCUAGGUCGGCCAUUUUUAAGGAUGAGCAAAGCGGUGUUGUCCAACCAUUAUCUGGCUCUGAAGUACCGGGUGAAUGGGGUAGUCGGAGUGGUACGAGGAGACCAGAGGAUCGCAAGAAGCUGCUACUCCUCGGCAGCAAGGGAGGCGAUGCAGAUAACAUCCCUCGAUACCCGAGUGGAAAACAAGCCUGGCAAACAAGAACCCGUAGAGGAUCUGGAAACAGUAAGCAUGGGACCAGAGAACCCGGGAAAGACGAUCAGAAUCGGGUCGAGACUUAAGGGAGAGCAAAAGCAGGAGUUGGUGAAAUGCUUACAGGCUCAUGCUGACGUGUUUGCCUGGACACAUGAAGACAUGCCAGGGAUCGACCCAGAGGUAGCAUGUCAUAAGCUGGCAAUAAAGAAAGGUGCUCGAGCAGUAAGGCAGAAGAGGAGGUGCUUCAACCAGGAGAGGUAUGAGGCUGUAAAUGAUGAGGUGGAGAAGCUUCUGAGAGCAGGGUUCAUUCGGGAAGUCAAUUACCCAGAGUGGAUAUCAAAUGUUGUGUUGGUAAAGAAGGCAAACGGCAAGUGGAGGAUGUGUGUGGAUUUCACAGACCUCAAUAAGGCGUGCCCAAAAGACAGCUUCCCUUUACCAAUGAUCGAUCAGCUAGUAGAUUCGACGGCUGGACAUGGUCUGCUCAGCUUCAUGGACGCAUUCUCGGGAUACAACCAGAUCCCCAUGUACGAGCCGGAUGAGGAGAGCACGGCUUUCAUCACUAACCAAGGUUUGUUCUGUUACAGGGUGAUGCCAUUCGGUCUCAAGAAUGCUGGGGCCACCUAUCAAAGGCUGGUGAAUAAAGUCUUUAAGCCCUUGAUCGGGAAAACCAUGGAAGUGUACGUGGACGACAUGAUCACCAAGUCCAAAAUCCCGAAGGAACAUGUCAGACAUCUCGAGGAGACGUUCGAGCUUUUGAGGAAGUAUAAGAUGAAGCUCAACCCGGAGAAGUGUGCUUUUGGGGUCGAGUCAGGGAAAUUUCUGGGAUUCAUGGUGAGCCAUAAGGGGAUUGAAGCAAAUCCCGAGAAGAUCCAGGCGAUUGUGCAAAUGACGUCUCCUCGAAACCUGAAGGAGAUGCAGAGCCUCACGGGGAGGUUGGCGGCGUUGAGCAGAUUCAUAUCCAAGGCUACAGAUAAGUGUCAGCCAUUCUUUCAAGUGAUAAGGAGGGGAAAGAAAACGGAAUGGACCCCGAAAUGCGAGGAAGCCUUCCGGAACUUGAAGCAAUACUUGCAGCAAGCUCCGCUACUGUCCACACCGAGGGAUGGGGACAAGUUGAAUCUGUAUUUGGCGGUAUCGGAUCGGGCCGCCAGUUCCGUUCUGGUGAGAGAGGAAGAAGGAGUUCAGUAUCCGAUAUACUACACCAGCAAGGCCCUGCUCGACGCUGAGACCAGAUACCCACCGUUGGAGAAAUGGGCACUUGCCCUUGUGGUUGCUGCUCGGAAGUUGAGGCCAUACUUUCAAGCAUUCCCGGUCUCGGUAAUAACCAACCAGCCAUUGCGUCAAAUUCUGCACAAGCCAGAUGCCUCUGGUCGGCUCGUCAAGUGGGCUGUAGAGCUGAGCGAAUUCGACAUAGACUAUAAACCCCGUGCGGCGAUAAAGGCCCAGGCAAUGGCCGAUUUUGUAGCUGAGUUCGCAGAGCCCGAAGUAUGCUUAGAUCAACAAGGUGCAGAUAUAGGCGACGACGAAACUCAAGUAUGGCAGAUAUCUGUGGAUGGGUCAUUGGGAGAGCGGGGUUCAGGAGCAGGGAUUGUCCUGGAAGGCCCAGAGGGGGAGGAGAUCUCUUAUGCUGUAAAGUUGGAAUUUGCAGCCACAAAUAACCAGGCAGAAUACGAAGCCUUGAUAGCGGGUCUGGAAUUGGCUAGGGCCGUGAAAGCAGACAGAGUUAAGAUCAGAACUGAUUCCCAGCUGGUUGCGAAUCAUGUCAGUGAAAGAUUCCAACCAAGAGAGGAGAAGAUGGAACAGUACCUAAAGAUAGUCAGGCAGAUGAUGGGGAAGUUCAAAGCAGUGGAGGUGAUACAAAUCCCCAGGGAGCAGAACAGUCGAGCAGACAUUUUGGCUAGGAUGGCAGCCGUAGCCGACCCAAAAAUGCCAAAGUCGGUCCCCCUAGAAGUGAAGUCUCACCCAAGUGUCGAGCAAAAUUUGGGGGUGUUGCGGAUAGAACAAAAAGGCUCAUGGAGGGACCCGAUAGUUUCAUACCUUAGAGACGGGGUCGUACCACCAGAUAAGCUGCGAGCUCGGAAGAUUAGAGCUCAGGCCUCGAGAUACACGAUGAUCGAUGGGGUACUGUAUCGGCGAGGAUAUACAUUACCGUUCCUUCGGUGUUUGGACGAUGACGACGCAGAUUACGUGCUGAGGGAAGUACAUGAAGGAAUUUGCGGAAAUCAUUCUGGCGGGAGGUCCCUGGCCCACAAGGUUCUAAGACAGGGAUAUUUCUGGCCGACGAUGCACCAGGAUGCGCAAAGGAAGACCAGGAGCUGUGCAAGCUGCCAGAGUUUUGCAAACUUCUCUAACCAACCACCAGAGAAGCUCACCUCCAUGGCCUCCCCUUGGCCAUUCGCUCAAUGGGGAAUUGAUCUGAUCGGCCCAUUGCCAAAGGGACGAGGAGCAGCAACACAUGCAAUAGUUGCUAUAGAUUACUUCACGAAGUGGAUAGAGGUAGAAGCCCUUAGCAGGAUCACAGAGAAGAAAACAACAGACUUCGUGUGGAGAAACCUGGUCUGUCGAUACGGGAUCCCAUAUGCCUUGGUAACGGAUAAUGGCAGGCAGUUCGAUAAUCACAGCUUCAGGGAUUUCUGCCAGAACCUCGGGAUAGAACUGAAGUAUUGCUCGCCUGCUCACCCUCAAUCGAAUGGACAAGUAGAAGCAGCCAACAAGACCGUCAAUAGGCUUCUGAAAACCAGGCUCGGAGCAAAAAAGGGUGCGUGGGUUGACGAGCUGUCAGGUGUGCUAUGGGCAUACAGAACAACCCACAAGACCGCAACUGGGGAGACACCGUUCGCUUUGGCUUUCGGACAUGAAGCGGUCGUGCCGGCUGAGAUAGGAACGACCACACACCGGACAGAGCACUUCAAUGAGCAGGAGAACGACGAACAGAUAUGUUUGAAUCUUGAUCUGCUAAUGGAGAGGAGGGAACAAGCAGCCGAGCGAUCAGUCACUUACCAACAGAGGGUUGCUCGGUAUUAUAACCAGAAGGUGAACAUACGGCAAUUCAGGGUCGGAGACUGGGUACUGAGAAGAGUGAAUCAGAGCACCAAAGAUUCGACUCAAGGAGUGCUGGGACCGAAUUGGGAAGGGCCGUAUAGAGUCAAGCAGAUAGCGGGACCCGGAGCUUACAAGCUGGUUCGCGCGGACGGCCACGAAGUGAAACGCCCAUGGAACGCAGCACACCUCCGGAAAUACUUCCAGUAAGACUUGUUCACAUUUGAAAGCUGUUUUUGCUCAUGUUCAUUAUCGUUUAUUUUUCGCGUUUUAUGUCCGAACAAUUUCAUGUAAGUCAAAUCCUGCCAUUAAUGGAACGUCGACGAAUUUCAUUCGCUUGAAACCAAAAAAAUCCUAAGGCAUGCAAAGGCUCGCCAAGUCUCAGAGCCUGUCUUAUGGCGAGACAGAAGCCAAGCAUGCCAGGAUCUGCUCGGCCACGAGAAGGCAGCAGAAUCCAAAUCGUUUGAAGAAAAUCCUAAGGCAUGCAAAGGCUCGCCAAGUCUCAGAGCCUGUCUUAUGGCGAGACAGAAGCCAAGCAUGCCAGGAUCUGCUCGGCCACGAGAAGGCAGCAGAAUCCAAAUCGUUUGAAGAAAAUCCUAAGGCAUGCAAAGGCUCGCCAAGUCUCAGAGCCUGUCUUAUGGCGGGACAGAAGCCAAGCAUGCCAGGAUCUGCUCGGCCACGAGAAGGCAGCAUAAUCCAAAUCGUUUGAAGAAAAUCCUAAGGCAUGCAAAGGCUCGUUAAGUCUCAGAGCCUGUCUUGUGGCGAGACGGAAGCCAAGCAUGCCAGGAUCUGCUCGGCCACGAGAAGGCAGCAGAAUCCAAAUCGUUUGAAGAAAAUCCUAAGGCAUGCAAAGGCUCGCCAAGUCUUAGAGCCUGUCUUCUGGCGAGACAGAAGCCAAGCAUGCCAGGAUCUGCUCGGCCACGAGAAGGCAGCAGAAUCCAAAUCGUUUGAAGAAAAUCCUAAGGCAUGCAAAGGCUCGCCAAGUCUCAGAGCCUGUCUUAUGGCGAGACAGAAGCCAAGCAUGCCAGGAUCUGCUCGGCCACGAGAAGGCAGCAGAAUCCAAAUCGUUUGAAGAAAAUCCUAAGGCAUGCAAAGGCUCGCCAACUCUAAGAGCCUGUCUUAUGGCGAGACAGAAGCCAAGCAUGCCAGGAUCUGCUCGGCCACGAGAAGGCAGCAGAAUCCAAAUCGUUUGAAGAAAAUCCUAAGGCAUGCAAAGGCUCGCCAAGUCUCAGAGCCUGUCUUAUGGCGAGACAGAAGCCAAGCAUGCCAGGAUCUGCUCGGCCACGAGAAGGCAGCAGAAUCCAAAUCGUUUGAAGAAAAUCCUAAGGCAUGCAAAGGCUCGCCAAGUCUCAGAGCCUGUCUUAUGGCGAGACAGAAGCCAAGCAUGCCAGGAUCUGCUCGGCCACGAGAAGGUAGCAGAAUCCGAAUCGUUUGAAGAAAAUCCUAAGGCAUGCAAAGGCUCGCCAAGUCUCAGAGCCUGUCUUAUGGCGGGACAGAAGCCAAGCAUGCCAGGAUCUGCUCGGCCACGAGAAGACAGCAUAAUCCAAAUCGUUUGAAGAAAAUCCUAAGGCAUGCAAAGGCUCGUCAAGUCUCAGAGCCUGUCUUGUGGCGAGACGGAAGCCAAGCAUGCCAGGAUCUGUUCGACCGCGCGAUGGCAAACCGAAUCCAAGGCAUUGAAAAAUCUUCAAAGGCAUGUGGCAAAACCAUGAGCCAAGCCGGAACCUGCUCGUCUAGACAAAGACAAGCAGAUUCUCAAACGAAAAACAAUUCAUAAUUACAACACGAGAAAGUAAUCAACAACAUUUUUAUUAAUGUGUUAAUGGCUAACAGAGGGAAUAAAUUUCAUAAACGUUGUUCAUUACAAUACAAAAAGAAAUAUAUCAAAAAGAUGGUGGAUCAGUGAGCCGAGCAGCAUCGGUCGGCUGGACCUCCUCGGGUGCAGGGGGGGUAUCACCAGUUGCGUCCGGGGGGGUGCUCGCCUCGCCAACAUCAGCAGGGACUGCACGAGGAGGAGAGUUUUCCUCCUCGAUCACGAUCGGCUCUACCCCCUCGGUAUCUUCCUUGGCCGCCUCCUCAUCCAUAUGCUGAGCAACACCAGCUGCAAGGUCAUCCAUCUUCAGGUUAGGGUGUUGCUUCCCGAGGACGGCCAUGAUGCAACGAUAGGAAUGCCGAAGUCCCUGGUCGUACUGGUUGUCGGCCUCCCUCUCCAAGUUCUCGACCUGAGCUCGGUGGGAGUCGCGGAGAGAUUCGAGCUGAGCCUCAUACAUAGCCUUCUGCCUUUGCAGAUCCUCCUUGACCUUGGUAAGCUCCUCCUCAAGGGUAAUGGCUUUUGCUUGAGCAAGUGAUUCUUGCUCUAUCAGCUUCAGGUUCUCGAGAUUCAGCUCCCCUGCUUUCUUCUCGGCAGCGUCAGCUCUGGUCGUCGCCGACUGAAUGUCCCCCUUCAUCUUCCGGUCGUAGCGGCCCACCUUAGCCUUGUAAUAGGUGGUCAUGCAGCUGAGGUGGAAGGCGCUAUGCUGAAUGGCCCCCACCAGCUCACCCAAGGUGCGCCCAUCAAAGUCCUCCAGCUCCUCCUUGCUCACGAGUUUAGCUAACUCAUUGAGGUAAGGGACCAGAGGUUCUGCUCGGCUGUCAGGUAAGCGAGAUCGAGGCCCGACAGGAGGAGAAGAGGUAGCGGGAUCUGUGGCUGCUCCACUAGCUUCCCCAACUUUUACAGGAGCAGGAGGUAAAACCUUCAAGGGUGGGGCCUGCUGCACGAUGUUGGCCCGCUUUGCAGUAGGGGCAUCCUUACUCUCGUCCCUCUUCGUGGUUGGAGGUCGAGAACGUUUUCGGGUCAAAGCCCCCAUCACAGCGUCCUCCAUCCUAUGGCCAGGAAGUAUCAAGCGAGACUCGAGCAAGUUGUAUGUACUUAACAGUUCUCGGCUCGAGCAGGAAUUGGCCAGCACCGCCUCGACCCGUUUGAGCUGGUCUGGUCCGAGCGGGAAGUGGACACCCCAAGAAACUACAACACAAACAAGACACUUGGUUAGAAACAAGCCAAUAAAACAAGAACAAGUAUGGAUACAAGGCAUCUGAAGCAAGCAGGCAACCUGGGACCGUGAAACGGGGUGGGACCCGAUAAUCCCUCCCGUCCAUUUGUGCGACCUGACCCCACGGACCCCCAGCAAAAAAGAACUUUCUCUUCCAAUUCCCGCCACCACCAGUAGGGAGGUCGAUUAUAGGUUUCCUGCUCUUGGUGCUAGAUUGGAAGUAGUACCAGCCGGCAUCUUUGGGGCUGCUCUUUAGCUGGUACAGGUGCUUCACCUCAUCAACCGUGGGCUCGCUUUGGCAACAUCUGUCCCACAAAAUGAACAGACCAGAGAGCACUCUCCACCCAUUGGGAUUCAGCUGACCAGGAGCCAGAUUUAGCCCGUUAAGUAUCCGGGCAAAGUAAGGUUGCAAGGGACACCUCAGCCCGUACUUAAAGCUGUCCAGAUACAGGGUAACAUAUCCCCUAGGAGGGCGGCUGGGAGCAUCCUUCUUUCCUGGGACCUUGAGAAGUAUUUCACCAGGGAUGCUAUACCUCAGUCGGAGGUCCUCGAGCUCAUCAAACGUGGUCGUGCACGUCAUGUAAUCAAUAGCGUAGUCCCGCGAUAGGGCUCUACCUCCUAUUCUACUCCUCCCUUCUGGUCGCGGCGCUCCUGAUGGGGACGCCUCACCAGAAUCAUCCCCUUGACCCUCACUCAAGGUGUUCUCCGAUCCAGAAGAUCCUUCUUCAUCGCUACUGUCGCUCGAGGAGGUUGUUUGGGGAGACAUCCUCCUAGCGCUAGUACCAACACUAGACCUAAUGGGCUCUAAGGGGAUCCCGGGGUCAAAAGCGGGAUCAGCGAGCAGACUAGGUAGGAAGUCCAACUCGUCGUCAUCAACCUCAAUGACCUUCUCUUUGCCUUUCGACAUUCCCUAAACUCUAACCACAACGCCACCGACUACUACCCAAACGAAAGAAAAAAGGAAGUUAUCUAUAAACUAUCCGAGACCGAGGAGAGAGAAGUAAUACCUGAAGCACUGCUCCAAUCGGAGAAAGGCAAGGAUGGGGCCUUUGCGCCGGAACUUCUUUGCCGGAGAAACAGAGACGGAGACGGAGUGAAUGGUGAAUAUGCCGUUCGAGAGGAUUCGGCUUUCCAAAUGAGGACGGACUCUUGAGUUGCCAGCAUAUAACUGCGCCGAAUCCCGAGGAUCUCGUAACCGUCGGUUUGAAAUUCAAAUGGAGGGCGGGAUUUCUGCCACGUCACCUCGUCCGCAAUUAAAUGCGACAUGACUCUUGGCAGCCUUUUCCAAUCCCACGCGAGCGAGCACUAUCGAGUUUCUACUGCUGGUCCACUACAUUACCCAACACCAGAAACUGGGGGACCGGUGUUUGGGAGAGAUACUGUUUGGGAUAAAUACGUCGACGAGACCAGGAAUGACGAGCAGAUAUCUGAUGGCGGAGUUCUGCGAACCGGUGUGUUCCGUAAAAGCCUGGUGCGCGGAAGAACAGGAGCAGAAAUAUCCUGCUCGUCCACGAUGUUGUCAUCCGCGAGGCCAAUUCCCUAUAAAAGGCAUAAGGCCAUUCCGGCUAGAGGUCAAGAGGCGAGGAGACCCGGUCGACGGCAGUUGGCAAGACGCGCUCUCCAGCACGAGAAUCUAGGAACAACAGCCACGCUUUCCCCAGAACCGUGGCGUAACACGCAAGAUCUCACGGAACCAUGACAGCCACGCUUUCCCCAGAACCGUGGCGUAACACGCAAAGUCUCACAGAGCCAUGACAGCCACGCUUUCCCCUGAACCGUGGCGUAACACGCUAGAUCCCACGUUUGCCCAUAACGCAGCAGUUGGAGUCCCAUACCGUCUGGGAAAGAGCGGAAGACUGAGAUUCAGAGGAAGCCUAUAAAAAGGUAGCCAACGAAGGUAAAAGGGUUGGCAUUUUUGAGAGAGAAGGAAAAACCACGAAAAAGCCAUAAGACUUGUGGCAAGCGUUCCCUGAACCUUCAUAUCUGACUUGAGCGUCGGAGGGUUUGCGCCGGGGGAACAACCGGCAUACUCUGACUUGUCUGUUUGUGCAGGGACAUCUGGAGAAGAAGCAUUACUAGGAGACCUCCUGGUCGUGGUGAAGUUGAUCGAGCAGAGAUCCUGGUCGUGGAACGAGGAGAACCGGAAUCUCGCAUCAACACAAUUGAUAUGGCUACAUCACGAACAACAUCAUGCAUAGCAAACCAUUCACUUGUAACUCCAUCAAGCAACAAGCAAGGGUUUUUGAGCUUAUCAACCAAUGUAAGCGCUCUAUCUCGUGCUUCUUCCAACGUGUUGAUGUUUUGAAACAGAGCCAAACCCAUGCCAUAACAGAGCAAGUCUUCAACACAACAGAUGAACGAGUACCCUAUUAGCAAUAAUGUUUCUUUAAGUUCCCUACCUUCUAAAUGAUUGUAACUCAACUCUACAGUUGAAUAGGCCACCGCUUGUGUCCCAGAGAAGCUUAUCAAAAAAGGCCUUUGUAAUUGUCGUAAAGCAUUCCUCCAUUCAUAGAGACUCUUAUUUUUCAACGCCUUUGCUACGGGUACAAUGGCAAUGGGCAAACCAGCACAUUCCUUGACUAUAUCUGUCGCUACAGAUUUUAGUUCACUAUUUUCUAUGCAAUCACCUGCCAUCUUCUUAAAAAGACUCCAAGCUUCUUUCUUAUUCAAAAUAUCGAUAAAAGAAUUAUGUUGACAAUCCAUCUUACAAGACAACACAUCUAGACUUCUUGCUGUCAGCAGAACUUUACAUCUGCUGUUAUCAUCUGCUAAUGGAAUUCCAACAGCCUCCAAGUCAAGACUCCCCCAAAUAUCAUCCAAGAUUAUAAGGAUCUUCUUCUCUACUUUCAAUCUUUCAUAUAGCCUCCCUGCUCUAACAAUUUCAAUCUCUUCAACUAAUCCCAAACCUAUCUUCUCUGCAAUUUAUUCUUGUAUCUUCUUUAUUUGUGGUGUUUGGGAUACUUGCGCAGAAAUGACCUUCUCAAAGAGAUUAUUUCCCUUGGCUUGCCCAGCGACUUCCUUCACCAACAUUGUCUUUCCAAUGCCACCCAUCCCGUAUACCCCAAUCAUGUUGAAGUUAUGAUUGCUUAAUGAGCCUAGUAUUUCCUUCAAAGUGGAUUUUCUUGAUUCAAAGUGAAUGAAACCUUCGGUGGACUUAAGCCAUAUCUCCUCUGGAAUUGUACGGAAAGAAACACUGUCAAAUUUCCUUUUUUCAUGGAGUCCAACAAUAGCAUUCACCUCCCUUUCUGCUUUCUUGAUAAGCUGGUAGUGGGUCUUCAAAUUGGGACACAACCCAUUAAAACACUGGUUGUUUGAUUUUUCUUCAACUUCUGUAAGCUUCCUAACUUCACUGAUGACCUCGUCCACACUAAUCAGCCACUCCUCAACGUGCUGUUGAAUUCCGUCCCCUUUGAUUUUGGAAUCAUCUACUUUAUACUGUACACUGUCUCUAGCAUUCUUUAGUUUAUCAACAUCAUUCUUCAGCUUCUCGAAGGUAAUAAGAGACAAGGAGGUAACAAUUUCCAUUAUCCUGUUUUAUUUUAUUUUAUUUUAUUUUUAUUUUGCUUUGAGAAAACAGGGGAAAACAAAACCAAUCGCAACAAGAAAUAAGAGACAAGGAGGGCAAGGAAUGAAAAAGCUAGAAAUAAAAAAGGGAGUACAGUGAAAAAUCUGCAAAAAAGGUUUAGAAAAAGGAUGAUUAAGAAAAGGGAACCAGAAAAUGUAUAAGGGAUUUUCAGAGAAUCUGAGAAAAGUUGGAUGAUUAAGAAAAUGCUGGAGCAGGACAUUUAUGACUUCUGUUAGUAAUUUGAUUUCGUGAAGCAUUUUCAAAAAGAAGAUAAUGCAAACAAUUCGAGAUUUGGUGAUGAUAAUGAAAGAUUAAGUAAGCUAUUCCAUAAUUUAUAUGCAUGGAAAGCAGCAAUCCAAUAACUUAAAAAGAGUUAAAAACAUUUGCUAUAGGAAAUGGUUGCGUUGACGUGUAUUUCGGGGAUCAUGAAAUAUAAACAAAGACCACGUUAAAAGAUAAGCAAAAGUUGGCAAGAUUGGUAAUGAUAUAUUAAAAGAAAGACUAAUAAAGCUUUCCUAGCAGCAUUAAUCAUGAUCAUUUGAUAAACUAGAGGUAAUAAAUGAUUAUAUUUUUAGUGGAAAACAGAGUACGUUACAUGAGCUGAUUGCUUUUGUCAAUAUUCAGCCAAAAAUACAAGUUAAUCAAAAUAACCUACCAUCAAGUCAACCUUGGGGCAGAAAAACUAGUAACAUUAAAUGAACAUAGAGGGAUGAGUUGGGCCAAGUCUUUAAAUCAGCUAUGUCGUGGAAAAUAACAAGAAGAUUAAAAAAAACUAGAAUCAAUCAACUAGUAUAUAGUAUAAUGUUUUCACAUUUAAUUAACUAGGAGACUAAUACACUAUCACUCAACAUUAAUCAAAAUUAUCUGAUAAACUAGUAUAUAUUGGAUAUCUCGGUGCAAAACAGAGUGCUAAGAGAUAAAAAUUAACCUGGUGUCUUUGCCAGGUGUUUAUAAUUGAAAGAAACUUAGUUCUAUAUUGUUUGGCAAGCUAGAAAAUGAAAGAAAAUAAAAGAAAGCUCUGUAAAGAAAUUUGUGGAACCUUUAUUACUUGAGACCAUAAAUCAAUUGAAUGUUUUGAUUUCAAUACUAGUGGCAAUCACGUACACGUUUAACGACUUAGUUAAAUUUAUAGCAACUAAUAAGUAUCCAACUUUGCAACCGUAUUUAUUUCUCAUGAUUUGAUUAAACUGAGCACUCCGAAAACUUCAGUUCCUUCGAUUGUUGUAAGCUGAAUGAUACAUGUACGAUUUGAUUAAACCGUAUUUAUUUAUAUAUUGAAUGCUACUUCAUUGAAUUUUACUGCCGCAAUAAUACUAAAUGAUUUUUCAUGACAAAAAAUUCAAUAAUUAGAAUGAUUAUGAGUUAAUUUAAUGCUGAAUUUCAUCAUUAACUGCUGAAAUACUCCAGAAAUCCAAAUACAUUUAACUAAACACUAAUUUAAUCAAAUCAUUAAACACACAAUCUGAAAGCGGAUUCAAAAUAACUUUAAUAAAAAAGCCAAAAGCAAAACAAUCAACAAAGAAACAGAAGAAACUCUCACCAAUGCCAUCUGACCCUUGAUAGAAAGAAAGAAGUCAAGCUCCAUGUAAUAUAACGCCUCACAAAUUACACAGAAAAAUGGCCGCAUUCCAUAUGAUGCAUAGAACGUGGCCCGAAUCCUCUUCGUAAGUUUGGAAUUGCUGGAGAAAAAUACACAAUGAAGGUGAAAUCAAGAAAAUAAGGAUAAUGAUAUUUCGUGCAAUUUUCAUGUAAUUUGCAGGAAUUAGCUUCUAUUUGGUAAGCAGUACUGGAUGCCUAACUAUUAUUACUAUUACUAUUAUUUACAUGGAUGGGGUUGGGUGAGACAGGUUUAUCAUAAUUAACCCAAUCCAACCCAAUCCAACCCAACCCAACCCAAUUAUUAAUUAGAUUCUAAAAAAUUACCUAAUUAACCCUAUAAUAAUUCACUUAAUCCAUCAAAAUUUGAUUGGAUUAGAUUGGGUUGGACUGGAUUUGUCAGGUUGGAUUGAAUUCACCGGGAUUGGAUUGAGUUUGCUUACCCCUAGCUCUUGACCCACAUUAUUUAUUUUUAUUAUUUGGUAAUUUCAUUCAAUCAAUAAAUUUAAAUUUCAAAUUUGUAUAAAAUAAGUUUAUACAAGAGCUUUUAACUCUAUCAUCACUCAUCAAACAAUGUUAGAUGAAACAAUAAAUGAAAUAAACAAAGGUAUCAUUAAAUCCAAAAGCAUCCAAUGUGUCAAAAAAUAUCCUAUCAUUUGCAAUAAAAAUAUUAAAAUAUUAUUUUCGAAAUCAAUAAUGAUAUAACCACAAACAUUAAGAACUUGUGUAAACAAACUAACGUGGCAUAAAGACAUUAACUAAAAAUGGAUAACUAUUAUUUUUCUAAAUCAUGUGGGUCUAUAACAGUUUUAUACAACCAAUCUUCUCAUGCAACAUAUGUAUGAUUUUUUUUUUACAAGGUGGUUGUGGCUCUAUAUAUCCAAGUCGUUGUUCAACUUCAAGAGAUCCAAAAUUUGUGAAAGUAGCCACGAAGAGAUUUUACGCCAUUCAACAUGCCUAUUCUGCUGUUAACCUUACUAAAUUCCAAAAAUUUUAAUUCUUAUUUAUUUAUUUAUUUAUUUAUUUAUUAUGCAUGUAAUUUGUAGUAUACAAUAAGAAAUAAAAUUGUAAUCUUUUUUAUAAUGAUGGAUAAUUAUCGGAUUCACGAGAUGUUGUUUUCCUUCUUCUCUCUUCAAGUUCUAUCUGAUGCCAACAAGAGGUUCUUGUACUAUGUAGGAGUCUAUGAUAGUGAUGAUGAAAAAAAUAAUAUGAGCUCCAAUUUUGCGCGCGCGCGCGCGCGUGUGUGUGUGUGUGUGUCUCUCUCUCUCUCUCUCUCUCUAUAUAUAUAUAUAUAUAUAUUGUUUUCAUUUCAUCUUUAACUUUUUAAUGCGCUUUUGUUUCCUUUGGAAGAUACAUGAAAAUUAACUCCUACAAGAAGGGGGGGGGUGGGGAACGGGGGAGGAUUUUAUUACAUGAGACUUUUUAGUUUUGUUUUGAGGGAAUGGGAGAUUUCUUGAAUGAAAUGGCUGUGAUGAUGAGCCAAACACAAACUAAUGUAAGCAUUCUUCAAUGCAUAUUUAUGUUUUCUAUAGAAUAAUUUGAGAAUUGUGUUUGGAAAUUCCUAGGCAUUAUUUAGCUUUUUCCAAGCUUUAGUUAUGGCUUUUACUUUGCUGGUUGGCAAAAGAAUGACGGUAUUUUGAUUUCUCCUAAUCAGAUUGCAAAUGGGUCAUUUAGUCACAAGGGCAACAUAUUUUAAUCUGUUUUUAUUUUUAUCCUCAGUGUGUUCAUGCUCUGAAAAGUAGUGAUUCAUGGUGCCUAGUUUUGGUCUUGUUCAAUGGCGAAUUACAUAUAAGUUCUAUUGUUGGGAAAUUGAUUGGUGAAGCAGACACGCAAUUAAAGUGAAAUUGAGAAAUAAUGAGACAACAGAAUCACAUAGGGACACCAGGAUUUAAGUGGUUCGGCUUUUAACCUAGAUUCACGGGUGAAAACAGAAGAAAAAUAUUUUACUAGUGAUAUGAGAAUUACAAGUAUUGUAAUAUUUUGGCUCACUAUCCAGAACCCCAAUGUACCCAAUCGCUUACUCACUAAUCUCUCAAGCCAAGAGUUUAUUAAAUUCUUAAUACUCUCAACUCCCUAAAUGUAGGAAAUGCUUCUCUCAAACUGGAUGUUGAAAUGAGGAGAAGCGUCCUUUAUAGCCAAAAAUUGGCUUCUGUUCAUGCCUAUUAUUUUUUUUAUUUAUUAGUAUUUUAUUAUUAUUAUUUCCGCUGAGCGGCCCGCCACUUUCUUUUCUUCUUCUUUUUCUUAUUUCUUCUUUUUUUUUCUUUUUCCUUUGCGGUUGAGCACUAGCAAUGCCCACUGCUUACUUUUUGACAUCUAUGUGGGCCCCACAAAAGUUGUUCUUGGAGGAAUUGAAUAAUUGAAUUAUUCAAACCUGACUUAAUCUUCCAGCAGUGUUAUUGCUUUGUAUUUAUCUUUGUAUGCUUGGAUUGUAAAUUUGACAGGAAAAUGGUGAGGAGACCUUGGAGGAAUUGCAGAAUUUGUUUGAAUAGAUGUUUAAAGGAGACACCAAUGCUUUCGAGCCUAAACUUAUUCUGAUUAUUUCAUCUGUACUUAGAUUUGAACUAAGAAGUUUUUUGUGAUGGUAUGUUAGCUUUUAUAAAUUUCCUUUCUUUAAUAAAAUCUCACUUUAUUUUUAGCGGAAGUUAAUAAGAUCGGAUGGUGGAUUGUAUUGCUGUGUGUCAAAUGACAUUUUAAACAACGUGCUUCUGGCUAGAGACCUCGAACCAUUUUUUAUGAUUUAGAAUGUUGUAACCAUUAGAAGCUUCCUUGUCAUAAACUGGUGGCUCAGAUUAUUGAAAUGUUCAUGAGAAAGCUAAUAAUCUGAUUUCCCAUUGUAUAUUAUCAGAUUCCCUUUUGUUGCAAUCUUGUGGUUGAGCAGGUCUCAAGAUUCUGACCUUUUUCACCCCGCUUUCUGACAGAAGAAUUUGCCUAUCAUUGUCAAGUGUUUGGCAAUUAGCCACCAUCUGCUGUAUUCAUUAUGAAAACAUUGUAAAUUUGAUCCCUUAAGAAGGGGAGAGAAAUUGAUCAAGCUGAUUGGUUAUACUCAUUGUAUGCCACAAGUGCUUUAUCAAACCACAACAGGUAACACCCGUGCGAAGGGCGCAAGCCAAAAUUUGAUAGCUGCACCAGUAUCAUCAAGAUACUCCUUUUCCGGUCCAUCUAUGUCUUACCGAUGGCAUUUUUACUAUUCAUCCUCUUUACUAUUUGUUUCUUUAGCAAAUUUCUUUCUGUAUUAUGAGUCUUAAUAAAAGUUUAAUUGUAGACAACUUUUUUGCCUUGAAAGUAUAUUUUAAACCUUUCAAACCAAUUAGCUCUAUUGGGAAACUUAUGACUUUAUCGAAAUAUUUGUUGCAUUUUGUCACUGAUGGUCAGUCCAUAAAAUUAAUUGACUGAUAGUGUCAAGCAGUUAGCAAUACAACUUUUUACCAAUGAUAUAACUCUUUUCAUUCUGUAUUUUGUUCGACACUUAAUUCGGUUCCAUUAUGUCAUUAUCUGUGCUUGAUUGAGUUGCAUGUUCAUGCACAAGAAUUUCCCAUCGCGGUGUUCCUAAGCUACUUUAUAAGACCUGGAUUUGUCUUUAACUAGGAUAUGGCUUUUUUUGAGUUGUAAAGCCUACUGUGAAAGUUAGCUGCUCAAAGCAAAAAAAAAAAAAAAAAAUUUCGUGGGAGGGAAAUUAAAUUUUGGCGAAGUUUGCUUUGGGAAUUUUGAAGAUAACUUGUAAAUUUGUUACACAUAUUGAGUGAUUCAAGGUUUUCAAUACAUUUCUUCCAAGGAAUCAGUUUUGUUUGGCUUCUCAAACUAUGCUUCUAAUCCAAUAUCUUAACUACGGCUGGUAAAAAGCUAUUCACUGUUAUAAUGGAUUGUUAUUGGAAAUAAUCAAAUAAAGCCUAUGAAGAAUUAGAAUAAAAGCUAUAUUUUGUCUUUGUGAAGGGAAUAUUUGACAGCCAAUCCACCGAUAUUUUUUUCUAUUAAAACCUAUACUUAUUAUAGCCUCAAUCAUUUCGAGACAUACCGGAGAAAUCUAACUAAAAAAGUUGAUAAAUUUUAAUUCAUUCUCCCGAUAGAACAACAAUCUUGAUUUUAUCACCUAAAAGAGUGAAAAUAUCAAUUUAGCCUUCAUUUUCAUUCAAUAAGGUGAGAGCAAAUUGUGGAUGCAGUGAUGGAUUUCUUUUUCUUUUUUUUUUGUGGGGUGGGGGGGGGGGGAAUAAAAAAGAGAUGCAUGUUCUUUGUAUGGUUGUUUAUAGAGGCAAAGACUUAGCACUGAAUGAUAAGAGCAUUACCUUCUUAGGGCGGAAGUCGUGAGUUUGAGCCUUAUCCUCCUGGAAGUAAAUCAAAGACUUAUCAUUUUAAAUGAGGGGCAAAUUAAAGUUUAUUCUAAAAUCAGUGGCGGCUUUAAUGCUAGGCGAACUAGGCAGUUGCCUAAGGCCCCGUAUUUAGGAAGGCCCUGAUUUUUUGUAUCUAUUUAUUAAUUAAUAUAAUUAAUUUUUUUAAGAUUCAAAAAAAUUAAGUUACGUAUAUAUUUUUUAUACAGUAAAAAAAGCCUAAUUUUUAGGCUUUACCCUAUCAUUACUCUCAUUCAUAAUUAUCUCUCUUAUUUAAUAAUCUUUACCUUAAAUAUAAGAUAUAUUUUUAUGCUAUAAUAAUGAUUUUGAACGUUACUUCUUUACUUUCUUUAACUAUUUCCCAAAAAACAAUCAAUGCUUACCCUUUCCAAAAAAAACUCUUAUUAAAAUUAGUAACGUUAGAUUUUUAGAACUAACUUUUGGUAUUCUAUUAAAAUAUAUUUAAAACCUCAUUAUCUAUAAACCGAUACACAUUGAAUCAAAGCUAUUUUCAGCAAAAAAAUUUUGUGCUCUCUUCUCUUUCUCUACAAAAUUCAUUGCCAUCAUCAUCUUCAUCUCAACUAGUCAAUUGACUCAAAUCCAGGUGCUAUCAUUCUAUUUUUUUCUAUUUUUUAUUAUUACUGUUCUUAUCCUUUUUAAAUUUAAUUUAUUUUUGAUUUUUUGUAUUGAUUUUGGCUUGAAUAAUCUAGAAAAAAAUUGUGUUUGUUUAUUUGUUUUUUUUUAUUUGAAAAGCAUGUCAACUAGAAAAUAUGUAUCGGGAUAUGAAAAAUUGAAAAAAAAAAGAGGAGAAUAGAAAAGUUAGUCCAAUCUAAAAAAGGAGCUCUUGAUAAAUUUGUCACAACUAAUAAAAAAGAUAUAGAUUUAAAUGAAGAAUUAGCUAUUGAACAACCAAGUUUAAAUGAAUUAAAUAAUGAUGAAACAGUGAAUGAAAUAAACAACAUUGAAGAUGAUAAAAAUAAAAAUGCGGACAAAGUUGAUGUAGAAAAUUUAUUUGUUCCAAAUAAUAUUUAUGAUCCAGGAAGAUGGGAAAAUGUUGAUACAAAGUUAAGAGAUCUUUUAGUAGAAAAAAGGCCCAAUUAGAGAGAAUAACAUAACUUUCCCAAAAGAUGAAAAUUCUAGGCAUUUCUCUACUGCAUUUUAUGUUAAAAUGUUAACAAAUGGAGAAAAACAUGAUAGAAAAUGGUUAAUAUAUUCAAAAGAUUUUAACAAAGUAUAUUGUUUUUGUUGCAAAUUAUUCAAUACAAGUUGUAGCAAAAAUCAACUUAGUGAUGAAGGAAUAAGAGAUUGGAAAAUCUUAGUUCUAAACUUAAAAGUCAUGAAACAACCAAUGAACAUAUAACUAAUAUGAAUGCAUGGGUUGAUUUAGAAGCAAGACUAUCAAAAAGAAAAACAAUUGAUAAAGAUGUUCAAGAAAGAAUUGACAAGGAAAAAGAACAUUGGCAAAAAGUAUUAAUACGAAUUAUUGCUGUUGUAAAAAAUCUUGCUAAAAAUAAUUUAGCAUUUCGUGGAAAAAAUGAGAAGAUCUAUGAAGAGAGAAAUGGGAAUUUGUUAAGUUUAAUUGAAAUGAUUGCAGAGUUUGAUCCAACAAUGCAAGAACAUAUUUGACGUAUUAAAACCGGUGAAAUUCAUGAUCAUUAUCUUGGACAUAACAUACAAAAUGAACUCAUAUUAAUGCUAGCACUUGAAAUAAAAAAAAUCAAUUGUUAACAAAGUUAAGGAAGCAAAGUACUUUUCAGUUAUACUUGAUUGUACUCCAGAUGCAAGCCACCAAGAACAAAUGUCUCUUAUAUUAAGAUGUGUGGAUAUUUCAACAAAUCUAGUAAAGGUAGAAGAAUAUUUUUUAGGAUUUUUACAAGUUGACAAUACCACUGGAAAAGGUCUUUUUAAUGAACUUGUGGAUGUAAUUAAAACUCUUGAACUUGAUAUUAAUGAUGUAAGAGGACAAGGAUAUGCUAAUGGAUCUAAUAUGAAAGGAAAAAAUCAAGGUGUACAAAAAAGAUUAUUAGAAAUAAAUCCUAGAGUAUUUUACACACCAUGUGGCUAUCAUAGUUUUAACUUAGUGCUUUGUGAUAUGGCUAAUUCUUGUCCUAAGGCUAUUUCAUUUUUUGGAGUUGUUCAACGUAUUUACUCGCUAUUUUCUUCUUCACCUAAGAGAUGGAAAAUUUUACAAGAUAAUAUACCUAAUUAACUGUUAAAUCAUUGUCACAAACACGUUGGGAGAGUCGCAUAGAAAGUGUCAAAGCAAUAAGAUUUCAAGCUCCCCAAAUUAGAGAUGCUUUACUCAAAUUAGCAGAAGUUAGUGAAGAUCCUAAAAUAAAAAAGUGAAGCGAAAUGUUUAGCAACAUAUGAAUUGGAAAACUUUGAAUUUUUGUUAGGCAUGAUUAUUUGGUAUGAUAUAUUAUUUGCUUUUAUUUGUUAGUAAAAGCUUACAAAGGGAAUAUAUGCAAAUUGAUGUUGCCAUAAAUCAACUAAAAGGUCUUACAUCCUUUUUUGAGAAUUACAGAUAAAAUGGUUUUGUGUCUGCUAUGAUUUCAGCUAAAGAGAUUGCAAAUGAAAUGGAAAUAGAACCAAAAUUUCAUGAAAAACGUAUAAUUCGUAGAAAAAAUAAAUUUGGCGAGAAUAAUAAUGAAGAGAAAAUUCUAUCUCCCGAAGAUUCUUUUAGAAUUGAUUACUUUGUAUAUAUAGUAGAUCAAGUUAUUUCUUCAAUCACCAAUAGAUUUGAGCAGUUUCAAUUCUAUGAAAAUAUUUGCGGAUUUUUAUUUAAUUUUGAAAAAUUAAAAUCAUUAGAUGAUGAAAGUUUAAAAAGUUAUUGUAUUAAUCUUGAAAAUAUCUUGAAAUAUGAUAUGUUUUCUGAUAUUGAUGGAUUAGAUUUGUUUUCAGAGUUAAAAGUCUUAAAAGAAGUUUUACACAUGGAAAGAAAUAGUCCACUUGAUAUACUUAAUUAUAUUAAAAAAGUAGAUUCUUUUCCAAAUGCAUUUGUUGCUUAUAGAAUAUUAUUGACUGUACCUGUAACUGUUGCUUCUGCUGAGAUAAGUUUUUCUAAAUUGAAGUUAAUAAAAUCUUAUUUAAGAACUACAAUGUCACAAGAAAGAUUAAAUGGAUUAGCAAUAUUAGCUAUUGAAAAAAAAUUUGUUAGCUAAAUUAGAAUAUAAGAUUUUAAUUAAUAAUUUUGCAUCUCAAAAAGCAAGAAGAAUAAAAUUUAAUUGAUUAGUAAUUUGCAUUAGUGAUGGCUUGCAGCAAGGAUCAUAGUAGGUAGGAGCAAUGAUUUAAAGUUCACAGGAAGAUUAUGGUUGUGGCUUAUGAAGUUUUAGAGCAUCUUAAGAAGAUGGAAUUUGUGGAAGACAAAGUUAGUUACUAUUUGUGUGGAAAUAAAUAGAUAUCUUUCGGACAAUUUUUUUUUUUUUGGACCUUGUUAAUAAUUGUUGUAAUUCAAGAUAUUAUUGAAUAUAGUUAAAGUUUGAGCUAUUUGAUAUUGUUGUGAGAAUUUUUUGAGCUGUUUAAUGUUUUUGUGAGAUUUGAUAUUUUAACAUCAAAAGGCCUAAAAUAAAAUUUCGCCUAAGGCCCCCAAUUGGUUAAAGUCGGGCCUGUCUAAAAUGUUAUAUGAAAAAACUUUAGCCAUUUACAACUAUUAAUUGUCUGCUACUAUUUUCUUUUUUUAAUUCUAAAGUCUUUAUUACUCUUUCUCAUAUUAGUAGUUAGUAGACAUUCUAAAUUUUCUUUUAACAUUUUAUUCUAACAUUUUUUCCCCGAAAACGACAAUGGCAAGCUAAUUUGACCUAUCUUGACUGACUGAAUUUGGAUAACUUGUGUUACGCUCUCUCUCGUAAUUCAUAAAGACGGCCACUUUGAUUUGCACUAUCCUUUCUGUGUCAUUGUGCUCACGUUGCAAGGGAUUCGUCAGGCCCGCAGUUGUCAAAUUAAAGUUACAUUACAUUUACAUACGUUAAAGACUUUAUUUGAAUAUUCUCCAUCGUCUUUAUUGACCCUUUUUUAUCUUUUAUUUUUCCUUGUGUCGAAAGAAUCCUUCACUGAUUGGAAUAUCCAUGAUGACUAGUUGCAAUUGGAAGAGUCCCUGAAAUUCAUCUUUCAUUCGAUCUUAAAUACUUUCUCCGAACAAUUAGAUUACAUUAAGAUUUUAUGAACUUGCUUAGUAGAUCAUUCAACUGCUUAAUUGGUGCAGUUAAUUAAUUGAUUAUCUUCCCGGAAACACAUUAAAGACUCUCACGGGGAUUCAUUAAACCUUUUCGCUGGGUCAAUUCUACAAGCAUAAGACGUAAAAGCUUCAUGAUAAGAGCACAAGCCUAUCGUCUUCAAAAGCUCUUGCAAAAAGCUAGCUAUUUUCUUUAUUGUCAUUUCCAUCCAUUUUAACCCUCUCUUUUUCAUUUUGUACAAUUUUGACUUGACUCUGAAAUAGAGAACAAUGAUAUUUAGACAGAAAAAUUUAAUAGAAUGUUUAAAAAUAAAAUAAAAUUAGUCUCAGUUUAUCUUGUACUAGUUUUACCUUAUUGAUGUCAAUGAUUUUCUAAGAAAAAAAGAAACUUCGUUAAUUUUACCUUUGUUUCAUGAUGAGAUUAGUGCUGGAGCCGUCAUGGACUCAUUGCUAUGCAGAAUUAAAAAAUCAAGCUUAAACAGUUUUGGUGAAAUUUCUAUAUUGAAAUUCUUGUUAAUAAAUCAUUCACACUUUAAUGAAAGUAUUAAUAGCAGCCGUGUAACUCACUAACUCCUAUUAAUUAAUUUUUAUAAAUUGCUACCGGUAACUCCGUAUUAAUUAAUUUAUCACGCGUUGUAUAUACAGAGUAGCGUAACGGGAUUUUUUUUUUAAUGUUGAUCUUUUACUCAAUUAAUUAAUUAAACAUUUAUAAAUGAUCACUAAGUAUUCAUGAGUAUGUGACACAUGAGCUUAAACAUGAAUCAAUAUUUGCUAGUGCAUUGGUGGUUAGCACAAAUAACUUCGAUGAUAGAGAGUGACUGGGAAGCAUUAAUGGGAUGGAUCCUUUAAUGACCUGAUUUUUAAGCAAAUUUCACUUAUAUGUUUAUUGGUUAAUCAAGUAAGUAAUAAAAAUAGUUAAAUUUUAAUCAUACAUUAAUAUUAAAAGGCAAGUUAUAUAAGAUCUUUAAACGUUCAGAAGAGAUCAAAUCAAAAAAGGACUUAAAUUUGAGAAUAACUCUUGUAAAAUUUAAGUUUUAUGUGCUCAUGAAAGUACUUGUUAUUAAAGGUAUCUCUUGAAUAUUUAAUGGUUUAACAAAUUAUGUUCUUUAUAGACAGUUUGUAAAUUACUCUCGUCACUGCCACCAUGACUUGUAUUGUUGUUGUGAGCAGUUUAAUGGAAUGCAAUAUCAAUUUACUUGUUAGAAAAAAAAAAUCGAUUAUAAAUACUAAUUUGACUUUAUUGUGCUCUAGAGCAAAAUACAAAGUGGAUAUUUAGUGAUUAUUAGUUUAACUUACAAUGAUAGAUAUAUCUUAAGUAUACAUAUUAAGAUAUAUAUAUAUACACACACAUACAUGUGCGUGCGUGCGCUUGUGCCAAGAGACAAACAAAUAUAUGAUGAAUAAAGAUUUCCAAACCUAAAGACUUCAAAUUAAUGGUGAAACAUCUUUGCAAAUUAAACUAAGAAAAAUUGAAAAAGUAUUUUAUCAUUUUAUGCAUGGAAUUCCACGUCCAUGCAUGCAUGUACCCAACAAAUGUACUUGUAAUUAAGUAUGCAUAUGGUACAUGAAAAAAAUAUUGUCUUGGAAAAGUCUCAAUGGAUAACUCAUGACAUGUCAUUGUACGUACACGCACAACGAAUAAUCCUUGCGACGACUUGCAUAAAACAAAAAGGGAAAUGUCUGUUUGUCCCUGUAGUUUAAGUACCCAUGGAGGAGUCAAUAUAUAUUUAGAAAUUUACUCAAAAAAUAUAUAUAUAUAUAUAUAUAUAUAUAUAUAUAUAUUCUAUAUUUUUUUGGUUAAAAUUUACUUAAUUAUUUUUUAUCUUUCAUCUGCUAUAUAUUAAAUUAGUUUGAAUUUUAAAAUUUAUCAUAUAGAAUUUAGCUUUGAAAAUUUAUGUCCAACAAACUAAUUAAGAAGUAAGUAAAGAGAUGUUCUGGAUAAUUUUUUAAAAUAUAAUAUUGACCAAACUGGGUAAUUGACUCGAAUUAUGGGGCUUAAAAUAAUUUUUACUUAUUUAACAAAUUUAAAAUUGUUUUCCAAAAAAAAAAGUAAAUUAAUUUCUAUCUUUAUUAAUAAAAUUAUGACAUAACUAAGUAAUAUUCAUAUUGUGGUGAAAACAACUUCUUGGUUUAGCGAUGGACCUUACAUGUGGAGGGUUGAAAUCUUUUAUGUAUAUACAUGGUGUUAAUAAUAGUAAUUAAAAGGGAGUGUGUAUACCACACGCCGGAGACCAAAAAGUGAUUUGUCAAAUCCUCGAACUCAAUGACGAGCCAAAAGUGGAUUGGAUUGGUUAUCCACUUUUGUACGGCUUUGAAUGACUUUUUCUAUUUUCUAUACUCCGCAUCAGUCGUUGUGACAUAUUCGUAGGCAUUUUCCCUUCAUUUACACCAAGUCUAAAGUUCUGAACUGAAUGAAAGAGGAAGCCAACUUGAAUUACAUUUUUUCCAGCAUUUUUUGGUCCAGCGAACCAUUUCACUUGGGAUCAUAAUGAGUCGUUGCAAGGAAAAUGUUAUUUUGAUUAUUACUUUGUUUAAUAUUCUUGUCUGCGGUAUUUUAAUUUGAAAGAGAUAUAAGUCUCAAAGGAAUGUCGGAUUCUGUGCUCACAUGAUGAGCUAUAUAAUAUAUGUUGGUUUUACUUAAGGUUGUUGUAAUUAGUAGUUUUUUUUUUAAAAAAAAAUAAUACUAGCACAACUCUAAUAAAUAACGGAUAAAAAUUCCUAAUUAAUUUGAAUUCAUCUCUCAUUUGUCAUUUAAAAAAGAAAAAAAAGAAAAAAAAAGAUUCAAUCUUGGUUUAAUUAUGAACUAAAUGUUCUUCUUUUCAAUCAUUAAUUAAUAUUAGGUAGGUAGAUCUACCAACACGGUUGCACCUAAUUACCCACUAUAAAAUUUAUUAUCAAUCCCCCAUGGAAAAAGUGUGCAUGCCUAUAUAUAAUCGGACUUUAUUAUCAGUGUUAUGGAUAAAAGAAUUAUUAAUUUUAAAUUAAUAAUUAUUUUAAUCAAUUUGGCAAUAUAUAUCUUAUCCUUGAUUAAUUUAUAUGAAUGAAUAUCAAGUGUAACGUAAAAUAUUAUUUGUGUUGCACAUGACAUGCGGACAAAAGAAUACAAAGAUUCCUUAAACAAGAUUAAAAAAAAAGUAAAAUAGAAAGUUGAAUUUAACAAGAUUCAUGUACUGGAAGAAAAGGAAUUAAUAAAGUGAUAAAAAAAUUGGUAAUCGUGGCAAGUAAUCUUAUUCAUGUACGAGGCGGCACGACCCAAGACUUGGAGAUUAAAUAAUGAAACUUCUUUGCAAACGAUAGAAACUCCAAUUUAUGGAGAGACUUGACGAGUAUUUUAUCAUUUUAUGCAUGGAAUUCCACGUGCAUGCAUGCAUGUUCUCCACGCUUGGAAAUUUUGCAAAUGGCUUCUCCCUUUAAUGGGAUGCACAGUUUUCGUACAUCAAUAUUGAAAAUGUCCUCUAACAAGUGUCUCAAUUAUUGGAUAACAUGUGCAGUCCUUGUAAUUCAUUGAUAACACGUCCCUCAACAAUCUAUAAUACAUCAAACUACCAAAUUGGCCAACAAAUCGAUGAUACUUAUGUUUUGAAAAACUAUCAUGUAAUUGAUGAUUAUAUCAAAUUUAACUAUAUAUAUUAUAUAUACAUUAGUUGAUUGUAUUGGUUUUGAUGUAUUGUAAAAUUUUUGAUUUUAUGGGCAUAUAAUAUAGAUUAUCAAAAUUUAAGUUUCCUCACAUAUGCGCGCGCACACACAUACACACACAUAUAUAUAGGAGUGACUAAUGAGCCUUUUUCUUUUCUCAUUUUGAGAAAAUCUCAAGUACAUAAAACUUAUUAUAACCAUUUAGUGAAAUUAGUUAUGACAUACGCAUUCUGAUUUUAUUAUACUAUAAUUAUCUUCUUCUUCUUCUUUUUCCAACUUAAAUGUACACGUACGUGAUCAAUGACUAUGGAUUAUGUAGAGGAGUUUAUCAUUUUAUUGAAAUUCUAACGAUUGUCAAAGCAUAUUAAAGGGAGAUUGGCAGUUUUCUUCAUGUAGAAAUUAAUACAUACCAUUUCCAUUUCUCUUCUUAUUGCUUCUAUAAUAAUCAAUAACUUUCAUUCAUCAUAAUUUUAUAGUAUUAUUCUUAUUUUAAGAUAUUUUAAAAUUUAUUUAAUUAUUCAUCUUUAUUAUUAAUUAAAUGAAUUAUAUAAACAGAAAUAUAUAUUUUGUCUUUAAACAUAUUUUCUUAUAGUAAAUAUAUAUUUUAUAUUUUUAAAAUAAAAUAUCAAGUAAAUGACCCAUUUACCUUUACUUUCUUUUAAGUUUUUUUUUAUACGAAGAGAUUAUUAACUAUUAUGAAAAUAAUAGACGAAUAAAUAUUUUACAUAAAUUUCGACAGGGAGAAACUAUCAAUACUCUUAAACGAUUGAACCUUCAGUAUCUUAGUAGUUGACUGUGAAUGACAUUUUAUUCCACCCCAUUGCAAUUGUUGCUUGUUUUCCACGGAUAUCUUGAUUACGUUUGCAAGCUUAUGUUAUAAGGGCUUCGUCAUUGCCAUUAUUACGAAAUUAAAUAGACUAAGAUUACUUGUUGACCUAAUUUGAAAAUUCCUCCAUUGUUUAUUAUUUUUCCCUUUUUAAUUUAUCAAUAUCAGCCAUAUCAAGUCAUUCUUUUAAUCAAAAACCUUGGGGAAGACGAAAUAUAUAUUAACUUACUGUCUUUUCUCAAUAACUUUUUAGGUGAGAUUAGUUUAAUAAAUUACAUGAUAAAUAAUACUCUUGCUUGAGUCUAUAUAUA